ACUAGGCCACCAUCGUGUAGUUUUCCGAUAGCAUUACCAAUCUGUGUUGCAAUAUCAGCCAUCCGUUCUUUGUCAACACCAACUAGUCCAAAGCCAAGCAAUAUAUCUUUCACAGAAGGACCUUCAAUAUAUUCAAAGGUGAGAGAAUGCAUAACAGGGUCAACAGCAUAAAGCACUGGAGUAAGAACACCAAGCCGUCUAGCUUUUGUCAUGCACCUGGCCUCCUGCGCCACGAUUCAAUUUAUUUAAGCAACACAAGCUUUAAGAAGGAUUUAAAAAAAGAGUAGGUAUCAUUUUACACCGACCGCAUUCAACCGUUUAAGGGUGAGCUUUGAGUCCAAAGUCGGAUGCCUGUAUUUCUUUGAAAACCGUUCCUUGAUGAUACACCUCCUGCUACCCACAAAUGUCGACUCAAAUACCCUCUGAUGUUAUCAACAGCGAAACAAGAUAAAAUGUUACAGAAACUCUAGUGUCAAGUGUCGACAAUUACUUGCCAUCAAAUGAACGUUGGUAGAAACAGUAGUACAUAUUAUUACCGACUUUUAAACUAAACAAAAGACACCCACCCACCCACAAAAUCUUUUCAAAAGAAAAUUAGAGAAAAAAAAUGAGAAAUAUUAAAGGAAAGUUUUAUAGAAACACAAUAGAGAACAAUUAAAUAUGAACUCACAGCCUCAGCUCCUUGCUUGAUUAAAACCAAGGAUCCAUCACUUCCAUCUGUCUUGGUUUCCAUCUAUAUGAGAUCUCCAAUUAACUUCAGGCGCAAGAAACAAAAUAAACAAAAAAGUAAAACUAAAAAGAAAAGGAUAACAAAACUUUAGGAUUUCAUAAAUGAAGUUGUUUAGCUCUUCCACAAUUCAAGUACAACACAAAGCUUGCACGCAAAAGAAUGGUUAAGAAAUUCUUUGGCAUCCAAUGGGGAUAGCUUAGCAGUCUAUGAAGUUUAUUCAGAACUGCGAGGUCUCAGGUUCAAUUGCAAAAUAACAAAACUAAAGUCCUAAUAUAGGAAAAGAGAAAUUAAAAAAUAAGAACCUAACCUCUCUCACUUUUUCCUCAUUUACCCAGCACCUCCAGGUCAAGUAUUCUCUCCCACAACUUUCAAUCGUUGAAGCGAUCAAAAGAUGUUUGGAAGAGCACCGAAGAAGAGUGAUAAUACGAAGUAUUAUGAUAUCUUAGGAGUACAGAACAGGGCUUCACAAGAUGAUCUCAAAAAGGCUUAUCGUAAAGCCGCCAUCAAAAAUCAUCCUGAUAAAGGAGGCGAUCCUGAAAAGUUUAAAGAGAUUGCCGAAGCUUAUGAUGUCUUACGUGACCCUGAAAAGCGUGAAAUAUAUGCUCAGUAUGGGGAGGAUGCUCUUAAGGAAGGAAUGGGUGCUGGAGGUGGUAGACAUGACCCAUUUGAUAUAUUUCAAUCAUUCUUUGGUGGUGGUGGAAGCAGCAGAGGUAGAAGACAAAGAAGAGGAGAGGAUGUUACCCCCCCACUCAAGGUCUCUUUGGAGGAUCUUUAUAAUGGAGCAUCAAAGAAGCUUUCACUAUCUCGCAAUGUGUUGUGCUAGAAGUGCAAGGGUAAAGGGUCUAAGUCAGGUGCUUCAAUGAAGUGUUCUGGCUGUCAGGGGUCUGGAAUGAAGUCUGCUGGAUCAUGGAUGGACCAAGCAGUCUGAAGUGUUCUGGCUGUCAGGGGUCUGGAAUGAAAGUUUCUAUCAGACUACUUGGUCCAUCCAUGAUCCAGCAGAGGCAGCACCCUUGCAAUGAGUGUAAGGGUACUGGUGAGACAAUCAGUGACAAAAAUAGGUGCCCACAGUGUAAUGGUGAGGGGUCGUGCAGGAGAAGAAGGUGUUGGAAGUUCAUGUGGAGAAGGGUAAGCAGAACGGGCAGAAGGUAACAUUCCCAGGCGAGGCAGAUGAAGCGCCAGAAACUAUCACUGGAGACAUGGUUUUUGUCUUGCAACAGAAGGAACAUCCUAAAUUAAAGAGAAAGGAAGAUGGAUCUUUUUGUUGAGCAUACAUUGUCCUUGACUGAGGCCCUAUGUGGUUUCCAGUUCGUUUUGACUCACCUAGACAACAGACAGCUGCUCAUUAAGUCCCCACCUGGCAAAGUUGUCAAGUCAAGCCUGAUCAGUUUAAGGCUAUCAACGAUGAAGGAAUNNNNNNNNNNNNNNNNNNNNNNNNNNNNNNNNNNNNNNNNNNNNNNNNNNNNNNNNNNNNNNNNNNNNNNNNNNNNNNNNNNNNNNNNNNNNNNNNNNNNNNNNNNNNNNNNNNNNNNAAUGCCGAUGUAACAAAGGACUUUUAUGAGAGGUAAACUGUACAUUCACUUCACUGUUGAUUUCCCAGAGUCAUUAACACCAGAGCAGUGCAAGAACCUUGAGGCCGUGCUUCCUCCAAAACCCAAACAGCAAGUGUCUGACAUGGAAUUAGACGAGUACGAGGAGACUGUUUUGCAUGAUGUGAACAUUGAGGAUGAGAUGCGUAGGAAGCACCAAGCUUCCCAAGAGGCAUAUGACGAAGAUGAUGAUAUGCAUGGUGGUGGUGGUGCACAGAGAGUCCAAUGUGCACAGCAGUAAUUUGGUAGUGUUCUGGUAUUUGUGCUAUCUUCUGAUAGGGGGUAGAUUACUUAAGGGUUUGGUUAUUUUUCUUAUGCAAACUGACACUACGAGCAGAAUUUUACUGCUCGACUAUUGUAAGUGUGCUUACAUGUUUAUGCAAUUUGUUUUAUUUUAUUCAAUAAUUCUUCUUACUUCGAAGUCGCAUUUGAAACUAACAUAGAGUCUCAUAUAGUUCUAACGAUUUUGGAAAUUAUAAUUCAUUUCACUAAGGGUGAGUCUUUAUUCACAAUCAACGUUAUUUGUAAGACUUAUUUUUCUUACUUUAAUUAUGGACGUUAUUUUGUUCACGAAAAAAAAAGAACCUAACAACUCUAACGACUAGUUACAAGCCUCGCAUGCUGCAUAAACUUUUGAUUGAGAUGAUCAUCUUCAUCCCAUAUUCAUCAAACUUCAGAUCUUCCAACCAGCAACCAGAGGACUUAAAAGCUAUGCUUUUUCCUUUUUCUUACAUGCUUAGAAGAAAUCAAAUGGACAUCAUCUAAGCCUGCGGAUACUCUUUAUACAAUUUUAAUGGUUCCUUUCAACUCUCAGCUUCCCACCUCCUCUUUCUCAUAAGAAGAAUGUAAGAUUCGUUAAGUUCUGGCUUCGAUUGUUUUUACUAUUUUGAGUCUUAAAGAGUAAAUUACACUUUUAAGCUUAAGACGGGGGAACCAGGACUGUUGUUACAUAAAAUAUCCUUGCAGAGAAUUCUAUUCUAUCGAAACCACUCAAACUACCUGAAAUCAAACAACGUGUUGCCUCAUAAGCUACUAAUAAACUCAUAAACAACCUCCUAAAUAGGUUUUAACUUAUAGCUAACAUUGGCUGAUUUGUUCCCAAUAUAUCCAAGCCUUAGUGGAUAAAGUUACCCGGUACCUGUACUAGUGAGGGUAGACGAUACCAGUGGAAUUAAUCGAGGUCCGCCACAAGCUAUCCCAGACACCAUAAUAAUUAAACAAAGGAGAUUCUUCGAUUUACACAAAUGUCUUUCUGUGAUUUUCUAUUUUGUAAGUCUUAUCUCCUUCACACUACAUAUGCUUCAAUAAAUGGUAGUACUAUACCUCUUCUAAUUAAUUUAUCAAGAAAACACACUAAGGUACCAUUAUAGCUUAAAAUAGAGGGAAAAUAUUUUUAUUCUUGAAGUGUUCUUUAUUGUAGCUAAAAAAAAAGCUUCAAUUUUUACAAGUAAACAACCCAAUUAGUAGCAUUUCUAGGUAUAAAAGAAGCAUUAGCCGCAGAAUUUGGAGAUAAAAACAUGAAAAAGAAUAAGAAAUAAAGAAAAGCAAAAUUAAGAAGGAAAUUUUGUUCUUGUUUUGUACUUUGAAUCCUCAAAUAAUGACCACCCAUCAAAGAAUUAUGAAAACUAAAAGCAAUUUGUGAGUAUUAAGGAAGAAAGAUACCUUUUUCCCCGUCGACAAUUAACAGCGCCGCCAGCCACAGCAAACCGUACCACUUCCGACAGUAUGAGUGAAGAAGAAGAAGAGAUAUGUUUUGCUUAAUAUGGGCCGGGUCAAUAGAAGUAGGUGGGCUUCCUUUUGGGACAACCCAAUUAGUGACGAAUGUUAAUAGCUCGGUUGAUUCAAUUUGCAACAUUAUAAUCGUCCGGAGAACAUUAGAAUAACUGAUAAAGUCAUGAAAAUUUUUGCAUAUAUACCGACAUGUUUAAUGUUAAUUACUAAAAAUCUCAACAUUUUUCAAAAUCUUCUAAAACUCCAAUAUUUGACCUCUGAUGAUUUAAUCGCAUUGGAUAUAUAUUGCUAUACAUAUAUCUAAUGUGAUUAACUUGUAUCACAGUAGAUACAAACAUUAGAUACAUGUAGGAUUAACUUUUAUUUCAGAAAUAGUAAAAAAUAUGAAAUGUUAGGAUUUAAGUGGUUUUUAAGAAGUGGAGGAAUUUUAGAAAUUUAGAUAGUUAUAAUGUUUAUUUAGGUAAUUUUUUGUAAAGUUAUUGCAAUAGGAACCGGAGGUCAUGGGUUUGUAAAAAUCCAAGAUAGAACUGCAUAAAAUAAAAUAAAAAAUUACAUCAUACCACAACUUAAUUUAUCAUAAAUAGUUAAAAUUUUCUUCCUUUUAAAUAGUUACAUAAAUCACUGAUUUAUUUAAAAAUAUGGAUACAUCAUAAAUGAAUGUGAGGUGUCAUGUAAAAUUAAAUUAUAUAUAUAUAAAAUAUGAUGUAUUCGUAUAAAAUUAAAUAAUGCACUCGAAAAUGUAUGUAUCUAUGUACACUAAAUAAGGGAUAUUUAGUAAGUUUAAAAAAAAAUUGAAAUGCAUUUACACAGUUUUUACUACAAUAAACUAUUGUGAUUCGAAUAUUUCUUAUACUUUGCUUAAUGCGAGCUUAUAUUUUAGAGUCCAUUUGAUCAUAAUUUUUUUUUUUUUCACUUUUUUCAAAAAUUAAGAAAAACUCAUUUAUAUUUAUGGUCGAAGAGAACUCUAAUUUCAAAAAUAAAUCAGUUUUGUAGCAAAACGCCUACUUAUUUUCUAAGACCAAACAAAAAACAGUAAGCAUCGACAAGUACGAAGAGGUUUGCAUUACUUUAUGACAAGCUUUUUCUGUGUAAGAAGUACUGUUCACAAAAUCGGUGGAUGGCUCCAAUAAGGAAAUCAAAGAAGAUGAAGAAAGAUUCAAGCAAGUUGAAGAAAAUCAAAGACAUAAACAACAAACACAAAUCCAUCAACAUUCACAACAAAGCCACUGAAUGCGAUUGGUGGGAAUGUUUCUGGAGCAAGAAUUCACCAACCCCAGGUAGGUCCCCCUUUACUUCUUGGUCCCCUUUUACUUCUUUCUCCCCAAAUCUCCAUUCUUUUACUGCAUUUUUUUAGCUUUUUUAUUUUUUUUGCUAAUUGAAUUGUGUUUUUAGCAUUUGAGUUCCAGCACUGUUCAAGAAUUAACUAUAGUUAUGUAAGACUUUAGUUAGAAGUCAAUUGGGAUGUUGGUAAAUGUCAAGAUUGGAGCUUUAAGCCUAAUUGUCAAGAUUGGAGCUAUGAUUUUUAACUGGAAUCAAUUUUUUUUUUUUAUUUUUUUUUUAAAAACACAUGAAGAAUUCAAGGGGGUUCAACAUCCGUUUCAAUUGGUUUGUAUGAUUUUGACUUGACACGGAGGUUAAGAAAGUAAAGAAAGAAUUUUUAAUUGUGUGGUUUUAAAUAUGUAUUGUGGAAAGUUGAAAUUAACGAGUUGCCAAAAAAAGGAAAGAGACAUUCCUUUGGAAAGGAAAGUAAAACAAACAAAUUGAAAUGGAGUGAAUAUAGAAGAAUUAUCUUUACCUAUCUAAACAGCGUAAUUUUCCAGUGAAUUGACAUCCCUUUGGACAAGGUGGCUCUGCCACUCUUUGUAGGCGGAAGGGUUGUGUGAAAAUAGUUUGAUAAUUCAUAUUGUCGACUCCAACUUGUUUGGAUGUAAGACAUUAUUGAUUGCUUUUUCUUUAUGUAUGCAUACUUGAAGUCACCUCGUUAAACUAGAAAGAAAAGAAGUCACUUAGUUAAGAUUUUUGUUGGAAAUGAACUCUCCUGCUUGGAGUUUAAAAGUCUAAUUUAUUCUAAAACCUAAAGUAGUGAAGUCCAAGGCAAUGCAAAUGUAGUCAAGGCCAGAACUUUUACAUUUAAAACAUUUUGUGGCGGGAUCUGUUAUCGUUAGUAUAUUAGGUAUUCAUUAUUAGGUUUAUAAUGCGGUUGUUGUCCAUGUGUCCUUCUUAGCAAAAUGAAGGUUUUCCCGCUUGAUUGAUCCCUAACUUUCCCCCAAAUAAGCUAGUUUGAGUGGGUUCAAUAGACUGGAAUUGUCUGCAAGGAUAUUUUAUGUAACAACAAUCCUUGGUUCCCGUCUUAUUCCUUUUUUUUUUUGCAUCUUUUUUCUAUAAGAUCUUUUGAAAUUCGUUUUUUCUUUUCUUAUUUUGGUCUGUACAAUGAAGGGAUUAGCUAACGCCUAUACCUAUUAUAUCCUGCAGGUUCUGGUGUACCUUGUGAUGAAGAGGAAGGUUUCAAGUAUUAUUUCCGUGUUUCCAAGAGUACUUUUGAUUACAUAUGUUCGCUUGUAAGGGAGGACCUUAUCUCAAGACCUCCUUCAGGUCUGAUAAACAUCGAGGGAAGGCUUCUUAGUGUUGAGAAGCAAGUUGCGAUUGCAAUGAGAAGAUUGGCUUCUGGUGAAUCCCAAGUUUCAGUUGGGGCAUCAUUUGGAGUCGGGCAGUCCACUGUGUCUCAGGUUACCUGGAGAUUCAUCGAAGCAUUGGAAGAACGUGCAAAGCAUCAUCUUAAGUGGCCAGAACCUAGUAAGAUGGAGAUGAUCAAGUCUGAGUUUGAACGAUCAUUUGGUUUGCCUAACUGUUGUGGAGCAAUUGAUGCAACCCACAUCGUAAUGACCCUUCCUGCUGUUGAAACCUCAGAUGAUUGGUGUGAUCAGGAAAACAAUUACAGCAUGCUUUUGCAAGGUAUCGUGGACAGUGAGAUGCGUUUUUUAGACAUUGUGACAGGAUGGCCUGGGGGCAUGACCACUUCAAGGCUGUUCAAGUGCUCUGGAUUUUACAAACUCUGUGAAAAUGGUGAUCGUUUAAACGGAAAUGUAAAAGUGGCUUUUGAAGGAGCAGAAGUUAGAGAGUACAUUCUAGGAGGAUUUAGUUACCCUCUUCUUCCAUGGCUCAUUACACCUUAUGAAGGUGAUGACCUCUCGGAUCCCAUGCAAGAUUUUAAUGCGGUGCACGCCACUGCAAGUUCAGUUGCAGUAAAAGCUUUCACACAAUUGAAGGGAGGUUGGAGAAUCCUUAAUAAGGUUAUGUGGAGACCUGAUAAACAGAAACUCCCUAGUAUCAUCCUCGUGUGUUGUUUACUUCAUAAUAUUAUCAUUGAUUGUGGAGACAAAUUACACCCUGAUGUUGCCCUAGCUGGCCAUCAUGACCCGGGAUAUAAGGGACAGAGCAGCAAGAAGAUCGAAUCAACGGGAAGAUUAAUGAGGGAAAAUUUAACUAAACACAUACAGGUUACCAAAAAAGAUGGUUCGAUGUAGAUGAUUGUCUAACAGUGCAUGUGAAAAAUAGAUGGCCUUUUCAAAGACUUCUGUUUCAGAGUUCAGACCAUGUUGUCGAUGUAAAUGGAGUUCAGGUACAAGAUCUUUCUGAAUGUAGAAAAGGUGCUUCAUGGUCCUUGAAUAUAUGUAAAGACUUACUUCAUACCUAACAGUUUCACAUGUCAUUUAGGUAAAAAAAUUUCUACAUUAUUCUAAUCAUCACUGUUUUUCUUUUCUAUUGUGACAUGUAGCCUCUCCUAGAUUAUCUCCAUUUAACUUGAGACUUGAAUCAGCUGUUAGUAAGGAUGAUUUAAGGAUGGUGAAGCGUUUAGAUGCUUAAUCUUUAGUGGUGUACUGCAUAUCUCUUUAUGGAAAAGGUAAAGAGGAUAGAGGGAAAGAAAAGGUCUUUCCGAAAUAAUUCUUGUCACAGGAAAAAGUAAGUUAUGUAAAGUGAAGAAUUACCCUUGUUUCAUCCGACAUUCUAAGCGCCUUGAAAUAUAGGCAAUUGAGUGACCCAUUUCCAGACUUGCCCGAUUUCUGUAGGGAUAUAUGAUAUGUUAAAUCGCAUCUAAUUGUUUGAUGUGCAGCAAGACUCUAAUUUGAUUCAAUAUAUACCUAAUGUGACUUUUCACUUUAUAUGGCCUCGUAAAGGUAUAAACUCUUAGAAGUGCUUUCGAUAGUGAUUAGUGUUGGUUUAAGAAUACUUUUUAGUAAUAGCUGGCUCUUUAUAAGUUACCAAAUGCAAUCACCUCUUCGUAGCUCAGAGUCUAUUGUUAGCCUAUCUUUAUGUUUUCGUCUCUCUCCCCGAAGUGGAUGUAUCUGCGUAAUGCCUGAUAAUGAGUCAUGGCAUAACCAUGAGACUAGUAUGUAGUACUUGUAAUUUCUUAGAACUCCAAUAUGAUAAAGCAAUCAAAUAUACAAGUCACAGGUGGAAAAUUAAAACCUGGCUCCCAGAUAACAGAUUAAUACAAAACUAAUUUAUUUAAGCUAGUUGAAAUAGUCAUAGAACUUGUUGAGACUGGGUUAAUAGGAUCUGUUGAUCAAAGUGACUAGAUAAGGAAGAAAUCCAGGGGCAGAUGUAGAGUAUUGUUUGCGGGUUCCCGGAACCCAGUAACUUUCGUACGGUUCUUGAAUUUAUAUUGAAAAAACUAGUAAAUAUAUAAGAAUUAUAAGUUGGGAACCCACAAACAAAGCGUGUUAUUGGUCUAGUGAUAAAGAAUUAUAAGUUGGGAACCCACAACCUUUAAAUUCUAGAUCCGCCUCUGGAAAUCUUAAUGUGAAUAACCUAAGUCGCAUAGGAUUUUGUCGCGUAAUAACUUAAGUAAUUGUAGCAAGUGAAUGAACAUCUUUUACUAUGUGAUAACCCAGUGAAGGCGGCUAGUCACAUAGUUGAUAAGAGAACACAGGGGAGAACUAUCAAGCGAGCAAGCAACCACUUAAGCAGUAACAAUAAGGUGCUAAGUUUUGAGGGAACAAUUAGGAGCUAGCAUGCCGUGAAAGUUGUUUAGGUCCAGGUCCCUAGUUAUAGGUAGUUAUUUUGUACGUAAAUUGUGCAUUAUCCAUGCAGUACAAACACAUAUUCAGCUCCUUUGGUUAAACUUAAUUCCUUUCUAUUCUUGUAUAAAUUUCUUUAGAUUCUUAAAAUUUAUGUCUCUUUACAUCCCAAGCAUUUAUAACCUUACUUGCCUUAAUGCAAUAUCAAGAAUAUUCACUGCUGGGAUCUUCUGUGAAGUGGUCCUAGGAAUCUAUAUCGAGGGAGUAGAGUCCCCUUGUAACCUUGUCAAUACUCGUCCCCUGAAUUUGUUUUUGCAAAUCAUUAGUUUAUGACUUCCAACUGCCACAACUCAUCCAACUCAGGUGAUUCAUUGAAUUUUUUCCGACUCAUUCUCUAGCAUACGUCCAAUACAACAACUUAUCAAAAUUCCUCGAAGGUUCUCUUCAGAAGUUACCUACUUCAAUCUGCAUGAAACUUGAGAUUUGGCAGAAACCUUUCUAAUUUAGAGCCCCAAUUGGGGAAUAAAACUGCAGUUCAGAUUUUUGUGUUCUUCUCAUCAAAUGCAUAACCAGUAGUUAGGCUUUACCAUUCGUCUUCUGGCUUCAACAAUUUCAGCUCAUCACUGCCACAAGAUGGAGGACUUUUUUUCUCUCCCUUGGUGGUUACCUUGCCAUUGAUAAAUGAACAAUCAGCAUGGGUGUUAACAACAAAAUGCACUCUCUGUCGAAACACAUUAGUGGUGUUCUUAAGCCUAUGGUGCAGAACGAGCUAUAUUUUACCAGAUAAUUUUUAGUGAAGAGAUCGGUUAUUUUGAUCUCGGGAAAGAAUACUAUGGUGAUUGAUGUGAAACCGAAAGUAUUUCAGUGUAAACAGUGGUAGUCAUGGAUUUAUAGAACUUCUUGCAUGGGCCAAAGAUAUUGAAUAUACAUAAAACUGAUCCUAUAAUUAAAAACUAAACCUUUUCUAAUUCUGAGAAAAAUGAAAAUGAAAUCUAAAGUUCCUCAUAUAUUGCAGGUAAAUAAAAGCUACAAAUGGGUAUACAGGUGAUAAUCAUUCUUUAAAUAGGAGCACAUUAUUUUACAAAAUGUGGGAGAGAAAUAAAACCCCUUCCAGUUUAUUCUAUGGAAGAGCACUGCAGCAAAAUCUUGACUUCUUUAAGCCAAAAUCUUUACAAAUUAGACGCACGCAUGAGCCACUAAAACAAACACUGUUUGAUAAUACUAAUAACUAAUUUGAAGUCAAACAUGGUUGCUCCAUUUCUGGGAUUCACCAUCUUCUGAAGUUUUUGGUUUACAGGAGUGAAGCAUGUAGCUGCAUGCUUCCACUGCUUCCCCUACUGUUAGGAACAUCCAUUCUUGUCCUAAUGUCUCUGUGAAUUUCGACUUGUUCAACUUCUUCAUCACCUCUGCUCCUGGAUUCGCCAAAACUAGCUGCAAAGCCACAAAAAUCACACCUUAUGUUAGAGACAUGAAAAUAAGACGCUAACCUUGAGAUCUCUUCUAUCAAGAUUUUUCUUGACCUCUUCGAACAUGCUAAUUCCGCUUGUAUCAAUGUUACCUACAGCUGCACAUCAAAGAAUUUAAGCUGUCAGUUUGUCAACUGUAUAUAUAUUUAGGCACCCAAAGGUGUGGCCUAGUGGUCAACAACAGAGGCAGAGGCAGAACCAUUAGGUGAUUCUUCCCAUCUGUCCUAGCCUUUGUCUACCUAGUAUCUGUUGUUGUUGUUGUUGUUGGGAGGUGGUAGGUAUCCCGUGGAUUUAGUCGAGGUGCGCAAAAGCUGGCCCAGACACCACGGUUAUCAAAAACAAAUGUAUAUGUAUUUACCGUUUUUUCGAAUAAAUAGAUGCAACACAAUUUGACUAACCUCCCGUAUCAAGUAUAACAUACUGCAAAGUUGUUUCUCCUGAAGAUUUUAAAUUGUCUUCCUCGUCGUCAAUCCACCUUGAGAUCCUGUAUAUAAGAAGGAAAUUGAAUCAACCCAUAAUUACUAUUUGCAUAAAGAGAUGGUAGUUAUUUGUAUACGAGUUUACCUUCUAUAUACUAACAAUGUAAAAUAACUUUUUAACUCUACUAGAUCAUAGUACAUGUAACUGUCCGUAAUGAGUGAAACUAGUAAUUUGAAUAUUACGUUGUCAGUGCAUGCAAGUUAAAUUCUUUGUAGAUAAUUUACCUCUCUUAAAUAGCUCGAGUUAGUGAAGUAAAUAGGUGCUCCAAUGUCAAGUAUGAGAACUUUGUGUUUGGAUAUUGCUCCACAUUUCUAUAGAUCAUAGAAUUGGGGAUAUUACCAAGUACUAAAGUCCUUGGCCUUGCUACAGAAAGUAACACCCUUAGCAAUGAUAAACCAACCUGCAUUUGUAUUGAAACAACAAUUUAUAAGUCAAUUUGAAUUUCAAACUCUUUUUUAAGUUGAUUAAAUACAUUAGAAAGGAGUACUUACAGCCAUGACCAAGCCAAUUUCAAUGUUGCCAAAGACAACACCAAUGUAUGCACUCAUGCAAACCAAGAAGUCGAAUUUGUCGACAUGCCAGAGAUGAAUGGCAGCAUUAUAGUCGAUGAGGCCGAGCAUGGCAGCGAUUAUAAUGGACGACAAGACAACGAGGGGAAUGAAGUGGAACAAUGGCGUUAACAGCAUCAACGUCACCAUCACAGCCAACGUCAUAACAAUAUUUGAUACUGCAGUUUUGCAUCCUGCGUUGAAGUUCACCGCUGUUCGCGAGAAUGGCCCUGCACGUAAUGUUAACAGCGCGCUAUCUUAAAUCCUAAUAUGUAAAAAGAGUUUUAACUUCUAUACGCUACUAGCCUUGACGUUAUGGUUUUAACGGGUCAACAAGGAAAGCAAUGACAUAUUCACACAUUUUGUUAAGGAAUCGAAAAAGCUUCCUAUACGUUUUUAAGGUUUGGGGUUAUUGUUCUAUCUACAUCCAUCCCGAAGAGUCAUUUUCACAAAUUUAAUUGUAAAUGUGUUAAAUACUUAUACAUAUAAAAAUGCGAUAAAAAAGAUGCAUGGUCGUUUUCACUUUAUUACUAAGGUGGAAUGAAAUGAUCCACCAAUUAAAAAAGUAGAUAAAAUUAUCUGAUAGUUUAUCGGUGGAAGGUAGCAAGUAUCAAAUGAAACUACUCAGACAUGAGUGGCAGGUCCCGGGGGUUUCGAUCAGGUCAUAUGAUCAGUAAUCACAUGGGACGGGCCCAAGUGGGACAAGAAGUGAUAGUAGUCCAAAUCAAAAUCAACUUUCGGCCCAAAGGAUAAUAAAAGUGAAAAAAAAGAUAAUGACCAGGUUAGAACUCAAAAUUAUGAUACGCGUGGUGCAGUGGAUGAGGCUGCUCCUUUCUUAACUAGAGGUCUCAGAUUCGAGCUUUGGGUAUGAAAAAACAAAUCCUUGGUAGGAAGCAUUUCCCUCCGAAUGGGCCCUACGCGGCGUGAAUCCAGAUUAUUAGGGCUUCAAUGUGGGUACCGGACACCGGACGAGAAAUAAAUAAAAUAAAAAAAAGGACUCAAAAUAUGAUAUUGAUAUGUUUGUAUAUAGCAACAUACAUACCAGUAGUAAGGUAGCAAGAGGUGCAGGAGCCAACAAUGUUCAUCAUCCCAAAAGCAAUCAUCUCUUUAUUACCAUCUGUAUGGUAAUUCUUGAACAUUGCAAAACUUCUCCCUACUGCUAUUCCUUCCUAUAAAAGUAAUUUUAUGUAUCAUAUAUCAAAUUAUUUAAAAGAUAAGUACAAAAUAAUCGUAUAUAAAAUCGAAUAGGUAAUUUUGGAAACAAGGCAUGCAUGUUACCAAUGGUAAGUUUAUCUAAUUUUUUUUCCCUUAAUAGUAUUUAAGUGGUGUUGGUAUAUAUUGUCACAAUUCGACAUGUUAGAAUGUUUGGGUUUACAUUGCUUACUGUCUCAAAUUGAUAUUUAUUUUUGCUUGUAUUUAUUAAUAGAUUUGAAGUUAUAUUCACAGAUAUCAUAUUUUUUCACUAUGAUCAGUAUGAUAAAGCCAUUUACAGGAUAUUAUAACUCUAUAUUUCAAGUUACUAUAUAGACUUGUUAUGAAAGGAGCUUACAAGCAAGAGCAAUGACACCCGUGACUAUGCCAGUUUUGAUAGCAGUUGUCAAAUAUUUCGAUCCAAAUGACAGAUCCAUUAUUGAUGGAGGAUUUAUCCCUUUCUUCAGCUCUCCAAUCUGUUUCCAUUUUUUAAAUAAAAUUAUUCACAUAAGAAUCCAAUUAUUCCACAUAAUGGAUGAUGACAUAACACAACCACAAUUGUUACUGCAGUCACUUUUAGAAAUAAGAAUAUUUAGAUAUAGUUAUCUUAAUAGGUUUGAACUUUGAAGUCCGAAAGUCGAAACAUUUAAUUUCGAGUUUUUUACUAUGAUAAAUUCAGAUACAGAUUCUUCAAAAAUCUACGAAAAAUAUUCAUACACGAAAACUAUUAUAAGUCAUCAUAGUUGAUAAUUUGACGAAUUUAAAUUUUAUGCAUCAUUAGUGUACAAAAUAUUUUAUACUAUCAGGUAAAGUUGAUUUACUAUUGCAGGUUAACUAAUUUUUUCUUUUUUUCAUUUUUAUGUAAAUAAUUGGAUAACUUGCAAUAACAUGUCAAGUUAACUGAUAGUGUAGAAUAUUUUGUAUACUGACCGAUGCAUAGAAUUUAAAACUCUAAUUUGAAAUCCUUUCUUAAAAAUAAAUAAAUUAUAUUUGAUUCUCAAAGCAUCAAUGACGGAACCAGAAUUUUUACUAAGAAUUUUCAUAAAUGAACAUCAUAUAAGCUAAUCGAAAAGGGUUCAAUAUCUAUAAUAGAUACAUAAAACAUAAUUUUAAUCAUACUAUAUAUAACAUAAUUUUUCACUAAAAGGGUUCAGAUGACCCCCUAGCCGAGGGUAGCUCCUCCCCUAAGUAGCACCUUGAAAUGAGAUAGAGGAGUGUGUCAUUUCUUUUUUACUGUUUGCGUAUGCAAGUAAAGUUAAUCUCUUCGCAAAAAGCGGCCACACUGAAGUGUUCAUCUUCGAUUGGUGACGGAAUCAGAAUUUUUAUUAAGAAAAUUUAUAAAUGAACAUAAAAACUAAUCAAAGGAAUUUAAUAUCUACUAUUGAUAUAAAUGAAAAAAUAAUUUUAAUCAUAUAUAUAUAUAUAUAUAUAACUAUUGAUAUAAAUUAUAUAUAUAUCAUAAAUUUUUGCAAAAGAAAAAAUUUGAUCAACUUGCAGUAUAUUUGUACUACAUUGAAACCCGUGACUGACAAGACUCAAAUUAAAACUUCUCAUUUCACUAUUUGUUACUCCCUCCGUCUCAUUUUAUGUGACAUUUGAUCUGAUACGAAAUUUAAAAAAUAAGAAAAGACUUGGUAAGGUUUAUCAAAUUAUCCUUUAUAAAAAAAUGUAUCAAUAUCUUUUUUUUAAUUAAGUGAGACCAAUAAAAGUAAAAGAAUAAUUGUGCCUUUAAAAAGUUGUCAAAUAAGGAAAGACAAUACUUAUUUUGAGACGAAUUAAAAAAAAUAAUAACACAUAAUUUGAGACGGAGGAAGUAUUUUUUUUUUUUUUUUUUUUUUUUUUUUUUUUUUUGUAUUUGAGUGUUUCCAAUUUAUAUAAGGACAAACAACUACAGCUAUCAAUCAGAAGUGUCUUGUUUCAUAUCUAUCAUAUACUGAUAAUGAAUAUGAACAACUAAUGUCGUAGAAGUAUCACCCCUAACCAAUUAGAAUUAAGUUGUUUUAUUCAUGUUUUAUGCACUUACUUACACAUGAAUAUGAUAGUAACUAAGUAAGGUAACUUGAACCAUAACAUGUUAAAUUGACAGUGUAUAUAAAUUAAAUCGAACUAAAAGUCUUACCACUUUAACAUCAUAUUUUUCAGCAUGUGUUAUAUAAAUAAUAAUCAUUCCCAAUAUGACAGAUGUUAACAGCGUUAUCGUCGAUAACCAAAACAACUUCGGUCUCUUUUGACUCUGCAUAAAUGCGGAAUGCCCAUUAAUAAAUUAAUAUCAAAUUAUAAUUAUGAAUAAAUUUUAUGAUAACAAAAUAUAAAAUUAAACAUUUUUAUUCUUUGACGAAAUUAAGGAAAGUUUGCUUCAAUUUGUUGGCUCUUUUCGGAGUAGGAGUAGGUUAAGUAACAAUAUAAAAUUUUAAAAGUGACAAUAUUUUUUUGGGAGAUUUGCAAUGUCUACCAAAAAGAAAAAUAUUAGUAUUUGGCAUUGCAAGUUUAAAAGAUUUCCACUUUUAGUAGACUGCUUUUGGCUUAUGGAUAUAUAAUUAUAGUGUUCCCAUUCCAAAAUGUCAAAGUCAGUUUGAGUAUGCUUACUAAAAAUUUGGCAAGCAUCAAGUAGAAAAGGAAACAAAAUCCCAGCACUGCACUUUCCCAUCGCCACUGCAAUUAUUUUAUAUGAUCAAUAAUUGAACCAUUAGUAUUGUAUUCAAAGAAAGUAUUAAUUACUAACACAUACUAAGUGAACAGACAAUAAUAUAUAACUAAUCUAGAACGUGUACUACUAUUUAAGAAUCACUUUAAAUCAACUCAAGUCUAUUUCUACACUAAAGUGCUUUGAUUCGAUAAUGAAAAUCUAAUUGAAAAAUGUAAAGGAAAAGGGUAUAUUUCUAUUAAAAGUAAAUACUUUAAGCAAUUCUCUAAACUUUUAAGUUUUAAGAAAAAAGGGAAGAAAGAAUCAACAUCUAACUAAAGGAUACUUAUGAGACAUAUUUUGCAAAUUAGCAAACCAUGUGCUUGUUACAAAAUAUACUUAAAAUUUUUUAAGUGAUCUAAUAACGUAAAUUUGUUUCAAACUAUGAUAUUGCUGUAUUUAUGUUCAAAAUCUCUAGAACGUAACUCAAAAAAUUGCAUUUUUUAGAAUCAAGCAACCUCAUAAACUCAAAAUCUUAGCUCGGAUUAAACUGUCUACCAUGAAUAUGUGACAUGUGACAUGAAAGAGAAAGAGAGGGACCUGAUGAGUUUGAGAAAAGACAGAGAGAUAUCAUCAGUGGCAUGAGUGAAAUGUUGAAGACCAAGUACUCCUUUUAAUUGCUGCAAUAUCACCACUGCUGCUGCUCCUCCCAUAAAUCCUACUAUUGUUGCAUGUGAUAAAAAAUCCACUAUAAAUCCCAGCCUUCAAUUUCAUUAAACAAAACAUUCAUUAAUUAUCAACAACUUAUAAUAAGGUCAUUCUACCAAUUAAACUUAUAUGGAUGUUGAAGAGAUUAGUCAGUUAGGUUGUUAUAGUUUGUUAGAAAAGAGAGUGGUGUACAGCUGGUGUACAGCUGUCAAGUUAGUGAAGUUGGAUGUUAGUGGAGUCGGUUAUUUUUCUCUAUAAGUUGCAAUUGCAUCACUAACAUUGUAAUCAGAAUUAGAUGAUUUUCAAUCAAUAAGGCUUGUUCAUUCCUCUAAGAACCAUAUCAACGAACUUGGUCCAACAGCUCUAGGGAUUUUAUCAUGGUAUUAGAGCAGUGAUCCACGAGCUGCUGCAGCUAUGCACCGGAGUAUCAUCAACAAUGGCGGACAAUACCACCUCUUCACUCAAUUCGCAGAACCCAACAGAAAUGGCAACGCAAAUUGAUUUCCAUCAUCUUCUAUAUCUGCAAAAUUCUGAUACACCUGGAUUGGUGUUAAUUGGCAUCAAGUUAACAGGACAUGAGAAUUACACAUUGUGGAGCAAAUCGAUGCGAUUGGCCUUGCUAGGGAAAAACAAGCUAGGUUUCGUGGAUGGCAGUUGUACAAAAGCUCAGUACAGUGACGAUUUGGGGAAACUCUGGGAACGAUGUAAUGCGAUUAUUCUGAGUUGGAUUGGAGUUACUGUUUUUCCGGAUUGGUUUCUAGCAUAGUGUAUGUGUUUGAUUCAAAAAAGGUUUGGGACGAAUUCAAGGAAAGGUUCAAUAAAUCAAAUCUCACUAGAAUAUAUCAACUCUGAAAGGAUAUAGCUACUCUAACUCAAGGUACGGACUCAGUCGCUGCUUACUAUUCCAAAAUACGAGAUUAUUGGGAUAAGAUAGAUGCCUUAGUACCAGUGGUAGGCUGUAGUUGUGAAGGAUCUAAGGCUUCCACUGAAAUGCUGAGAAAUCAAAGGUUGUUGCAAUUUUUUAUGGGGCUAAAUGAAAUUUUCAAUCAUGUUCGAAGUGAUAUUUUACUGUGCACCCCUGUCUUGACGGUCAAUCAGGCAUAUACACUAGUAGUGCAAGAAGAAAGCCAAAGAGGCAUGGGUGCUGGUAGCAAACAAAUGGAUUCCAUCACCUUAAUGGCUGGAGGUGACCACAGAUAAAAGGGAUCAACAUUCAACCAGUCUAAACCUGCUUCUACUUCAAAUCAGACCACAUAUAAGAAGCCACUUUUUCCUGCAGGUUGUGCUCAUUGUGGUUACAGAAACCAUUUAACAGAGGAUUGCUAUAGAGUUGUGGGAUAUCUACCUGAUUUCAAAAGUAAAAAGAAGGGCCAGUAUAGUUCCACUAAAGUCUAUGCCCUAGGUAAUGCUGUGGAUGCAGAAAUUGAACUUGUUUCUUCAGGAGAAGGGAGGUACAUAUCUGAGGAACAAUAUCAACAAUUCAUCACAGCAAGUUCCAGUAACACCUCAAGCAGCAACAACACUAACAACACUAACAAUACCUCAGGUGAUUUUCAGGCUAAUAUGACAGGUAUACUUGCACAUUCAUCCAGUAUUUUUUCACAUGAGUGGAUAAUUGAUUCUGGUGCAUCUCACCAUAUCACACCAUAUAAAGAGUGCUCGUUUAAUUCCUAAAAACUUGAGGGUUGUGAGAGAAACAAGGUCCAAGUACCUACAGGAGGUAGAUGUGAAGUUACACAUAAAGGAACCACUAUCAUACUGAGAGAUCAUAGGCUUAAGAAUAUUCUAUAUGUUCCUGAUUUCAAGUACAACUUGUUGUCAGUGUCAAAGAUGACAAAAGAUCUUUGCUGCUUAGUAUGCUUUUACCCAGAUUUUUGUGUUUUCCAGGACCUUUACUCUGGCAAGGUCUUGGGGAUCGGUAGAGAAAACAAUGGUUUGUACUUGAUGAAGGAUGAUGCAUCCAUACAUCCUGUAGUAGGCUCAAAAAUUCAUAAAGAAGUUGAUGGUGCAAUGUGGCAUAUGAGAUUAGGCCAUCCAUCCAUCAAUAUUCCAAGUUGCAUUUCCAUUGUUUAGAAUGGAAGAGAAGCACACAAACUAUGUGGGAUAUGCCCAUUAUCCAAGCAGACAAGGUUACAAUUUCCUGUUAGUAACUCACAUUCUAAUAGCAUUUUUCAGUUGAUACAUGUUGAUGUAUUGGGUCCUUUUAAGGUUCCUACUUAUGACAGAAAACAUUAAUUUGUCACCAUUGUUGAUAACUAUAGUAGAUAUGCGUGGACAUGUUUGGUUCAGUGUAAGUCUGAAGUGAUUAUUGUUCUGAAAGAUUUUUUGUUGAAAGUAAAGAAUUAGUUUUGUACUACUGUGAAGACAUUAAGAUCAGACAAUGGUAGAGAGUUUUUCAAUUCUCAGUGUUCUGAUUUACUUUCAUCCUUGGGCAUUAUUCAUCAAAGUUCUUGUCCAUACAUACCCCAACAAAAUAGGAUGGUGGAGAGAAAACAUAGACAUAUUCUUGAAGUAGCUAGAGCUCUUAAAUUUUAGAGUUCUAUCCCUAACAAGUUCUGGGGAGACUGUGUUAUGACUGCAACAUAUCUUAUAAAUAAACUGCCUACACCAAUUUUGUAAGGAAAGUCUCCUUAUACAAUUUUAUAUAAGAAACCUUUAGUAUAUGAUCACUUAAGGGUCUUUGGUUGCUUAUGUUUUGCAUCUACUUUACCUAAAGGAGAUAAGUUUGAACCAAGAGCUAAAAGAGCAGUUUUUAUUGGUUUUUAUUGGUUAUUCUGAGACUCAAAAGGGAUAUAAGUUAUUUGAUCUUCAGCAGAACACAUGUUGGGUCAGUAGAGAUGUGGUAUUUAGAGAAGACAUCUUUCCUUUCAAGGGAAUCACAUAUAAAAGAACCACUAUUUUUUAUGUUCCACACUCUGUCAAUGAUCAUCAUCAUCCUGACCCUACUCCAAUACCUAUGCCUGCAUCAUAUGCCCCUAUAUAUGAUGAUCCUGCUAGCUCUUCUGGUGUGCCAGAAGUUGCAGAUAAUAUGCAACAUUCCACAGUUGAAGCUGAUGAAGUGCCACCAGUGGAACAUUUAUUUUCACCUGUUCCACAACCAACAGACUUGAGAAGGACAACAAGGAGUGCCAAUCCGCCAAUAUGGUUAAAGGAUUAUGUAACCACUAAAUCUGGUGGUAAGUUUGGAAGUGUGACCCUUUAUUCUAUCUCAGAUGUGUUAUCUUAUGAUAAUGUCUCACCAGCAUAUCAAGUCUAUCUGCAAGCCUUUUCAUCUCAAAUUGAACCAUAAAAUUUUAAAGAAGCCACAACAGAUGAACACUGGAUUAAGGCUAUGCAGCUUGAAACUCAAACCCUGAAAGAAAAUCAGACUUGGGACCUGGUCCCUCUACCACCAGGGAAAUAUGCCAUAGGUUCUAAAUGGGUAUACAAGAUUAAAUAUAAGGCUGAUCAGAGCAUUGAAAGAUACAAGGCCAGAUUAGUUGUGAAGGGAUACAAUCAAUAGAAAGGUUUGGAUUAUCAUGAUACCUUCUCACCUAUUGCUAAAAUGGUGACAGUUAGAGCUAUGAUAAGCCUGGCAGCCUCCAAGAAGCGGGACAUCUUCCAAAUAGAUGUAAAUAAUGCUUUCCUAUAAGGAGAUCUUUAUGAAGAUGUAUACAUGGAAUUGCCUCAAGGCUUUCAGAGACAAGGAAGUAAACUGGUAUGCAAACUGAAAAAAUCAUUAUAUGGACUCAAACAGGAUUCAAGACAGUGGAAUAUUAAGCUCACAAAUGCAUUAAUUGCUGGUGGCUAUACACAAAGCAUCUAUGAUCACUCACUGUUUAUUCAGAAAUCAGGACAUGAUAUUGUAGUGGUCUUGGUUUAUGUUGGUGAUCUGCUUAUCACAGGGAGUAACUCUACUCUAAUUCAGUAUGCAAAAAACACACUGAAUGAGGCAUUCAAGGUGAAAGACUUGGGCUAGUUAAGAUUCUUCUUGGGAAUUGAAGUACUCAGGUCUGACAAAGGUGUCUUGCUUAACCAAAGGAAGUAUGUGUUGGAGCUGAUCUCACAAAUUGGCCUGAGUGGGUGCAAACUAUCUCCAACACCAUUAGAGGUCAAUAAUAAAUAAACUUCUGUAGAGUAUGACCUCCAAGUUGGUCCAUCUGAUGAUCCUGAAAUAGAUGACAUACUUGGUUAUCAAAAGCUGGUUGGCAAAUUGCUUUAUCUCACUAUUACAAGGCCUGACAUUUGCUUUGCAGUACAAAUAUUAAGACAAUUUAUGCAGAGACCUAAACAGUCUCACAUGGAUGGUGCACUAAGGGUGGUGAGGUAUCUGAAGGGUAAUCCUGGACUUGGAAUUCUACUUAAAGCAGAUGAGAUCACAUCUAUGACUUCCUUAUGUGAUUCUGAUUGGGCAUCUUGUCCCAACACUAGAAGGUCAGUUUCAGGGUAUAUAGUCAUGAUGGGUGAUUCUUUUGUUUCUUGGAAAUCUAAGAAACAAUAUACAGUGAGUAGAAGCUCAGCAGAAGUUGAGUAUAGGAGCAUGGCAGAUGCAACUGUUGAAGUGAUAUGGCUGGCUGGUUUAUUGGCAGAGCUUGGAGUGACCUUAACCAUGCCUGUGAAGUUGUUUUGUGAUAAUAAAGCUGCACUACAAAUUGCUGCUAAUCCUAUUUUUCACGAGAUAACUAAGCACAUAGAAAUCGAUUUUUAUUUUGUCAGAGAAAGAAUCAAAUCAGGUUUGCUGCAACCAGUUCAUGUCCCUUCCAAUAUGCAACUAGCUGAUCUCAUGACUAAAGGACUUCCAGCAGCUCAACAUCAGUUUCUUCUUUCCAAGCUGAGCGUCCUUGAUUUUUUUGGUCACCAGCUUGAGGGGGAGUAAAGAGACUAGUCAGUUAGGUUGCUAUAGUUUGUUAGAAAAGAGAGUGGUGUACAACUGGUGUACAACUGUCAAGUUAGUGGAGUUGGAUGUUAGUGGAGUCGGUUAUUUGUCUCUAUAAGUAGCAAUUGUAUCACUAACAUUGUAAUCAGAAUUAAAUCAUUUUCAAUCAAUAAAGCUUGUUCAUUCCUCUAAGAACCAUAUCAACGAACUUGGUCCAACAACUCUAGGGAUUUUAUUAGAUGUGAUUUGGCAACAAUAAUAGAAGUAGAAUUUAAGUUCAAUGGAGAGAUAAUAUAUCAUAAACACAUACCUAGAACUUAGAAGGCCGACGUACACUCCACCCUUCCCACUUCUCAUACUCCACUUGGUGAAAUUAGACUGGAUUUCACUAUGUCCCUCACAAGCACGUAGAAGUAAUUCUUUUUGUAUAAUGGUUGAAGGUGAGAUUAUUAAAACUCAGGAUCUCUAUAUGCUUUUUGUUAGAGUUGUGACCUGAAUUAUGUUGAGCCGGCCCUGAAAGUUUCGUUGUGCGACCCAUAUUUGUGAUUUUCAGUGAGGUCUGUGGUCGUAGCAUAAAGGUAUGAACCUUUAUGUUUUUGGACCAAGGACUAAUUUGUAUGCACGUAUUAUAUAAGUAUAUUUAGUGGGUUAUUUUGUGUAUUCAGAAAAUACUCAUUCUCUACAUUUUACUCCUCUUCUUUCAUUAUAAUGAAACAUCCUCUGCCUUUGCCCGUGGUUUUUCCCGCAAGAAAUUUCCACAUAAAUUUGUGUGUUCUUAUUUAUUAUUUUGCUUAUGGUUUGCUUUAUUUCUGCUGAUUUAUAACACUUUUAAAUCCUAUUGAACUUUGUGAGCCUACAUGAAAAAGCCAAGAACAACUUCAAAUAAUCCAUUGAAGAAAGUGGCAGUAAAAGCAAGAUGAAGAUAAAGUGUUGGAUUUUUAGCUGCGUUAACUUCAUUUCCCAACAUAGAAGCCAUGAGAAGAGAUCUAACUGCAACUAUUCCCACUGCUAAAUCUCUUGAACUUCCCAUUAAUACGUACACUAAUGGCGGAAUAAAGCUUGAAUCUGUACAACAAAAAAAACGUAGUAAUUAAGUUGCUAUAAUUUUAUGAGUUUGCAUUCAUGUCUAGGCUAAAAGUUAUUGGUUCAUUUGAAUUCAUAACUAUUACACUAGAUUCGUCCUGGUGAUACGUGACUAGUCACCAGCAAAAGUGUUUGAUUUGACAAAAGUCAUUUUCUUGGAAUAUAUUGUCUGGUAGCUGAACAUUAUAAAGUGAACGUCACGUACGUAAAACUUUCAUGAAAAAUAACUUUGGUCGUACCAAACAGUUUUACUAAAAAUAAACCUGAUCACUUACAGAGGCCAAGUAUAGGUGGCAAGUUCCCCAACUUAGCAUAAAUUAUUCCCUGAGGAAUAGCAAGACUAGCAAUAGUAAUUCUAGCAAUAAGAUCUGAUUUGAAGAACCCAAAAUUGUAACGAGAACCCCAUUCAAAAAUUGGAAAAAAAAUUGAACCGCAAGUAUGAAUUUUCUAAAGGGUGUUUGGUUCUUGAAUUUCCUAAGUGGAUCAUCUGGAAAUAAAGUUUCCUUCACAGUUGUUGAGAUUAUUGAAGAAUCAUGUAAAGUUUGAUUAGCUGGUAGAUUAGAAUAUUUAAUUAUGCUGUUAGUGGUAGUUAGUUAGCUGACUAGACUUAGUUAGUUAGAUAGUUGUUGACAUCUGGCAUUUACACAUACUUGUAUAUAUGUUGAUUUUGCAUUCACGGAAUAGAGUUAGUUACCAUUUCACAAAUUAUCUUCUUGUGAUCUUCUCUCAGUUCUCUCUCUCAAUCAAAGCUCAAGGUUAACUGCACAACAAUGACAAAUUUCAGUUUAUUGUCUUCAUAAAUCCUCAACUUUAACAUGGUAUCAGAGAAAUUUUGAUCCUGAAUUUUGCAUUUUUCUUUAGCAUUUCUUACUGCUCUGUUAGUAUAUUUGAUCUUUUGGGUUUUUUGAGUUGUUUUUUUGGUGUUACUUUCUGCUUCACUAGUGUUGGUGAUAUUGUUGUUCUUUCUCUCAUUGCGUCUUCAAAGUGUUUGCUUUUUUGUCACUUCUAAUGGUGGAUAAUGAAGCCAAUCCUCCUACUCAAGCGAGUCGAGAAACUAUCGACUUAACUAAUCCCUUGUAUAUGCAUCCCUCUGAGAAUUUAGGAGCAACACUGCUUCCUGGUAUUUUUGAUGGCACGGGGUAUCGGUCAUGGAGGAGAGGUGUACUUCGUGCCUUGUCAGUCGAAAAUAAAACUGGUUUUAUCAAUGGCAAAUGUCCAAAACCACCAGAGGAUUCUUCAUUUUUUAGUCAUUGGGAGAGAUAUGAUGACAUGGUGACUUCGUGGCUCUUUAAUUCUCUAUUCAGAGACCUAGCAGAUAGUUUACAAUAUGUCGAUAAUGCUCAAGAGCUUUGGCAGGAACUCGAAGACAGAUAUGAUCAAACGAAUGGGGCUAAGUUGUAUCAACUGUAGAAAGAGAUUAAUGACCUUUCUCAGGGUUCUUUAGACACCACCAACUACUACACUAAAAUGAAGAAACUAUGAGAGGAAUUGAGUGCACUCACUCUGAGUAAUAGCUGCACAUGUCAAUGCACUUGUGGUGCUAAAGCAGUUGUGCAUAAGGCUAAACAGGAUCGACGACUAAUACAAUUUCUCAUGGGGCUCAAUGAGAUGUACACACCUGUGCGAGGGAGUAUUUUAAUGAUGAAUCCCCUUCCUAGCAUUGCACAAGCCUUCUCCAAUUUGAUUCAGAAAGAGAAGCAAAGGGAAGUUAAGCCUCACACUCAGCUUAGUCUAGAAUCUGCUUCUCUUACCACUCAUGCCAUAGAAAAUGCAGCCUUUAAGACAAAUUAUCAAAACACUAGGAUAGGAAAUACUCAGUACAAUAGCAAACAAUUUGGUAAUCACUAUUCAGGUUCAUCUGGUUCUUCUGGAGGAUAUCCGUAUGGGAAUUUACAUGGUGCAGGUGGCCAUUCUCUGAGUAGAUCUCAUUUGUUUUGUGAUUAUUGCAAGAAAUCUGGUCACACUAAAGACAAAUACUAUAGGUUGCAUGGUUUCCCUCAGGAUUUCAAGUUCAUAAAAAGAAAGAAUUUAGCUUCUGCUGCUAAUGUGUUUGGAGGAGUGCACACUGAUAAUCACACAAAAAAGACUAUUACAGCAGAAGAUCCUAAUUCUCAAGGACUUCAAACCUUAACUAAGGAUCAAUACAGUUAAUUGAUGACCUUAUUGAGCACUUUUCAACAAGGAGAUGCAAUACAUGACAUAAGUGGUAUUUCUAGUGGUGCUACGAACCUUGCAGGUAUAAUUACUUGUCAUUCCUCUAUAAUUGAGAUUUCUGCCUUUCAUGUGCAUGUACCACAUUGACAACUGAUUCCUGGAUAUUUGACUCUGGAGCAUUUCACCAUAUCACAUACAAUAAAACCUUACUGACUAACAUCAGUAGUUUACCCUAACCUUUCCUAGUAAAUUUGCCUAAUGGAUAUAGAGUAAGGGUGACAGAAAUUGGUGACAUCUUUAUAAAUCCAACUUUAACACUGCAUAAUGUUUGGGUUGUGUCUAUUUUUAAAUUUAACCUCAUUUCUGUUCAUUGUUUAGUACUUGAUCUUCAAAGCAUAGUUAGUUUCAGUAGCUGUUUUUGUACCUUGCAGGCCCCUUCACUGAAGAGGACUCUAGAGAUUAGUAGAGCUAACAAUGGUUAUACUAUCUCUGCUCAAAAUGUCACAACAACACAUCAAGAUCUUCUAGCAGACUCAAAUCCUCCAUUCCCAGCUCUUUAAAUACUUGUCUUAGUUUUCCCACUUUUAGUAAACUUGUUUCAUCUUUACUUCCAAUUAUUGUUGUAAAUAAUUCAUGUUCAACUAGUAAAUAAUUCAUGUUCAACUAAUAAAGAAGUCUACUUUAUUUUGAAUCCAAGUCUGUCUUCUGCAUCUCAUAAUAAUAAUGUUGAUAUUUUGUGGCAUCAAAGAUUAGGCCAUGUACCUUUUGCAAAAAUAAGAGGAAUAUCUUCACUACCAGUACCUUUUGCACCAAAACAACCUUUCAUGUGUACCAUUUGUCCAAUGGCCAGACAAAGUAGACUACUUUUUCCACAGAAAUUGACAAUCAGUACCACCCCUUUUGAGCUCUUAUACAUUAAUCUAUGAGGACCUUAUCAUGCUCCAACUCAUGACAACUAUAGGUAUUUUCUUACAUGGUUGAUGAUUACAGCAGGUCCACUUGGACACAUCUUCUAAGUUGUAAAAGUAAUACACUUCAAUCCAUCAAAACCUUUGUGUCUCUUGUAGAAACUCAGUUUUUGACCAAGAUCAAGAUUAUCAGGUCUGAUAAUGGCCUUGAGUUUGUAAAUCAUGCAACUACAUCAUUCUUUCAAGAAAAGGGCAUCAUCCACCAGAAAACUUAUCCAUACACACCAUAAAAUAAUGGUGUGGUGGAAAGAAAACACAAAUAUCUGCUUGAAACUGCAAGAGCACUUUUAUAUCAAUACAAGCUUCCAAUUAGAUAUUGGGGAGAAUGUAUCCUAACUGCUACCUACCUUCCUCUUAUGAACUUCUGUACCAAAAGAAACCUAGUUACUUUUAUUUAAAGACUUUUGGAUGUCUUUGUUUUCCCACCACUCUCAAGGCUCACACAAGUAAGUUUGACCCUAGGACCACUCCAUAUGUUUUCAUGGGAUAUCCUUUUGGUACAAAAGGUUACAAGGUUCUUAGCUUGAGUACAAAAAGGUUACAUAUUUCUAGGGAUGUUGUUUUUCAUGAAAAUGUCUUUCCUUUUUCCUUGUCAUCUCACCAGCCUGCCUGAUGUGGUUCCUUUAACAAAUUUUAAUAUUAAUGCUAGUCACUCUUCUAUCACACCACAUAGUUUUGAUAUACAUGAGUUGGAUUUUAGAUAAAAUUCUCAUAAUGCUGCCCCUGAUCCUAUACCUGCUAGCAACUCUCCAUCAUCACCAGCAUCUCCUCAACCCACUACCUCUCCAUCAUCUUCUCAUAAUCCACUACCUGAUCCUCAACCACAUAUUUCACAACCACAAGCUGAACCUAGAAGAUCAUCUAGAACUCAUGCCACACCAGCCUACCUAUAGGAAUAUUCUUAUUCUUUACCCAACCUACAACCUUCUUCUUCAUCUGUUUCUGCAUCAACAAACAUUGCCACUCAUACCUCUCUUUCACUUACUUCUUUUAGUUCGGAUAGCCAGCAGUUAAUAAGGAAUAUUUCACUUGAAUGUGAGCCAUCCUUAUGAGGAAGCAGUAUUAAAUCCUGCUUGGCAUAUUGCAAUGACACAGGAAUUUGAAGCUCUGUAUGCAAACCAUACUUAGGAUCUUGUCCCAUUACCUACUGGAAAGAGAACCAUUGGUUGUAGGUGGGUUUAUAAGGUUAAACACAAGGUUGAUGGAAAUAUAGAGAGGUUCAAUUCUAUACUCGUGGUGAAAGGAUACACGCGAAAACACAAUGUUGAUUACAGUGAAACUUUCUCACCAGUAGUGAAGAUGACUACUAUAAGAAUUCUUCUCAGUCUAGCUAUAAAGAAAGGAUAGAAACUCCAUCAACUUGAUGUCAACAAUGCUUUUCUACAUGGUGAUUUGCAUAAAGAGGUGUAUAUGGACUCUCCAAAGGGCCUAUUGUUGGAUAAUCCAAACCUUGUAUUCAAGCUAAGGAAAUCCUUAUAAGGUUUGAAGCAAGCUAGUAGGUAGUGGUAUGAAAAACUGGUUGAAUCCUUAUGUUUGCAGGGUUAUUUACAUUCUGCUAGUGAUUACUCUUUAUUUUACAAGAAAACUGAUGGUUACACAGUUUUUGUAGUUGUGUAUGUUGAUGAUGUUAUAGUUACUGGUACUGAUGAGAAGGAGAUACACCAGCUGAAGUUGUUUUUACACAACAAGUUCAAAAUCAAAUAUCUGGGACAUCUACAUUAUUUCUUGGGGUUAGAGGUAUUAUACAGACAUGAUGGAAUUUUAAUUUCCCAGAUAAAAUUUGCCACUGAUUUGUUGAAAGAGUAUGAUCACCUGAACUACAGCAUUACUGCUUCCCCUCUUGAUCCCAAUGUUAAGUUACUGGAAAAUGAGGGAAAGUUGUUGUCUGACCCAACACCUUAUAGAAAACUGGUUGGGAAGCUGAAUUUUCUCACAAAUACUAGGUUGAACCUUGCAUAUAGUGUGCAACAUCUUAGCCAAUUUAUGCAGGCUCCUAGAGAGUCCCAUUACAAAGCUGAUUUACAUGUCCUGAGGUACUUAAAAUCAGAUCCAACCUGGGGUUUUUUCUUGUCAAAUGACCCCAACUACACUCUGUCAGCUUUUUGCGACUCUGAUUGGACUCCAUGUCCAGAUUCAAGAGGGAUAUAUUGUGUUUCUUGGCAAUAGUCCAGUUAGUUGGAAAUCCAAGAAACGAACUACCAUUUCUCUAUCAUCAUCUUGGUGAACUGGUAUGGGUGGAUAGACUGCUGACUGAGUUAACUAUUGUCUCCACCAAGCCUAUUUCAAUACUUUGCGAUAGUCAAGCAGCCAUACACAUCGCAAGGAAUCUUGUUUUUCAUGAGAGAACUAAACAUAUAGAAGUAGACUAUCAUUUUGUCCGGGACAAGCUACAUGAAGGCCUCAUUACUUUGUAACAUGUUACUACAAAUGCUCAACUUGCAGACAUCUUGACAAAGUCUCUUACUGGAGUUAAGCAUCAUACUGUAUUAGGCAAGUUGGCUGUACUUUCAGCACCUCCAACUUGAGGAGGGGUGUUGAGAUCAUUGAAGAAUCAUGUAAAGUUUGAUUAGCUGGUAGAUUAGAAUAUUUAAUUAUGCUGUUAGUGGUAGUUAGUUAGCUGACUAGACUUAGUUAGUUAGAUAGUUGUUGACAGCUGGCACCUACACACACUUGUAUAUAUGUUGAUUUUGCAUUCAUGGAAUAGAGUUAGUUACCAUUUCACAAAAUAUCUUCUUGUGAUCUUCUCUCAGUUCUCUCUCUCAAUCAAAGCUCAAGGUUAACUGCACAACAAUGACAGAUUUCAAUUAUUGUCUUCAUAAAUCCUCAACUUUAACAACAGUAUUUUUCAGUGACUUGAAAAAAGAUUGUGGUGGUGGUAGUUCAACUUUGUGUAUGCCUAUGCCUGUGUGCUCUCCAUUAUUCAUCAUUGAUGGGUACUCAUAAUCUGCGUUACCCAUUCUGAUAAUAUAUACUAGUAUUUUUUUUAAUUUUUAAUUUUGGGUAUUCAAAGAAAUAAUCUGACACUGAUGAAAUUAUAUAUAUCCAAUGGAUAAGGACUUUCUGCAAAGCGUUGAAAUAAGGAAUUUUGGUUGGAGUGGCUUGGACUGAAUAAUAAAGGAUGGGUGUUUAUAUAGAGGUAUUAUAUGAAGGAUUGUUGACACUUUUUUCGAGUGGAGUGGAAGGUAAUAGCCAUAGGGACCAAUUGUGUGGUUCUAAUUUCUAUAUUUUUAUUCUUAUAUGAAUUUAAUUUGUGUGUUUAUGCACACAAUAUAUAUAUAUAUAUGCAUGAUAUGUUGGUAAAGGUGAAUUUAUAUGUAAGAGACUAGUCAUAUUUUAGAUUAGCAAAUCAAUAUUUCUAAUUAGGAUUUGGAAAUUGGACAGUUACUUUAGUUCAUAUUCAAGCCUUGGAAACAGUCUAUGGCAGAAAUGCAAAGUAAGACUGCGUACAAUACAUCUUGUGCUGGGACUCUUUCCCGGAAAGCGCGCAUAGUGAUAGCUUUAGUGCACUGGACUGCCCUUUUACUUUAGUCCAUAUUCAAAUAGGGUUUGUAAUUAAAAGAGAAUUUAAAAAAAAAAGAAUUCGCAAAUCAGUAAAUAGCUCCUACUUUUUCAAGCUCAAUAUAAUUCCAAUUCAAUUUACAGAAAAAUGAUCAUAUCUCAAAAUUCUUUUGGUUUUACAUUAUAUCUGAUAUUUAUAUUACGAUUUGAUUAAAUUCCGAUUCGCACUUUAUAGGAUUCUUCUCUGAAGACUAAACUUUCAAACUAAUUUUUUGGAUUCCUCGCUCGAACAUUACUCUUUUUGAUUCAAUGUUUCAAACUUUUAUUUAAAAAUUCUGGACCCAAAAAUAUUAUUUCUUUUCAGCACACUGAAUGCUAUUUCUGGAAAAGAAGGCAGACGCAGACUCCGCCAAAAUUAUAAUUUACUCUUUUUAUAAUGACAUAAAAUUUUUUUUAGUCCGUAUAAAGAAAAAUGAUUCAUCUUUUUUGGUAAUACUUGAAUCAGAUGAUUAACAAAUGAGUGAAUAUAGACUUAAUUGAACUGAAUCAAAAAUAGGUUAAACGAAGAGUCAUGGCUCAGCAUGUCAAACUCAAUACAAAACUUUCAUUUCUUUGUCUGUUUCUCUUAAUUUGUUUAAUUAUCUAAGAAUUUUUUUCUGUAUUACGACUUAUUAUAAAAUAUCAAAAACGAUAAAAAUUGUAUAUUUUGACAAGAUUUUUAUGAGCUAAUUUAGAUUACAUAUUAGCAAUUUAACACAAGUUUUAAAUGAAUUGAAUUUGAUUGGUCAAAAUGGGUUGACUUGAGUUAUUCAAACUUAAAUAUAUUGUACGAGUAUGUAUUUCCUUGGGCCAAUUUUGUCAACUCUAUGUUAAACUACGCCGAUAAGAUAAAAUUAGAGUUACAGCCUGAAUAUCUUUGUUCCUACUCAUCAUGCAUCACUAUCAAUUAAGCACAUUUGAACUUUAUGAAUUAAACCUAAUCCUGAUAUUUUGCAAGUGCUAGUAAUUAAUCAUGACAAUUCAAACUUCCACUAAAGCUAUCUAUGUGAGAAAAAAAGGCAAAUUAAGGUGGGUAAUACAAUAUAUAUCUAGUAACAACCAAUAUCAACAAGUAAAAUGGAAGCUCCUAAUUUAUUAAGUUUGUAAACCACACCAUUGUUGCACACGAUCGAGCUAAAAUGGAGAUAAUAGAUUUUGUUGCAACGUAGGAAUCAAAAUCAAUUCAAAAUUCUCUUACUAGAUAGCACUUUUAUAUAUGGAAUUGGGGAUUUUGCUAGUUCGUUUUAUGAAUGUUCACUUUAUUGAAUCCAAGUCAAUAAAUUGUUUUUUGAAUGGAAUGUCGUUUAGUUUAGCCUAAAAAUAUCACUUGGAGGAAACAUAAUAUUAUUUUUAGCAUACUUAAGGCAAAAUUGAAUGGUUAUUUUUAUUAUAAAAAGUUGUUCACUGACUUUUUGAAAUAUUUAUUAAAUGUAAAGUUGAGUGACUUUUUUAUCUAAUAAUUAGAGAAGCUAAUUUAGUUUUUAUGUAUAUAUAUUAGAUGUUGAACCCCCUCGAUUAGUUUUUAUAUUCACUUAUGAAUCCCCUUAGUGAAAAUCCUAGCUCCGCCACUGCUGUAUACCACAUGUAUUUUUUCAUUGUCUUAUAUAUGCUCAACUCAAGAGGGAUCCGUGACCUAAACACACAUAUAUACAUAUAGCCCUUAAGUUGCGUGUUUGCUUUAUGCAACUGGAAUUAAAUUAAAUAACAUAACGAAGUUGGCAUCUGGAUAAUUAAUAACUUCUUGAAAAUAUUUCCAAUCUGGUCUAGCCGUUAGGAAAGCAAUUACAGAAAAAGAGAAAAAAAAUCACGUUUGUUUACAAACCAAAACAAUAUAUACGACAGAAAAUUUCAUUAAGAAUAGAAGAUCAGAAGAUAAAUUCAAUAAUCCAUAGAGGAAGCUGCAAGCAAAGUGCUUCAAUUAAUAAAAUAACAAUAAAGAGCGGAUUAUUGUGGAAAAAUGCUGCGAAUAUAAUUAAGUAAAUAAAAGUGUGUUCGCUUUAAUAUACUAAAUUUUUAAACAAGAUGAUCACACACUUUAAUAUCAUAUUGAAAACAAAUCUAACCACCAUCUAUCAUCAGAAGAAUUUUCAUCGACCCAUUGAAAAAAUGGAACUCAUAUGCACAUUAAACACUUCAAUAUUAACCUAGUAAGGCAAAAAUCCCGAGAAGAUGCUUAUCGAGACCUUAUUUUCAACUAAGUAUCAAUCCCUAGAAAUUUUUUUAAAAAAUGGGCUAGCUAAUUACAUGACAAAUGCUGCAUGAAUAAUUACAAUUAACACGCUAUAUAAUUACAUAUACAUUUCAUCUCGUGAUUCAGAAAAUUAAAAUACAAAAGGAAAACGAAUCAAAGACUUUGACUUGGGGAUUUAUGUGGGAAAUGACAAAAUCCGACAUAUACUUUUUUAAUAUCUUCUCUAUAUUCCUGAUAACGAUUCUUCUGUUUAAUUUGGAAUUUGGUGCGUGAUUAAUUAAUAAAUGAAGUAGCUAACUUGGCACUUGGCAGCAGUUAACAGAAUAUUUAACCUUUUUUUCUUGUAAUAUAGCUAAAUAAUAAAAGAGACACAUCCAACUAGACAACUAGACAUAAGGUUAGUGGAAUUCUGUAUAUAUUUUACAUUUUAGUAAUAUGUUUUGUAUGAAUUCUUAACGCUAUACAGCUCUUGUUUCGAAAUUUAAAUUAAUCCACAGUAAUUAAAUAUUAAAAUAUAAUUAUUUGAUUUAGAGAAGUUAAAUUUUGAAGUGAAAAUGUGAUGGAAUAUAAUGUUAACGAGUCUGAAUGUGGGUGAGACUUCAUGAACAUAUGUAGUAACUAGUAUACGCUUAAGUUUAAGUUCGUAGGUGUCAGAUAGACGGAUUAAAUUGAAAUCAUUAUAACAUAAAACAAUCAUCACUGUCUGCCCUUGGUGUGCUAUUACCAUUGCCAAUAUUAUUCUGAAAUCACUAUGUGCAACCACCAUCAUCAUCCUCGUAACACUUCCAUCACCAACUUCUAUCGCUCAACCACCACAAUCACCACCACCUGUAUAUAAUAGUACGCACCAAGAACAACCACAUGUAGGUGCGGAGCCAGCAUAUAUUUAGAGGGUUUCAAACUUCUCUGGACGAAAAAUUACAUUAUUUAUACAUGGUUAAAUUAUUUUUUAUGUUUAUAUAUAGUAGAUAUUGAACCCCUUUAGCUAGUUCGCGUGUACAUUUUAAACCCCUUAAUGAAAAUUUUGGCUUCGCCACUGACCACGUGAACCGCCUCCACUAGCAAAUACCACUAAUGACCAACUCAACACCAUGCCGCCCCACAACACCAGGCAAUGUAUUGUCAGGCAAGACAAAACACUAAUGCUCAUUGUCAUUGCGCCAAAAAUCCUAGUGUGUUUCAUCAAACAAACAGGUUUACCAGCAUGGGUUGUGGUGUAGAGGUGGGACAACUCCACCCUUAAUUAAAGGUCUCGGGUUCGAGUCCUGGGUAUGGAGAAAAUUCUAUUGGGAGCGCCACCCCCUAGAAUGGGCCCUACAGUGCACGAUCUGGAUUAGUCGGGUCUCUAAUGUGGGUACCGAACACCGGUUAGGAAACAGAAAAAAGGUUUAAUUUGUAUUAUUUGUUAUGAAAUAUAAAGCAAAGAGGAAGAAGAAUAGAGAGAGAAGAGAAGAGACUUCUUUAUUUCUCGUGGAGAUUCUUGAUGGGUUAAUUAGAAUGAAGGAAAACCUUGAUUCCUAGAAGACGUACCUUUUAGUCGAGUCAUCUCCCUUGAUUCCUAGAAGACGUACCUUUUAGUCGAGUNNNNNNNNNNNNNNNNNNNNNNNNNNNNNNNNNNNNNNNNNNNNNNNNNNNNNNNNNNNNNNNNNNNNNNNNNNNNNNNNNNNNNNNNNNNNNNNNNNNNNNNNNNNNNNNNNNNNNNNNNNNNNNNNNNNNNNNNNNNNNNNNNNNNNGUACCUUUUAGUCGAGUCAUUCCCUUUGACUCCUAGAAGACGUAUCUUUUAGUCGAGUCAUUUCCUCUGAUUCCUAUAAGACGUACCUUUUAGUCGAGUCAUUCCCUUUGAUUCCUAUAAGACAUACCCUUUAGUCGAGUCAUUUCCUCUGAUUCCUAUAAGACGUACCUUUUAGUCGAGUCAUCUCCUUUGAUUCCUAGAAAACGUACCUUUUAGUUGAGUCAUUCCCCUUGACCCCUAGAAGACGUACCAAUUAGUCGAGUCAUCCCCCUUGAUUCCUAUAAGGCAUACCUUUUAAUCGAGUUAUCCCCCUUUGAUUCCUAUAAGACGUACCUUUUAGUCGAGUCAUCUCCCUUUGAUUCCUAUAAGACGUACCUUUUAGUCGAGUCAUCUCCCUUUGAUUCCUAUAAGACGUACCUUUUAGUCGAGUCAUCUCCCUUUGAUUCCUAUAAGACGUACCUUUUAGUCGAGUCAUUCCCCUUGACCCCUAGAAGACGUACCAAUUAGUCGAGUCAUCCCCCUUGAUUCCUAUAAGGCAUACCUUUUAAUCGAGUCAUUUCCCUUGACCCAUAGAAGGCGUACCUUUUAGUCGAGUCAUUUCCCUUGACCCCUAGAAGACGUACCUUUUAGUCGAGUCAACUCCCCUGAUUCCUAUAAGACAUACCUUUUAGUCGAGUCAUUCCCCUUGAUUCCUAUAAAAUGUACCUUUCAGUCGAGUCAUUCCCCUUGAUUCCUAUAAGGCGUACCUUUUAGUCGAGUCAUGCUCCUUAAUUCCUAUAAUGAUGUGACUUUCAUCAAAGUCCUUUGAUGAUAAACUGGGGCAAAAUUUAAUUCUUGUUUUUGGAACUUUACUUUUCUGGCAAACGAAAUUUCUCUUUAUAAUAAUUUUUGUUUGGGUUGGGAUAAUUUUCUUUCCAGUUUUGAUGUGAUUUCAGGAGCCUUCCCGAAGCACAGGGCGAAUAAAUGGAAAACCAAGCAACAAAGUGAAGAAAUUAAAAGUUAAACAGAUUGAAAAAUAGCAAGUGGGGUGAAGAAAUUGAAAGCAUAGCAAAAAGUUGAUGAAAUAGCAAGUCAGGAACCCGCCCGGAGAACAGGGUGUAGAAAUUGAAAGGCAAGCAACAAGUUGAAGAAAUUGCAAGUCAGAAGCCCGCCUGAAUAAUAGGGUGAUGAAACUCAAGUCAAGAGUCCAAAAGAAGCUGUAUAGAUAGGAUUUUUGUGAUUUUCAUUUUUGUUUAACUUGUAAUUUUCAUUUUUGAUGUAAUGACAGAGCCGCGGACCGGAACCUCGACGGGACCUCACUCGACUCCCCAACUCGAUAAUGUCCAUCUCCUUCCAAUCCUUUAAGAUACCUGGGACUUGACUCCCUCAUAACUUGGGUAGGUAGGAUGUCCUAAGUCAAGACUUGGUUGUCCUUCUUGCUUUGAAUAAUGAUCAGGUCAAAAUUCUGUCUCGUUGUCUACUUCUUUGAAUGAAAACACUUUGUGUUUACAUGCAAAGAGGGGUAUGAUGUAGACACGUAAUUUUGUCCCUCCCCGAAAAUAUUUUUACCAUUUUACCUUAUUCUACCGCGUACCCUCAACCAUGUAAUUAUCCCUCCAUAAAAUGACAAAAAUAACAACCCUUAAUAAAUUUUACCUUGUUCUAAUCCUAUCCUAACAACCUCUCCAAUUAAAAGCGGACACCUUAGCACCCCUACCCCUGCCACGUGACCCCCCCUAAAUCACAUUUUUCCAUCUUUGGUUAUAAUAACAGAUUACUAGGACCCAGGGAAGGAUUUAAUAAUAACAUAUACACUCACAGGCCCCACCACUAAAAAAAAGACCAUUAAUACACUCAUCCUCACCAACACUCACCAGAAAUUUGCCAAAACCCACAACACUGUCACACCCCUUUUUACGUACUCUAAAAAAAUGGUUAUAAAUUAAUGUUUGAAAGGGUUUUAAUUAUUAAAGUGAUAAAAUAUGAAAAUUUAUUUCGGAAAAGGAUUAUUUACAUUUUUUACUCAGAGUCGCCACAUGGCAUAAUCUGGCAUGCCAAGUCACCAUUAGAAAAUCCUUUUUAAAACCGUUUGACUCUUUGAACUGGUUUACGAACAGAGAUUCCGGCUAAGGAAUUCUAUUGACCGAGGGGAAGGUAUUAGGCACCUCUCGAUCCCGUGGUUCAACCACGGUCGCUAGGUAGGGUGUAUCAACUAUUUUGACACUACGAAAUGUAUCAACCACACAGAGGCACGCAAANNNNNNNNNNNNNNNNNNNNNNNNNNNNNNNNNNNNNNNNNNNNNNNNNNNNNNNNNNNNNNNNNNNNNNNNUCCGGGGUAUGAAAAGAAAUGCAGAAAUAUAAACCUAUGCUAAAUUAAUUCUAAACUAAUGUUCUACCCGACGCCUCGGGCCUUCAUCACGAACGUCCUCCGGAUACAUGAUACCUCGGGGCAUUCCCCGGGGACUAAAUAUAUACAGAUACUUCGGGGCAUUCCCCUGCCAAAUUAUACAAUUGAAUCUCAAUGCAUAAAUCAGAACCAUUCCACAAAUAUUUCAAACAUUCCAACAAUCCAUCAAUUCUAAAUUUUGCCUACCCGAACCUACCUUUACCUAUCUAUUUGAUCCAAAUGUGAUAUUAUCAAAACUUAACAAAUCCAACGCCUAAUUUACAACAAAACAAACAUCAAUCAAUCAAUACGAACAAAUCACAUUAAUUUUUCUAUCCGUUUCCCAUUCUCACCUCGAUUUUGUUAACUAAUUACCGAUUUCAAUUAUCCACAAGAUAUCGUUUUCAUCCAAAUUGCACCGUUCGAGAUCAAUCAUUCAACACAAGCACAUAUCGCAGCAAAUCAAUCCAAAAAUCACAGAACACAGUCACAUGGAAUUUAAGAAAAAUAGAGUUAGAAAUUGGACAUUUCGGGAUCAAAGUGUUGUUUCGAUUAAAUAAGAUGAACCAACGGACCAAAAACCGAGAAAACCUCAACUCGAGCAAUCUCAACCUCGAAUGAUGCCAAUCGACCAAUCCUCAAUACGAACCCCAAAACCACCAAAUAACGAGACGAAUCAACCACGAAAACCCCCUAAGAAAUCUGAUUUGAACGCAGUUUCUUGAAGAAGACGAAUCUCGAAAACAACACACAUAAAAAUCCAAGCGGAAUACCAACACAUAUACGAUUCAAAAGGAAUUUUGGGAAAGAUUGAUUUCUGGUGACGUCGUUUUCCGAUUGCUUUUCGCCGGAAUAGCGAUAAACCGUCACUAGGCAUCUCCCGAUGGCUGACCGAAUAAAAUUUCGAUGGAUUUCCCGUGAGAUACUCGCCGUUAAUUGAUCCCUCUAUUUUUCUCUCUCUCUCUCUCAUGCUCAAUCUCUCUUAAUUUCCUUCGAUUUUCAUCCUCUCUCUUCAAUCACACUCCGACUCAAUCCCCUCAAACUUAUGUCUCAAUCUCUCUGAAUUUUCCACCUUUCACUAUGUGUGUGGGCGCUUAUGUUAGUGUGUUUGUUGUGACUGUGUGUUUGUGUAUAUCGAUGGAUGUGCGAGUGAUGAGUGAUGAAUGAAAAAAAAGGAAGAAGAUGAGUGUGUGUCCCCUGUGUGUAACGAAAAAUGGCUUUUUGUGAGGUGAGUCCCGUCUGUGUAUGGGUGUGUGAAUAGAAUUGAGAAUGGUGUUGUUGUGUUUGGGAGCCCAGAAGCCCAAGAAGAAGAAAAGAAUGGUGUCUGACCCCCUUUUUUUAAAAAAAAAACUCCUCAUAUGGUCCCUUUGUGUGUGUAUAUAUGUUGUGAGGUGAGGGUGGGGUAGUGAGGUUAGGUAGGUGGGGUCACAUGGGGUAGGGGGUAGGGUGUGAUGUGGUUUAUUUUGAUUGGAUGGGUUGUUAGGAUAAGAUGUAGGGGUUAGGAUAGGAUAGGAAUUGUUAGGGAGUUUGUUAUUUUUUUUGUAUUUUGUGAGGGUAUAAUAACAUGGGUGAGGGUACACGGUAGGAUAAAAUAAAAACGGGUAAAAGUGAAUAAAAAUUGAACUUUUAAGGUAAAAAUGGGUAAAACGACAUCGGGGAGGGAUGAAAUUAGGUGUCUACAUCAUGCCCCCUUUGAAUGUAAACAUGAAGUGUUUUCAGACAAAGAAGUAGACAACGAGACUGAAUUUUGUCUCAAUCAUUAUUCAAAGAGAGGAGUAAAAGAAGGAAGGACAAUCGACUCCUGUCGGAUACCCUAUCUACCCAAAUCAUGAGAGAAUCAAGUCACGGGUAUUUCGAAGGAUUGGAAGAGAAGUGGGCUAUACCGAGUUGGAGAGUCGAGUGAGGUUCCAUCGAGGUUACGGUUCGUGGCUCUGUUAUUACAUCAAAAAUGAAAAUUUAACAAGUUAAAACAUAAAUGAAAUUACAANNNNNNNNNNNNNNNNNNNNNNNNNNNNNNNNNNNNNNNNNNNNNNNNNNNNNNNNNNNNNNNNNNNNNNNNNNNNNNNNNNNNNNNNNNNNNNNNNNNNNNNNNNNNNNNNNNNNNNNNNNNNNNNNNNNNNNNNNNNNNNNNNNNNNNNNNNNNNNNNNNNNNNNNNNNNNNNNNNNNNNNNNNNNNNNNNNNNNNNNNNNNNNNNNNNNNNNNNNNNNNNNNNNNNNNNNNNNNNNNNNNNNNNNNNNNNNNNNNNNNNNNUUGCUAUUUCAUCACCCUGUUCUCCAGGCGGGCUCCUGACUUGCUAUUUCAUCACCCUGUUCUUCAGGCGGGCUCCUGAAACCCAAAAUUAAAACUAGAACGAAAAUUAUCCCAAAAAUUAUAGUAAAGUAGUAUUUUAUUUUUUGAAAGGGUUGUCCCAUUUUCCAGGAGGGUACUGAACAGAAAGUAACAUCCCAUUUUUCAGGAGGGUCCUGAAUUGAAAGUAAAUUCCCAUUUUUCAGGAGGGUCCUGAGCAGAAAGCGAAAUCCCAUUUUUCAGGAGCGUUUUGAACAGAAAGUAAAAUUCCAUUUUUCAGGAGGGUCCUGAACAUAAAGUAGAAUCCCUUUUUUCAGGAGGGUCCUGAACAUAAAGUAAAAUCCCAUUUUUCAGGAGGGUCCUGAAUUGAAAGUAAAUUCCCAUUUUUCAGGAGGGUCCUGAGCAGAAAGCGAAAUCCCAUUUUUCAGGAGCGUUUUGAACAGAAAGUAAAAUUCCAUUUUUCAGGAGGGUCCUGAACANNNNNNNNNNNNNNNNNNNNNNNNNNNNNNNNNNNNNNNNNNNNNNNNNNNNNNNNNNNNNNNNNNNNNNNNNNNNNNNNNNNNNNNNNNNNNNNNNNNNNNNNNNNNNNNNNNNNNNNNNNNNNNNNNNNNNNNNGUCCUGAACUGAAAGUAAAUUCUCAUUUUUCAAGAGGGUCCUGAACAAAAGUAAAAUUUCAUUUUUCAAGAGGGUCCUGUAUAGAAAGUAAAAUCUCAUUUUUCAGGAGGGUCCUGAGCAUAAAGUAAAAUCCCAUUUUUCAGGAGGGUCCUGAGCAUAAAGUAAAAUCUCAUUUUUCAGGAGGGUCCUGAGCAUAAAGUAAAAUCCCAUUUUUCAGGAGGGUCCUGAGCAUAAAGUAAAAUCUCAUUUUUCAGGAGGGUCCUGAGCAUAAAGUAAAAUCCCAUUUUUCAGGAGGGUCCUGAGCAGAAAGUAAAAUUCCAUUUUUCAGAAGGGUCUUGUGCAUAAAGUAAAAUCCCAUUUUUCAGGAGGGUCUUGAACAAAAAGUAAAAUCCCAUUUUUCAGGAGGGUCCUGAACAGAGAGUAAAAUCUCAUUUUUCAGGAGGGUCCUGAACAUAAAGUAGAAUCCCCUUUUUCAGGAGGGUCCUGAACAUAAAGUAAAUUUCUAUUUUUCAAGAGGGUCCUGAACAGAAAGUAAAUUUCCAUUUUUCAGGAGGGUCCUGAACUGAAAGUAAAUUCACUGAACAGAACGUAAAAUCCCAUUUUUCAGGAGGGUCCUGAACAGAAAGUAAAUUCCCAUUUUUCAGGAGGGUCCUGAACUGAAAGUAAAUUCUCAUUUUUCAAGAGGGUCCUGAACAAAAGUAAAAUUUCAUUUUUCAAGAGGGUCCUGUAUAGAAAGUAAAAUCUCAUUUUUCAGGAGGGUCCUGAACUGAAAGUAAAUUCCCAUUUUUCAGGAGGGUCCUGAACAUAAAGUAAAAUUACUGAACAGAAAGAAAAUCUAAUUUUUCAGGAGGGUCCUGAACAGAAAGUAAAGUUCCAUUUCAGGAGGGUCCUGUACAUAAAGUAAAAUCCCAUUUUUCAGGAGGGUCCUGGACAUAAAGUAAAAUCCCACGAAUGUGCAUUUCCAAUCGUAGCUGAAUCAAGUGAAAAGAAUUUGCCCCUGUUUCAAUAAAGAAAAUUUGUCAGUUAAAAAAAACUUAGUGGUGGCUUGCAGCUCUUGGCUUCUCAUGUAUCUGCCCCAGCACUCACUCCUUUCAUCUUUGUUCUAAAUUGCUAACACCUGCUCUGUCUUGCUGCAUCAUCGACCCGGAUCCAGAUUGAAGGAAAUGAGUUCUGACUCAAACAAUGGGUUUCCAUUUUACUAUGCCCCUGAGAUGCACUCUUUUCCCAAAUCUGAAUGCUUCUACGAAUCCAAUAGCCUGGCGGUUUAUAGACUUCCUUUGCUUCGUGUUGAAUUACGAUCAUAUUUCUUUCCUGUACUGUUCCUUGGAUUUUCCUUAUAUAAUUGGAAAGACUUGUAGUAAAUUUUGAAAUCCUUUCUCGCUUGUUUUGAGACAGACUUGACUUAAAAUGUAAAGAAAAUGAUGAUGACUUUUAUUUUUGAUAAAUGACAUAAAAGACAAAACAUGAAUAUGUAAAUGAAAGAAAAGGGCAAUGUCCCAUAUUCAAAAAGAAAACUUAUCUAAAUACGACAACCAACGCCAAUGAUUAUGACAUGCAUUUUGGAUUGAGCUGCCUGAUCUUUCUAUCCAAACUCCCCAUUUGUUAUUGAGUUCAUGCCUUUGCUGCUGAGCCAUUUCCUCAAAUCCAUUGGACUCCUACAUCACAUUCGAUUGACGACAUCUUAAAAGAUUUUCGCCAACGAAGCUCUUUCUUCUCACUUUUCACCUUUCUCUUGAACUCUCCAUCGCCUUACAGUGCCCGUGAGGGUUUUCACCAAUAAGACUCUCUCAUUUUAUUUCUCUCCACUCACCAUCGCUUUAUGGUGCCUGCAAAGGUUUUCACCAAUAAGACUCUCUCAUUUUAUUUCUCUCCACUCACCAUCGCCUUAUGGUGCCUACAAAGGUUUUCACCAAUAAGACUUUUCUCUUGAACUCUCCAUCGCCUUACGGUACCCGUGAGGGUUUUUACCAAUAAGACUCUCUCAUUUUUAUUUUCUCUCAACUCACCAUCGCCUUAUGAUGCCCACGGGGGUUUUCACCAAUAAGACUCUCUCAUUUUUAUUUUCUCUCAACUCACCAUCGCCUUAUGAUGCCCACAGGGUUUUUACCAAUAAGAAUCUCAUUUUUGUAUUUCUUUCCUGAUUUUUUAUGCUGAGGGAGACAAGUGGUACUUCACAAUGUAUCAUCAAUAUCCAUUGCAUGCUUAGCCUUAACAUUAUCAAAAAUUGAUCUGAAGGGCUUUCUUUUGUUGUAACUUGGCUUUUGGUUAAGGUUAGAAAAAAUGGUAAGAGGCUCAAAUGAUACUUGAAAUGGGGGUGGGACUUACAACUUUUGGAAUCGACUCAAACUACACAUUAACUCAUGCCCCAGUUUUGUUGACUGGGUGAAUCUUAANNNNNNNNNNNNNNNNNNNNNNNNNNNNNNNNNNNNNNNNNNNNNNNNNNNNNNNNNNNNNNNNNNNNNNNNNNNNNNNNNNNNNNNNNNNNNNNNNNNNNNNNNNNNNNNNNNNNNNNNNNNNNNNNNNNNNNNNNNNNNNNNNNNNNNNNNNNNNNNNNNNNNNNNNNNNNNNNNNNNNNNNNNNNNNNNNNNNNNNNNNNNNNNNNNNNNNNNNNNNNNNNNNNNNNNNNNNNNNNNNNNNNNNNNNNNNNNNNNNNNNNNNNNNNNNNNNNNNNNNNNNNNNNNNNNNNNNNNNNNNNNNNNNNNNNNNNNNNNNNNNNNNNNNNNNNNNNNNNNNNNNNNNNNNNNNNNNNNNNNNNNNNNNNNNNNNNNNNNNNNNNNNNNNNNNNNNNNNNNNNNNNNNNNNNNNNNNNNNNNNNNNNNNNNNNNNNNNNNNNNNNNNNNNNNNNNNNNNNNNNNNNNNNNNNNNNNNNNNNNNNNNNNNNNNNNNNNNNNNNNNNNNNNNNNNNNNNNNNNNNNNNNNNNNNNNNNNNNNNNNNNNNNNNNNNNNNNNNNNNNNNNNNNNNNNNNNNNNNNNNNNNNNNNNNNNNNNNNNNNNNNNNNNNNNNNNNNNNNNNNNNNNNNNNNNNNNNNNNNNNNNNNNNNNNNNNNNNNNNNNNNNNNNNNNNNNNNNNNNNNNNNNNNNNNNNNNNNNNNNNNNNNNNNNNNNNNNNNNNNNNNNNNNNNNNNNNNNNNNNNNNNNNNNNNNNNNNNNNNNNNNNNNNNNNNNNNNNNNNNNNNNNNNNNNNNNNNNNNNNNNNNNNNNNNNNNNNNNNNNNNNNNNNNNNNNNNNNNNNNNNNNNNNNNNNNNNNNNNNNNNNNNNNNNNNNNNNNNNNNNNNNNNNNNNNNNNNNNNNNNNNNNNNNNNNNNNNNNNNNNNNNNNNNNNNNNNNNNNNNNNNNNNNNNNNNNNNNNNNNNNNNNNNNNNNNNNNNNNNNNNNNNNNNNNNNNNNNNNNNNNNNNNNNNNNNNNNNNNNNNNNNNNNNNNNNNNNNNNNNNNNNNNNNNNNNNNNNNNNNNNNNNNNNNNNNNNNNNNNNNNNNNNNNNNNNNNNNNNNNNNNNNNNNNNNNNNNNNNNNNNNNNNNNNNNNNNNNNNNNNNNNNNNNNNNNNNNNNNNNNNNNNNNNNNNNNNNNNNNNNNNNNNNNNNNNNNNNNNNNNNNNNNNNNNNNNNNNNNNNNNNNNNNNNNNNNNNNNNNNNNNNNNNNNNNNNNNNNNNNNNNNNNNNNNNNNNNNNNNNNNNNNNNNNNNNNNNNNNNNNNNNNNNNNNNNNNNNNNNNNNNNNNNNNNNNNNNNNNNNNNNNNNNNNNNNNNNNNNNNNNNNNNNNNNNNNNNNNNNNNNNNNNNNNNNNNNNNNNNNNNNNNNNNNNNNNNNNNNNNNNNNNNNNNNNNNNNNNNNNNNNNNNNNNNNNNNNNNNNNNNNNNNNNNNNNNNNNNNNNNNNNNNNNNNNNNNNNNNNNNNNNNNNNNNNNNNNNNNNNNNNNNNNNNNNNNNNNNNNNNNNNNNNNNNNNNNNNNNNNNNNNNNNNNNNNNNNNNNNNNNNNNNNNNNNNNNNNNNNNNNNNNNNNNNNNNNNNNNNNNNNNNNNNNNNNNNNNNNNNNNNNNNNNNNNNNNNNNNNNNNNNNNNNNNNNNNNNNNNNNNNNNNNNNNNNNNNNNNNNNNNNNNNNNNNNNNNNNNNNNNNNNNNNNNNNNNNNNNNNNNNNNNNNNNNNNNNNNNNNNNNNNNNNNNNNNNNNNNNNNNNNNNNNNNNNNNNNNNNNNNNNNNNNNNNNNNNNNNNNNNNNNNNNNNNNNNNNNNNNNNNNNNNNNNNNNNNNNNNNNNNNNNNNNNNNNNNNNNNNNNNNNNNNNNNNNNNNNNNNNNNNNNNNNNNNNNNNNNNNNNNNNNNNNNNNNNNNNNNNNNNNNNNNNNNNNNNNNNNNNNNNNNNNNNNNNNNNNNNNNNNNNNNNNNNNNNNNNNNNNNNNNNNNNNNNNNNNNNNNNNNNNNNNNNNNNNNNNNNNNNNNNNNNNNNNNNNNNNNNNNNNNNNNNNNNNNNNNNNNNNNNNNNNNNNNNNNNNNNNNNNNNNNNNNNNNNNNNNNNNNNNNNNNNNNNNNNNNNNNNNNNNNNNNNNNNNNNNNNNNNNNNNNNNNNNNNNNNNNNNNNNNNNNNNNNNNNNNNNNNNNNNNNNNNNNNNNNNNNNNNNNNNNNNNNNNNNNNNNNNNNNAGGCUUUGUCAGGAUGUUGGAGCAUUGAAGACAGAGUGGCUAAAGCAUCAGCAAUUUCAUUAUGAAUCCUUGGAAUAUGCCUAAAUUUUACUAACACAAACCGUUGACAUAGCUCCUGCAAGCAUUGUUGAUACGGGAUGAGCUUCAAAUCUCGCGUCUCCCAAUAACCUUGAAUUUGAUGGACGAACAAAUCAGAAUCUCCCAACACUAGUAAUUCCUGGACUCCCAUAUCAACAGCUAACCUCAAACCAAGAAUACAGGCUUCAUACUCUGCCAUAUUAUUAGUACAGUAGAAUCAAAGUUGUGCUGUUACCGGGAAAUGUUGUCCCGACUCAAAGAUAAGAACCGCACCUAUUUCGACCCCUUUCAUAUUGACAGCUCCAUCAAAAAAUAACCUCCAACCAGGAUCAGCAUCUAUAACGACUUCAUCGACACACGACACUUUUUCGUUCGAAAAAUAUGUCUUUAAUGGCUCGUACUCUUCAUCAAUGGGAUUCUCAGCAAGAUGAUCUGCCAGGGCUUGGGUUUUCAUGGUGGUUCGAGUCACAUAUAUAAUGUUGAACUCGGUAAGCAAUAUUUUCCACUUUGCCAAUCGACCCGUUGGCAUAGGCUUCUGAAAAUCAAAGGAUCCAUGCGGGAGAUGAGAUAAGUAGUAUAGGAUGAGAGAUAAUGCUUCAACUUCUGUGCUAUCCAAGUUAGGGCACAACACGUCCUUUCAAGAAGAGUAUACCUGGCCUUAUAUGCGGUGAACUUCUUGCUAAGAUAAUAAAUAGCCGGCUCUUUUUUGCCUGUUACAUCAUGUUGACCCAAGACACAACCGAAAGAAUUUUUCAUGACUGAUAAAUAUAAGAUCAAAGGCCUACCAGGCUCUGAGGGUACCAGCACGGGUGGAUUUGACAAAUAUCUUUUGAUUCGAUCGAACGCUUCCUGACAUUCUUUAGUCCAUUUUACCGCAGCACUCUUUUUCAGCAACUUGAAUAUGGGCUCACAAGUGGUUGUGAGUUGAGCAAUAAACCUGCUAAUGUAUUUCAGUCUACCAAAUAAACUCAUCACCUCCGUUCUAUUCUUGGGCGGGGGCAAAUCCUGAAUGGCUUUGAUUUUCGAGGGAUCCAAUUCAAUUCCUUGACGGCUGACUACAAACCCCAACAGCUUUCCAGAUGGAACUCCAAAGACAUAUUUCGCCGGGUUGAGUUUGAGAUUAUACCUGCGAAGCCUUUCAAAGAACUUUCUUAAAUCUUUAACGUGGUUGGCCUGAAUUUUUGACUUAAUAAUCACAUCAUCCACGUAGACCUCAAUCUCCUUAUGCAUCAUAUCAUGAAAUAUAGUGGUCAUGGCUCUCAUGUAUGUUGCUCCAGCAUUCUUCAAACUGAACGGCAUCACUCGAUAACAAUAAGUUCCCCAUGGUAUGAUAAAAGAUGUCUUCUUCACGUCUUCAUCAUCCAUAAUGAUCUGGUGAUAUACGGCAUAGCAAUCCACAAAAGAGGCGACCUCAUGUUAGCACAGUUUUCUAACGAAAUGUGAAUGUUGGGCAGUGGAAAAUCAUCUUUUGGACUUGCUCUGUUCAAAUCACGGUAAUCAAUACACACUCAAAUUUUGCCAUCUUUCUUUGGUACGGGAACAACAUUGGAUAACCAUAUGGGAUAGCNNNNNNNNNNNNNNNNNNNNNNNNNNNNNNNNNNNNNNNNNNNNNNNNNNNNNNNUACUUACAUCUAUUUUAAACUUCCUCAACUUCUGUUUGACAGGAGGGAAUGCGGGAUCAGUUGGCAAUUUGUGAGCCACUAAUUCAGUGCUUAAAUUAGGCAUAUCAUCAUAAGACCAUGCAAAAACAUCCUUAUAAUCAAUUAAUGCUUGAAUCAUUUCACCUUUUAGCUGUGGCAAAAAAUGUACACUAAUUUUAGUUUCCCUAACAUCUUCUUGAUCCCCUAGAUUUAUUGGCUCAGUAUCAUUCAAAUUAGGAUUCGGUUUGUCUUCAAAUUGUUCCAACUCUUUGCUUAUUUCUUUUAAUGCUUCUUAUUCAUCAUAUUCUCCAUCCUGCUUCAUUACAUCUUGCUUAGUUUGGAUUUUAAGAUCAGGCUGAAAAUUUCGCAUGCAUGUCAUGUCAUUAGAAUCAGCAUAAAGAGAACUGUGUAAAAAAAGAAAAAUAAAAUAUAUUAGACACGAAAUAAAAGGGACAUUGCAUUUCAUUAAAUAGAAAGAUAGAAGGGUUUAAACCUAGAUACCAACAUAACAUAAACAAACUAAAAUCUGAAUUACAACCCUGAAAUAACUCGGAUAAACAGAAAGAAAAACAAAAUAAACUACCAAAACUCCCUCCUGACGGGGAGAGGAGUGACUUCCCAAUUAUUGAGCCGGACAGCUGGACCUAUGAAUUACACGUCUGCCAUACUGGUACCUUCUCCUGCUUCAACCAUAUCGACUUCAAUACAAAGGUUCUGGAAGUCAUCAACCAAUUCAACCUCAAAUUCCACAUGCUUCGUGACACCGCUCUUAACAAAUGAUUCACUGAGUAGUGGCAUUGGGCNNNNNNNNNNNNNNNNNNNNNNNNNNNNNNNNNNNNNNNNNNNNNNNNNNNNNAGCUGUAGGCUCAAAUCCCAGACCAAACGUGCCCACGUUCUCACUCGAACAUAUGGGAUGAACUAUACCGUGCAGAGAUGCUCCCAAACCCUUUCCUGGCUCAAAUCCGUAUUUCCAAAGUUCACUCACCAUCAUGAUAGAAGCAGAAGACAAUUGCGAUCCCGAUAUAGCCUGCCAUUCAAGGAUACGAUUCACUUGCACUGCAUAAAAAAUUUGAUAGACGAAUGUCUCCUCUACGCUAUUUGCUUCAAUAAGAGACAAGGAAGAAUCUUCGUAGGCUAAAAAAUCUCCUUCACCAUGAAUAACUACUUCUUUCCUGUCAUGAUCAAACUUAAUCAUUUGGUGCAGUGUAGAUGCAACCGCCUUGGCCUUGUGGAUCCACGGCCUUCCCAACAACAGAUUGUAAGAGGAUUCUACCUUCAAUACUUGAAACUCUAUGGCAAAAUCAACAGGCCCUAUGGUCAACAUUAGUUCUAUUUCGCCAAUGGAAUUUGAUUUUGCACCAUCGAAAGCCCUAACACAUACAUUGUUGGGCCUGAUCCUGUCAGCACCAAUAUUCAACUUUUGCAAAGUAGAAAUAGGGCAAAUAUUUGCACCUGAACCUCCAUCAAUCAUAACAUGAGUGACGUAGAAAUCUUCACACUUCACUGUAAUGUAAAGGCCCCGGUUAUGCCCUGUACCUUCAACAGGCAAUUCCUUAUCAGAAAAGCUGAUCCGAUUGACCUCAAAGAUUUUUCCAACCAUUUUCUCAAGAUGGUUGAUUGUAAUCUCCCUUGGAAUAUAUGCUUUAUUUAAUACCUUCAGUAAAACAUCACGAUGCUCUUUGGAGUGCAACAACAAAGAUAAAAGGGAAAUUUGAGCAGAGGUCUUUUUCAACUGGUUUAAUAUUGAAUACUCUGGCAACUUCAUCUUCUUCAAAAAUUCUUUGGCUUCCUCUUCGGUGAUAGGAUUUUUGAGAGAUGAAGGUCUACUCAUCGUUGGCUUGGACUUUCUUAAGCUUUCAGGCACGAAGCAUCUUCCUGACCUAGUCAAACCCCCUACCUCAUCUACAUCUUCAACAACUUCUUUCCCGUGAUAGGUCAUCACAGUCCGCCCAUAAUUCCAGGGAACUUUUUUCGUAUCAACUAUCGGAGGUUGGGUCACCGAUUUGAGAACAGUAGGCGCUGCCAGUGCUCCUCUCACCGUCAAGAUGGGCUGACUCAGGGCUCUCACCACUGUCAACUUAGGUUUAUCCUGGCUUAAAUCAACAUACCCUCUGGCGCCUUGUACUGUGAUCAGGGGCUUCUUUGUGCUUUCAAGGGCUUUAUCUUCGCUCAUUCCAUCCUGGCUCAAUGACAUUGCUUUCAAAGAUUCUGCUACAUUCACCGAUUUUUCCUUAAUGGUCUGUAUCUUGACAGUAGGCUUAUAACCCCUUGAAGAUUCUUUCCCAUUAUAUAUCAAUUCUAACAUAUUGGCUUCAGCAUGGGUUGGCAAUGGAUUCUGGUUAAUGUUUGGACCCUCCGGGGCCUGGACCAGCAUCUGAUAUGUGUCAAUUAAAUCUUGGACAGCUCUCUUUAAAUGCCAGCAUUUUUUGAUAGCAUGGCCUGGCAUAUCAGAACAGUAUGCACACCUUAAAGAAUAAUCGAGAUUCCUCGGUGGUGGAUUUGAAAGCCUUUCUUGAAUUGGGCUUAAAACCUUCAACUUUCUCAACCUAUCAAACAAGCUAGCAUAUGACUCCCCAAGAGGUGUGAAUUGAUUUUUGACCGCCUUCUCCUUCUUAUACUCGGGCCUAGGCUGAAAAAUGGGUCUGGAGGGGGUUUGGUAAUUUGGUGGACCGAAUGGGCAAUUUUGUAGAGCUUGCGCGCGCCAUUGCGGGUAAGAAGGGGUUUGGGCAUAUGGUUGCACGCUAUAUACUGGGUACGGAGGUGGUGGAAUGGAAUAUAAAGGGUUUUAUAAGGGGUAGUAAUGGUGGGAAGGAAUAUAUGGAGCUUGGGCGUAGACUUGGGCUUGGGAUUGGGGAUAGGGGCGAGGUGGUCUUUUGGGAUAGGAAUGGGUUCCAGCUACGACAGUCGCNNNNNNNNNNNNNNNNNNNNNNNNNNNNNNNNNNNNNNNNNNNNNNNNNNNNNNNNNNNNNNNNNNNNNNNNNNNNNNNNNNNNNNNNNNNNNNNNNNNNNNNNNNNNNNNNNNNNNNNNNNNNNNNNNNNNNNNNNNNNNNNNNNNNNNNNNNNNNNNNNNNNNNNNNNNNNNNNNNNNNNNNNNNNNNNNNNNNNNNNNNNNNNNNNNNNNNNNNNNNNNNNNNNNNNNNNNNNNNNNNNNNNNNNNNNNNNNNNNNNNNNNNNNNNNNNNNNNNNNNNNNNNNNNNNNNNNNNNNNNNNNNNNNNNNNNNNNNNNNNNNNNNNNNNNNGGCUUUUAAUGCGGCAAAACUCACUAUUCGGCCGGUCUUAAUUCCAUCCUCUAUCAUCUCCCCCAUUUUAAGGACUUCCAUAAAAGACUUUCCCAUUGCCGGAAGUAAAUAUUGAAAAUAGGUCUCAUCCUGCGCCUGAAUGAAAACUUCUACCAACUUACUUUCUUUCAUUGGAGGCUUUACCCUGGCAUCCUGCUCACGCCACCUUAUCGCGUAUUCCCUAAAACCUUCAGUGCUCUUCUUCUUCAUGUUGACCAAGGAUUUUUCGUCCGAAAUCAGGUCGAUAUUGUACUAAAAAUGUUGAACAAAUUCAAAAGCCAAAUCAUCCCAGCUAUUUCAUUUAUCGAUGUCUCAAUCGAUAAACCAUUCUGAGGCCAGAUCUGAAAGACUCUCGCCAAAGAAAGCCAUGAGAAGUUCUUCCUUUCCUCCUGCAGCCCUCAACUGGUUGCAAUAAUGUCUUAAGUGUGCCACGAGAUCGUCGUAUCUUGCAUACUUCUCGAACUUAGGCAUCUUAAAAUCGGGGGGAAGGUUGAUGUCUGGGAACAUGCAAAGAUCUUUAUAGGAAACACUCCUAUAAUCUCUGAUUCCUUGUAAAUUUCUCAUCACUUGUUCUAAACUUUUCAAUUUCCGGGCUAUGAUAUUAUGUUCCUCUGCUGCGACAGAUUUCUCCGUAUCAAAUGGAAAUGCAGGCGACUGAGUGUACCCAUACGAUUCAUUCAUCUGCAAAGUAGGCUCCGGGGCAUAAUACUGACUAUCUGAAGCCUUCAGUACUGGCUCACUGGCAGACCUAGGAAGCCUCAUUGUGGAACGCACAGCAUAUAUGGGAGUUUCAUGUGGUGGCGGAGCCACGAAUACUGGUGUGAUCGGUGGCGCUGGCUGAGUAGCUGGUCUUAAUUGGGGAGCUGCCAAGGGCACACCAGAACUGCCAGGAUAAUAAUUUCUCGGAGUGAAUCCUGGCGCGUGUUCAGGUGACUCAGUAGGAGCAGAGAAUUGCGCCUGAGAGAGCGGUGGGCAAUUAGAGAUAUUCCCAAGACCUUCAGGGAGUGGAGGAGGAGGCAUUCCGCUGGCCCAUGCCCGGUGUAAAUCUAUCAAUUGUAGCCUGAUCCUUACUACCUCAUCAUUGUGUUCAGAAUUUCUUUCCUGUGAUCCUGAUCCGGGUCAAUGAGCGAAUUUUUAAUCUCCCUGCUAGCCAUGGAGAGCUUUGCUUUGGAUCUAGUGAAGUAUGGGUGACUGGCCAAAGUGCUGCAAACCUACCACUGUUAUCUGAAAGAACAUGCUCAUCAAAGACAACAUUCGUUAGGAUUAGGGCACACAACAAACAUGGGAAUCACAUUGGUAAAAUUGUCCUAAAUUCAUGUUCAUUUCUACCAGCUUUUGAGGGUAGCGAGGUCAUUUUAACAUCAUCCUGAUUUUGUCUACACUUAUUUUUUUUAUCUACACUUAUUAUUAUUAUUAUUAUUAUUCGUAUCCAUCUCUGUCUUUUCCGUUCUCUCUUUAUCUACCUUUAUUUUAUCAUUCUUUAUGUCUUUUGUUAAACUAUGAUUAACAAAGAAAAAUCUUUUGGGAUUUUUGAUUUUGAAUUUCAUAGAAAAAUGAAACUUGAAACUAUUAAAGAAAAAUCUUUUUGUAGUUUUCUUUUAGAGAUGUAUAUGAAACACCUACUCUAAGCGAAGAGUGAAGAAAAUCUUUUUGAAUUUUCAGAUUUCUAUACAAAAUGAAAUCUAUGAUUACCGAAAAAAUAUUUUUGGAUUUUUAUUUUGAAUUUCAUUCGAAAAAUAAAACCUGAACCUAUUAAAGGGAAAUAUUUUUUUUGUUGUUUUCUUUUAAAGAUGUACAUGAAACACCUACUCUAAAUGAAGAGUGAAGAAAAUCUUUUUGAAUUUUUGAAAUAAGAUCAACCAAAAAUGAAACCUACGCCUAUUCAGGAAAAUCUCUUUUUUUUUCUCUUUUUUUUUUUCUUUUCAAGAUAUGUAUGAAACACCUACUCUAAAUAAAGAGUGAAGAAAAAUCUUUUUUAAAAAAAAAAAUAAGAUCCCCGAACCAACAAUAGGCUGCCUAUAUAUCUCACAUCCCGAAAGAGGUAAAUUAGGGGAGCGUAGUUCAUCCAGAUUGAACAAUUAACGAUUAACUACUAAAUUGACCCUAACUUAAGAGACACAAUCGAAAAACUUUUUGGAUUUUCAACUAGACAUUUCAACUAAGACUGACACCACCAAUUGUGAAAAAAACUUUUUGGUAUUUUGUUUUUGACAAAUAAGUAGAAAAGGCAAACAAAACCCUCUUUUAUUCAUUUUUUUUAUUAUGAAUUUUUUGAAUUUACGGUACUUUGCGAAGACAAAUGCAAAACGUAAAAAAAAUCAUUUUGGAUUUUGGAUUGUGAAAAACAAAAGUCAUAACGAAUUCUAAAAUAAACUAUGACAUUCCUCUUUUUUUUUUAAUUCUUUUCGACUCACUUUUUCUAUUUUUUUUUCUUUGUUUUAACCACGGUCGCUAGGUAGGGUGUAUCGACUAUUUUGACACUACGAAAUGUAUAAACCACACAGAGGCACGUAAAACAAUCAAAUGAUAAACAAAACAAAAACAAUCCAAAAUGUAAUGUCCAGUCCAAUUAUACAGUCCGGGGUAUGAAAAGAAAUGCAGAAAUAUAAACCUAUGCUAAAUUAAUUCUAAACUAAUGUUCUACCCGAUGCCUCGGGCCUUCAUCACGAACGUCCUCCGGAUACAUGAUACCUCGGGGGCAAUAAAUAUAUACAAAUACUUUGGGGCAUUCCCCGGCCAAAUUAUACAAUUGAAUCUCAAUGCAUAAAUCAGAACCAUUCCACAAAUAUUUCAAACAUUCCAACAAUCCAUCAAUUCUAAAUUUUGCCUACCCGAACCUACCUUCGCCUAUCUAUUUGAUCCAAAUGUGAUAUUAUCAAAACUUAACAAAUCCAACGCCUAAUUUACAACAAAACAAACAUCAAUCAAUCAAUACGAAUAAAUCACAUUAAUUUUUCUAUCCGUUUCCCAUUCUCACCUCGAUUUUGUUAACUAAUUACCGAUUUCAAUUAUCCACAAGAUAUCGUUUUCAUCCAAAUUGCACCGUUCGAGAUCAAUCAUUCAACACAAACACAUAUCGCAGCAAAUCAAUCCAAAAAUCACAAAACACAGUCACAUGGAAUUUAAGAAAAAUAGAGUUAGAAAUUGGACCUUUCGGGAUCAAAGUGUUGUUUCGAUUAAAUAAGAUGAACCAACGGACCAAAACCGGGAAAACCUCAACUCGAGCAAUCUCAACCUUGAACGAUGCCAAUCGAACAAUCCUCAAUACGAACCCCAAAACCACCAAACAACGAGAUGAAUCAACCAUGAAAACCCCCUAAGAAAUCUGAUUUGAACGCAGUUUCUUGAAGAAGACGAAUCUCGAAAACAACACACAUAAAAAUCCAAGCGGAAUACCAACACAUAUACGAUUCAAAAGGAAUUUUGGGAAAGAUUGAUUUCUGGUGACGUCGUUUUCCGAUUGCUUUUUGCCAGAACAACGAUAAACCGUCAUUGGGCGUCUUCCGAUGGCUGACCGGAUGAAAUUUUGAUGGAUUUCCCGUGAGAUACUUUCCGUUAAUCGAUCCCUCUAUUUUUUCCUCUCUCUCUCAUGCCCAAUCUCUCUUAAUUUCCUCCAAUUUCCAUCCUCUCUCUUCAAUCAUACUCCAACUCAAUCCCCUCAAACUUAUGUCUCAAUCUCUCUGAAUUUUCCACCUUUCACUAUGUGCGUGGGCGCCUAUGUUAGUGUGUUUGUUAUGACUGUGUGUUUGUGUAUAUCGAUGGAUGUGCGAGUGAUGAGUGAUGAAUGAAAUAAAAGUAAGAAGAUGAGUGUGUGUCCCCUGUGUGUAACGAAAAAUGGCUUUUUGUGAGGUGAGUCCCGUCUGUGUAUGAGUGUGUGAAUAGAAUUGAGAAUGGUGUUGUUGUGUUUGGGAGCCCAGAAGCCCAAGAAGAAGAAAAGAAUGGUGUCUCCCCCCCCCCCCCUUUUUUAAAAAAAAAAUCUCCUCAUAUGGUCCCUUUGUGUGUGUAUAUAUGCUGUGAGGUUAGGUAGGUGGGGUCACGUGGGGUAGGGUGUAGGGUAUGAUGUGGUUUAUUUUGAUUGGAUGGAUUGUUAGGAUAAGAUGUAGGGGUUAGGAUAGGAUAGGAUUUGUUAGGGAGUUUGUUAUUUUUUUGUAUUUUGUGAGGGUAUAAUAACAUGGGUGAGGGUACAUGGUAGGAUAAAAUAAAAACGGGUAAAAGUGAAUAAAAAUUGAACUUUUAAGGUAAAAAUGGGUAAAACGACAACGGGGAGGGAUGAAAUUAGGUGUCUACAAACACAGUAACCAAUUCACACAUACACCAUCCCAUUGACAAAAAAAAAGCCACCAAUACUCUCACUGACCCCUCAAAACCAAAAUAUACACAUAACACUCAUCCUCACUGAGAUCACACACACAAUCUCAAUUCAUACAUACCAUUUAUGAAUUCCGCUCUCACACAGUUUGUACACACAUACAAAAGGAAAUCAAAAAAGAGAAGAGAGAGAAGUGAAUUAGACUAAAAGAAAAUAUAUUGAGGGCUCAAAGGUUCGAGUAAGAGAGAGCUCAGCCAUUGAGAGAAUGACAGGGAGAGAAAUCGGUCAUGCUACUCUAAUUUUUCGGUGAAACUUCACCGGAAUUCGGUGCCACCGGCGAGCCUGAUACACCCACCAGCUGCCAUAUACCAUCCUGCCGCCUCUGAACCACCAGAGCACUGUGACCAUCGAGAAUACCCCAAAUCUGAUCCAAACUCGACUAGUUCGUCUUUCUUCGUCACGAUUUCGGUAUGCUCAAUUUCUGUUUGAGUCUUUGGGUUACUAUACUGAGUUGGUGUCGAUCAUUUUAAAGUUUUCUUGUCGUCCGUCUAGUGUCGGGUUGCCAUCCGUCGUCGAUUUGUUUCAAUCUAGGUUUAUUUUGCUUUUGGAUUUCGAGAUCGAAAUUCCAUCUUCGAGGGUUUUAUUGCUUCUGUUUGAAGUUAUUGGUUAGGCAGUAUAUAUUGAAUUUGCGGUCUUGGAUUCAAAUCUAUUAGGAAUUCAUGAUAUCGAGUUGGUCGAGUUGUCGAGGUUGAUUUGGGGUUCUUCGGCACGUGGAUUCACCCCCUCGUUUGAUUGAUAUUUGGAAUAAAAUCAUCAUUGAGGUCUGUUUCUACUCAUUUCCUCUUUUUUAUUUCAUUGUUAAUGGUAUAUGGUACAUUAGAUUAAUUAGCUGUGAAUGUGAUUAGGUGGUUGUUGAUCAUGAUUGUUUGAUUUUGUUGAUGUUUAUGCUUUUGAUAAUGAAAUUCGAGUGAUGUUGAGUUGUUUAAUUUCGUGAAUCAAAAAAUGAUUAAGGAUAGUUGAAUUGGUGAUUACGAAUUGUGGAAUUUGAUAUUAAAAGAGAAUUUGGGGUGGAAUUUUGAGAUUGAUGAAAAGGGUCAAUUUGGAUUAAUGUUGGUCUUCUUGUUGUUUAAUGCGGAAUUAAUUUCAAGUUUGUGAAUUCUAUAGUGUCAUGAUAGGUAAAAUGGGAUAGACAAAUAUUUAGGUUCGGGUAGGCAAAAAUUUAGGAUUGAUGUAUUGAUUGAAUGGGUUGAAUAUUUAGAUGUAUGUUUUGAACCUUUUUUUAGUUAUCUCAGAUGUAUUCAUUUGGCCGGGGAAUGCCCCGAGGUAUUUGUGUUCAUUUGCUGGGGAAUGCCCCGAAGUAUCAUGUACUGGAAGAUAGCACACGUUCAAGGCCAGGAACGACGGGUGGAGUUUAAUUCAGGAGUAGUUAGGGAUAGUUCGGAAUAGAAUAGAUUUACAUUUUUGCAUUUUUCAUUAUUCGAUACUGUAUAAUUGGACUGGACACUAUAUUUUUUAUUCGUUUUGUUUUGUUUGUUUUUUGAUUGUUUUACAUGUUUUUGUGUGGUUUGUACAUUCAUAGUGUCAAAUUAGCCGAUAUCCUCCACCAAGCGAUCGUGGUCAAAAGAUGGGACUGAGGGGUGCCUAACACCUUCCCCUCGGUCAACAAAGUUCCUUAGCCAGAAUCUCUGUUCGCAAACUAGUUUAAAGAGUCAAAUAAUUUUGAAAAGGAUUUUCCAAUGGUGACUUGGCACACCAGAUUAUGCCAAGUGGAGACUCUGAUUUCAAAUGUAAAGACAAUCCUUCUUCGAAACAAAUCAUUUUCUUUUGUCACUUAAUAAUAAAAAUCCUUUUCAAACUUAAAACGAAUCAUUUGGAGUACGAAAAGGGGUGUGACAGCUCUGGAGACUCUGCUGGGGAACCUUUUCAGAAUUUGAGUUUAUUUUUUUGGAGUUGAAUUGGCUUAGUUUGACAUUAUGGGUGCGUAAACAUUGUUUGUGUUAUCAUUUGUUGUUUAUUUUAUCAUUGUUGAGUGCCUACGUGCUCUUUGUUUACAGUUUUUCUCUUAUGUGUUACCGCUUUAUAAAAUCCAGUUUAAGCAUGAACAUUGAAUCAAAGGGUUAAAGUUAGAAAAAGAGAGCAUCUGAGAAAAUAGAUAGAGUGCUGAGGCAUUUGGUGAUCAAGUUGAAGCCUUCUUUGAAAAUUAAGGCUAUUAUUUUGAGAAUCGUGAGAAUAACUUGGUCAUCAAUUGAAAGACAUAUCUCAAUUAGGUCAAGUAUUGAAUGUGUGAUCCUAUAUCAAAAGGAACAGGAAGAAAAUUAGCUCCACGAAGUCAUGAGUCCUUCAGCAUGAGGAAUGUACAACAAAGUGGAGUUGUAUACUGGGCAAGUGUAGGAAAAGAAAUGGCACACAUGCUCGGGGCAAGUUAGUGUUGUAAAAUAUUUCAUAAGUGAUCUUGAUCGUGCACUUUUGCAUUGCAUGCUAUGUAGUAGCAUUUUCAAGAAUUGAUAUGACGAAGACAUUUUAUUCUGCUAUCCAAACAUUGUAUCAUCCUUUGUCUACCCCAUUUGGGCCUUAGUUUUAUUUUCUUUCAUACUCCUCUUUUGGAAUCAGGAUAGAGUUUGCAACGUCCAAGAAACAGUGUCGAAAAAAAAGAGGUCAGAAAAUUUUCAAAAAAGAGACAAAAUAGGUCCAAAAAGAAAGAAAAGAAGAGUGUGUCAAGAAAAUGGAGUCAGAAAAAGAAUCUCAAAGAGAAAAGAUCCAAUAAAAGAAAAAAGAAAAAAAAAUCAGAUCAAAAGAAAGAACAAGUUGCCAGAACUACGCAUGGCCUGAUUCUCCUCUCUCAAGGGUGAGAUACGUAAGUUGCCCUACUCAGAGCUCGGUCCAACCAAAUAAGCAAUUUAGAAUUGCCCAGGCAAAAGAAACCAGGGCAUGAGUUGAUCCUCAUUAUUUGAGUCGAUUCCAAAAGUUGUAAGUCUCACCCCACUUCAAGUGUCGCUUGGGCCCCAUGUCAUCCUUUCUUUCUAACCCUAUCCAAAAGUCAAGUUACAACAAAAGAAAGACCUUUGGAUCUAUCUUUGAGAAUGUUAAGUCAAAGCAUGCAAUGGAUGUGAUGACACAUUUUAGGAACUACUCGUCUUCCUCUACAUAAGAAAUCAGGAGAGAAAUAAAAAUGAGAGAGUCUAAUUGGUGAAAACCCUCAUGGGCACCAUAAGGUGAUGGUAAGCAGAUAAAAAUGAGAGGGUCUUAAUGGUGAAAACCCUCACGGGCACCAUAAGGUGAUUGUGAGUUGAGAGAAAAAUGAGAGAGGCUUGUUAGCAAAAAUCCUUCAAUGUGCCACUAGCCGAAUGAGUUCUUCGAAUGCAAUGGGUUCAAGCAAGUAACUUAGUUUCAGAGCCAUUAACUCAAAAACAAUUGGUAGAAAGUUUGGAUGGAAAGAUCAAGCAUCUUGAUCCAAAAUGCAUGGCAUAAUCAUUAGAGUUAUUCAAAUGGGGACAUUCAUUGUCUUUUCUUUCUUUUCUUUAUUUUUGUUUUAUUUUUCUUGAGUCAGUUAUCCAAAUAAAAAAUUAUUGUCAUUUUUCUCUUGUUUUUGAGUCAAGUCCAUGUCAAAACAAGUGAGAAAAGAUUUUAAAAUUGGCUACCAUCUUCUUCAAUUGCAAAGAGCGAGACAAAAGACCAACACAUGAAAAAGACAUAAUUGUAAGCCGAAAUAAGGCAUACAAAAAAUCCUGUCAACAAACAAGUCUGGGAACUCAUGGAAAUACCAAAUUUCAAAGGGUUUAUCUGAAGAGCUUGGCAAAGCAAAGAUACUGUGUUUGUUUCAAAGUCACUCUUAAUAAUCUGAGUUUUGGUCAAUGAUGCAUCAAGUCAAUGAUAUAUGUAAUAGUUGGAAGGAAUAAUGCGGCAAAGGCGAUCUCCGCAAAAACUAAAGCCAUAAAUCAACCACCAUGUUUCAAACUAACAAGUUUUCUUUGAUGAAAUAGGAAACAUACUACCUUCAAAGCAAUAACUUCAGAGCAUGAACAUCAAGGGCUGCAAAGAGUCACAUUUACAAAUGCAAGAAGCAAUGUUGCUGCACAGGUUUGAUAAUAAAAUCAUGGUAAAGAUUUAUCAUCCUAUAUCCCUCGGAGACACACUUGUUAAGGGAUUUCAGUUUUCAUUUGUUAGGUGAUACACUUUUUAAAUUGAAAUUUGAUUUCUAUAAGACGUACCUUUUAGUCGAGUCAUCUCCCUUGAUUCCUAGAAGACGUACCUUUUAGUCGAGUCAUCUCUCUUGAUUCCUAUAAGACAUACCUUUUGCCAGUCAUCUCCCUUGAUUCAUAGAAGACGUACCUUUUAGUCAAGUCAUCCCCCUUGAUUCUUAUAAAACGUACCUUUUAGUCGAGUCAUCCCCCAUGAUUCCCAUAAGACGAAUCUUUUAGUCGAGUCAUCCCCCAUGAUUACCAUAAGACGUACCUUUUAGUCGAGUCAUCCCCCUUGACCCUUAGAAGACGUACCUUUUAGUCGAGUCAUUCCUUUUGAUUCCUAUAAGAUGUACAUUUUAGUCGAGUCAUUUUCUUUGAUUCCUAUAAGACGUACCUUUUAGUCGAGUCAUUCCCUUUGAUUCUUAUAAGACGUACCUUUUAGUCGAGUCAUUCCCUUUGAUUCUUAUAAGACGUACCUUUUAGUCGAGUCAUUUCCUUUGAUUCCUAUAAGACGUACCUUUUAGUCGNNNNNNNNNNNNNNNNNNNNNNNNNNNNNNNNNNNNNNNNNNNNNNNNNNNNNNNNNNNNNNNNNNNNNNNNNNNNNNNNNNNNNNNNNNNNNNNNNNNNNNNNNNNNNNNNNNNNNNNNNNNNNNNNNNNNNNNNNNNNNNNNNNNNNNNNNNNNNNNNNNNNNNNNNNNNNNNNNNNNNNNNNNNNNNNNNNNNNNNNNNNNNNNNNNNNNNNNNNNNNNNNNNNNNNNNNNNNNNNNNNNNNNNNNNNNNNNNNNNNNNNNNNNNNNNNNNNNNNNNNNNNNNNNNNNNNNNNNNNNNNNNNNNNNNNNNNNNNNNNNNNNNNNNNNNNNNNNNNNNNNNNNNNNNNNNNNNNNNNNNNNNNNNNNNNNNNNNNNNNNNNNNNNNNNNNNNNNNNNNNNNNNNNNNNNNNNNNNNNNNNNNNNNNNNNNNNNNNNNNNNNNNNNNNNNNNNNNNNNNNNNNNNNNNNNNNNNNNNNNNNNNNNNNNNNNNNNNNNNNNNNNNNNNNNNNNNNNNNNNNNNNNNNNNNNNNNNNNNNNNNNNNNNNNNNNNNNNNNNNNNNNNNNNNNNNNNNNNNNNNNNNNNNNNNNNNNNNNNNNNNNNNNNNNNNNNNNNNNNNNNNNNNNNNNNNNNNNNNNNNNNNNNNNNNNNNNNNNNNNNNNNNNNNNNNNNNNNNNNNNNNNNNNNNNNNNNNNNNNNNNNNNNNNNNNNNNNNNNNNNNNNNNNNNNNNNNNNNNNNNNNNNNNNNNNNNNNNNNNNNNNNNNNNNNNNNNNNNNNNNNNNNNNNNNNNNNNNNNNNNNNNNNNNNNNNNNNNNNNNNNNNNNNNNNNNNNNNNNNNNNNNNNNNNNNNNNNNNNNNNNNNNNNNNNNNNNNNNNNNNNNNNNNNNNNNNNNNNNNNNNNNNNNNNNNNNNNNNNNNNNNNNNNNNNNNNNNNNNNNNNNNNNNNNNNNNNNNNNNNNNNNNNNNNNNNNNNNNNNNNNNNNNNNNNNNNNNNNNNNNNNNNNNNNNNNNNNNNNNNNNNNNNNNNNNNNNNNNNNNNNNNNNNNNNNNNNNNNNNNNNNNNNNNNNNNNNNNNNNNNNNNNNNNNNNNNNNNNNNNNNNNNNNNNNNNNNNNNNNNNNNNNNNNNNNNNNNNNNNNNNNNNNNNNNNNNNNNNNNNNNNNNNNNNNNNNNNNNNNNNNNNNNNNNNNNNNNNNNNNNNNNNNNNNNNNNNNNNNNNNNNNNNNNNNNNNNNNNNNNNNNNNNNNNNNNNNNNNNNNNNNNNNNNNNNNNNNNNNNNNNNNNNNNNNNNNNNNNNNNNNNNNNNNNNNNNNNNNNNNNNNNNNNNNNNNNNNNNNNNNNNNNNNNNNNNNNNNNNNNNNNNNNNNNNNNNNNNNNNNNNNNNNNNNNNNNNNNNNNNNNNNNNNNNNNNNNNNNNNNNNNNNNNNNNNNNNNNNNNNNNNNNNNNNNNNNNNNNNNNNNNNNNNNNNNNNNNNNNNNNNNNNNNNNNNNNNNNNNNNNNNNNNNNNNNNNNNNNNNNNNNNNNNNNNNNNNNNNNNNNNNNNNNNNNNNNNNNNNNNNNNNNNNNNNNNNNNNNNNNNNNNNNNNNNNNNNNNNNNNNNNNNNNNNNNNNNNNNNNNNNNNNNNNNNNNNNNNNNNNNNNNNNNNNNNNNNNNNNNNNNNNNNNNNNNNNNNNNNNNNNNNNNNNNNNNNNNNNNNNNNNNNNNNNNNNNNNNNNNNNNNNNNNNNNNNNNNNNNNNNNNNNNNNNNNNNNNNNNNNNNNNNNNNNNNNNNNNNNNNNNNNNNNNNNNNNNNNNNNNNNNNNNNNNNNNNNNNNNNNNNNNNNNNNNNNNNNNNNNNNNNNNNNNNNNNNNNNNNNNNNNNNNNNNNNNNNNNNNNNNNNNNNNNNNNNNNNNNNNNNNNNNNNNNNNNNNNNNNNNNNNNNNNNNNNNNNNNNNNNNNNNNNNNNNNNNNNNNNNNNNNNNNNNNNNNNNNNNNNNNNNNNNNNNNNNNNNNNNNNNNNNNNNNNNNNNNNNNNNNNNNNNNNNNNNNNNNNNNNNNNNNNNNNNNNNNNNNNNNNNNNNNNNNNNNNNNNNNNNNNNNNNNNNNNNNNNNNNNNNNNNNNNNNNNNNNNNNNNNNNNNNNNNNNNNNNNNNNNNNNNNNNNNNNNNNNNNNNNNNNNNNNNNNNNNNNNNNNNNNNNNNNNNNNNNNNNNNNNNNNNNNNNNNNNNNNNNNNNNNNNNNNNNNNNNNNNNNNNNNNNNNNNNNNNAAAGGAUUUUCCAAUGGUGACUUGGCACACCAGAUUAUGCCAAGUGGAGACUCUGAUUUCAAAUGUAAAGACAAUCCUUCUUCGAAACAAAUCAUUUUCUUUUGUCACUUAAUAAUAAAAAUCCUUUUCAAACUUAAAACGAAUCAUUUGGAGUACGAAAAGGGGUGUGACAGCUCUGGAGACUCUGCUGGGGAACCUUUUCAGAAUUUGAGUUUAUUUUUUUGGAGUUGAAUUGGCUUAGUUUGACAUUAUGGGUGCGUAAACAUUGUUUGUGUUAUCAUUUGUUGUUUAUUUUAUCAUUGUUGAGUGCCUACGUGCUCUUUGUUUACAGUUUUUCUCUUAUGUGUUACCGCUUUAUAAAAUCCAGUUUAAGCAUGAACAUUGAAUCAAAGGGUUAAAGUUAGAAAAAGAGAGCAUCUGAGAAAAUAGAUAGAGUGCUGAGGCAUUUGGUGAUCAAGUUGAAGCCUUCUUUGAAAAUUAAGGCUAUUAUUUUGAGAAUCGUGAGAAUAACUUGGUCAUCAAUUGAAAGACAUAUCUCAAUUAGGUCAAGUAUUGAAUGUGUGAUCCUAUAUCAAAAGGAACAGGAAGAAAAUUAGCUCCACGAAGUCAUGAGUCCUUCAGCAUGAGGAAUGUACAACAAAGUGGAGUUGUAUACUGGGCAAGUGUAGGAAAAGAAAUGGCACACAUGCUCGGGGCAAGUUAGUGUUGUAAAAUAUUUCAUAAGUGAUCUUGAUCGUGCACUUUUGCAUUGCAUGCUAUGUAGUAGCAUUUUCAAGAAUUGAUAUGACGAAGACAUUUUAUUCUGCUAUCCAAACAUUGUAUCAUCCUUUGUCUACCCCAUUUGGGCCUUAGUUUUAUUUUCUUUCAUACUCCUCUUUUGGAAUCAGGAUAGAGUUUGCAACGUCCAAGAAACAGUGUCGAAAAAAAAGAGGUCAGAAAAUUUUCAAAAAAGAGACAAAAUAGGUCCAAAAAGAAAGAAAAGAAGAGUGUGUCAAGAAAAUGGAGUCAGAAAAAGAAUCUCAAAGAGAAAAGAUCCAAUAAAAGAAAAAAGAAAAAAAAAUCAGAUCAAAAGAAAGAACAAGUUGCCAGAACUACGCAUGGCCUGAUUCUCCUCUCUCAAGGGUGAGAUACGUAAGUUGCCCUACUCAGAGCUCGGUCCAACCAAAUAAGCAAUUUAGAAUUGCCCAGGCAAAAGAAACCAGGGCAUGAGUUGAUCCUCAUUAUUUGAGUCGAUUCCAAAAGUUGUAAGUCUCACCCCACUUCAAGUGUCGCUUGGGCCCCAUGUCAUCCUUUCUUUCUAACCCUAUCCAAAAGUCAAGUUACAACAAAAGAAAGACCUUUGGAUCUAUCUUUGAGAAUGUUAAGUCAAAGCAUGCAAUGGAUGUGAUGACACAUUUUAGGAACUACUCGUCUUCCUCUACAUAAGAAAUCAGGAGAGAAAUAAAAAUGAGAGAGUCUAAUUGGUGAAAACCCUCAUGGGCACCAUAAGGUGAUGGUAAGCAGAUAAAAAUGAGAGGGUCUUAAUGGUGAAAACCCUCACGGGCACCAUAAGGUGAUUGUGAGUUGAGAGAAAAAUGAGAGAGGCUUGUUAGCAAAAAUCCUUCAAUGUGCCACUAGCCGAAUGAGUUCUUCGAAUGCAAUGGGUUCAAGCAAGUAACUUAGUUUCAGAGCCAUUAACUCAAAAACAAUUGGUAGAAAGUUUGGAUGGAAAGAUCAAGCAUCUUGAUCCAAAAUGCAUGGCAUAAUCAUUAGAGUUAUUCAAAUGGGGACAUUCAUUGUCUUUUCUUUCUUUUCUUUAUUUUUGUUUUAUUUUUCUUGAGUCAGUUAUCCAAAUAAAAAAUUAUUGUCAUUUUUCUCUUGUUUUUGAGUCAAGUCCAUGUCAAAACAAGUGAGAAAAGAUUUUAAAAUUGGCUACCAUCUUCUUCAAUUAAGUGAGAAAAGAUUUUAAAAUUGGCUACCAUCUUCUUCAAUUGCAAAGAGCGAGACAAAAGACCAACACAUGAAAAAGACAUAAUUGUAAGCCGAAAUAAGGCAUACAAAAAAUCCUGUCAACAAACAAGUCUGGGAACUCAUGGAAAUACCAAAUUUCAAAGGGUUUAUCUGAAGAGCUUGGCAAAGCAAAGAUACUGUGUUUGUUUCAAAGUCACUCUUAAUAAUCUGAGUUUUGGUCAAUGAUGCAUCAAGUCAAUGAUAUAUGUAAUAGUUGGAAGCAAGAUUAAUGUGAUGACGGCAAAGGCGAUCUCCGCAAAAACUAAAGCCAUAAAUCAACCACCAUGUUUCAAACUAACAAGUUUUCUUUGAUGAAAUAGGAAACAUACUACCUUCAAAGCAAUAACUUCAGAGCAUGAACAUCAAGGGCUGCAAAGAGUCACAUUUACAAAUGCAAGAAGCAAUGUUGCUGCACAGGUUUGAUAAUAAAAUCAUGGUAAAGAUUUAUCAUCCUAUAUCCCUCGGAGACACACUUGUUAAGGGAUUUCAGUUUUCAUUUGUUAGGUGAUACACUUUUUAAAUUGAAAUUUGAUUUCUAUAAGACGUACCUUUUAGUCGAGUCAUCUCCCUUGAUUCCUAGAAGACGUACCUUUUAGUCGAGUCAUCUCUCUUGAUUCCUAUAAGACAUACCUUUUAGUCGAGUCAUCUCCCUUGAUUCCUAGAAGACGUACCUUUUAGUCAAGUCAUCCCCCUUGAUUCUUAUAAAACGUACCUUUUAGUCGAGUCAUCCCCCAUGAUUCCCAUAAGACGAAUCUUUUAGUCGAGUCAUCCCCCAUGAUUACCAUAAGACGUACCUUUUAGUCGAGUCAUCCCCCUUGACCCUUAGAAGACGUACCUUUUAGUCGAGUCAUUCCUUUUGAUUCCUAUAAGAUGUACAUUUUAGUCGAGUCAUUUUCUUUGAUUCCUAUAAGACGUACCUUUUAGUCGAGUCAUUCCCUUUGAUUCUUAUAAGACGUACCUUUUAGUCGAGUCAUUUCCUUUGAUUCCUAUAAGACGUACCUUUUAGUCGAGUCAUUCCCCUUGACCCCUAGAAGACGUACCUUUUAGUCGAGUCAUUUCCUCUGAUUCCUAUAAGACGUACCUUUUAGUCGAGUCAUUCUCUUUGAUUCAUAUAAGAUGUACCCUUUAGUCGAGUUAUUUCCUCUGAUUCCUAGAAGACGUACCUUUUAGUCGAGUCAUCCCAUUUGAUUCCUAGAAGACGUACCUUUUAGUCGAGUUAUUCCCCUUGACCCCUAGAAGACGUACCUUUUAGUCGAGUCAUUUCCCUGGAUUCUUAUAAGACGUACCUUUUAGUCAAGUCAUCUCCCUUUGAUUCCUAUUAGACAUAACUUUUAGUCGAGUCAUCUCCCUUUGAUUCCUAUAAGACGUACCUUUUAGUCGAGUCAUCCCCCUUGAUUCCUAUAAGACGUACCUUUUAGUCAAGUCAUUCCCCUUGACCCCUAGAAGACGUACCUUUUAGUUGAGUCAUCCCUCUUGAUUCCUAUAAGGCAUACCUUUUAGUCGACUUAUUUCCCUUGACCCCUAGAAGGAGUACCUUUUAGUCGACUUAUUUCCCUUGACCCCUAGAAGACGUACCUUUUAGUCGAGUCAUUCCCCUUGAUUCCUAUAAAACAUACCUUUUAGUCGAUUCAUUCCCCUUGAUUCCUAUAAGACGUACCUUUUUAUCAAGUCAUUCUCCUUAAUUCCUAUAAUGAUGUGACUUUCACAAAAUUCCUUUGAUGAUAAACUGGGGCAAAAUUUAAUUCUUGUUUUUGGAACUUUACUUUUCUGGAAAACAAAAUUUCUCUUUAUAAUAAUUUUUGUUUGGGUUGGGAUAAUUUUCUUUCCAGUUUUGAUGUGAUUUCAGGAGCCUGCCCGAAGCACAGAGCGAAUAAAUGGAAAACCAAGCAACAAGGUGAAGAAAUUAAAAGUUAAACAGAUUGAAAAAUAGCAAGUCAGGAGCCCGCCUACAGAAUGGGGUGAAGAAAUUGAAAGCAUAGCAACAAGUUGAUGAAAAAGCAAGUCAGGAACCCGCUCGGAGAACAGGGUGUAGAAAUUGAAAGGCAAGCAACAAGUUGAAGAAAUUGUAAGUCAGAAGCCCGCAUGAAUAAUAGGGUGAUGAAACUCAAGUCAAGAGUCCAAAAGAAGUUGUAUAGAUAGGAUUUUUGUACUUUUCAUUUAUGUUUAACUUGUAAUUUUCAUUUUUAAUGUAAUGACAGAGCUGCGGACCAUAACCUCGACGGGACCUCACUCGACUCCCCAACUCGGUACUGUCCAUCUCCUUCCAAUCUUUUAAGAUACCUGCGACUUGACUCCCUCGUAAUUUGGGUAGGUAGGAUGUCCUAAGUCAAGACUCGGUUGUCCUUCUUGCUUUGAAUAAUGGUCGUGUCAAAACUUUGUCUCAUUGUCUACUUCUUUGUAUGAAAACACUUUGUGUUUACAUGCAAAGAGGGGUAUGAUGUAGACACAUAAUUUUGUCCCUCCCCGAAAAUAUUUUUACCAUUUUACCUUAUUCUACCGCAUACCCUCAACCAUAUAAUUAUCCCUCCAUAACAUGAACAAAAUAACAACCCUUAACAAAUUUUACCUUGUUCUAAUCCUAUCCUUACAACCUCUCCAAUUAAAAGCGGACACCUCAGCACCCCUACCCCUUCCACAGACCCCCCCCCCCCCCUCCCAACCCCCCCCCCCCCAAAUCACAUUUUUCCAUCUUUGGUUAUAAUAAAAGAUAACUAGGACCCAAGGAAGGAUUUGAUAACAACAUAUACACUCACGGGCCCCACCACUAAAAAAAGACAAUUAAUACACCCAUCCUUACCAACCCUCACCAGAAUUGUCAAAACCUACAACACAGUAACCAAUUCACACAUACACCAUCCCAUUGACAAAAAAAAAGCAACCAAUACUCUCACUGACCCCUCACAACCAAAAUAUACACACAACACUCAUCCUCACUAAUAUCACACACACAAUCUCAAUUCAUACAUACCAUUUAUGAAUUCCAGUCUCACGCACAGUUUGCACGCACAUACGGAGAGAAAUCAAAAAAAGAAAAGAGAAAGGAGUGAAUUGGACUAAAAGAAAAUAUAUCGAGGGCUCAAAGGUUUGAGUGAUAGAGAGCUCAGCCAUUGAGAGAAGGACGGGGAGAGAAACCGGUCAUGCCACUCUAAUUUUUCGGCGAAACUUCACCGGAAUCCGGUGCCAUCAGCGAACCUGAUACACCCACCAGUCGCCAUACACCAUCCCACCGCUUCUGAACCACCAGAGCACCGUGACCAUCGAGAAUACCCCAAAUCCGAUCCAAACUCAACUAGUGCGUCUUUCUUCGUCACGAUUUUGGUAUGCUCGAUUUUCGUUCGAGUCCUUGGGUUAUGAUACUGAGCCGGUGUCGAUCAUUUUAAAGUUUUUUUGUCAUUCGUCUAGUGUCGGGUUGCCAUCCAUCGUCAAUUUAUUUCAAUCUGGGUUUAUUUUGCUUUUGGAUUUCGAGAUCGGAAUUCCAUCUUCGAGGGUUUUAUUGCUUCUGUUUGAAGUUGUUAGUUAGGCAAUAUAUUUUGAGUUUGCGGUCUUGGAUUCAAAUCUAUUCGGAUCCUAAUUUGUGAUAUCGAGUUGGUCGAGUUGUCGAGGUUGGUUCGGGGUUCUUCGGCACACGGAUUCGUCCUCCCGUUUGAUUGAUCUUUCGAAUAAAAUCAUCAUUGAGGUAUGUUUCUACUCCUUUCCUCUUUUUUAUUUCAUUGUUGAUGGAAUAUGGUACAUUGGAUAAAUUGGUUGUGAAUGUGAUUAGGUGGUUGUUGAUCAUGAUUGUUUGAUUUUAUCGACGUUUAUGCUUUUGAUGAUGAAAUUUGAGUGAUGUUGAGUUGUUUAAUUUCGUGAAUCAAAAAAUGAUUAAGAAGAGUUGAAUUGGUGAUUGCGAAUUGUGGAAUUUGAUAUUAAAAGGGGAAUUUGGGGUGGAAUUUCGAGAUUGAUGAAAAGGGUCAAUUUGGAUUAAUGUUGGUCUUGUUGUUGUUUAAUGCGGAAUUAAUUUCAAGUUUGUGAAUUCUAUAGUGUCAUGAUAGGUAAAAUGGGAUAGGCAAAUGUUUAGGUUCGGAUAGGCCAAAAUUUAGGAGUGAUGUGUUGAUUGAAUGCGUUGACUGUUUAGAUGUAUGUUUUGAAUGUUUUUCUAGUUAUCUCAGAUGUAUUCAUUUGGUCAGGGAAUGCCCCGAGGUAUUUGUGUUCAUUUGCCAGGGAAUGCCCCAAAGUAUCAUGUACUGAAAGACGGCACACGGUCAAGGCCUGGAACGACGGGUGGAGUUUAAUUCAGGAGUAGUUUGGAAUAGAAUAGGUUUACAUUUUCACUUUUUUCAUUAUUCGGGACUGUAUAAUUGGACUGGAAACUAUAUUUUUUAUUUGUUUUGUUUUGUUUGUUUGUUGAUUGUUUUACAUGUUUUUGUGUGGUUUGUACAUUCUUAGUGUCAAAUUAGCUGAUAUCCUCCAUCAAGCGACCGUGGUCAAAAGACGGGACCGAGGAGUCCCUAACACCUUCCCCUCGGUCAACAGAAUUCCUUAGUCGGAAUCUCUAUUCGCAAACCAGUUUAAAGAAUCAAAUGGUUUUGAAAAGGAUUUUCCAAUGGUGACUUGGCACACCAGAUUAUGUUAAGUGGCGACUCUGAUUUCGAAUGUAAAGAAAAUCCUUCUUCGAAACAAAUCGUUUUCUUUUGUCACUUGAUAAUAAAAACCCUUUCGAACUUAACGAAUCAUUUGGAGUAAGAAAAAGGUGUGUGACAGCUUUGACGAAUCUGCUGGGGAACCUUUUCAAAAUUCGAGCUUACUUAUUUUUUCGAGCUUAGUUUGACAUUAUGGGUGUGUAAACAUUGUUUAUGUUAUCGUUUAUUGUUUAUUUUAUCAUUGUUGAGUGCAUACGUGCUCUUUGUUUACAAUUUUUUUCUUAUAUGUUAUCACUUUGUAACUGGUAUAAUGUGCAUAUGACAAUCUCUUGGGCUUAUUGAUUAAUGGACUAGCCCAGUAAAUAUUGGACUUCAUUUAAAUCCAUACAUGUUUGAACUUAAAUAAUUAAUUCAAUUAUAUUAAUCUGCAAUAUUUAUUUGGGACUAAUAUAUUUUAAAUUUAAUAUAAUCCAAAUUUAAUACGGAUUUAAAUUUAAUAAAAUUGCAUCGCCCAUAAAUACCCCACCUUCAAGAUUUGUCGAGACAUUUAAUCUUUCGACCACUAGAAUUGAAGUAUUUGUAACAAUAUUUGUGUAACAAAGAAAAGCCUCGAGCCAACGCCUCAAAUAGAAAUCUAUUUAAUUUGAAUCUGACUUUCUAAAGAAUAAAGUUGUAACUUAUGUUACAAUUAUAGGCAAAAUAUGAAUGAAUAUUUCAGUCAAAAUGAUGGCACAUGAUUGCUAACCAAUAAUCCACGUGAAAUCACAUUAUUGACCCUUCUUUUGUUUGCAUGCAUUUUCUAAGAAAAUGGACAUGUUAUCAUUUUUUAUUUACUGGCUGUUGCUUUGUCUCAUAGCCAUGCCAAUAAUCCAUUUGGAUUGGAGAAAAAAAAAUGAUUAGCAACCCAAAUUCCCUUUGGGCAUAGGAAACGUUAUUCUGCCGCCUCAAGUUAUUUUAUGUGUGUUAUUUUUUUUAUUUUUUCAAAGCCUGCACGUGACUGGAGGAGGCAGAAGAUAACAUUCCAUGCUUGAGUUCCAUCCGAAGUCAAAUUGUAACACCCAAUUCAUCUUUGACAUUAAUUGCUCAGCCGACUUUAAACUUCUAUAAAUAUCAAUCAUUUAAUCGCUUGUGAUUCAGAAUUUAACUGCCGCAAUUCCCAUCGGUUCUGUUUGAUUGUUGGUUGCGCCUGACCGAAGUAUUAUUGGUGAGUUGCUUUUCCUUAAUUUGCUCAUUAAUGUUUUGUUCUCUUUUUCUUUCCCUUUUUUUUUAUAGGGUUGAAACAAAUAGCAAUAUGCCACAAUCGGCUUAGGGUGUGAGAGUUUAACUUCGUCUUCAUACACUCUAAGACCAAUUAAUUUUGACUCUAAGACGGUGGCUACGCAAUAAUCGGCUUAGGGUGCGAGAGUUUAACUUCGCCUCCGUACACUCUAAGACCGACCAAUUUGACUUCAAGAUGCUGACUUUGCAACAAUCGGCUUAGGGUGCGAGAGUUUAACUUCGCCUUCGUACACUCUAAGACCGACCAAUUUGACUUCAAUACGGUGGCAAUGCAACAAUCGGCUUAGGGUGCGAGAGUUUAACUUCGCCUCCGUACACUCUAAGACCGACCAAUUUGACUUCAAGACGCAUGGUUUUCUUUAAGUAUGUGCCCUUUCAAUGUUCAGCUUAAGGUGCAAAGGAACAAAUUUUGUCCACCUUAAGGCAUAAAAAUUUUGAUAUCCUUUUAAGGAUAAACCCUUUAGAUGCCAGCUUAAGGUACAAAGGGACAAAUUUUGUCCACAUUAAGGCAUGAAAAUUUUCAUAUCCUUCUAAGGAUAACCACGUAAGAGGCCAAUUUAAGGUGGAAAGGGACAAAUUUUGUCCACCUUAAGGCAUAAAAUUUUUUAUAUCUUUUUAAGGAUAAACACGUAAGAGGCCAACUUAAGGUGCAAGGGGGCAAAUCUUGUUCACCUUAAGGCAUGAAAAUUUUGAUAUCCUUUAGGGAUAAACUUGCGAGAGGCCCACUUAAGGUGAAAAGAAACAAAUCUUGUCCACCUUAAGGCAUGUAAAUUUUGAGAUCCUUUUAGUUGUAGGCUUGGAGAACUUUGGCAUUCCAAAUCCCAUUGAAGGAACUCUCUUUCUUUUUGACGAGUUGCCCCCAUUGAACCACAAGUAUUUGACAUAAUUCCAAAUCUUAAUUCAAAUGUAUGCAAACUUGACUUUCAUACGACGGAUCAAACAGGGACAUACGUUUUUUUGACACUCAUGUAACUGAACUCAGAAUGAAAUUUCAAGCGCCUGCGUACCUCAAUAAAGAGGAUCAAGUCACAACGUAGUUCUGGGUGAGUUUUUUUUUUGUGUCCCAAGUUUUGCCUAGGUCGCCUCUUUCGAGGUUUUCAACCUAGCAGACAUUUAUUUGAUUUUUUUUAGCCGUUCACAGUUUAUACUCUUGCGGGCCAGGAGUAGACAUACAGUUUAUACUCGUGCCUUAAGGGGUGUCAUCUUCCUUCAAGGAUAGUACUUCUUCAAGAACUUGGCAUUGAUGGGGCCAAUCCUCAUGUCAUCUGCAUCGAUAAGCUUGUAAGCACCAUUUGAAUAUGCCUCUUGUUCAACAUAUGAUCCAUCCCACUUCGGGGUGAAUUUGCCCCCAGACUUACGAGAAGUGAUAAUGGGUCUUUUUACUGCAAGGACUUGAUCUCCAACUUGGAAGCACCUCAAGCGAACCCUUUUGUUGAAAGAACGAGAUAGCCGGGCUUGGUAACAUUCAAGAUUUUGUUGGGCCUCCAGCCUCUUCUCAUCAAGAGCUUCUAACUCCGCAAGACGCAACUUAGCAUUUUCUUCAUCGGUGAGCCCUUCUUGAAUAGCCAAUCUCAAAGAAGGUAUUUGAUGCUCAAGUGACAGGACUUCUUCAACUCCAAAAGCAAGUGAGUAUGGAGCUGCUUGCGCCGGUGUACGGUAAGUUGCCCUAUAUGCCCAUAAAUCUUCUUCCAUUCGCUCAUGCCAGUCUCGUUUGGAUUUGGAGACGACUUUCUUCAGCAAGUUACAUAAAGUCUUAUUGAACAUUUCGGCUAGACCAUUGGCGGCAGCAUGGUACAUAGAAGACUUGUGUUUCUUGAAACCAAAGAGAUCGCAAAUUUUGUUCAUCAGCUUAUUAUCAAAUGGCUUUCCAUUGUUAGUUAUUAUGUACUGAGGAAUUUCAAAGCGGUAGACGAUAUUCACUCAGAUGAAGUUUGCAACAUUUUUUUUCUUUACUUCCUUGAGAGCAACAGCUUCAGCCCAUUUCGAGAAGUAAUCUGUCGCGGCCAAGAUAUAUAGGUGUCCACCAGAAGAUUUUGGUAGUGGACCAACAACAUCCAUUCCCCAAGCAUUGAAUGGCCAAGAUGCUACAGUUGGAUGUAGUACCUCUGGAGGUUGAUGUAUGAAAUUUGCAUGGAAUUGACAAGCUUUGCAUCUUCUAGCAUAGUCUAAGCACUCUUUCACCAUCGCUGGCCAAUAAUAUCCUAUUCUUUUAAUGUGAAAAUGGAGCUUCGAUCCAGACUGAUGUGAUCCACAAACUCUCGAGUGUGCUUCUUGCAAAGAUUGAACUGCUUCUUCCUCUCCCAAAUACCGUAAGAGUACUCCUUCAAAUAAUCUUCUGUACAGUGUGUCUUUGUAGUAAAGGAAGCGAGGUGCGCGACGACGAAUGUCAGUCUUUCUCCUUGGAUAUUCUGGAAGUAUCCCAUAACAUAAGUAAUUAAUGAUAGGUUGUCACCAAUCUUCUUUUACAGCUUCAGACAAGGCAACGAGGUAUUCAACCUUGCUUUCCACAUCCUCAUCUGACGGCGGUACUACCUAUUCUUGGCGGAUAGUAACUUGGGUCUAAUUUGGAAGAGUCAGGGUUGAGGCCAAAGCAGCUAGAGCAUCAGCUUGAUUAUUUUCUCUCCUUGGCACAUGUUGGAGGGUCACUCCUCCAAGCCACCCCAUUAACUUUUGUGCAUAAUCAUGAUAUGGUCGUAGCUCAGGCUUUCUGACUUCAUAGCUUCCCAAAAGUUGUUUGAUCACUAGUUGGGAGUCACCAAAGACUCGUAAUUGUAGUUGUUUCAUGUCGACAGUCAUCUCUAGUCGAGUAUGAGCGCUUGAUACUCGGCAACAUUAUUGGAGCAAUGAUUUGUCAAGGUAAAAGAGUAGGGGAUGACCUCUUCUUGCGGUGUGACAAACACCUCACCGACACCAGCUCCAUCUCGAUGUGCAGGACCAUCAAAGUACAUUUUCCAUGGGGGACUAGCCUCAAUAACCAUUGCAUCUUCAUCAGGAAGUUCAUCGCUCAGUUCCCAAUCAUCAGGUAUCGGGUGGUCUGUCAAGAAGUUAGCCAAUGAUUGUCCCUUUACAGCCUUUUGGGGAACAUACACAAUCUCAAACUGUUGAAAUUGAAGGUACCAUCUUGCAAGUUGGUCACUAAGGACUGGUUUCGACACUACAAACUUGAUGGGAUUUGUCCUAGAGAUAAGCCGGACAACAUGAGCCUGAAAGUAGUGCUUCAUCUUUUGAAUCGAGAAGAAUAAUGCCAAACAUAACUUUUCAAUUGGAGAAUACUUUAGCUCAUUCGGCGUCAUCAUUCUGCUCAAAUAGUAAAGAGAGUUUUCCUUGCCUUUAUUAUUUUCUUGAGCCAGUAGUGCUCUAACUGACCUCUUUUGUGCCGCAAUGUAAAGUAUCAAUGGUUUCCCAGGUAUGGGUGCUGCAAGAACUGGUGGCUUCAUUAAGUAUGAUUUGAUACUCUCAAAGGCAUUACUACAAGCUUGGUCCCAUUCGAAGAAAGUGUCCUUCUUCAUAAGACGACUAAAUGGUUGACAUUUUCCGGCCAGGUUUAAGAUGAACCUCCUUAAAUAUGCUAGCCUUCCUUAAAGGCUUUUUAACUCAUGAAUAUCUCGAGGCUUGGGCAUCUUCAAAAUUGCAUCAACCUUAGCUUGAUUAAUUUUAAUUCCUCGGUGUCGCACAAUGAAGCCAAGAAAUUUUCCCGAAGUAACUCCAAAGGCACACUUCAAAGGAUUCAUCCUAAGUUGAUAUCUUCGAAGCAACUCGAAUACCAUUCUUAGGUCUUUUAAGUGGUUGCAUCUCUUUCUUGACUUCACCACUAGAUCAUCUACAUAGAAUUCAACAUUUUUAUGGAGCAGGCCAUCAAAGAUGUUCUGCAUAGCCCUUUGAUAAGUGGCGCCAGCGUUCUUCAAACCAAAAGGCAUCACCUUAUAGAAAUAAAUACCUUUGGGCGUACGAAAUGCAGUGAGUUCUUCAUUCUUUGGUGCCAUACGGAUUUGAUUAUAGCCGGAUGAACCAUCCAUAAAGGACAUUGCCUUAUAACCAGUGGUGGGAUCAAUCAUCAACUCUGGUAUGGGAAUUGAAAAGACAUCCUUAGGGCAGGCAUUGUUGAGGUCUCAAAAGUCGACACAAACUUGAAUUUGGCUAUUCUUUUUUCUUACUGGAACAAUACUUGAAAUCCACGUGGGAUAUUUGACUUAGCAAAUAAAGCCAGCUUCAAUGAGUUUGUUAACUUCAUUUUCAAUUAAUGGAACCAACUCUGGCCUAAAGCGCCUUUGGGCUUGCUUAACAAGACGAGCACCAUUCUUGACCGCCAACUGAUGAACCGCUACUUUUGGAUCUAAGCCAGGCAUUUUCUCAUAGCUCCAGGCGAAGACAUCCAUAUAUUCUUUGAGUAUUUCCAUAUAAGCGAUUUUCUCCUCUACUUCUAGAAACGCACUCAAGUAAGUUGGUCAUGGUUCUUCAUCGGUUCCAAGAUGAACUUCCUUCAAGGGAUCUAUUGUGGCCUUUACUCCUUCUUCAAGUUACGAUGGAGCAUCUCCAACAUCUUCCUCCUCUUGAGGAUCAUCUUCAUUGACGGAUAUAUGAUAACACCAGAAAGCAUCUUCUAUCUCUUCAUCAACCUUUAUUUGAAACAAGACAUCUUUCUCGUUCUGGGUCAUAACAUGAUAUGAGGAGCCAACACUCUCUUCAUCUUCUUCGCGUUGCUUAGUAUAAACCACAGUAUGCGCCUUUGCUUUUAACACCUCGUUGCAUGAAACUACCAGUUUCGUUUGUCGCUUCAUUCUAGAAGGAAUCAAACUUUGGAAAUCCUUCUGGAUUUUAAAUGAAGAAUGCAGCAUCGUGCUUUGACGACUUCUUUGACGCUUGUUGUUUUUCUUAUUAUUUAUAGGACCCAACCUUUCGAACACAGAAGUUCUUGCGGUUGAUUCUCCAAGUCGAUCAAAUACGGAGGGUCUUUUGUUAGCGGCAGUGGAUUCUUCUUCCACGGUGAUGUAAUUAUUGAAUGCCCUUCUUAUGGAGAUGCGAAUUGGAAGUGGUUGCGUGUAUCCUAGUUCUUCACGUACUUGCCUGGUGUUACCCUCCAAUGGAAGUUUGCCCAACCUUAAUGGCUCAUUAGGAUUGUAUCCAGCCUUUACAAAUAGCUUGUAUGCAUUUGGAUUAAAGCCUUCUUUCGUACGCUUCGUAGGGAGUGCCAUAUCUGAUGGUAGAUUUUGAGCCACAAAUUCCCCAAGUGGCCUUGAGGAUGGAUUUAUUGCGUCAAUCUUCCUGACAGGUAAAGUUAUCCCCUUUAGCACAUUAUCUUGGGCGUCAGGUGAGUGAUCUUCCUCUUUCUUUACCUUUGGCAUGCAGCGAAGAACAUGAGUUGCCUUCUUCUUCGUAAGAGCGACACUUUCUUUAUUCGAAGUGAAGAAAAGCUUCUUGUUGAUGAAUUUUUCGAUAGUCACCGCGACCUUCUUAGAUGCAAGAUCGUCACACUUGGUCUUGGUGACAUCUUCAAUCCUUUUCUCAUCUACAAUAUGAUUCUUUGAGUAGAAUUUUGCAUCGGCAAAAUGUGACUCAGUUUCAGUGAAUGGCUUAUCAUCCGCGACUAUCGUUCUUUCCACUCCAUUUUUGAGGUACUUCAAGCAUUGAUUGUAAGAGGACAAGAUAAUUUUGUUCCCGUGCACCCAAGGCCUACCAAGCAAUACAUUAUAUGAAGUUUUGACAUCGAUCACAUGCAUCAAUGGGUUUGAUUGAAAAUCAUCCAUACUAAUCCAAAACUUGAUACAUCCCAUGGCCCUUUGGCCCCCUUGGUUGAAGCCUUGGAUCAUUAUACGACUUUCUUCCAGUUCACUAGUAGCGAUGCCAAGCUCCUUCAUCGUACGGAUAGGCAAGAUAUUGACUCCAAAUCCUUCAUCUAUCAAGAUUCUAUUGAUCUUCUUUCCUAGAAUUUGACCCACCAUGUAUAAGGGACGGUUAUGUAGGGUCUCACCAAGCAGAAGAUCGUUAUUUGUGAAUGUGAUUUUUGUAUCACACACAUGUGCCUCUUCGCCAAGAGUUUCAGCAAGCUUUUCGGAAGGUGAAGGAACUUCCAUGGGUUUAUUUUCACCUUUUUCCCCCUCUUUGGCGGUAUUAAAACAAGACACCUCAAAGUUAACUUGGGCAGUCUUAUUGCGGAACCAACUCGGUAAGAAUUCCUCUAAAGUUACCGGACGCCGAGGUUUCUAAUGGUGAAGCUCUGUCACCCUUGUCCUUUUUGGAAGUGCAACCAACUUCUGUUUCCUUAGUUUCUUCACCACUUUCCUUUCGGUUGGCUGCUCGUACGUCUCCUUUCGCAGACUCAUCUUCUUGCGUUUUCGUCUAGUCACUAGGGUCCAACCUUCUUCGUCGUCUUCAUCAACCGAAGACCUGUCAGGAUCUAAUAUCUCCUCAUUCUGCUUUUUGACACAAAUUUUAACCGGGUCGAGCAAGCCAAAAGUGAUAGAGAUUUGAUGAGAACUGGUUGUCUCAUCGUCGAAGAAAAUUUUCUUCUCUUUUGCCAGUUGCAUACCUUUAUCUUUAAAGACAAAGCAUUUCUCUAGAGGGUGACUUAUGAGCCUAUGAUAUUUGCAAUAAUUAGGGUCAUUGGUCCUUUCGGCUUUAUUGGGACGCUUCAUCUCUGGGAGUUCGAUGAGCUUAUGCUGAAGGAGUUCAUCGAAAAUAUCAUCAACAUCAGAAUCAAGGAAGGGAUAUUCCUUUUCCUGCAUCUCCUUUAACGUUUUCUGAUUUGGACGUGCUCCAGAAGUCGUCUUUACAUUUUGCUUCUUGCUCACCUUUGUGGUGACUUUCACAGGAGACACAUCAACAUUUAUGGAUUCUUUGUUAUCAUUUUUGGGGAUAAACUUACCCCAUCUUUUGGGUUCUUGCUUAUCCUUUCCCCUUCGAGAGUCAUGGAUAGGCGCUCCUUCCUUUCCAGCACAAGACAUCCUCAACUCCAUGUCAUGAGCACGAGUAGCUAACUCUUCAAAGGAUUUUGGCUUAAUGCCUUGCAAGAUGUAGAGAAGCCCCCAGUGUAUUCCUUUGAUGAACAUCUCUAUCGCAGAAGUUUUGCUGAGCCUAUCUUUACAGUUUAGGCUAGCAUUUCUCCAUCAAUUGGUGAAGUCAAUGACUGGUUCGUCCUUUCUUUGCCGAGUAUUUGUGAGCUCUACCAUGCUCAUUGUACUCUUUGUGCUAUAAAAGCGAUUCAGGAACUCAUGUUCCAAUUGCUCUCAACUAUCGAUGGAAUUAGGCGCGAGAUCCGUAUACCAAUCAAAGGUGUUUCCCUUUAGGGAACGAACAAACCGUUUGACAAGAUAAUCACCGUAAGUUUCAACAUUAUUACAUGUCUCGAUAAAGUGUGCGACAUGUUGUUUUAGGUUACCUUUGCCCUCAAAUUGUUGAAAUUUGGGGGGUUGAUAGCCAGCAGGCAUUUUGAGGCUAUCUAUUCUUGCAGUGUAAGGCUUAGCAUAUGCAAGGUAAGACUUGGUGACAACAUCAUACUUGUCUUUGAGGGUCCCUUUAAUAAAUUUCCUCAAUUGCCCAAUCGGGAUUAUUCCCUCAGCAGAAACAUGCACCUCUUUAGUCGAUGGUGUUUGUUUCACAGGGUUUUUUAUCUCAUGAACCCCUAGAACUUUUCCCGGCGCAUGGCUAGAUUCUCCGUAUAUCAAGCCUUCCACCCUAUCCACUAUCUUAUCAAUCCUAGCCUCUUGAUUCUGAACAUAGUUGGUCAGGCCUUCAAUUGCCUUUGUCAGAUUCGCAAGUUGCUCCUCCACAAACGAGGCAUCAGUUACCAUUACUUGCAUGAUCACUGGAGAUGUUGGAGAGUAACAUGGAUUAUCGCUUAGGUUGAUUUUUGAAGUGCUUAACUUAUGCGGUGUAAGUGGAGAUGACGCGUUUGUUGAACGACCAUAGCUCUUUACACUAGAGUAUUUGGAACCAGAAUGCUCAAGUAGAGCAAGAGUCUUCUUAAUCAAUUCCACGACACUGCUUCCUCCUUCCGAAACAUUUGUAUUGGACUUCGUUCCUUUUAGGGUUGAAGAUCCAAAAACUGGAGUUGGCGCGGACGACACUAGAUGUGUUUAUUGUCCUAUCAAGCCUGCCUUGCUCCUCGUGACAGCUCCUAAACUUCCGAAAGUAACACCAAGGAUUCUUUCCACUUAGGCAGAGAACCUUGAAUCAACAGCCUUGGAAGCAGUUGAUUGAGAGUUGAUCUUCUUGAAAGUCAUUUCAGCGUUCUUAAUCUUCAAAGUCUAAAAAGUUGAGAUGAGAGGUAGAGAUCGUCCCACUGGGCGUGCCAGAAUUUGUUGGACAAUAAAAUUCUCGAGUGAGGAAAAUAAAUAAUUCGAGACAAGAAAAUAUUGCAACAAUCAAUUUUAUUGAUUUCAAUGCGAUUGUUACAAUCUCUAUGAAUCCUCUGAUUCGUCUUUUCAAAUAUAAAUUUAAGGGCUUGAAGCUUAAUCUUGAAUUUAAACUUGAUUUGUUGAAUUUAAGGGACUUGGUCUUGACUUGUGCUUGAAUUCAAGAGCUUUUGAGCUUGUUCUUGAAUAUUGCGGUCUAGAUCUUGAAUCUUGAUGAACUUAAUUUGAAUGCCUGAGCUUUUUAGAGAAAUUAUGGCGUUUAAUCCACUAGCUUUGUCUUGCUACUUGUUAGAAUUCUAGGGGUCUGGGGUCUCUUUUUCUGAAUUAUGAGACUCUUAUUUAUAGUUGUAGGAAAAAAAGAGUCAUGAUGAAUAUGAACUUCCUUUGACCAAUCAGAUUUAAGUUGACAUGUCACCUUUUAUGGGCUUUAAUUUUAUGGGCCUACUGCAUCAUUUUGACAUGUGUCAUGGUCCUAUUGACUCCUUCCCUUGACUUGUCAUACCACAUCAUUUGACAUGUGUCACUUAUUUGGGCCUCUAGAAUAUGACGAUCUCUUGAACUUAUUAAAGUGGGCUCAUCAUUUAUAACCCAAAUUAAUGGACUAGCCCAAUAAAGAUUGGACUUCAUUUAAAUCCAUACAUGUUUGGAGUUAAAUAAUUAAUCCAAUAAUAUUAAUCCGCAAUAUUUAUUUGGGACUAAUAUAUUUUGAAUUUAAUAUAAUCCGAAUUUGAUACGGAUUUAAAUUUAAUAAAAUUACAUCGAACACAAUACUAUAGAUUAUAAUUUUUCUAAUAUGAAUAUGAUAAAUUAUAUUUUAAAAUAUUAUUCAAAGUUUAUAUCAAUUGAUUGAUUAAAAAAAAAUUAUGAUAAGGAUGUCUCUACUCCCUAAUUGGCUUUCAACGUCUUGCUUUUUGGAAAAAGCAUCCUUCAACUUCAAAGCACUAUCUUCAAGCACUGCGUUCUUGACUUUAUGGCUAUGGCACGUUGUAAAGAUAAUGACAGAAAGUUAAGAUCUCUCUUUCUAUUUCUUGCCUCCUCUAUUUAUCUUGCGAGAGAACUGAGAAGAGAUGUACGUGAUCAUCAGUUCAUUUAAAAGUUGGAAUCGUUAUGAAGAUUAUAAUUUUGUUAAUGUAAUUAUACUUCAACGUCUUGACCCUCACAGAAAUGAUUAUGCAUCAUGGGCUUGAUUUCUUUUGAUGAGCCAGACAUGGAAAAUAAAUUAUUAAUAAGUGAUAAAUAAAACUCUUUCGAUCCAAUAACUCUUGCUUCGUUCUCAUCUUUUAUGAGCCCCACACACAUAAAACUUUUAUCAAUAUUUUUACAUCCCACGUUGGUUGAAGGGAGGGGAAUUUGGCAUUAUUAUUAUUAUGCCAACGCUUACAUUUAUUUAAUAUUUUUAAAAUUACUAAUCCUGAUAUGAGUAGUCUUUGAUAAUUGUAAAUUGAAAGAGAUUUUAUUAUGGUGGGACUAUAUUUCACCCUUGAUUAGAGGCCUUGGGUUCAAGCCUGGAUAUGAAGAAUUGGGAGCACCACCCCCUUAAUGGGUUCUACAAUGCGAGAUUCCAAUUAGUCAUGGCUUUAAUACGGCCGUACACCGGAUGAAAAUUUUUAAAAAAGAAAAAAAAAAGAAGAAAGAAUUGAAAGAAAUUUUAGAGGAAUUAAUUACUGGACUUUUGAAAUUAAAUAUCCUCAACUGCAUAAAGUAGUAGGGCAUAUAUUGGCCUAGUGUGGGAGAGGUAUUUUGGCCAAUUACAUCAAUUUUAGUUGAUGCAAUUUUUACUUGUACAAUGUCACCACAAUUGUUUUGUCACAGUCAAUCUGCACAAUGGAAAACUCACUUAGAAAUGAACACAAUUCAUAAAUCAAUCAAACUAGCAUAGCAUAUUCGACAGGGAUUCAACAGUAAAAACUUUUGAAUGUAAUUAUUCACACAGGAAAAGGUUAUUAAGUGUAAACAUGCAUACAGAAGAACCCAUGCUAGUAUGGCUGCAAAUGAACUAAAAUCCCUUACCAGCAUGUGCAGUUUCCUUUUCCUUUUUUCUUGAUCAGGUAAACAUUUCAUUAAUCACAGGGCCAAAGUCGGCCGUAUACAAGAAGUAUACCAAAAAGUAAAGAACCUACAAUACGACAUGGUUCUCUACAAAAGACACCCAAUCCUUUAUACAAUCCUGCACUACAUGGAUGCAACAAAAAUAAAUAAGGGACCUCCUCAACUGGACAAAAGUCAAUUCUACCCCUUCAAAAGCCCUCCUAUUUCUCUCUCCCCAAACGAUCCACAUCAAAGCUAAAGGAACAAUAUUCCAAGCCCUGCACUUUCUCAUGCUUCUUCUAGCUUUCCAAUGAAAAAAUGUUUCCUUCACAUUUCUGGGCAUCACCAAAGAAAUACCAAACCAGCUAAACAUUUCCCACCACAGUCUCGUAGUCAGGUUGCAAUGUAAUAGAAGAUGAUCAACCUCCUCACCCGUCUUUUUGCAUAAGUAACACCAGCUAAUGCAUACGAUCUUACUUUUUCUUAGGUUUCCUGCCGUCAAAAUCACCCCCUCUGGCAGCUAACCAAGAGAAAAAAUACAUCUUCCUCGGUACCUCCAUAUCCACCCUCACCAAGAGCUUCUCAUAAAAGGACUUGACAGAAAAAACCCAAUUACUCUCCAACUUCCAUUUCAGAGUACCGAAUCUAACGACUGGCUCAUGAUAUAUGCUGAUAAAUUAGAGCUAGAAACAUUUGAAACCCAUUAACCUCCCAGUCUUAAAAAUUCCUCCUAAUGAUGGACUACCGCCUCCCUCUGACAAGAAAUCCUAUAGAGGCUCGGGAAUUCAUCUUUUAGUCCCACAUCUCUACACCAUUUGUUUUUCCAAAAACUGACUCUCCUCUUAUCCCCUACCCUGGACGAGAUGUUAACCUCAAAAUCAGCCCAUCACUUCAUAAUACUACUCCACACUCCACACCCAUACGCCAUAUUGAUUUCAUUAAUUCUCCCACCCCCUUCCAUCACUCCAUAUUUUUCUACUAUCACCCUUCACCAAAAAGAAUGGACCUCUAUCCCCAAUCUCCAUAACUAUUUUCCAGGCAAAGCUUUAUUAAAUACCCUUAAGUCUUUGAAACCCAACCCUCCCCAAUUUUUAGGCAUAGUCACUUUCUUCCAUCAGACCAAAUAAUGUUUUCUUGCCCCGUCUGUCGAAUCUCAAAGAAAGUUUCUUUGAAGUCUUUCCAGUUUUCCUGUAACACUGGUAGGAUCAUGAAACAAAGACAAAAAGUAAGUGGGGAUACUUGAUAAUGUGCUCUUAAUAAAGCACUUCUUUUCCUCCUUUGGAUAAAUAUCUUUUUUGCCAACUAGCAAGCCUCUAGAUUAACGUAACCCCUUUUGGAAGGAGAUAUCAACUCAUAAGGUUCUCCCAAAACAUGUAACUUAGAACAUAAGUACCUUUGGGUACUUUUGGACAUGUGAGCUUUCACAUUAAUGGCCCAUGUAACAUUCAUUUGAAUUUGGCAAUGGACAAUCUGAAAAGAUGACUUAAAAGCUUCAUCUAGAUAUGAAAAAAGGCGGAUAAAAAUAUAGUUGAUAAACGAGUGACGAAUGAACAUGUCACAACACAUGCUUUUUCUCAGUUGCAUCAUCUACACCCCCAAAACUCACCAAAAGAACAGGACCAAACUCUGGAUGGUGGAGAAACCCACACUGUUGGAAGCUCACUUAGUAAAUCAGGCAGAGAGUCAAUGGUGAAAUAUCAAAAGUAGCCAACAUAAUAUAGGAGAUUUGGUAUUAGCCCAAGAAAUGUCCUACAAAUGCUUCGAACUUCAUACAGAUGAGCUUAGUUUGUAUAUCAAAUUCUAUCUCAGCUGUUGUGGUUGUACUCUGGAAAGUGCAUAAUAGUCUUCUAAAGGAGGAGGGAUAAACUGCACUGCAGGUAGAUCAGCAUCUAAUGGAAUUCUUUUACAGUAAUAAAGAUGUGCAUAGUUCAUUUAUCAAAUUCCAUCUAAGUUGUAGUUCUACUUCAUGCUUGGGAAAUGCAUAAUUGUCUCUGUGUGUGUUUGGGGGAGGGGAUGUGAUAGAGGGACAAACCGCAGGUAGAUCAACAUCUGUUGGAAUUCUUUUGCAGUAAUUGCCAGCGUACUCCUGAACUUGAAUUCCCUGCAAAUAAAUAGAACACGGUCAGCAUGCGAGCUCAGUUUCACUUUCCAUAAAUUAGGUAUGGCAAUUCUCCUACGAGAGAAGCACAGGAAGAUCCGAAAAAUAGGGAGCAUACCUGACUACAUCUUACACGCAUUACUGCCUCAAACCUUUCGGGCCUAGUGAUAUUCCAUCGAAGAUCAUUGUAUAGCUUGGCAGUAUCAGCAAGAGCAGAAAACGGGAAAUAGUAAUACACCUGACACAAGUGAAACAACCAUAAAGCUCAAAGCUUAGAUGUAAAAAUAUCAAAAGGAACAUGAAGUGAAGUGGCUGCAUCAUAAGAUUGUUGAUAAAUUUCAUGAACAGUAAGUUGCACCAUAACCAAGGCCCUAGGGAAGAAGACAAGCUAAAAUAGUAACAAGCGUCACAGUUACCUGCCCACCAGUGGUCCUAGGAAUGACUGAAAUGGAGGCAAUGUCUUCAUAAGAUUGAGUUGUGAGAAACACGUCAACACAGACCUGAAGCAGUUGAGGUCUAAUUAAUAAAAGUGAAUGAUUAUAAAAAUAAAGACCAAAAGGCGUUCUUAAUCCUAUUUGUUUUUAAUGAAUCAUCACUGCCACGGGCUUUUAAUAUAAACUCUCACCUGAUACUCAGCAAACUCAAUGGCCAUUGUCUUCAGAUUUUUGUCGGCUGGCUGGAGUAACUUGUUAGCCUCCUGAAAUUGGAAAAUAUACAACUCUUCUGAAUAAGCAAUGUCAUGGUUUGUUUUUUCGGCAUAAGACAUUAGCGCUGAAUAUGUACAUUACAAAACUCAGAUGGAGUUUCACUUAUCCAAUGCUUACAGGAUUCCACUAAAAGUACCUCAGUGUACCAGACAAACACCAUUGGCAUAAAACAUUCAUCUGUUCUAAGAAAACUGAUCAACGAGUAAAAAACUGAUAAGCCCAGUCUGGUGAAAUCUUAGUAGGAAUACACCUAAACACAAGAUUUAAGAAGAAAAUUGAUAGCCACAAAGAGCACUCUCAUUUACCACACAAGAAAAAUGAUUAUUCUGCUCCACGAUUUAAGACAAUGAUUCAAGAGUGCAAUGAAGAGCAGACAUUUUCAUGAAAUGAUGAGCACGCUGCCAUUCAUUUCUCAGCCUUUCUACUUCUUUAGAGGUAGAGGUAUGGACUGCGUACAUCUUACCCUCCCCAGACCUCACUAUGUGGGAAUAAACUGGGUUUGUUGUUGUUGUUGUUGUUGACGACUCAAAUAAGUGAUUAGCAGCUUAAAGAACUUCAGUCAAGUUACUGAACCUCUAUUUCUGACCAUACAUUAUUGUACAUGCUCUAGUAGUCAAAUUUCAAGCAGACAUUUUGAUAUCAAUAAAUAGAAAAGACUAUUUAAUUUCCAAUGUUCUCUUUAAUAAGAAGUUGACAGUUAAAAGACAUCAUCUCUCGCACUUAAUCGUCUUAGCGACAAUAUUAGAAGCUUCUAUAUAUUCAGCACAAUAUGGACAACUUUAUGGGCAGAGCCCACAUUAUAAACGAGCAAUGUCUUUCUACAUCCAAAAUAUGAAAUGAGGGGCAAAAACUAGGGGACAGUAGGUAGAAACAAUCUAAAAGUGAGACAGAUAUAUGCUGAAGAACUAAAAACUGGUUCAAAAAUUUUACCUUCUCUGCAGCUGAUACAUUGGUUCUUCCUUCAGCCUCUCUAGCAGAAAUACUUCAAUUUUAAAAGAACCAGACAGUGCUGUAGAAAGCAAUCCUCUUAUGUAUCAUCCUAUUUAGUCAGAUUGCAUUGGAAACAGAAGUUAAGCAUAAAUUAAUGAAAGCAAAACAGUCAAUCAGCAGUGCAUUGUAAACAAGGCGUGGGGGAUCAAAGAUAAAAGAUGUUUUAAUGCAAGCAUGCGGACAAUAUUACCGGCUUGAUUUUUUACUAGUACAUGAAACUUAAAGUUAACUGCAUUUAGCACCUUACCUGAUUGAAACACAAGAAGUUUGCCUCCAGUGCUUUUCAUUGCCAAGAAAGCAGCCUGAAGUAACAAAACACGAAGUAAGAAUCAAUCUAUAUGAUAAUCCAUCAUAGACUGAUGUCGUUAGACUUGCAUCAAUCAUCUGCAUGAGGGAGAUCCCAGAUUUAAAUUCUAUGGGAUCAAUCUUUAAUGUUCGAAGCAUUGGACACAUUAAUUUUAAAAAAAAAAAACGAUAACAGUUGUGUCCAAGCUAGCUUGCGCGCACCUCGACUAACUCAAUGUGAUAUUUGUCACCUCCCACCUACAAUAGAUACUAAUUGACUUUGUCAAACAAGGCUAGGACAAAUGGGAAGAGAUCACCUAGAGUUUUUGUCUCUGCUGAGAUUUGAACAUGAGACCUCGUGAUUCUCAACCCACUUCAUUGACCACUACAUAUUUUUAAAUUUAUGGCUUCAUACCCAUCAUUUAGUGCAAGUUUAGUCAUUUUUUACACAUAAACUUAUGCUCUAAGUUGAACGUAUCGGGUUUAGAUGAACCCGUUACUGUACGGCUGGACCUGCCCCUGCAUCUGCAUGUAGAGACAUAUACUACUUAAUUUUUCCAAUCUUUUUCUAAGAAUGGCAAAGUCUCAGGAAACUGUAAUGACCUAACUACUCACAUUAUAGAGGGAAUGCAGAAAAUACUUAUUCCAUCUAUGAAUUAACGAGGCAAUUUUUUAAAAAAAAGGCAAUAUAAAACAAGUGGAUUUAUAUUCCAAAUGAUAACUUGGGAAUAUAACUUCAUGUAACGCACUGAUACCUUGACAGCAGCACCAAAAGCUGAAUUAGCAGUCCAGUUGUUCUGGAACAUAGUUGGGAUGCUUUCUAGGAGAAGCUCUAGGUUUUGACGGCACUGAAAACACAAACAAGGAACAACUUUCAUAGGACGCACUCAUAGUCUUAGUCAUUCUGCUUAAUAAGGGGAAAAUGAACAGAAGUUAGACAACAUCUUGCAGAACAAACCUCCGACAGCUGCACAAUAACAUCAGUCUGAAGGGGGGUGUAAACGUCUUGGACAUCAGGGACUAUUAGCAUCAAUGGCUGCAAAGGUAGAUCCAGAAUAAACUUAUCAGAAAACACGCACUUCACCAACCUAAACCAUUUGCCACAACCCUAAUCCCACAGUUUAGCAUCCAUAUUAAAGAACAAUGAACAGGUCAUAUUAGAGAACAAUGGAACAAGUGAAAUGGAAUCCAACUAUACCGGAGAAGAAAAAUGAAGAACUGCAUAAUUAAGCAAAAUGAAGAAAUCCAACAAUAAGGAGAAGAGCAACUAAUUAAGGCAGAAAAGUUGAGAAAAGUCAUAAAGUACUCUUUUUGAAGGCUAAUAUUUUCUUCCUGCAAUCCAUUACUUAAUCAUGGACAAGACAAAUGAAAAAGGAAAACAACAACAAUUUUACUUUAUUUUAGUAAGUACUACUAACUCUGCUUCCCAGAUAUGCCUAAUUUUGCUCAAACUCUCCAAAAAUGUUGUCACACCUGUCUCGGAUCCACAAAAAUGCAUAAUUUUUUGAGGAUCCGACAUGCACUAUUUGACAUUUUUGAAGAGCCCGAGCAACAUACACUUGGUUAAAGAUUUUUAUUUUAUUUUCACUACAGAAAUUCUUUACGAAGAGCCGAGGGUCUUUUGGAAACAGUCUCUCUACCUCCCACGAGGUAGUGGUAAGGUCUGAGUACGCUCUCUACCUUCCCUAAACCUCACUAGUUUCACUGGGUAUGUUGUUGUUGCAAAGAAAUUCUUUAAGAAAUGGCAUUUAGCUAAUCAUCUUGGCAACACAUUUCUGAAAUCCAACGAGAAUCAUUUUAGUAGUUCUGCAUUUUACCCUUAAAAGUAAUUGUCAAUUCAUCACUACCUCAACAAAGAGAAAAAUGGCAAAGAUAACUGAUUAAGACUUAACACUAAUUACAAAGCAUCUUUUAAUUUUAGAUUCUAUUCAAUAGCUUAAUUUAGCAGAAUAAACUCAUUUGGAUGUGCUGAACCUGCUGCAAUGCACACUUGAGAUUGUAAAAGUGGAUAGUUGAGUCAAAUGUAGCAACUCCAACCAACGUCCGAGGACCAUCCUGCAAUAAUAAGUUUUCAAAGUCAAAGACAGCUCUUUUAACUCUCCAAGAAUUCAUAUUGUGCAUUAAAAUUGAAAAGAAAUGCAUCUUAGCUGAACUAUAUCACAAAUAGAAUAGACUCCCAAAUCUCUUGCCUCUUAGUGAACAUGUCAUUCUACCACUUGACCGAUCCCAUCUCUCCCGAAUUCCAUUAGAUCAUAGAUUGAUUUCUACCAGAUCCUAUGGUCCAUUCAACUAGAAUGACACCAGAUGCCAAGAAAAGAACCCCACAAUCAAAGCAAGGGUUCACCUGAAUCUUUUCGUCACAUUCAUAGUUUUCCUUUUACCUUCUGAUUUAUUAUAAGCCAUCACUUAAGGAGAUGCAAAUCAACAGGUUAUCGCAUCAUAAUCUCUUCAUCUUUUUUUGCCUAAUCCCCCCCCGAUGUCCAGCAGCCACUAAAUAUAAAUUUCCAUAAUGACCUCUUGGAUAAAACAAAGUGAUCAAGCAGCAUUCGUGCAGCAUCGCACCAUUCAGAAUGGAGACAACUAGGUUUUCCACAAUCAGAUACAUAAAUAACUAACCUAUCUCAUCAUCUCAACAGACAAAUUACACGGAUAAUUGCUUCGCUACAUCAGAAGUUCUAGGUAAAAGUGGAUAGUUGAGUCGAAUGUAGCAACUCCAACCAAUGUCCGAGGACCAUCCUGCAAUAAUAAGUUUUCAAAGUCAAAGACAGCUCUUUAACUCCAAGAAUUCAUAUUGUGCAUUAAAAUUGAAAAGAAAUGCAUCUUAGCUGAACUAUAUCACAAAUAGAAUAGACUCCCGAAUCUCUUGCCUCUUAGUGAACAUGUCAUUCUACCACUUGACCGAUCCCAUCUCUCCCGAAUUCCAUUAGAUCAUAGAUUGAUUUCUACCAGAUCAUUCUAUGGUCCAUUCAACUAGAAUGACACCAGAUGCCAAGAAAAAACCCCACAAUCAAAGCAAGGGUUCACCUGAAUCUUUUUGUCACAUUCAUAGUUUUCCUUUUACCUUCUGAUUUAUUAUAAGCCAUCACUUAAGGAGAUGCAAAUCAACAGGUUAACGCAUCAUAAUCUCUUCAUCUUUUUUUGCCUAAUCCCCCCCCGGUGUCCAGCAGCCACUAAAUAUAAAUUUCCAUAAUGACCUCUUGGAUAAAACAAAGUGAUCAAGCAGCAUUCGUGCAGCAUCGCACUAUUCAGAAUGGAGACAACUAGGUUUUCCACAAUUCAGACACAUAAAUAACUAACCUACCUCAUCAUCUCAACAGACAAAUUACACGGAUAAUUGCUUCGCUACAUCAGAAGUUCUAGUUAAUCUCACUGAUUUUAGUAUAAAAAUUGAUUAAUUUAUGAUGACUCCACUUGAGAAGACACGCCAAAUACUUUUCCCUCUAAUCUAAAGGGAAAAAAAAUGCAUGUUGCAUCAUCAUAAACAACCAAUAGACUUACAGGGAGAUCAGAAAUAACUUGGCUGAUCGCACUGCAAGCAGCUGCAGUUGCACCAGUCUGUAUGGCAUUCAUGGAAACAUCUAUCAGGAAGAAAUAAACAGCGGGCAUUGGAUCCCGAACCUGAAAUACAAGAAAAAAUUCCAAGUUAUUACUGCAAAAUAAAAUGAGUCACAAAAUCAAAUUAAGGAAUUCUCUAGACCAAAGACAGGAGUGCAUCUACGAAAAAGGAGAGCAUCAAAUCAACUUGCAACAUAGAGUAGGUUCUAAGCUAUAUCUACAUUGAUUUAGAACUCUGUAAAAUGUCUCUGUGGAAGUAUUAGUUUAAUUUUCUAAACUUGAGCUCCUACUCGUCCACACUACCGACCCCCUCAACCCAUGCGCUGUUAACAGAUUGCAUAGUACUCUAGGAGCAGUAAAUUGACAAGUCUGCCACAGUUCAACAUCUCACGUAUCCUGCUCAUUGCUCAGUGGACCUUCUCCUUCUCACCAUAUUCCUCUUUAGCUUCUCUCUGUAUAUGUUGUUUUUUACUACUUUCAAUGCUGAAAAGAAUUUUGUAACAAAUAAUAUACAAACCAACUGUUUCCUCCUAAAGUCUAAAAUCAGCAACAGAAUAGCAGGCCGAUAGCAACAACCUGGUGCUGGAAAACAACACAAGAACCGGCAUUUGGAGUAUAUUGAAAACGGUGCUAGUGAACUGCAAACUUUCCGCAUACCAAUCCACUGUGACUCAAUCUCAAGUUAGUGUUUUAUUUUAUUAUUACUUAUUUGCCCACAGGGUAUGUUGUUAUUGUUGUUGUAUUUUUAUACCAGCAUCAAUCCCAAUAGUUAAUAUUGCAAUAUGAAUCCUGUGUAGUCAAGUCACUCUGUUCUGGUUAGCUUCAGCAAAUACCAUAACAACUUCAGAUGUUAGAUUUGAAAGCACAAAGCUAGCAAAACAGAAAGCUCAGAGCUUGAAAUGUCUACUUAAUAUGGCAUUACUCCUAUAACGUCAUGCAAUCACAUCCCUUAACCAAUGUGUCCAAAAAGUACCAACCAUAUAUUCCUUCGUAGCGACAAACUUAACAGUUCCUCGGCAUAGUUCAGGCCUCUCAUCAGCAUCCCUACGCCUGCCAUCUGGACCUAAGUUGCACUGAUAGUCACGAGGAGUUUCAUCGGUAUGUCCUGCAACAAGGACGGCAAGAAACAUGAGAUAAGAGUUGCAUAACAACACAUUUUCAUUAAACAUGCAGUAUUAAGAAAUUGAAAUGGUUUUUACAUUUCAAGUUAUGAAUGCGAUUGAUUAAUUAAAGCUAAUGGCCUUUGUCCUCACUUAAAAGUUGAGGAACCUGAAAAGAGAUAUCGGUAAAUGGAAUAGAGAGGUCUGUGGCAAACUAGACUAUCAGAGGAAUAAGGUUCUGGAAGAGCUGGGAUUCCUUGAACAAAUUGCUGAACACAGGGAAAAUACAACAGAAGAGAAACUGAAAGCUUGAAGUCUGAAACUAGACCUUAAACAGAUAGCAAUUGCUAAGGAAAUUUCUGUAACACCCCGCAUUUCGGACUAGAAUAAAAACCAUGACUCUGAUGCGUUGAUAAUCCCAGAGCCUUAAAUCCUAUGCCAAUUUGGCAUGUUUAUGUAGUAUGUGAAUCCAUCUGAGCAUGAAUUUAGACCCUAGAGGUCCUUCAACUCAAGGACAAGUUGAAACUAUCUCGAUCGAUUAAGUUUUAGUGGACGUUGUAAUUUGUGUCAGCUUCCAUCGACCAUAACUCUCUGUACAUGUUGAAUUAGAGAGCCUACUAUGUGUCAAAUCAUAGGUCUUCGAGCUAACUUUCCAACGAUACCAAUUUUGCUAAAAUCCGACACCCGAGCAAGAAGUUAUGGCCUUUCAAAGUAGUAUGCGUCACCUAACCAAUCGCACAUGGCCACUGGAAAGCAUAUGCGAUAGCAUAUGCGGCGCCUAUGUAAAUAUAGGCGAUAUCAUAUGCGGCGUCUAUGUAAAUAUAGGCGAUAUCAUAUGCGGAGGCUAUGUAAAUAUAGGUGAUAUCAUAUGCGGCGCAUAUCUUAUGGUUUCAAGUGACUUAAACACUCCGUUUUUGGGGCAAAAUAGUCCUUUUCCCACCCUUAUUCAGCCAUAAACACGAAAUUCAGUCCCCAAUUCUCCAAAAUACAUCCACAUUCAUCUAAAAAUUCUCAAGAACACUUCCAGGGGUUUCAAACUAAAAACCCAAAUAAAUCAAGAUUUAACCGUAGGUUUUCAAAAUUGAUUAGAGAUUCGGAAUCCCCAAUCCACAGGCUUCAAGAAGCACCCAUUAUUUUCCGAAAUAGAGGUACGCGGGGUUUUCCUAAAUUCUCAUGGGCAUAGAAAAAUCAUGUUUUAGAAUGGGGUUUUUGAAUCUAUGUAUAUAUUCAUGUAUUAAAUAUUUUAACAUCAUUAUUUUGGUCUUUUGACCUUCCCCAAAGUGAUUUGAGAAUAUGAAUGUAUGAAACCNNNNNNNNNNNNNNNNNNNNNNNNNNNNNNNNNNNNNNNNNNNNNNNNNNNNNNNNNNNNNNNNNNNNNNNNNNNNNNNNNNNNNNNNNNNNNNNNNNNNNNNNNNNNNNNNNNNNNNNNNNNNNNNNNNNNNNNNNNNNNNNNNNNNNNNNNNNNNNNNNNNNNNNNNNNNNNNNNNNNNNNNNNNNNNNNNNNNNNNNNNNNNNNNNNNNNNNNNNNNNNNNNNNNNNNNNNNNNNNNNNNNNNNNNNNNNNNNNNNNNNNNNNNNNNNNNNNNNNNNNNNNNNNNNNNNNNNNNNNNNNNNNNNNNNNNNNNNNNNNNNNNNNNNNNNNNNNNNNNNNNNNNNNNNNNNNNNNNNNNNNNNNNNNNNNNNNNNNNNNNNNNNNNNNNNNNNNNNNNNNNNNNNNNNNNNNNNNNNNNNNNNNNNNNNNNNNNNNNNNNNNNNNNNNNNNNNNNNNNNNNGGCAUACAGAGAUGUUAGGUGGUUCCCUAAAGAGGGCUUGAGUUCAAGCAACUCAUUGCCUAAAAUCGUGGUUUGCCGACCCGAGUAUAUUAUUAUAUGCUGACUUAAGUGUCGUGCGGCGUAUCAUAUUCAAGAACUCCAACCCUUCUGGCAUACUCGGGUUGGAGGCUUCCCUGCUGAGUCAAUGGCGGAUUCCAUAUCGCUCGUGGAAUAUCAGACUUGCAGGGGAUACCACCUAACUUAGAAGUAAUACACAGAUCAGAGUUUGAGACUUACAGACAGGUUACAUGUUUUCAGAAGGUGCCCAUGUGUUUUUCAGAAACUGUUUUAUGCAUAAUGUUUGAUGAACAUUUGCUCUCACGUAUUAUAUAUAUAUANNNNNNNNNNNNNNNNNNNNNNNNNNNNNNNNNNNNNNNNNNNNNNNNNNNNNNNNNNNNNNNNNNNNNNNNNNNNNNNNNNNNNNNNNNNNNNNNNNNNNNNNNNNNNNNNNNNNNNNNNNNNNNNNNNNNNNNNNNNNNNNNNNNNNNNNNNNNNNNNNNNNNNNNNNNNNNNNNNNNNNNNNNNNNNNNNNNNNNNNNNNNNNNNNNNNNNNNNNNNNNNNNNNNNNNNNNNNNNNNNNNNNNNNNNNNNNNNNNNNNNNNNNNNNNNNNNNNNNNNNNNNNNNNNNNNNNNNNNNNNNNNNNNNNNNNNNNNNNNNNNNNNNNNNNNNNNNNNNNNNNNNNNNNNNNNNNNNNNNNNNNNNNNNNNNNNNNNNNNNNNNNNNNNNNNNNNNNNNNNNNNNNNNNNNNNNNNNNNNNUUCGCGUGCCAGUACAAUUGUGCUGACCCCCUUCCUCCCAGGUAACUGAGGCGCAGUCUAGGGGUCUAGAUACUCAGUAGAGUCUACAGACAGAGUUGUCUCAGAGUUCAGUUGGUGAGCCUUCUUUGCUUCGAAAGGCCUAGUCAUUUAGGUAUUUAUUUCAGUAUGGCUUUUGGUCUGCUGGGGGCCUUGUCCCAGUUAUUCAGAUAGUAUGUCAGUACAGAUUUCGUAGACUGUUGCAGAUGUUUAUUAAAUAUUGUUGGGCAUGUUUUCAGGCCUUUAACUGUUUUAAAUUGUUGACCAUGUUUCCGUAUUAUUGUGUCUAUUCCGUAUUACUUUGAUCAUAUGAAUUAUGUGCAUAAUUACCAAAUAGACAGAGGACGUUCCGGGCCUUCAGGUUCGGGAAUGCUCGUCGCGGCCAGGGCCCCGGUUCGGAUCGUGACAAUUUCUUGGAGGAAAAAGUCCAGAUUUCUAUGGCUAAAAGCCGGGGACAAGAACACUAAGUUCUUCCAAAGAAUGGCAAACUCACACAAAAGAGGCAAUAGUAUUGACAGGCUAAAAAUUGAAGGAGAAAUCAUUGAGGAUGAGGAUGUGAUAAAAGAAGGCAUCCUUGAUUUUUACCAAAACCUUUAAAAGGAAUCUGAACCAUGGAGGCCAUCUGCAGAGUUUGAAAACAUCUCAACUUUAAGGAUUGAGGAAAGGGAUGAGCUAGAGCUACCAUUCAAUGUACUUGAAGUUCUUAAUGCUCUCAAAUCAUAAGCUCCAAGCCCUGAUGGCUUUACCAUGGCUUUUCUACCAGAAAGAAUGGAUUUUCAACAAAGAAGACAUCAUGAAUGCCUUCAGUUAUUCCAUCAAAACUAUCAAUUGGUGAGAUCCUGCAAUGCUUCCUCCAUUGCCCUUAUUAUCCCAAAGAAGAAGGUGCUUUGGAACUUAGGGACUUAAAACCAAUCAGCCCCGUAGGAAGCAUUUAUAAACUGGUGGCCAAGGGUCUGGCUGAGAGGUUGAAAAAGGUGGUGUGCAAUUUAGUUUCAGGUCAACAAAGUGCUUUCAUGAAGAACAGGCAGAUUACUGAUGCCUCACUUAUUGCUAAUGAAGUGCUAGACUGGAAGAUCGAAAGUGGGGAAACUGGCAUUCUAUGUACGCUAGACAUAGAAAAGGCUUUUGACCAGUUACAAUGGAGCUAUCUAGCUAAACUUCUAAAAAUACUAGGCUUUGGCAACAGGUGGAUUAAAUGGAUAUACUUCUGCAUCUCAAUUGUUAAGUUCUCAGUAGUGAAUAGAAGUCCAGUAUGGUUCUUCUAUCCCAAAAGGGUCUCAGGCACGGGGACUCCCUCUCUCCUUUUCUGUUUAUCUUGGCAAUGGAAGAGCUCACUCAGUUACUAGUUAGAGCUAGAGAACUUCAAUGGAUUCAGGGAUUCCAAGUUGGCAAUGACCCUAGCACAGCUGUUACAGUCUCACAUCUGCUAUAUGCAAAUGACACUUUGGCUUUUGGUGGAGCAAACAGACAACAAAGUGCGGCAAAUCAACAUCACUCCCAUGGUCUUUGAAUCAAUUUCUGGACUUCACAUCAACAUGAUCAAGAACAAAAGCUACCCAGUAAAUAGAGUCCCCAACUUAAAUGAUCAGGCAGACAUUCUUAGUUGCAAAACUAGAACUCUUCCAACUACCUACUUGGGAUUGCCAUUACGAGCAAAAUUUAAGGUUAUUGAAAGAAUGGAGAAGAGACUAGCAACCUGAAGAUGCAAUCUCUCUUUAGGAGGCACACUUACACUAAUCAGUAGUGUACUUGAUAGUAUUCCCGCCUACAUUAAAAGCCAUUUUUUACUUUUAGGAUUGUUUGGCAAAUUUAAAAGUUGCUUAAAAAAAGUUAAUUUUUGCUUUUUAAAAGCCAAAAGCUAGAAGUUGUCCAUUCCUUACUCUUUUUUUUCAGUUUAUAAUCCAUUAAAAGUUGACCACAUAAAAGAUAUUUGUGUCCCUUAUAAUUCUUAUUUAUUCCAAAAUUACCCUCUUGUAACCCCCAAAACACAUUCUCUUUCACUACAACACACUUCUUCUUGUAUUAAUUAAACAUUUUUACUUUUUGUAUUUAUGGCGAACUUAACUAUAGCCAUAUUAGUACCUCUUUUGUGUGAAACUUAUAAUUUAUGAAAUAUGAUUUUUAUGUAUUAUUCUCAUUCUUUAAUAUAUUCUUUUAAAUUUGAACAAUUAUUAUUAUACAACAUAUGAAUUUUUCUAAGGAAAAAAAAAACUCACCAACCAAGAUAUACGGAGAACAUUCACUGAAGAUAUACAACUUUAUGAACGAUUAGCGAACAAUUCACGAAUAUUUGACGACGCAACGUUCGUAUUCGACAAUGUUUUAAUAGUGGUAUAGUCAUUACUCAAUCAACGAGUAAUAUAUUUUUCAAUUAAGAGUCAUUUUAGCAAAGAAAUAGUAUCAUUUGUGACCAACUAUUUAUCUAUUAAUGUAAUUAUAAUGAUUAGUAACAUAUAUAUUUUGUUUGAUGAUUUAAACUCUUUUAACCAAGAAAAAAGAAUUUUUUUUAGCGCACAUUUAAUAGUCAUUCAUGAAAAUAUUUUAUAUAUUGAAACUGAAUUAAAAAUAUAUAUAUUAAUUUUAAUUUGAAUCAUUUUAGAAAUAAAAAUUAAUAAUAAUCUACUCUACAUAUUGUUAACAGCUUUAAGGGUAUUUCAGACAUUUUGACCCAAAAAAGUGCUUACAACACUUGUUUACCAAACACAUCAACAACUUUUUUUCAGUUUCAACACUUUUAUCCAAACACGUAACUGCUUCUUUUUAAAAUAAGUUUCAGCACUUUCAAAAGCACUUUUAAAGAAUCUUUUAAAAGCCAUUUUUUUUCAGUCUAUCCAAACAGGUUCUAAGAAGGAAAUUUCUAACAACAACAACAACAACAACAAACCCAGUGUAUUCCCACUUAGUGGGGUCUGGGGGGGUAAGAUGUACGCAGUCCAUACCUCUACCUCUGAUGAAGUAGAAAGGCUGUUUCCGAAAGACCCCCGACUCCAGGAAUACACCCCCACCAAUUACCUCCCUACAUUAGCGACCCGAACAGGCCCUAAUCCUCUGCCGUAAUUCGCGUCUUCCAGACCUUCCUAUCUAGGGUCAUGUCCUCGGUGAGCUGUAACUGUUCCAUGUCCCGCCUAAUCACCUCACCCCAGUACUUCUUCGGUCUACCCCUACCCCGUCUAAAACCAUCCAACGCUAGCCUCUCACACCUACGGACCGGGGCAUCCGUGCCCCUCCUCUUCACGUGUCCGAACCAGCUCAAUCGUGCUUCCCGCAUCUUACACUCCACUGAAGUCACACCAACCUUCUCCCGGAUAGUCUCAUUCCGAACUCUAUCCCCUCGAGUCAGUCCACACAUCCAGCGCAACAUCCGCAUUUCUGCCACCUUCAUUUUUUGGAUGUGGGAGUUCUUAACUGGCCAACACUCCGCUCCAUACAGCAAGGCCGGACGGACUACCACCCUAUAGAAUUUGCCUUUAAGCUUGGGCGGCACCUUCUUAUCACACAGCACCCCCGACGCGAGUUUCCACUUCAUCCAUCCCGCCCCAAUACGGUGCGAGACAUCCUCGUCAAUCUCACCGUUACUCUGGAUCACGGACCCGAGAUACUUGAACUUAUCCCUCUUACAUACCUCUUGUGCUUCCAGCUUCACUACUACCUUGUUCUCCCGCCUCACGUCAUUAAACUUACAUUCCACAACAAGGUUGCUCAUAAAACUCACAACAAGGUUGCUCAUAAAAUGGCUAUGGAGGUAUGGCCAAGCAGAGGCCUGAUAUUGGAAAGAUGUCAUCAUAGCCAAAUAUGGGGCACAGAAACAUUGGUGUACCAACAGGAUCAGAGUACCAUAUGGGGUAGGGGACCUAGAAAUUUAUCAGUAGCUUUCAAGAGGUAAACAUUGGUGUACCAACAGGAUCAGAGUACCAUAUGGGGUAGGGCACCUAGAAAUUUAUCAGUAGCUUUCAAGAGGUCUUCUUUCAGAAGGUAUCCUACAAAGCUCACAAUGUCUGACCAAUGGCUUGGAAACACUACAUUAAAGAAUGUUUUUCCCAGCCUUUAUCAAAUAGCCAACAACAGGGAAGCAACCAUUGCACAAUAUAGAGAUGGCAACAUGUGGAACACUAAUUUCAAAAGGAAUCACCAAGAUUGGGAACUCAAUGAUCUGCUGCUCCUCUUAGAGUCCUUGGUGUCCUAUCAUCUAGAUAGAAAUGCUAGCAGGAUCUUAUGGGGCUCUUCCAAUACAGGAACCUACACAGUGAAAGAUUUCUACAGAGCAGAAUGCUCGCAGAAUAGCCAAAUUGAGCUUUGGCCUUGAAAGCAUGUUUGAAAAACUAGACAACCUCUCAAAGUCACUUGUUUCACAUGGAUUGCACUAUAUGAAGUCUCUUUGACUCAAGACAAUCUCAGAAAGAAAGGCAUCAUCCUUACCAACAGAUGCUACAACGAACCAGUGAACCACCUUCUUUUGAUUCAACCUGUGACCUGCCAGGUCGAAUCAAAGAAGCAUAUUUUAGCUGGAUUUCUUGGAGAGUUGACAAAUUCAUCAAAAUAAUCUGGAUCAUGAUCCUUGCAGUCAUAUUUUGGACCAUCUGGAAGGAAAGAAAUCAUAGACAUUUGCUUAGUAACCUUAUUCAGUUGGCACUCCCUAUCCCCUGUAAACAGUGUCGAUACCUUUUUAGAUUUUGUUAGCUCCUUAACUCUUAUUUAACAGAGUAUCAAGGUAUCAUUCUUUUGACUAUGUUUCUAGGUUUUUGAAGCUAUUUUUAGUUUAGUCAGUUUUUUCUCUCUAGCUACUCGUACCAUUGCAUCUACGUGAUGCCUUUCUAAUACAAUUAAUAAUUACUUUAACCAAAAAAAAAAAGAAUUGCAUGUGUAAUGCUGAGGCCGGUCCGUCCACGCCUUGAAUAUUUAUCAGAGGUGAAUGGACUAUCCCCAAAAUAAAAGAGAUAUAGAGAGAGAAUCAACAAUUCUUUCCUUUUACUGUUCCACUUCAUAGCGCUAGUUAACUUAUAAAGUUGCUCACGGGCAGGCUUCACAUAUAGACUGACAUGUCAACCUAUAAGGAUUAUAUUGAUAUCUAUCAAUGUCACUUCCAAAUAAAACUUAUAUCUGAAUUAGGUCCAGAAAAGACUACGUUUAAAGAUAAUUUUCUUCUUUGCAGCUUAUGAAAUGGAAGGUGUAAGAGUAAGACUGCUCACAUGUUCUCCGUUAACCAAUAAGAAUGAAUAUUAGACGUUUGAGAAUGUGCUUAUGUGUUUUGCUAGACUAGUUGGAGCAGAAAAAUAUCAAUAACGAUGUAAAUUUGAUACUUCUGUUUGGUAUUCUGUAGUUUCACAAAACAUCACAGCCAUGCUAUGUUGCAUUUCAAUCUUGAGUCUCUAAAUAAUAUAUAGAGCCACUCAAGACUCCAAAUAUCACAUAACUUCAGUGGAAAUAAAUGAAAUUCAUUCUUACCACAAAAUGAAUUUAAAGUUUCAAAAAAAAUCUUUCUUACCACAAAAAUUACAGAUGAAACGUCUUCCCUGAUCAAUGAACUUCACAAAAGGAUUUAUAUAACCUUUGCAACGGGAGCACCGAACAGGACCAUUUUCCCCAAAAUCUACCACCUAUCAAGGAAAACAACAGGUAGGUAAAAGAACUAACAAACUAUUUCAUUCUGCAGUCAAGUAAGCCACACAAACCAAUUUAGAUGAUUGAAGUGACCCUACAUGUUUAGAAUAUAGAGCAAGUAGAAAUGAAAACAAAUAUAUAACAAACAUAAACAUAAGAUCCAUGAUGAUUAGUCAAAACAUUAGAUGAUUGAAGUGACCCUACAUGUUUAGAAUAUAGAGCAAGUACAAAUGAAAACAAAUAUAUAACAAACAUAAACAUAAGAUCCAUGAUGAUUAGUCAAAACAAUCUCCACUCUAGGGAUCACGAUCAUGCCUUUUUGUCACGAAGAAGAAGAAGAAAAAGAAAAAGCACACUGCCCUGACGAAGGUCAUUGCAGUCAAUUGUACAUCUUAGAACAAAUCAAGCCAGUAAUACUUCAACAAAUAUCAACAAACACAAUUAAUUGUAAUAAUCACUUAUAAAGAUCUUGACACUACAAAUAUCAUUUGUUUGCAUGCGAUAACUUAAUUUUCGGUUAAUCACAUAUAAGACAGUUCUGCUUUUGGCUUACUUUGAGGCUAUAUCCUAGUUCUGGAUCAAAAUUAGGAAGUCCAAAAUAGUUCUUUUGUAACUGCCGGAAUCCUAGCCUGUGGGCUGUGGCUGCCUAUUUCUUUUAAUAUAAAACUUGCUUACCUUCUAAAAAAAAAAAAAAAAGAGUCCGCAAUGAUCCAGCUGGAGAGGCACAUAAAAAUCAAGAUUAGCGGUUAUGUGGCAGCAAGUAGCUAAGCUACUAUCGAAUUACUUGGGCCUACAACAUGGGUGAAAGUGCAAAACAGCUCUAGUUAUCAAAGGUUGAAAGAGAUGAGAAAAAACUGGAGACAUGGAAGCAAGGAGGAGCCAGCCUUAAAGAUACGGGUUUGGAAGAAUCCAAUAGUUUUGGCUCAAAACCCGUGCUUGAGUUUUAAGUAUAGAAUCUUUUUUGUUCUCAAAAGGUCCCUUUUAUUCAUUCUCAAAAGAAGUCUUGUUGUUUCUUUCCUUCCAAAUUGUUAUUACCUCGUGCUCUUCGGAUAAAAUAUAACAUAAAUCAUCCUUCAUAAAGGUAUGCCAUUAUUUACCUCGAACACUAUUACUUUUCCUGUUCCGUCAAAGGUUUCACACUUUCAUUUUUAGCCUGUUCGAAAAAGAAUGAUGUUACUCUACAUUUAGAAAUAAUUUCACUUUAAACUUCUCUUUUCACCCUCAAUGACAUGAUUUUAUAGCCACAUAAAUAUCACGGCAUGUUUAAGACCACAAAUUCUACAAUUCUUUUUCUCUCCACUUAAAUGUCAUGCCCAGACAGAAAGGUUCACAUAUAAUGAAACAUAAGGGUACAAAAAGGCUAUUAAAAUUAGAAUACAUAGAUGGCAAAAAAUGCUUUACCUGAAGGGGCUGUUCAGAUGGAUGAGGAAGAGCCAAGGGCUGGAUCAAUAAAGCCAAUUGCAUUGCCGAAGUUGUCAAAAGGUCAACAGUGCGUGGUAUCUGUUAAACAAACAACGAGGACCAAAUCAUCUACCAUUAGUGCUUUAAUUAAAAAAAAUAUAUAUGGUUAAUAAGCUACUCAUUACAUAGAAUAAGAAAGAGUAUAAUGCAGAAACCAUAGAGGGAAGAAUAACAGAGACAAAAAUCAACGCAAAAAAGUCUAGUACCUAACCAUGGGCUGCAAUUUCCAGUGUCCCUAGCAAUAUAGUUACUUGUGGCAGGCUUCGAGUGGACGAAAAAGGAAAAAGGAAAAAAAGGAAACAGCAGCAAGAACAAAAAAGUUAGUUUAGUAAGAAGCUUUGGGAGGCAAGCAUAACCAUUUGAAAAAAAGAUGGUUCAGCCGCAUAUGCAACAGUACUAAAUGAAACAAUAAUUUACCGGAGGGGGAUUGGCUUGGUUGCAUUGUCGGGUUUCAUGCAGAACUACAGAAGCAUUUGGAAUAGGGCGCGGGAUUUGAUUUGGAUCAACUUUUGAUGGGCUGGAAUGGCCAAUAGAAGAAGUUAUCGAAGCCACUGCCUGAUUUGAAAGGGGAGGCGCCAUCCCAUACAUACUUGGUGGUUGCAUGGAACCAGGAAGAGCAGAAGGUGGAGCCCCCUGUCAAUAAGUAAAAUCAGGAUAUGCCCUUCACAUGAAAGAGGAAAUGGAGUAAAAGCAUGCUAAAACCAAUUUACUUGAUCCAACAUGUGAUCCACAUUGGAAGUGUGUCAUGCACGUAAGGGUCUUUUUGAAUUAAAUAUAAGUUUUAUCAGAGAUCCUUUUACCUCUUCUGAUUAAGAAAGGAUAGCUAGGUUGUUGUAGCUUCAAAUGUGAAAGUUUUCCUUUUCAGAUGGUCCAGCCAGCCAAACAGAAAAGGUGGUGCAAUAUACUUUGAUACUGUUUAAAUUUUUCAUGCUUGAGGAAACUUGUGCACUUCAAAUUUUUCUUUUACAAGCACUUAUACACUCAAGAUAUAAUAUAACAAUUAUUUAAAUAGCGGCAGAUUUUGCAGCAAACUUAUGAAAGGGUUUCUCUAUUUAUAGUUUGAAUUGAUUAGACAAAGUAAAUAAGUGAUACUGAAUAUAUCUUUUUCAUUACUUUCAAGCAUAGAAAAAUACCUAGCCAAAAUAUAACAAUUUAUAAAUAAAAAUAAUUUUUAUUUAUGGAGUAAUCAAAUAUAUUAUUUAAUAACUUCAACUAAUGGAAGAACCCCAAAAAACAUAUUAAAAGUUCAAAAGGAAAAAAGAAUUCAUAUAGGUAAUUUCGUUAAUGAGAAUUUGAGCUCUCUUUUGUGUUGACGAAAAAGAUAAAUUUUAUAAUGCACAUACUACUAAAUAAAAGUUACUUAAAAUAGCAGCACAUUUUAAUAUUUUAUCACAAAUCCAUCAAAAUACUUCGACGAUUAUCUCUGAAUGAAUAAAAUAUGACAUCAUUGAUUUAUAUGGGAGAAAUACACUAGAGGUGAAAUGAGUUAAACUAUCAAAGAUAGAAAAAAAGAAAAGAAUGUACAUAGAACGUAAGGGCACAGAACAAUAGACAUUGCAUGAGGGAAAACUGCAUAAAGCUGGAGGAAUAUUUGACUAUUUAUACCAUGUUGGAGCGAGAAAAUUAUUUUCACCCCUUUCUAAAUUUUAAGUCAUGACAGCACUUCACAGUGUAGCUUUUUUCUUCACUUUUAGACCCUACUACUUCCACAACAAAUUUUCUGGAAUUACCAAUUGGUCAUUAACAGAGUUUUGAUAUCAUUCUCACAUUACUCAUCAACAGCACCAAAUAGUAACCGAUUUCUGAAUAUUAUUGAUCAGUAUAUCCUAAAAGUCAUGAAGCAUCUCUUCAACAUUAGCCCCCUUGAACCAUUGUAAUUCCUUGAUUCCAGAACCAACAGGCCAACAUUUCUAGUUGGUUAUUAAAUAUAAUAAAUACACGCAUAAAAUUUGAUUAAAAACGCAUCUUGUGUGGCUUGUUGAUCCAAAAGAUGUUUGUGCAAAUUAAAAAUACAAAUCCUAUGACUUCUUUUUUAGUCUAUCACAGGAAAGAACUAAAUAUAUCUCUCAGCUCCAUAGAUUACAAAAUAAAUUACACUUCGCUAAUGAGUUUAGGGAAAAUUCUUAUUUUUCCUUCAAUAACAUAUGCACAUGAUAUCAAAUUUUUCUUUUGGGAAAAUACAUAGAUUUCACCUUGCAAAAAAGGUACAGUAAGAUAGGCAUAAAAAGAUCACCUGAUGGGGUGGCAGUUGCCACGACUGUGUUCCACCACGACUGUGUUCCAUAAGGAGCACCUAUGGGUGGAGCACCCAUGUGUGGAGUGCCCAUGGGUGGAGCACCCAUGGGUGGAGGCAUGGCUUGAGAAGGUGCUGCAAAUGGGGAGAAACCUGGAGGAGGUGGCACAUUCUGAAAUGAUCCUGAAAAUGGUGGUGGUGGUUGUGCUGUAACUGGUGUCGUGCUGACACAUGACGAACUUCCAAAGGGAGAGCGCAUGCGUGAAGGCUGAGAAGAAGCGCCUGGUGAAACCAUAGCUGGUGGAGGAGCUCCAAAUGGUGGCCUCAUUGCAUUGCUUGGAGGAGGAAUACGUGCUCCACCCUGCAUCAUUCCCGGACCACCUGACGGUGGCCCAUUACUAACAGAGCUAGAAAUGCUUGAUGGUGGUGGCACAGCAGGACCUGUUGUCAACGGCGAAGAAGAAAAAGAAUCCGGAGGCCCCGGACGAGAACCCAAUCCAAAAGGAGAAGACCCAGGUGACGGGGGUGCACCACCCAUAGAAGGAGGCAUUACACCAGGAGGAGGUGGCCGAGAUGCAAAGGGAGGAACAGACUGAGCCACGGAAGGAGGCAAUCCAUUGUGUGGAGGACCACCAGGAGGUGCAGGGCCUCUUGGAAAUACACCAGGCGGUAGAGGUCCUGGACGACUAACAGGUGGUCCACCAGCAAAAGGUGGCUGCUGCCCAAAUGGGGUAUUAGGCCUAGGAGCACCAGGUGGCUGAUUGGGCCUAUUUACUUGUAGAUUUUGCAUACCAUCAGCAAGUGCAUUAGGGUUAUAAUUGGGUGGAGGCGCAUUCCUUGGUCUAGGUCCCCCUGGAGCUGCCAUUGAUUAUUUCCAAAUUUCCCAAAACUCUAGAACAGAUGCCACAGAAAAAAAAAAGUUUAAUAAAUAGAUAAAAUCAACAGAAACAAAAAAUAAGAACAGCAAUCUUCACUAUAUCAAACAAUCAGCAAGAGAAAACAAAACAUAUUGAUUCAAAGGAAAACAAGUCCAUAAAAUCAAUCACAAAAUAAAAAUAACCAGACAAUACAUCUUUUUUUAUCCCCUUCAUCCCCCCUCCUUCAUUUCAGCACACGCGGCCCAAAGAACCUGGAAGACGGACAAUUAACACAUUGACACCCAGAAAUAGCAUCAGCGGAAAGGUCCAAAUGACAAAGGCGGCCAAGUCAAACACCACCAGCUCCAAAACAACAGAAAUUAGCAAAGAGAACUCAAACAUCUCAUGAAACAAAAACAGAGCUGACAGGUUUAAAAGAGCAGAAGUGAAGGUGGAGAACUCCCUAGAUCUGGAAGAAAAGAAAAUGGACAGGAUAUGGUUCUUCCUGAGAGAAACUGAGAGAUUACAAAGACAUGGAAAAAACUGGUCUCUUUGGCAAGAACAAAAUUUCUAUGGCGAUAUAAAUGAGUCCCAACUACAGCAUACAAAUGGGAUUGAAUAAAGAGUGGGGAUAAUAUGAGAAUCACUCAGCCUUUUCAGUUUUUUAUUCAAGAUAUACAGAGAGCUAGAGCACAAUAAGAUGCUAACUAGCUAAACAAAGAUGACAUGCAUCGACAUACCUACCCGCUUUAGAACUAGACACAAACCAUAAAGGGAAGAGAACAGCAAAAGGCUAUUGAUAGAAGAACCCAAACUACCAUUCGGUAUCAUUUUAAGGAAGAUCUAGGGCACAUACUUUGUUGUGCUUGGCCAUUGACGAAACAGAUCAUAUCACAAUAGAUAUAUACAAAAUCACUCGAAAAAGGAAGAAAACUAAUUGCCUCCAAAGGCAGGGAUCAAAUCUUAGAAGUACACGCAAAAAAGAACAAAUUAAUAGAGGCUCAAUUGGAAGAAGAGCGAAAAAUUUCAGACAACGGCAUGGGAGAUACACAAAUAACGAUCCUAAGGCUGGAGAGAGAUAGAAAAAUCUGUGCCAUAUUUUUGCCAACUGACCUUCCUCUAUUUCUCUAUGGACUAACUUACUCAGUUAGGGCUUCUUUAAAUGGAUCAUUGCUAGCUUUCUUUGUGGAUCCAAAAAAUAAAAUCUUCCCUAGAUCUAGAGUUUUCACGGUGCGAUUACAUAACAAAGUAUAAACCAUUUCCCCUCUUAAACUUCAUUUAAAAAUAGAAUUUUCAUCUAAAUUUGUAUAAUGAAUGUGCUUCUUCUCCUUCAAUUUCGGGAUGUUAGUCCAAUUAGUUUGUAAUUCUAGAACACAAUGCCCUCAUUGAAGUAUCAAGUAUCAGCCUCUCUUUCUUUGAAAUUUUAUAACAUGCUAAUUUAUUUUCUUUUUCUGAAGUUCUCUUCUCAUGGUAUUGAUUAACACAGUAUAUAUAGUGUUCUUCUCCUCCAUCCAAAGAACAUUCUAUUAAUAAAAUGAUGGAAUGGGACUUAGAGUAACUGGUAAAGUUACUGUCUUGUGAUCAGGAAUGCACAGUAAAAUUGUAUACAAUAAACCUUUUUGAUCCGGAUACACGGAAGCUUUAGUGCGCCAAUGUUUCCUUUUUAUUAAUAAAUGAAUCAAUCUGCCUAUGAUACAUGGUGAAAGUAUGAGCUGGAAGGGUUCAUAAACUAAACUAUUCGGCCCUUGAGCUGCCGUUGAUUAUUAACAAAUUUACAACCUAAGCAAAUUCCAGCUCAAUUAAAUGUAUCAAAAAUCAUCCACAAAAAUGGAACAAAUAAAUAGUCAUAAAGAGAAAUUUACAGGCUAUAAAUAAAUAAAUGAUACUAAAAAGAAAAACUAACCAGCUAUAAUGUUAAAUUGAAUUAAAGGACGUUAACGUUGACGCCGGUAGCAACGAAACGACGUCGUGUGUAAAAUUAAACAGCGAAUGAAUUCGCCUACUCACCGAAACCCUUACUGUUACAAGUGAUAUACACGAACCGAGUUUUCAAUGACCUUGAACGACUUCGAUCUGAUACAAAAAACCUAAUUCGAUUAAAAUCAAUUAGAUCCAAAAUACAAAAUUCAAAAUUGAAUACAUUCACAUAAACAUAGCAUUCAACGUCAUUCAUAUAUACUACAUGUACAUACAUAAAAGGGAAAAAAUGUUGAACCUGAAAAUCUAGAGGAGGAAGACGCUGGGUUUAUAGAUCGAAAUUGGUGAAGGUUUCAGUGAUCGAAUACUGGCUCAAUGGAGAAGAAGAAGGUGUAACUAUAUUUUUUUUUACUUGUCCAAAUAGAGAUUUUUUUUUUUAUUACUUACUAUUUAAUUGUGUAGAGUAGUUUUGAUAAAUAACGCAAUCUGAUUGGUCUAAACCCCAGAAAUUGAUGUCAAUGCAGGAAAAUGAAUUGUGUAGUUGUUGUAAUAUUUAGGUGCAUUAUUUUGUUGUCAUUUUUUUUUUCUACGAUUAAUAUUCUUCCUUAAAAAUUGUGUAAUAAAUAUUGGUUGUUCAUAUUAUUAAAAGAAAAAAAUCAAAUUACUUACUAUUGAUUAUUAAAACUAAGGUAAAUUAAUUAUUUUUCCCAUUUUAUCUUUAUAGUUAAUUCUUUUGAAAGUGUAUACAAGUUUGUAAAAUCUCAGGAAAAAAAUUAAGAAAUAAAUUUUUAAAAUUACUAUUAUACAUGAGAGAGAAUAGAAUUUUUUGGUAGUCCUUACAUAAUUUUUUUUAUCUCUUUUACUCUUAAUUGAAGUUUUUAUUACUUUGUAAGUAAACACAUAUUUUAAUAAAUUUUUAAAACUUUAAGGUCUUUUACAUGCCACCAAAAGUGAAAAGGAUGAUAGUAGACCCUGCAAAACAUACUUAUACAUAUUUGAGUCUUUAUUUAUUUUAUGUAAACAUGCUAUUAAACUUGUUUCAAAUUAUAUUUGAUUGUAACAUUUAAUUAUAAACGCAUAAAUAAUUAUUAUAUUGUUCAAUUUCUAUCAUGAUAAACGCAUAAUUAAUGAGUUCAAAUAUUUUUCUUAUAAUAUUAUUUGUUGAUGUUAUUUAUAAUGUUUAAUUUGUAAUUUAAAUUGUUAGUUAAUGAUUAAUAAGUAUAGUUUAUUUUAUUUUAAUUUUAUCUGUAAUUUUAUAUUGUACAUGCCGACAAACAUAAGUAAUUAACAAAGAUUACACUUAUAUAAAAUUAUAUUUUAAACUAAAUAAUAACCAUAAUUAAAUUCAUCAUUGUUAAAUACUCUUAAAAUGUGUCCAAAUGUUAGUUAUAAUCAUUUCAUUUAAGUCAAAAAAUAAAUUUCAUAAUAUGAUAGUUAGUUAAUCUAAUUUUAUGUGCGCACAUUUUUAAUUUAAAAUUUACUUGAUAAAUGACCAUAUUAAAAAUAAAUAAUAAAAUAUUAUUUUUGUAUAUAUUUUGAAAAUGCUUGGAGAAAAAUGUAGUUAAAGAAAUUAUAAUUUGAUUUCCUAAUAGUUUAUGAUAAAAAUUAUAGGAAAAAUACUCAAAAAAAUACCUGAACUUUGACCGGAUUUGCAGUUGAUCAUACUGAACUUUGCGGGGGUCCUAUUACCCACCGAGACUUUUUUUAAGUGGAUUUAAUUCCCCCCGAAAUGCUAUACGCAGUUUUGACGGUUGACAGUGUAAUACACGCGCCAAUCUCGUUUUUACACGUGUUUUUUUAAAAAUAAUUUUUAUUUACUUUCUUCUCCAUUCUUAUUCUUUUCAUCAAUUUUCAUUAUUUUUUCACCAAAAUCUUGAUUUCUAAUUCUUGAAGUUUGACUUUUAUUUAGUUCAUACUAAAUCUUUUCCCAAAUUUCAAAUUCAAAUCGAAAACUUUCUUCAAUAAUUUUAUUCAAAUCGAAUGGAAUACUUUCCAAAGUUUCUUAAUUAUGCCCAAAUGCCAACGACAAUGGUGGCUGCCGGCAGCAAUGGUGGAAUUAAUUUCCUCCAAAAUUUGAUAAAGAUUUGAUUUUUUUCCGACCAAAUGUAAAAGAUGAUUAGUUUUUCAAUUUUGCGAUAUUUUUUCUUUUACAAUUUAAAAUUGGGUCAAAUUGAUGGAAAAUAAUUGGGUGUUGAAGAUGAAAGAAAGAAGCACCAUUGGAGCACCAUUAAAGAGAAGAAAGAAAGAAGAGAGAAGAGAUUGAUUUUUUUUCGACCAAACGUAAAAGAUGAUUAAUUUUUCAAUUUUGCGAUGAAUUUUUCUUUUUCAAUUUAAAGUUGGGUCAAAUUGAUGGAAAUGAAUUGGAUGUGUUGAAGAUGAAAGAAAGAAGCACCAUUGGAGCACCAUUGAAGAGAAAAGAGAAGAGAAAGAAAGAAGAGAGAAGAGAAAAAAUGAAAAAAUAAAUAAAAAUAUAAAAAAUUUAAAAAUCAGAAAAUUGAGGGGCUAUUUGACAAAAAAAAGGGUUUUAAUAUUUUUUUAAUACUCUCACGCGCCUAAUGCGCGUGAAUUACACGCACUUGUCAAAGUGGACAGAUAUAUACCAUUAAAAUACGAAAAAAAGAAGUCUAGGUGGGUAAUAGAACCUUCGCGAAGUUCAGUAUGCUCAACUGCAAAUCCGGUCAAAGUUUAAGUAUUUUUCUGAGUAUUUUUUCAAAACUAAAAGCUCAAUUUGAAUAAUCGGAGAUUAGAAACUCAAAAGAUUUCGGUAAAAUAGAAAUUAGAACUUUCAUACACGCAUUUUUUUUUUUGAAAGUGUAAAAUUUAAAUUAAAAAAUAUUAUCCUUUAACUUUUCAAUAUCAUUCAUACUGUACUAUUUUAAAACUCCUUAAAAAUUAUUACACUGAUAUCACAAAAAAAUAAAAAAAUAAGAACGAUUUUUUUUUUAAAAUAUCUAUAAAUUUAUUUGAGAUAAUACUCAAUCACCCCCUGAACUAUACUCAAAAAGGCUAUGACACACCUCAACUUAAACGGGGUCCUAUUACCCCCGAACUAAUUAAAAGUUGAAUUUUCACCUCCUUAAUGUCUAUGUGGCACAUACGUGGCACAACACACUAAAGUGUCCACGUAGGCACACGUGUGUGCCACGUAUGUGCCACAUAGGCACUAAGGGGCUGAAAAAUUUACUUUUAAUUAGUUCAGGGUGGUACUAGGACCCCCUUUAAGUUGAGGUGCGCCAUAACCUUUUUGGGUAUAGUUCAGAAGGGUAAUUGGGUAUUUUUUCAAUUUAUUUUGUUAAUGGAAGUUUGGGCCCAGGCUUAGUCGGGCUAAAUGAAACUAGUUACUUUACUACUAUAUAUAAGAGACAAUUCAAGGACUUUGGUAGUCCUCACAAAAGUUUUCAAUUUAAUUUUAAUUUUUUCAAUUAAUUACUUUUAUGUCAUGAUUUUAUCUUUUAUAGUCAUUUAAUUAAUUUUUUAAUCCUAUAAUAUUGUGACAUCUGAUUGACAUAGCUGAAGUUUUUUUUUUUUUUUUUUGGUUAUAUAGACCUUUGCACUUGGUGCAUGUGUCAUAGUAUGAGAAGCUAUUAUUAAUAUUUUUUUUUUGUAAUUUCGAUUAAUUAAUUAACUAUUUAGAAAAUAAUAAUUGGGAGUAGGACAAGGGAAAUUACGGAGGAGAUUACGAAGCAAAAAAUUAAAUAUUUACCAAUAAAGUAAAGUUUAGGUAGUUAAUCAAUUGAAACAUUCAAAUUCUCAUAUUGUUUAACUAAUCGAUAAAUCAUUUUUAGAAUCUUCCAUUAUAAUGUUUUAUUUCUCAUACUUAUAUAUUAUUUAAUCAAGUCUAUUGCAAAAUAUAAACGUCAAAUAUCGUUUAAUUAUUUUUUUUAUUAAAUUAUUUGUACUUCAUGCUUUAUGAAGUAUAAGACCAAAAAGUAUUAAUUUUUCCCUUUGCUACUUACAAGACCAAAAUAUUUUAAUUUGACUAUUUUUCAUUAACUUUUUAAAUUAAAAUUAAUUAUUUAAUUAAUUUUUGUAAAUUAAAAUAGCUUUAAUAAAAUUAAUAUUUUAUAUGAACUUUUAUUUAAAGUAGUUUAAGAAAAAAAAAUUGACCGUGGAGAAUUUUUUCUGUUGCAUAAAUAAUUCAUCAUUUUUUUUCUUUCUUAUUAUUAAUCUUUAUUAUUUAUUUUCCAUAAGAAAGAGUUUUGUACAAAUAAUGUGGGUAUGCAGAUAUAUUUUAUUUCUAUUGAAUUGAAUAUGGUUCUGAUGCAUUUCUUAAUUAUCUUUUAUAAAUUGAAUAAUUUUUUGUGGACAAUUUUAUUUAAUGCUUUUUAAAAUAUCAGACAUAUUUCAUAUACAAAAAAUUAAAAUUAUUGAUAAAGUUAAAAAUUAAGGUAAUGAUAUGAAUUAAGAUGAAAUUAUUUUUGAAAUCUCUUUUCUGGUCAAUUGAGAAUCAAUAUUUUUAAGCAUUAACUAUAGAGAGAGAAUCAAUUGAUCUCGAUGUUCAUUUUAGUGAGUCUAAUUUUUUUUCUUAAUUUAGUAUAAAAUUAUGCUUAAAGCACCACAAUUAACUAGCAUGAAUUCUUGUCACGUGAAAUUAUAAAUAAAAUCAUACAUUUUUCAUCACACACAAGAAGCCUUGAGUAAAUAAUUGAUCCACUUGAUAUAUUUUAAAUCAUAUUAGUCAUAAAACAUCAAAUUACUUGAGUUUGGGCCUUGUAAAACUAGACUAUAUAUAAGGGAGAACAUCUUAUUUUGGUAGUCCUCACAUAACUGUAUUUUGUCUAUUUUAUCCUUAAUUAAGUUUUAAUUACCUUUUAAAAUCUCAUCCAUUUUAAUAAAUCUAAACAAUCACAUGAGCAUUUAAAAUGCUAUACAAAAAUGAUGAAUCAUAAAGAAGUGAUAGUGACACUAUAAAAUAUCUAUUUAUCUAACUAAAUUUAAAAUUAAUUCAAAAUUUUAUUGUCGCCUUUUAUGUGGGAUAAUAUUAAUUUAAUUAAAAAAAAUACAUUUUUUAAUCCUCACAAGAAAUUUGUGAAGCUUUAAUAAACUUGUAAGGACUCAUUGAAGAAACAUCUACAAAAAGUAUUUUAUUGAGUUUGACUUUUAAUUAUUUAAUUUAUCAUAAAGCAUACAAUAGUUUGUAGCAUCAAAUAUUUUUAUAUUAAUCAAAUAUUGUAUUAUUUUUUUAAAAAUAUGAAUCAGCAAUGUAAAGUUUAAUUGAGAAAAAACAAUGAAAUUAAUUAUACAUAAGGCAAAAAUCAAUUUAGAUCGUUAAAGGCUUUCAUUCAAAACUUUCAGUAAAAUAAAAAGGAGAAAAUUUUUCGUGUGUGCAUUUGUUUGAAAAUUAAAAGAAAGACUAAAAUAUACCAUAAGAAAAAUUGUUAUUUUUAACUUAUAAAAGCUUUUACUCCCUCUGUUUUAAUUUAUAUGUUUGAUUCUGACUUAACACAAAGUUACAGAAAAAGUAACGAAUAUUUUUGAAUUUUAUGGUCUUAAAUUAAAAAUAUGUAGAAAGGAUCAAAAUAUUUGUUGAUCUUGUUGUCUUAAACAUGCCACGUGGACAGUUGGAUUAACCAAGAAAGAAAAGAGACAUUUUUUAAAAAAGAACUAAAAAAAUAGGACAAAAAUUGAAACAGAUAUAUAAUUAUAACAUUUUAAAAAUAUUAAAAAAUAAUCAAACCAAACCGUUAAACUAAUAUAAUGGUAUAAAAAGUAAAAAUAGCAAGUUAAAAAAAUUACAAAUAUAAAAGUUAAUGUAGUUUGAGCCCGGGUUUAGCACGAGCUAAACGACACUAUAAUUUCUUAAGGAUAUGUAGAGAAAAAAUAGAUAACUAAGUAAUACAAAAAGAAAGGAAAAUGUGUGAAGCAUUAAAAUUAAAUGUUUGAAUUCUAUUACAAUGAGGGAUCGUUUGAUGUGUGAUAUAAGUGAUAAAUAAUUUUGAAAUAAAAUGAAGGAAUAUUUUAUCUCAUGUUUAUUGUGAGGUAUUAAUUAGUAUCGGGAAUUAUUUAUCCCACCAUUUUACACUAUAGUGAUAGAAUAAGUUAUCUCUUAUACAUUGUGGGACAACUAAUCCUGCAAUGACUCUUUUCUAAUCAAACGACCCCUCAGAGUAACAAGAAGAAUAAUGUAUCUGUUGCAAGCCUACAAUAUCACAAAUGAUGUUCGAGAAAGACGGAGAGAGAAUUUAUUCGUAAUAAAGCAAAAUAUCAAACCAGCUCGGUAAAAGAAACAACUAAAGUAAAAAGUCAUAUAAUGAAAUACUAAAGAUAACUUGACAAAAUAUUUUUUUGGUAGAAACAACAUAAACAAUAACUACAACAUAAUAAUAUUAGUUAAAUAGGAAGCAAGAGGUAGCAACAAAAAACAAAUUUCAAUAAAUAACACAUAGUAAAUAGAGAUUGAGAAUAAAAAAUUACAAAAAUAAUAUGACGACUACUAGUGUAGAAGAAUUAGUGAGACAACUUUUAAUUACCUACUAGAUUUUUACUUAAGUCGUGUCCUCAAAACUUUCAUCUAAGAUUAUACCCUCAAUAAGUUGAACUUGCGUUAUCUUUCUUCAAUACUUUUUUAGACUAUUUUUGUCUCUUUUGAAGUUAUUCAGAGUCAAUUUCUCACACCUGGACAUUCGAACGCCUCCUAACAAUACCCAAAUCAUCUUAGUCUCGCUUCUUAGUUCUUACAUAUUGACCUUUACAUGUCAUUUUCAUUUUGUUGGUACUGUCUUCAUUUUUAAUCAUAUCAUCGGUAAGUUGAACUUGCAUCACCGUUCUUCAAUACUUUUUUGAUCUAUUUUUGUCUCUUUUGAAAUCAUUUACAGUCAACCUCUCACACUACUGCACUAGAACAUCCACGUCUCAUAACCACACCCAAAUCAUCUUAGUAUAACUUCUCACAUGUUGGCCUCCGCGUGUCACUCUCAUUUUGUCGUGACUUUCAUUUUUAAUCAUCUCUUCCAACAAGUCCACAUAUUCAUCUCAUCGUUUUUAUCUCCACAACUUUCAUCUUCUGAACAAAAAUUUCCGACUGGUCAAUAAUUCGCCUCAUAAAGAAAUAUCAUCUACCAAAAAUUUUCAUCUUGUUAUGUUAAGAGUGUGCAUAAUUAAAAUUACACUCAUAGUACCUAGCACUACACCACAUAAUUUUUCGGAAAGGAUAUGCUUACGUAGCUCCGCCGAUGAUAGUAGGAGUAUUUGGAAGCUGGAUUUGUGGAGGCAGGGACAAGACAAAACAAAACAAAACAAUAGGGAGGAAGUUGCGGGGAUGCUUCCAGAAAGUGUUGAAAAACGCCACGCCAAGCAGCCCCCCACAUAUCAUCAUCAGUCCAUGUAAUGACAUGACAUAAGACGAAUUGAAAGUUUGGCAUGCAUUGUCAGGGCAAUUGCCGUGUAACAGACGAAUUGACAUGAUUGCAAGCGUUAUUACAAAAUUAUACACUAGUACCAAAUAAGGAUAAAGCUAGCAGCAAAAGAAAUGGAAUACAAAGAGUAGAAAAAGUGAGAACAGACUAUCUACUUACUUUACUGGAAAGUCAUACAGUACCAUCUUCUUAAGAUGAUUAUUUGAAAUUGUAAAUUAUCAAUUAUAUAAUCUUAUAUCUUGAGGAAGAAAAUUAAUGUGCAAACUUUCUGGCAAAGAAGGUCACAUGCACAAAGAAAAUUUGCUAAUCUAAAAAGUAUGCGUGAAGGAAAUAAAAUCUCAUUUCUUCUCCCUCACACAUUUGAGAAAUGUAGCUAAUGAACAAUGUUAAAAGUAGGAGUGCUGAGGAUUGGCAAGACUGAAGUAGCUUGGACGGUUACUCAUGCAAAAGGAGAAUCUGCAAGGCAGGAAUUCUAUAGGAUGGUUCUAUCAAGAUGUGUUUAUCUUGCUUGGCUUAAAAGGAAUGCCAUGUUUGCCUUGCCUACCUUUUUCUUCCCAAUGCCAGUCCACACUCCACACUAAUCUUUCAGUUCUUUCAGAUGGAAGUUCUAAUUGUCACUUCCAACAAUUGAUCAAAUUCAGUUUAAAGCUAACAUGAGAACUUAAUUCCUAAUACGAUUGUAAUAAUGAACCAAAGGAUCUUGUUUUGGUAUAUUAAGAAUUUGAAUCAGGUCCUUUAAUCUAUAGCUCGAACAAAUUUUGACAGAAAGGGCUCCCAAAGGUCAAUCUAAGUAGAUUGAAAUGACGCUCAAAACUUCAGCUGAUGAUGCUCUGACAUCAAGAGAACAAAGGUUAAAUAGAAACACAUUUUUCACACCAUACCAAUAUAGUCAAUAAAACUAAUUCCAUUUUAAUUUCACGUCAAGAAAAAUAAUCAUGAUAAAUAACACUAUUGCUUUUUGUUUGUCCCCUAUGAGUAGGUGCUACACCUCAGAAAAACUAAGAGAGACCUGAAGCCACGGCCACACCUAGAAAGCUGAUCUGCACCUCUUCAUAUUGAAACCAUCUGUACCCCUUUCUCUAUAAUCAAAAUUCAUGAACAAAACUGGAUAUUUCUCAAGCCAUUUUAUUUUGAAUGUGUCGAUGGAUAUGUACUAGAAACUCAACAUAUGAAAGUCCAUUUUGUGUCUUGUCUUCUACCAUGUACGAGAAAAAUAACAUGCCUGGCAAAGAGAUUCAAAGGUUAAUAAUGUGAUGGGGCCAAGGCCAAGAAUGAUUAUCAUAUAAUUUGACACGCUUACCUUCCACAACAAUCUCACAUGAACAUGCUUCUUAAAUGUAGAAAAUGUUUUGGCAUAUGUUAUAUAAUCAUUCUUUUUCCUCAAUCUUAAUUAAAGCUAUAUAACCAUAAACAAUAAGACAAGGGUAGAAGUAAGUAAUCCUUUGAUACAACUGUUCUACACCUCAGAUAAACCUCAGGAUGUGUUGCGAUAAACUGUUGUAAAACCAAAGUACUGCCUAAAGAAUCUGGAAUGGCUAAAGGUGAGUUAAUAAACAAAGCGAGAAUGAUGGUCAUUGCAAGAUAUCAGAUGAAGUGUUAACAUUAAGCAGCUAAGAGCAGCAAGAACGUUAAAUAUAGAUCAGUUUGAUAAUUAGUUAUCCUAACCCUUCUCCUUUUUUCCACUUUAGACUAUUUUAUCUUUGUUUUCCUGGGGGGAUAUGCCAAGAUUGAGGGUAGAAAUGCAAAAGCAUGGUGCUAGAUAUGAACCUGAUGAAUCUCCCUUUUUGCAUAAUUUUAAGCUGCCAAGAUCAAAUUGAGAAUUUAUCAGAAAUUAGACAUAUUAUGUGUUAUAGGUAACAAAUCACAUCGUUUUGAUUAAUAAGUAAUGAAUUGUAAUUGAGGAACCAUCAUUUAAAAUGGAGUAAAUAGAGGAGCAAAUACACAGAAAAAGAAGAAUCAUACCGGAGAUAGUUACACCUUUGGCGCCUAAUAUCAUUAAUGAUGUCAUUGAGCUUCUUAGAAAGUGGAUUGUCUUGCUGCUGCAGAACAAACUGAGAGGGAGGAAAUUCAGAAUCGACGCGAGAGAAGCUAAAUUACAAUAAGUAAUUGUUUUGCUUCACCAAGGGGAAAAAAAGGGAACAUUUGAUUGCUUUGUCAAUCAAGAACCUAAAGAACAUGCAGGAAAACCACCCACCACCCUCAAAAAAAAAAAAAACAGGUUUAAUUUUAAGACAUGACUACGUUGAAUGAAAUGGCACAACCACAAACACUCAAAUAGGAUACGUGGUUUGAAUGCAAGCCUCAUGCUUUCGCUUGCUGCAAUGCAACCUGACUGACACAUCUAGUCACCAUGGAUUUAUAUAGUCUAACCAAAGCCAUUCAAGAAUAAUCCAUACAAAUUAAAUGCACUUCUUAAGCAACAUGUAUCAAAAGAGGAUCUAGGAAAACGGGUGCUGAGAAAGUGUUUCCCCCUUUUACGUUCUCAUACACGAAUAAUAUCACACCAAUAAACAGCAGAAGACAUGUCAAACUACCUGAGCAGGAAUUUCCUCAACAGAUGAAAUGCCUAGCAGCUGAUGGAUAACAUUAGGAUCUGCAGAGUUCCCAACAUAUAUCAAACAGUCCUCACCGUUCUCGAGAAGAUAGAUACCAGUGUCACUAAUGUGUUCACUGGAAAGUGGCAUAGACUGAGGAAUAAGAGAAUCUCCAUCCUCCUACAAGUUCAAAUACAGAAUGAAACGUAAGAAAUGUAAUUCAAUAAUAAUGUCUCAAAUGAAUCAAGAAAAUGAACAGAACUGCCAACUUGACUUAGAAAGGCAAAAGAAAAGGAGGGAAACAAAAUCCAUAAAUACAAGUACCAUACCUUUGUAUCAAGUUCGUGAAUUGCAAUCAAUCUUGGGUAGACCAGAGGGAUAGCCAAUGGAGUAGAGAGUGGGGAAACAUAAUUAAUCCAGAAGGAUCUACUAUCGAUCUGUCCAUCUGUUCUAAGUCCAGUGCUUUUAACCAAAGCUGAAAUAUUAUGAGAACUCAAUAAAAAUAUAGAUUUGACAUUAUUAUUUGCACAAAAUUGGCACAAGUAAUGGUUUUGUAGUGACAGAGAAAAUUAGUGUCACUCAUUUAAUAUGCACUAUAAGUAGGAAGCACUCGGAAGCUGAAUGAACAUACUAAGAAUGGGUGAUCAUUCAUUCAUCGAGGUUUUCUUGGCACUACUUUCCCUCAUAUCAUUUACAUCAACUCAACUCAUAUAAUACACCGGAUAGCAACAAAAGGAACAUAAGGAGGAAGGUGAUACAAGGAGAAGAAGAGGAAAUAAUGCAAGAAAAAUAUUUUAAAAUUGCACUGCAUGUAUAAACCAACACUGUCAAAUCAUUUGGAAAUGAAGGGCUUGGGAAAAAGGAAGGCAAGAUAUACCCAGUGUGUAAAGAGGAAGAAGUUUAAGUGCCUCAGGAAGAAUAAGUUGUCCCGAGGAUGACACUGUGGCACAAUAUUUACGGUAAGAGUGCAGAAUGUUGAUGCAAAGGUUUGUCACUUGUUCUCUGAUCCGUGAGAGAGGAGCGGUUGGUACUUCACUGGCAGCUGCAUGCAAGAAAAAUAACAUAAGUAGGACUACUCUUUAAAAAAGAUAAACAAGGAGGAAAAAGGAACAAAAUAAUGAAAUAGCAACAAUGCAUGAGAUAAAGACAACAUCAAACAUCAAAAGCAAGCAGGCCACUUGAUAACUCGUGACGGUAAUUAUGUCGACCACAACAAUGCAAUUAAUAAGUAGUAAAGAACUAGAGAAGCAGGAUGUUAAGCCCUCAAUACAGGAUCUUGUGCAGCUGAUUCUGUGGACACUGGGAGAUAAAUAUAGCUUCUUCAUCAACGAAAGAGAUGACAAGUUUGCUGUGGUUGAUUAGUCAAAAGAAAUGUGAAAGGAAGCAAAGGAGUGUAUUAAUUGCAUUUUCAAGGAAAAUAUACAUUUUAUUAAAUUUCUCCUAUACAUCCUAACGAAUUGAAACCUGAGGGAAAAAAAGGAAAAUAUUAUUUAGCUAUUCUGCCAAAAGAUAUAAAAGAGAUAUCCAACAAACACCGGUUCCUUAUUCCUACAGUGCCUCUUUUUUUUUUUUCCUUUUUUAUUAAGACACUUAUUUUUCUUUGUUCUUACUUUGUUCGAGUCGUGGUUUUGCUUUUGCAUAGCAUCCAAAACUUACAGAACAUCUGGACACAAAAGUUACAUCCCCAUCUAGCAAAUAUUCAUUCCAAAUAUAUGCAGAACAAGAGUUAUGGGGAUUAUAAGGGAGCACUAUUGCAGAAACAAUCAGAUUCGAUAUUGUACCAAUGGACACAUAGAAGGUGUCCACGCACAAUCUUACAUAUAGUUUGGCUAUGCACAUAAGAGAAAGGAGCAAAUAGAAGUGCAGCUUUUGGAAAUUAACAAAUCCAUGCAGCUUUGGGAAAUUAAUAACUCCAUACUUUAUAAGGACAAAUUGAGUGUCAAAGAUCAUCUCGGUAUAAAGGGAAGAAAAUGGAGCAUAGAUGCAGAAACCAAAGAUUCUUUCUUAGGCAGAAGCACGCUAUAGAGGAUAAACUCUUCCCAAGAAUUUUAGCAAUUCAAAAAAUGGAGAUAGAUUGAGAAGAAAAAGGGAGAUGCCCCCUAACCCUGAGGGGGCGAAUAAGGAGGGUGAACUUUCAACAUUAUACUUAAGAAUGUAGCACAGUGCAUUAUGACAUAGUAUCGUCUACCUUGUUUUAAGAUGCAAGCAAAUUGGGUGUCCAAGUCAGCUGAUCGAAACAGAUUACUCAACAUAGUUGUGCAAGGUAGAGCCAAAGUUGACACUCGGAUUCUUCUUUGGCCAUCAAUGGUAGUGUAAAGAACGGCAGACUGGAAAAACAGAAACAAGCUCUUGUAAAUAGCCAUCAUAUUGCACCAGGGAAGAAAAAGGUAAAAGGAAGGGAGCAGCAGCAGGGAAAAAUAGACAUACAGAAACAGGGCAAACAUGAUUGACCAGAAACUCAUUGGUGAAGACUCAAUAUAAAUUUGUACCUGAAAAGAACAUUCUGAACCUUCCUGCAAUUUGUCAUCAUGCUUCAAUGUCACCAUAAUUGUUUUGUCACAGUCAAUCUGCACAAUGGAAAACUCACUUAGAAAUGAAUACAAUUCAUAAAUCAGUCAAACUAGCAUAUUCGACAGGGAAUCAACAGUGUAAAGACUUUGAAUGUAAUUAUUCACACAGGAAAAGGUGAAUUAACAGGGUAAACACAUGCAUACAGAAGAACCCAUGCUAGUAUAGCUGCAAAUGUACUAAAAUCCCUUACCAGCAUGUGCAGUUUCUUUUUUUUUCCUUUUUGAUCAGGUAAACAUUUCAUUAAUCACAAGGCCAAAGUCGGCCGUAUACAAGAAGUAUACCAAAAAGUAAAGAACCUACAACAGGGCAUGGUUCUCCACAAAAGACACCCAAUCCUUUAUACAACCCAGGGAGGCUACACCACCUCAACUGGCCAAAAGUCAAUUCCACCCCUUCAAAAGCCCUCCUAUUUCUCUCUCCCCAAACGAUCCACAUCAAAGCUAAAGGAACAAUAUUCCAAGCCCUGCACUUUAUCCUGCUCCUUCUAGCUUUCCAACGAGAUAACAUUACGUUCACAGUUCUAGGCAUCACCAAAGAAAUACCAAACCAGCUAAACAUAUCCAACCACAGUCUCGUGGUCAGGUUGCAAUGUAAUAGAAGAUGAUCAAACUCCUUACCCGUCUCUUUGCAUAAGUAACACCAGCUAAUGCAUAUGAUCUUACUUUUUCUUAGGUUUUCCGCCAAAAUCACCCCUCUAGCAGCUAACCAAGAGAAAAAUGCAUCUUCCUCGGUACCUUAGGAAUCCAAAUAGACUUUACGGGGAAAGCCUUCACCUCCCUCACCAAGAGUUUCCCAUAGAAGGACUUGACAGAAAAAACCCAGUUACUCCCCAAAUUCCAUUUUAGAGUCUCGAAUCUAUCGACUGGCUCGUGAUGCUGAUGAAUUAGAGCUAGCAACUUUGAAACUUAUUAACCUCCCAGUCUUGAAAAUUCCUCCUAAACCUCAAAUCCCAAAAUGUUUCUUUUCCUUUUAACCCUCUAAUAUGAUGGACUACCGCCUCCCUCUGACAAGAAAUCCUAUAGAAGCUCGGGAACUCAUCUUUUAGUACCACAUCUCCACACCGUUUGUUUUUCCCAAAAACUGACUCUCCUCUCAUCCCCUACCCUGAACGAGAUGUUAACCUCAAAAUCAGCCCAUCCCAUCAUAAUAUUCCUUUAGCCAUACACCAUAUUGAUUUCAUUAGUUCUCCACCCCCCUUCAAUCACCCCAUAUAUUUCUACUAUCACUCCUCACCAAAAAAAUGGACCUCUAUCCCCAAUCUCCAUAAACAUUUUCCCGGCGAAGCUUUAUUAAAUACCCUUAAGUCUUUGACACCCAACCCUCCCCAAUUUUUAGGGGAAUUCACCUUCUCCCAUCUGACCAAAUAAUGUUUUCUUGCCCCGUUUGCCGAAUCCAAAGAAAGUUUCUUUGAAGUCUUUCCAAUUUUCCUGCAACACUGGUAGGUACAUGAAACAAAGACAAAAAUUAAGUGGGGAUGCUUGAUAAUGUGCACUUAAUAAGCACUUCUUUCCCUCCUUUGGAUAAAUAUCUUUUUUGCCAACUAGCAAGCCUCUAGAUUAACGUAACCCCCUUUGGAAGGAGAUAUCAACUCAUAAGGUUCUCCCAAAACAUGUAACUUAGAACAUAAGUACCUUUGGGUACUUUUGGACAUGUGAGCUUUCACAUUAAUGGCCCAUGUAACAUUCAUUUGAACUUGGCAAUGGACAAUCUGAAAAGAUGACUUAAAAGCUUCAUCUAGAUAUGAAAAAAGGCGGAUAAAAAUAUAGUUGAUAAACGAGUGACGAAUGAACAUGUCACAACACAUGCUUUUUCUCAGUUGCAUCAUCUACACCCCCAAAACUCACCAAAAGAACAGGACCUAACUCUGGAUGGUGGAGAAAACCACACUGUUGGAAGCUCACUUAGUAAAUCAGGCAGGGAGUCAAUGGUGAAAUAUCAAAAGUAGCCAACAUAAUAAAAGAGAUUUGGUAUUAGCCCAAGAAAUGUCCUACAAAUGCUUCGAACUUCAUACAGAUGAGCUUAGUUUGUAUAUCAAAUUCUAUCUCAGCUGUUGUGGUUGUACUCUGGAAAGUGCAUAAUAGUCUUCUAAAGGAGGAGGGAUAAACUGCACUGCAGGUAGAUCAGCAUUUAAUGGAAUUCUUUUACAGUAAUAAAGAUGUGCAUAGUUCAUUUAUCAAAUUUCAUCUAAGUUGUAGUUCUACUUCAUGCUUGGGAAAUGCAUAAUUGUCUGUGUGUGUGUUUGGGGGAGGGGAUGUGAUAGAGGGACAAACCGCAGGUAGAUCAACAUCUGUUGGAAUUCUUUUGCAGUAAUUGCCAGCGUACUCCUGAACUUGAAUUCCCUGCAAAUAAAUAGAACACGGUCAGCAUGCGAGCUCAGUUUCAAUUUCCAUAAAUUAGGUAUGGCACUUCUCCCACGAGAGAAGCACAGGAAGAUCCGAAAACUGGGGAGCAUACCUGACUACAUCUUACACGCAUUACUGCCUCAAACCCUUCGGGCCUAGUAAUAUUCCAUCGAAGAUCAUUGUAUAGCUUGGCAGUAUCAGCAAGAGCAGAAAACGGGAAAUAGUAAUACACCUGACACAAGUGAAACAACCAUAAAGCUCAAAGCUUAGAUGUAAAAAUAUCAAAAGGAACAUGAAGUGAAGUGGCUGCAUCAUAAGAUUGUUCAUAAAUUUCAUGAACAGUAAGUUGCACCAUAACCAAGGCCCUAGGGAAGAAGACAAGCUAAAAUAGUAACAAGCGUCACAGUUACCUGCCCACCAGUGGUCCUAGGAAUGACUGAAAUGGAGGCAAUGUCUUCAUAAGAUUGAGUUGUGAGAAACACGUCAACACAGACCUGAAGCAGUUGAGGUCUAAUUAAUAAAAGCGAACGAUUAUAAAAAUAAAGACCAAAAGGCGUUCUUAAUCCUAUUUGUUUUUAAUGAAUCAUUACUGCCACGGGCUUUUCAUAUAAGCUCUCACCUGAUACUCAGCAAACUCAAUGGCCAUUGUCUUCAGAUUUUUGUCGGCUGGCUGGAGUAACUUGUUAGCCUCCUGAAAUUGGAAAAUAUACAACUCUUCUGAAUAAGCAAUGUCAUGGUUUCUUUUUUCGGCAUAAGACGUUAGCGCUGAAUAUGUACAUUACAAAACUCAGAUGGAGUCCAGUUUCAUUUAUCCAAUGCUUACAGGAUUCCACUAAAAGUACCUCAGUGUACCAGACAAACACCAUUGGCAUAAAACAUUCAUCUGUUCUAAGAAAACUGAUCAACGAGUAAAAAACUGAUAAGCCCAGUCUGGUGAAAUCUUAGUAAGAAUACACCUAAACACAAGAUUUAAGAAGAAAAUUGAUAGCCACAAAGAGCACUCUCAUUUACCACACAAGAAAAAUGAUUAUUCUGCUCCACGAUUUAAGACAAUGAUUCAAGAGUGCAAUGAAGAACAGACAUUUUCACGAAAUGAUGAGCACGCUGCCAUUCAUUUCUCAGAGGCGACGACUCAAAUAAGUGAUUAGCAGCUUAAAGAACUUCAGUCAAGUUACUGGACUGAAGCGCUAUUUCUGCCCAUACAUUAUUGUACAUGCUCUAGUAGUGAAAUUUCAAGCAGACAUUUUGAUAUCAAUAAAUAGAAAAGACUAUUUAAUUUCCAAUGUUCUCUUUAAUAAGAAGUUGACAGUUAAAAAGACAUCAUCUCUCGCACUUAAUCGUCUUAGCGACAAUAUUAGAAGCUUCUAUAUAUUCAGCACAAUAUGGACAUCUUUAUGGGCAGAGCCCACAUUAUAAGGGGCAAAAACUAGGGGACAGUAUGUGGAAACAAUCUAAAAGUGAGACAGAUAUAUGCUGAAGAACUAAAAACUAGUUCAAUAAUUUUACCUUUUCUGCAGCUGAUACAUUGGUUCUUCCUUCAGCCUCUCUAGCAGAAAGGGCUCCAAUACCAGUAGAUGGCAGCACUAUAAAACAGAGCAAGUACAGCCAACACUUAGAAUUGUAUCACAAUUUGUGUAAUCAAGGACUCAAGGUUGCAUGGCUCAUGCAACAGAUCAUUUACAGGUCCUAUGGACUAGUUGAUGCACCAGGUGAAGAACUAUAAGGCAAUUGCCAAAAACAUAGUUCGAUCUUACAAAGCAUUUGGUCCAGAUAUUUGAUGGAGAGUGUCAUAACAGGAAUUUACUGAAAACAUAAUCUAAACAUAGCUAUUGUAGAAAUACUUCAAUUUUAAAAGAACCAGACAGUGCUGUAGAAAGCAAUCCUGUUACGUAUCAUCCUAUUUAGUCAGAUUGCAUUGGAAACAGAAGUUAAGCACAAAUUAAUGAAAGCAAAACAGUCAAUCAGCAGUGCAUUGUAAACAAGGCGUGGGGGAUUAAAGAUAAAAGAUGUUCUAAUGCAAGCAUGCGGACAAUAUUACCGGCUUGAUUUUUUACUAGUACAUGAGACUUAAAGUUAACUGCAUUUAGCACCUUACCUGAUUUUAACUGCAUUUAGCACCUUACCUGAUUGAAACACAAGAAGUUUGCCUCCAGUGCUUUUCAUUGCCAAGAAAGCAGCCUGAAGUAACAAAACACGAAGUAAGAAUCAAUCUAUAUGAUAAUCCAUCAUAGACUGAUGUGGUUAGACUUGCAUCAAUCAUCUGCAUGAGGGAGAUCCCAGAUUUAAAUUCUAUGGGAUCAAUCUUUAAUGUUCGAAGCAUUGGACACAUUAAUUUUUUUUUUAAGAAAACGAUAACCGUGGUGUCCAAGAUGGCUUGCGCGCACCUCGACUAACUCAAUGUGAUAUUUGUCACCUCCCACCAGCAAUAGAUACUAAUUGACUUUGUCAAACAAGGCUAGGACAAAUGGGAAGAGAUCACCUAGUGUUUUUGUCUCUGCUGAGAUUUGAACAUGAGACCUCGUGAUUCUCAACCCACUUCAUUGACCACUACAUAUUUUUAAAUUUAUGGCUUCAUACCUAUCAUUUAGUGCAAGUUUAGUCAUUUUUUACACAAGAACUUAUGCUCGAAGUUGAAAGUAUCGGGUUUAGAUGAACCCGUUACUGUAAGGUUGGACCUGCCCCUGCAUCUGCAUGUAGAGACAUAAUACUACUUAAUUUUUCCAAUCUUUUUCUAAGAAUGACAAAGUCUCAGGAAACUGUAAUGACCUAACUACUCACAUUAUAGAGGGAAUGCAGAAAAUACUUAUUCCAUCUAUGAAUUAACGAGGCAAUUUUUUUUUAAAAAAGGCAAUAUAAAACAAGUGGAUUUAUAUUCCAAAUGAUAACUUGGGAAUAUAACUUCAUGUAACGCACUGAUACCUUGACAGCAGCACCAAAAGCUGAAUCAGCAGUCCUGUUGUUCUGGAACAUAGUUGGGAUGCUUUCCAGGAGAAGCUCUAGGUGUUGACGGCACUGAAAACACAAAGAAGGAACAACUUUCAUAGGACGCACUCAUAGUCUUAGUCAUUCUGCUUUAAUAAGGGGAAAAUGAACAGAAGUUAGACAACAUCUUGCAGAUCUAACCUCCGACAGCUGCACAAUAACAUCAGUCUGAAGGGGGGUGUAAACGUCUUGGACAUCAGGGACUAUUAGCAUCAAUGGCUGCAAAGGGAGAUCCAGAAUAAACUUAUCAGAAAACAAGCACUUCACCAACCUAAACCAUUUGCCACAACCCUAAUCCCACAGUUUAGCAUCCAUAUUAAAGAACAAUGAACAAGUCAUAUUAGAGAACAAUGGAACAAGUGAAAUAGAAUCCAACUAUACCAGAGAAGAAAAAUGAAGAACUGCAUAAUUAAGCAAAAUGAAGAAAUCCAACAAUAAGGAAAUGAGCAACUAAUUAAGGCAGAAAAGUUGAGAAAAGUCAUAAAGUACUCUUUUUGAAGGCUAAUAUUUUCUUCCUACAAUCCAUUACUUAAUCAUGGACAAGACAAAUGAAAAAGGAAAACAACAACAAUUUUACCUUGUUUUAGUAAGUACUACUAACUCUGCUUCCCAGAUAUGUCUAAUUUUGCUCAAACUCUCCAAAAAUGUUGUCACACCUGUGUCGGAUGCACAAAAAUGCACAAUUUUUUGAGGAUCCGACAUGCAUUGUUUGACAUUUUUGAAGAGCCCGAGCAACAUACACAUGGUUAAAGAUUUUUAUUUUAUUUUCACUUCAGAAAUUCUUUACGAAGAGCCGAGGGUCUUUUGGAAACAGUCUCUCUACCUCCCACGAGGUAGUGGUAAAGUCUGAGUACGCUCUACCUUCCCUAAACCUCACUAGUUUCACUGGGUAUGUUGUUGUUGCAAAGAAAUUCUUUAAGAAAUGGCAUUUAGCUAAUCAUCUUGGCAACACAUUUCUGAAAUCCAACGAGAAUCAUUUUAGUAGUUCUGCAUUUUACCCUUAAAAGUAAUUGUCAAUUCAUCAUUACCUCAACAAACAGAAAAAUGGCAACGAUAACUGAUUAAGACUUAACACUGAUUACAAAGCAUCUUUUAAUUUUAGAUUCUAUUCUAAAGCUUAAUUUAGCAGAAUAAACUCAUUUGGAUGUGCUGAACCUGCUGCAAUGCACGCUUGAGAUUGUAAAAGUGGAUAGUUGAGUCGAAUGUAGCAACUCCAACCAAUGUCCGAGGACCAUCCUGCAAUAAUAAGUUUUCAAAGUCAAAGACAGCUCUUUAACUCCAAGAAUUCAUAUUGUGCAUUAAAAUUGAAAAGAAAUGCAUCUUAGCUGAACUAUAUCACAAAUAGAAUAGACUCCCGAAUCUCUUGCCUCUUAGUGAACAUGUCAUUCUACCACUUGACCGAUCCCAUCUCUCCCGAAUUCCAUUAGAUCAUAGAUUGAUUUCUACCAGAUCAUCCUAUGGUCCAUUCAACUAGAAUGACACCAGAUGCCAAGAAAAGAACCCCACAAUCAAAGCAAGGGUUCACCUGAAUCUUUUUGUCACAUUCAUAGUUUUCCUUUUACCUUCUGAUUUAUUAUAAGCCAUCACUUAAGGAGAUGCAAAUCAACAGGUUAACGCAUCAUAAUCUCUUCAUCUUUUUUUGCCUAAUCCCCCCCCGGUGUCCAGCAGCCACUAAAUAUAAAUUUCCAUAAUGACCUCUUGGAUAAAACAAAGUGAUCAAGCAGCAUUCGUGCAGCAUCGCACUAUUCAGAAUGGAGACAACUAGGUUUUCCACAAUUCAGACACAUAAAUAACUAACCUACCUCAUCAUCUCAACAGACAAAUUACACGGAUAAUUGCUUCGCUACAUCAGAAGUUCUAGUUAAUCUCACUGAUUUUAGUAUAAAAAGUGAUUAAUUUAUGAUGACUCCACUUGAGAAGACACGCCAAAUACUUUUCCCUCUAAUCUAAAGGUAAAAAAAAAAAAAUGCAUGUUGCAUCAUCAUAAACAACCAAUAGACUUACAGGGAGAUCAGAAAUAACUUGGCUGAUCGCACUGCAAGCAGCUGCAGUUGCACCAGUCUGUAUGGCAUUCAUGGAAACAUCUAUCAGGAAGAAAUACACAGCAGGCAUUGGAUCCCGAACCUGAAAUACAAGAAAAAAUUCCAAGUUAUUACUGCAAAAUAAAAUGAGUCACAAAAUCAAAUUAAGGAAUUCUCUAGACCAAAGACAGGAGUGCAUCUACGAAAAAGGAGAGCAUCAAAUCAACUUGCAACAUAGAGUAGGUUCUAAGCUAUAUCUACAUUGAUUUAGAACUCUGUCAAAUGUCUCUGUGGAAGUAUUAGUUUAAUUUUCUAAACUUGAGAUCCUACUCGUCCACACUACCGACCCCCUCAACCCAUGCGCUGUUAACAGAUUGCAUAGUACUCUAGGAGCAGUAAAUUGACAAGUCUGCCACAGUUCAACAUCUCAUGUAUCCCGCUCAUUGCUCAGUGGACCUUCUCCUUCUCACCAUAUUCCUCUUUAGCUUCUCUCUGUAUAUGUUGUUUUUUUACUACUUUCAAUGCUGAAAAGAAUUUUGUAACAAAUUAUAUACAAACCAACUGUUUCCUCCUAAAGUCUAAAAUCAGCAACAGAAUAGCAGGCCGAUAGCAACAACCUGGUGCUGGAAAACUACACAAGAACCGGCAUUUGGAAUAUAUCGAAAACGGUGCUAGUGAACUGCAAACUUUCCGCAUACCAAUCCACUGUGACUCAAUCUCAAGUUAGUGUUUUAUUUUAUUAUUACUUAUUUGCCCACAGGGUAUGUUGUUAUUGUUGUUGUAUUUUUAUACCAGCAUCAAUCCCAAUAGUUAAUAUUGCAAUAUGAAUCCAGUGUAGUCAAGUCACUCUGUUCUGGUUAGCUUCAGCAAAUACCAAAACAACUUCAGAUGUUAGAUUUGAAAGCACAAAGCUAGCAAAACAGAAAGUUCAGAGCUUGGAAUGUCUACUUAAUAUGGCAUUACUCCUAUAACGUCAUGCAAUCACAUCCCUUAACCAAUGUGUCCAAAAAGUACCAACCAUAUAUUCCUUCGUAGCGACAAACUCAACAGUUCCUCGGCAUAGUUCAGGCCUCUCAUCAGCAUCCCUACGCCUGCCAUCUGGACCUAAGUUGCACUGAUAGUCACGAGGAGUUUCAUCGGUAUGUCCUGCAACAAGGACGGCAAGAAACAUGAGAUAAGAGCUGCAUAACAGCACAUUUUCAUUAAACAUGCAGUAUUAAGAAAUUGAAAUGGUUUUUACAUUUCAAGUUAUGUAUGCGAUUGAUUGAUUAAAUCUGAUGGCCUUUGUCCUCACUUAAAAGUUGAGGAACCUGAAAAGAGAUAUCAGUAAAUGGAAUAGAGAGGUGUGUGGCAAACUAGACUAUCAGAGGAAUAAGGUUCUGGAAGAGCUGGGAUUCCUUGAACAAAUUGCUGAACACAGGGAAAAUACAAGAGAAGAGAAAUUGAAAGCUUUAAGUCUGAAACUAGACCUUAAACAGAUAGCAAUUGCUAAGGAAAUUUCUUGGAGGCAAAAGUCCAGAUGUCUAUGGCUAAAAGCAGGGGACAAGAACACUAAGUUCUUCCAAAGAAUGGCAAACUCACACAGAAGAGGCAAUAGUAUUGACAAGCUGAAAAUUGAAGGAGAAAUCAUUGAGGAUGCGGAUGUGAUAAAAGAAGGCAUCCUUGAUUUUUACCAAAAUCUUUAAAAGGAAUCUGAACCAUGGAGGCCAUCUGCAGAGUUUGAAAACAUCUCAACUUUAAGGAUUGAGGAAAGGGAUGAGCUAGAGCUACCAUUCAAUGAACUUGAAGUUCUUAAUGCACUCAAAUCAUGUGCCCCAGACAAAGCUCCAAGCCCUGAUGGCUUUACCAUGGCUUUUCUACUGGAAAGAAUGGAUUUUCAACAAAGAAGACAUCAUGAAUGCCUUCAGUUAUUCCAUCGAAACUGUCAAUUGGUGAGAUCCUGCAAUGCUUCCUUCAUUGCCCUCAUCCCAAAGAAGAAGGUGCUUUGGAACUCAGGGGCUUAAGACCAAUCAUCCUCGUAGGAAGCAUUUAUAAAUUGGUGGCCAAAGUUCUGGCUGAGAGGUUGAAAAAGGUGGUGUGCAAUUUAGUUUCGGGUCAACAAGGUGCUUUCAUGAAGAACAGGCAGAUUACUGAUGCCUCACUUAUUGCUAAUGAAGUGCUAGACUGGAAGAUCGAAAGUGGGGAAACUGGCAUUCUAUGUAAGCUAGACAUAGAAAAGGCUUUUGACCAGUUACAAUGGAGCGAUCUAGCUAAACUUCUAAAAACGAUGGGCUUUGGCAACAGGUGGAUUAGAUGGAUAUACUUCUGCAUCUCAACUGUUAAGUUCUCAGUAGUGAAUAGAAGUCCAGUAUGGUUAUUCUCUCCCAAAAGGGUCUCAGGCACGGGAAAUCCCUCUCUUCUUUUCUGUUUAUCUUGGGAAUGGAAGAGCUCACUCAGUUGCUAGUUAGAGCUAGAGAACUUCAAUGGAUUCAGGGAUUCCAAGUUGGCAAUGACCCUAACACUGCUGUUACAGUCUCACAUCUGCUAUAUGCAGAUGACACUUUGGCUUUUUGGCUUUUGGUGGAGCAAACAGACAACAAAGUGCGGCAAAUCAACAUCACUCUCAUGGUCUUUGAAUCAAUUUCUGGACUUCACAUCAACAUGAUCAAGAACAAAAUCUACCCAGUAAAUGGAGUCCCCAACUUAAAUGAUCUGGCAGACAUUCUUAGUUGCAAAACUGGAACUCUUCCAACUACCUACUUGGGAUUGCCACUACGAGCAAAAUUUAAGGUUACUGAUGUUUGGAAUGGAGCAAUUGAAAGAAUGGAGAAGAGACUAGCAACCUGAAGAUGCAAUCUCUCUCUUUAGGAGGCAGACUUACACUAAUCGGCAGUGUACUUGAUAGUAUUCCCACCUACAUUAUGUCCCUCUUUCCCAUACGAGGUUCAGUGACAAAGCAAAUUGACAGCUUAAGAUGGUGUUUGGAUAAGAUUAUAAGUUAGGUCAACAUGGCUUACAAGCCAUUUUUUCCUUUUAGGAUUGUUUGGCAAAUUUAAAAGUUGCUUAAAAAAAGUUAAUUUUCGCUUUUUAAAAGCCAAAAGCUAGAAGUUGCCCAUUCCUUACUCUUUUUUUUUUAGCUUAUAAUCCAUUAAAAGUUGACCAAGUAAAAGACAUUUGUGUCCCUUAUAAUUCUUACUUAUUCCAAAAUUACCCUCUUGUAACCCCAAAACACACUUCUCUUUCACUACAACACACUUCUUCUUGUAUUAAUUAAACAUUUCCACUUUUUGUAUUUAUGGCGAACUUAACUCUAGCCAUACUAGUACCUCUUUUGUGUGAAACUUCUAAUUUAUGAAAUAUGAUUUUUAUGUAUUUUUUGAUAAAGAUUUUUUUUUUUUUAAUUCUNNNNNNNNNNNNNNNNNNNNNNNGCUUUUUGUAGUGCUAGCAGGAAUACAAGUGACCCAGUGAAAAAUGGGGUUGAUGGUGUUGGCUAAAAAAGGGGGAGACAUAUGAAUUUCUCUAAGAAAAAAAACAACUCACCAACCAAGAUAUAUGGAGAACAUUCACGGAAGAUAUACAACUUCAUGAACGAUUAGUGAACAACAACAACAACAACAACAACAAACCCAGUGUACUUCCCACCAAGUGGGGUUUGGGGAGGGUAGAGUGUACGCAGUCCAUACUGCUACCUCCAGAGAAGUAGAGAGGCUGUUUCCGAUAGACCCCCGGCUCAAGAUAAAGAAAAGUAGACCAAAGCGUAAUUAAAUAAGAAGCAAGAUGGAUGGCAUAACAUGACAAGGAAUAAGACUCAUAAAAAUAGAAGUCAGAACAAUAAGAAAUAAAAUAAAUAAGCGCAAUAGAAGAAAGAGACCCACGCCCGCCUGACCGGGCUCCUAUCUUUGGACCCAAUCCUAGGUUUACUAGCCCGACUCAACCUGAGCUCUUCUAACUACUUACUAAAUCCACGCACACAACCUAGCCUUCUACCCUUAUCCGCGACCUCCACACCUUCCUAUCUAGGGUCAUGUCCUCAGGAAGCAGAAGCUGCUCCAUAUCAUGUCUAAUCACUUCCCUCCAGUACUUCUUCAGCCUACCUCUCCUUCUUCUGAAACCAUCUAACGCUAACCUCUUGCACCUACGAACUAGGGCAUCCGUGCCCCUCCUCAUCACAUGCCCAAACCAUCUCAACCUUCUUUCGCGCAUCUUAUCCUCCAACAAAGCCACUCCGACCUUCUCCCGAACGGUCACAUUCCUGACUCUAUCCUCUCUGGUAAGUCCACACAUCCAACGCAACAUUCUCAUUUCCACUACCUUCAUUUUUUGAAUGUAGGAGUUCUUGACUGGCCGACACUCUGCUCCAUAUAGCAUAGCAUGACGGACUGCUGCUCUGUAGAAUUUACCUUUAAGCUUUAGUGGCACCUUCUUGUCACACAACACUCCCGAGGCAAGCCUCCAUUUCAUCCAACCAGCUCCAAUAUGGUUAGAGACAUCCUCAUCAAUCUCGCCAUUCCCCUGAAUCAUAGACCCAAGAUAUCUAAAACUAUCCCUCUUUCGGAUCUCCUGAGAAUCCAACCUUACCACGAAAUCAUCCUCCUGUCUCACCUCACUAAACUUACAUUCCAUAUAUUCAGUCUUGGACCUACUCAACCUGAACCCUUUAGAUUCAAGGGUUUGCCUCCAAACCUCCAAUUUUUCAUUCACACCGGCCUGCGUCUCAUCAACCAGCACUACAUCGUCAGUGAACAACAUACACCACGGCACCUCCCCUUGAAUACUCCGUGUCAACACGUCUAUCACCAACGCAAACAGGAACGGACGAAGAGUCGAACCCUGGUGCAACCCUGCCUCGACCGAAAAAUGCUCUGAGUCACCUCCCGCCAUUCUCACCCGAGUCUUUCCUCCAUCGUACAUGUCCUUAAUAGCUCUGAUGUACGCCACCGGGACCCCUUUGGCCUCUAAACAUUUCCACAGAACCUCCCUCGGAACUUUGUCAUAAGCCUUCUCCAAGUUGAUGAACACCAUAUGCAAAUCCUUCUUCCUUUCCCUAUACUGCUCCACCAAUCUCCUCACCAGGUGAUUGCCUCUGUCGUGAGCGACCAGGCAUAAAACCAAACUGAUUCUCUGAAAUGAACACGAUCCUCCUCAAUCUCAGCUCAACUAACCUCUCCCAAAUCUUCAUAGUAUGACUCAACAGCUUGAUACCUCUAUAGUUAGUGCAACUCUGGAUGUCUCCCUUAUUUUUAUAUAACGGAAUCAUCGUACUCCACCUCCAAGCCUUCGGCAUCCUUGUCGUCUUGAAAAUGCCGUUAAACAAAUCAGUCAACCACCUUAAACCAACCUUACCUAUAAACUUCCAAAAAUCCACCGAAAUCUCAUCGGGCCCCGUCGCCCUUCCCUUUCGAAUUCUACGAAUAGCAUCUCUGACUUCCUCCACCCUAAAACGCCUACAAUAACUGAAAUUACAUCUCUCCUCCAAGUGUUCCAACUCUCCUAACUCGAUGCCUCUAUCUCCCUCCUCGUUCAAAAGCCUAUGGAAGUACUCCUGCCAUCUCCUCUUAAUGUGGACAUCUUCCACCAAAAUAGUACCAUCCUCCCCUUUAAUGCACUUCACUUGGUCUAAGUCCCGACCCUUCCUUUCCCCAGCCUUCGCAAGCCGAUAUAACCUCUUUUCCCCGCCUUUCGCAUCUAACCCCGCAUACAAGCUCUCAAACGCUACAGUCUUAGCUGUCGUGACUGCAAGCUUAGCUUCCUUUCUAGCAACUUUGUAGGCCUCCCUAUUCACCCGCUUCUCCUCUGCAUCAUUACUCUCAAUCAACUUAGCAUAAGCCCCCUUCUUAGUCUCCACCUUUUUCUUAACUUCUUCAUUACACCACCAGUCCCCCUUAUGUCGACCUGCCCGACCCUUCGAAACACCAAAAACUUCUCUAGCAGCUUCCCUGACACAACUGGCAGCCCUAUCCCACAUAGUCUCCACGUCCCCCUGCACCUCCACACCCCCAAACCUGCCACCUUCUCCUCAAUCUCUAACGCACUACCCGGUGUCAAGCCAACCCACCUAAUUCUAGGCCGACCCUCUUUGGCCCUUCUCUUUUUGCCCUUCUUGAUAGUCAAGUCCAUCACCAGAAGUCUGUGCUGGGUCGAAAGAUGCUCACUCAGAAUGACUUUACAGUCCUUACAAAGAGCCCUAUCCUCCUUCCUAAGCAACAGAAAGUCAAUCUGAGUCUUGGCUAUCGUGCUUCGGAAGGUAAUUAGGUGAUCCUCCUUCUUCGGGAAGCUCGAAUUCACCACCACCAACCCAAAGGCCCUAGCAAAAUCCAACAGAGCAGCUCCCUCGUCAUCCCUAUCGCCGAAUCCAAAAUCUCCAUGCACAUCGUCAUAACCUCCAGGCAAAACCCCAAUGUGCCCAUUGAAGUCCCCUGCUAUGAAAAUCUUCUCCGAACUAGGCACGCUUCUCGCCACCUCAUCCAAAGCAGCCCAAAACCCCGCUUUCUCCUCCUUAACCAAGCCCACCUGCGGUGCAUAAACACAACACACAUUCAGCAAAACCCCCCCAACGACUAGAGUAAUCGUCAUCAGCCUAUCACUAACCCUCUUAACCUCCACCACCUGCUCUCUAAGCUCCUCAUCCACUAAGAUCCCCACUCCAUUCCGACGCCUAUCGCACCCAGAGUACCACAGCUUAUACCCAUCCACAUCCCUAGCCUUAGUCCCUACCCACUUAGUCUCCUGCACACACGCAAUGUUGAUCUUCCUCCUCUUAAGAACCUUAACCAGCUCUAUGGACUUACCCUGAAGGGUUCCUGUAUUCCACGACCCUACCCACAACCUAUCUACUCUCGCCUACCUCUACGAUCCCUCACCACACCAGCCCUAACACUCGACCUAAAUCCCCCACCCACCCCUGCCCUUCCCUCCUCACCCCCACCCAAAACCGACCCCAACCCCAACCCCCUCAGACAUGACCUUAUACCACCAUCAACCCCUACCUCCACCACUUAAGAACCAAAAACCAAUCCCUAAACCGAUAAACCACAAAACAAAAAUCAACAAAAGGCAGGCAGGAAACCAAAAAAGCAGCAGGGAAGCAGGGAUCGCACACAGAUAAAACUAUCCGGCCUAUCAGAGGACACAACUCUAAUCACAAGAAAUAGCAGUGCAAACGAGAACGGUAAAUAAGGCGAGAAAUAAUAACUAGUAAAAAGUAUGUAAAUAACAAAGGUUAGAUGUCAUCGGGGUAAUCUCGUGUGCUAAUGGUGCCGUUAAUACUGGCUUCGAAGUUGAUUGCUGAAAAUACAGUCGCCGAAAAAAUUCUGCCAGGCUCUAGCUGUCACUGGAGCGUGUCCUGGGUGUUACCAGAUCUGUGUUCUGGUGCCCGUUGACGCAGUCGAUCCGGCGGAAACCCUUGUUCCGCCGGCGAAAUCAGUGGCUAAAAUUUCAAAGAAGGGGAAGGAAAAGAGAAAUAAUUCGGGAGAGAUGGGGAGAGAGGGAGGAGAGGGAGAGAGCUUAAGGGAGAGAAACAAAGCAAAGGUACCCUUAAUUAAUAACAAUCAACUCUACAUAUUGUUAACAGCUUUAAGGGGAUUUUAGACAUUUUGACCAAAAAAAAGUGUUUCACAACACUUGUUUACCAAACAAAUCAACAACUUUUUUUCAGUUCAACACUUUUAUCCAAACACGUAACUGCUUAUUUUAAAAAUAAGUUUCAGCACUUUCAAAAGCACUUUUAAAGAACCUUUUAAAAGCCACUUUUUUUCAGCCUAUUCAAACGGGCUCUAAGAAAGAAACUUCUAUGGGAAGGAAAUAAUGUGUCUCAAAAAUUUCACUAGUCAAGUGGAAGAAAGUGAUCCUACCUAAGUCUCAAGAAGGUUUGGGGAUUAGGGACCUGAAAACUCACAACAAGGGACUGCUCAUAGAAUGGCUAUGGAGCUAUGGCCAAGCAAAGGCCAGAUAUUGGAAAGAUGUCAUCAUAGCCAAAUAUGAGGCACAGAAACAUUGGCGUACCAACAGGAUCGGAGAACCACAUAGGGUAGGGGACCUAGAAAUUUAUCAGUAGCUUUCAAGAGGUUUCUUUCAAAAGGUAUCCUACAAAGCUCACAAUGUCUAACCAAUGGCUCGGAAACAGUACAUUAAAGAAUGUUUUUCCUCGCCUUUAUCAAAUAGCCAACAACAGGGAAGCAGCCAUUGCACAAUACAGAGAUGGCAACAUAUGGAACACUAUUUUCAGAAGGAAUCACCAAGAUUGGGAACUCAAUGACCUGCUGCUCCUCUUAGAGUCCUUGGUGUCCUAUCAUAUAGAUAGAAAUGCUAACAGGAUCUUAUGGGGCUCUUCCAAUAUAGGAACCUACACAGUGAAAGAUUUCUACAGAGUAGAAUGCUCGCAGAAUAGCCAAAUUGAGCUUUGGCAUUGGAGCAUGUUUGGAAAACUAGACAACCUCUCAAAGUCACUUGUUUCACAUGGAUUGCACUAUAUGAAGUCUCUUUGACUCAAGACAAUCUCAGAAAGAAAGGCAUCAUCCUCACCAACAGAUGCUACAACGAACCAGUUAACCACCUUCUUUUGCAAUGCCCUGUGACAAUUGCUAUCUGGCAGCUUUCUUCUCUAUUUUUGGACUUUAUUGGGUGAUGCCAGGUUGAAUCAAAGAAGCAUAUUUUAGCUGGAUUUCUUGGAGAGUUGACAAAUUCAUCAAAAGAAUCUGGACCAUGAUCCUUGCAGUCAUAUUUUGGACCAUCUGGAAGGAAAGAAAUCAUAGACAUUUUGAUGGGAUCUCAACUCCCCCAAGCUCUCUCAAGGCCAAAUGCUUAUUAACCUUAUUCAGUUGGCACUCCCUAUCCCAUGUAAACAGUACCGAUACCUUUUUAGAUUUUGUUAGCACCUUAACUCUUAUUUAACGGAGUAUCAAGGUAGCAUUCUUUUGACUUUUACAGAACUUUUCCCUAGCUUCUGAGAUCAAAUGUUUCUAGGUUUUUGAAGCUAUUUUUAGUUUAGUCAGUUUUUUCUCUCUAGCUACCUGUACGAUCUACGUGAUGCCUUUCUAAUACAAUUAAUAAUUACUUUACCCCCCCAAAAAAAAAAGAAUUGCAUGUGUAAUGCCGAAGCCGGUCCGUCCACACCUUGACUAUUUAUCAGAGGUGAGUGGACUAUCCCCAAAAUGAAAGAGAGAUAGAGAGCGAAUCAACAAUUCUUUCCUUUUACUGUUCCACUUCAUAGCGCUAGUUAACUUAUAAAGUUGCUCACGGGAAGGCUUCACAUAUAGACUAACAUGUCAACCUGUAAGGAUUGUAUUGAUAUCUAUCAAUGUCACUUCCAAAUAAAACUUAUAUCUGAAUUAGGUCCAGAAAGGACUACGUUUAAAGAUAAUUUUCUUCUUCGCAGCUUAUGAAAUGAAAGGUGUAAGAGUAAGACUGCUCACAUGUUCUCAGUUAACCAGUAAGAAUGGAUAUUAGACGUCUGAGAAUGCGCUUAUGUGUUUUGCUAGACUAGUUGGAGCAAAAAAAUAUCAAUAACGAUGUAAAUUUGAUACUUCUGUUUGGUAUUCUGUAGUUUCACAAAAUAUCACGGCCAUGCUAUGUUGCAUUUCAAUCUUGAGUCUCUAAAUAAUAUAUAGAGCCACUCUAGACUCCAAAUAUCACAUAACUUCAGUGGAAAUAAAUAAAAUUCAUUCUUACCACAAAAGUUACAGAUGAAACGUCUUCCCUGAUCAAUGAACUUCAUGAAAGGAUUUAUAUAGCCUUUGCAACGGGAGCACCGAACAGGACCACUUUCCCCAAAAUCAACCACCUAUCAAGGAAAGCAACAAUUAGGUGAAAGAACUAACAAACUAUUUCAUUCUGCAGUUAAAUAAGCCACACAAACCAAUUUACAUGAUUGAAAUGACCCUACAUGUUUAGAAUAUAGAGCAAGUAGAAAUGAUAACAGAUAUAUAACAAACAUAAACAUAAGAUCCAUGAUGAUUAGUCAAAACGAUCUCCACUCUAGGGAUCACGAUCAUUCCUUUUUUUUUUUUUUGACAAUGGUAACAUUUGAAUUUAAAUCAGUACUUACAUAGUACUAAAAAACCAUAUUUACAAAUAUGAGAAAGAAGUAUAGUCUUCCCCAAAGCAAAACUAAAAUCUAGAUGGACCCUAGUACAUCUAUGAUUGACUCAGUCUCAUUGGAGUAAACAGUGGUACACCAAAAGCAAAACAACAAAACUCAUUUAAUCCUGACUUCUUGUAGGCUAUUGUCCCUAUUCUCAAAACAUCUAUUAUUUCUCUCUCUCCAUAUAGUCCACCAUAUACAAGCAGGGAUCAUCCUCCAUCUUUCUUUGUUUGUAGCCCCAACUCCAGCUUCCUCCCAACUAAAAGAGUCUUAUCAAUUUUACUAGGCAGGAAAUGCCUCUGAGAUUUAAGAAAAUCUGCCAGAGCUAGACAGUGAAAUUGUAGUGUAGGAAAAGGUGUCUCACUGUCUCUGUAUCCUUUCCACAUAAGGAGCACCUGUUGCAUAGAGAGAUACCUCUCUUAGCCAUAUUAUCCAAUGUCAAAACAGCUUCAUUGGCUAACAAUCAAGUAAAGCAUGCCACUUUAUGUGGCACUUUGACUCACCAGAUAUGUUAUAUGUUUCCCAGGCCAUUUGUGAACUUGAUUAUCACUAACAUUUGUGUCACUAAGACUUGUCUGUUUAUACCCUUCCUUUACCCUGUAUUUACCUUUGUUGUGCCCAUGCCACCAUAAAUAAUCCUCACCAGCCUGUGUUCCAUGAAAACUCCCCAGUAGUUGGUAAAGUUCGAUUAUUCUAUGAAUUUCCCAGUCAUUUAGAUUUCUUCUUAGGACCAAGUUCCAUCCUUGUUGCGACCACAUAUCAGCAAUUGUGUUCUGUUGAUGUUGAGCCAAAACAAAGAUGUCAGGAAAAAAAUCUUUGAGGCUCACAGCACCCAUCCAUUUGUCAGCCCAAAAAGUAGUUUUUUUACCAUUUAGAGCAUUUACCUCUUUAGUCAUCCUCUUUAGUCAUACACCAUAGUGCUUUAUCCUCUUGAUGAUACCUCCAUAGCCACUUCACCUUCAAAGCUUUGCUCUGGUUUUUGAGGUUCUUGAUACUUAAGCCAUCUUGUUUCUUGCUUCUGAGGAUAUUCUUCCAUUUGACUAAGUGAAAGCCUUUCCUUUCCUAAUUGCCUUGCCACAAGAAGUUUCUUCAGAUUUUGUCCAACCUCUGAAUUACUGACUGAGGUAUAUGAAAGAUAGAUAACAUAUAUGUAGGAAAAGCAUCUAGAAUUGAAUUUAUCAGGGUCAGUCUACCUCCCAGAGACAGAUAUUGGGAUCUCCAUCUAGCUAAUUUCUUUUCACACUUCUCCAAAAUUGAGUUCCAAAUGUUUAUGGAUCUUGAUUUUGCACCCAAAGGCAUGCCCAAGUAUAUUGAUGGCAAAUUUCCCACCACUCUUCCCAAAAUCCGAGAAAGAUGAUCCAUCUUUGGAACCACAUUAAUUGGAUACAAGUGGCUUUUGUUCCUAUUUAUAUGGAGCCCAGAUAUGGCUUCAAAGUAAACCAGUAUAAGUCUUAAGAUCAUCAGUUGCUCCUCCUCAGCCCCACAAAAAAUUAGUGUAUCAUCAGCAUACUGCAGAUGUGUGAUUUCCACACUGUUUCCCGCUACCUUGCUAACUUCAAAUACAUGGAUUCUUCCUGCUUCCUUGCCUAUAUUCAGCAUGUUAUUUAGCCCUUCCAUAGCUAUGAUGAACAAGAAGGGAGAUUGGGGGUCUCCCUGCCUAAUCCCUCGGUGUGCAUUGAAAAAACCUUGAGGUGAAACAUUGAUAAGCACAAAAAACUUCACAGAUGACAUACAAAACUUGAUCCACCCGAUCCAUCUCUCACCAAACCCCAUUUGUCUCAACAUACGUAGAAUGAAAUCUUAAUUCACGUGGUCAUAUGCUUUCUUGCUAUCAAGUUUGCAUAAUAUACCAGGUUUACUUUGGGACAUUCUAGAAUCAAUUGCUUCAUUAGCAAGAAGCACUGCAUCCAUUAUCUGUCUGCCUCAGAUAAAAGCCAUUUGCUGCUUGUCUACCAACUUAUCCACAACUUCCUUCAGCCUUUCUGUCAGUACCUUCGAGAUCAACUUGUAAAAGCUUCCAAUUAAACUGAUAGGUCUGAAGUCUUUGAGCUCCUUUGCUCCUAUCUCCUUAGGAAUCAAUGCUAUUUAUGUUGCAUUCUAGCUUUUUUCAAACAUCCUAGUAGAAUGGAAAUUGUGAAAAGCCUCCAUAAUGUCUUGUUUAAUUAUCUCCCAACAUGUUAGAUAAAACCCCAUUGUGUAACCAUUAGGGUCGGGGGCUUUGUCAAUGGCACACAUCUUUAAGCACUCAAAAACUUCUUGCUCCUCAAAUGUUGCCCGCACUGCCUCUUUCUCAUCCACUGUGAUGGUAGGAUGAUUGUUAAUAUUUUGAGAAGGCCUCCAGUCUUCUUGUAGAAGGAUAUGACUUCCUCCUUAAUUCUAUUAGGAUCAGUUAUCGUCUCUCCCUGCACUUCCAAUUGAUCAAUGUGAUUAUAUCUUUUGUGGACAUUAGCAGUUUGAUAGAAAAACUUUGUAUUUCUAUCCCUUCCCUUGAGCCAUAAGGUCCUUGAUCUUUGUCUCCAGGCCACUUCUUCAUUCUUUAAACACCUCUCAUACUUCAUAAACAGUGUUGCUUUCUUGGCGAUUUCCUCCUCUGUCAAGGCUCUAAUAUUCAACUGAGAUUCUAGCAUAGCCAUCUGAUUGAGAAGAUUGUUAUUGUCUACUCCAUUUUUUCAAUUUCCCUUUGAGAGCUUUGAGUUUACCUGCUAAGAUGUAGUCUGGCUUCCCAUAAAAUUCAAAUUCACUCCACCAAUUCUUGACUCUUUCAGCAAAACCUUCUUGAUUCAACCACCAAUUUUCAAACUUGAAGUAGGAAUUAGAUUGCUCCCAGUGUCCACAAAGCAGAGCUAUUGGGACAUGAUCAGAGGUCACUCUUUGCAGUGUAGUCUGUUUUAGAUUAUUGAAGAGAUUGUUUCAUUCUGUGGAAACCAUUAUCCUGUCUAUUCUUGAUGCAGUUGUAUGACUAUCCCCUCUAUACCAGGUAUACUUUCCACCGCUUAGCUGUAGAUCAAUUAGGUCCAGGUCCUCGAUGCAAUCUGAAAACUCCCUCAUUGCUGAAUUUCUCCUGUUCCAAUCCCUUUUUUCAAAGGGAAAUCUACAAACGUUGAAGUCACCACAGAUAGCCCAUGGCCCAUCAAACAAGCCUCUUCCAUCCAUAGGUGCAUUGCUAGACCCAAAGCCCUAAUACAGAUGGAUUUGGAUUUGUGAUUGAUAGGCACGCAGCCUGCAGCAGGGUUCCACCAUUCUAAUUUGAGUCUGAUUUUCUUCCACUGCCAUUCUCCCUGUAGAACUUGUUCCGCCAUGUAUCUAUUUGGAAACUCAAAGAGAAAACAGUUGUACAAUAUCUCUCAGACAUUAAUCCCAAACGCCUUCUUCCACAUCAUCGAGGACCAUCGUCUAACUUCUGAGAGAGCGGGUGUUUCAGGUUUUGCGUUACCAAAAGACCCAAAAAUACAUCUUCCCAGUACUCCUUGAUCUUUGAUUUUGGCUGCAACAUUGGUUUCAAUCUCUUUUCCUUUGGUUGUGGCUACCUCAGAGCUAUUGCUUUGCCACUUGCUGGUUGUAACUGCUUUUGCAUAAGUCAUAUUUAAAACAUUUGUCUUGCAUUGUGUUUGUAUCUCCUUCUGUGGUGGAUUUUUAAUGAAACUUUGAAUCUUAAAUGCCACACUUUUCCAACCAACAUUUAUGUUUGACUCAGGUACAAUAAUAACCGCUCUGUCCUCUCACUUCAGUGACAAGAUACUCAUAUAUCUCCCAUGGGAAUUGUAUUUCCUCGUACAGAAGAAAUCUGCCAUUUGGUCCUUGUAUCUCCGACUUCUGACCUGAUAUUUUCGAUCGGCUGAUGCUUCUGUAAGGAUGAAGCAGAUCCAUUCCAACGCCUUCUCAUUGAGUGUAACCCUUCUCAUCAUAUUUCUGCUCCUUUACCCCCAGUCGUACCAUACAACAUUGUUUGAAGUCCAUCUGGUUAUGUCAUAAGAUUGUCAUAAGAUUUAAAACCUUGGUUGAAAUAUAUAUUCUAUUAUCUCCCAUAGGUUCAGAAAUCAGAGAUCUUAGUAAAACAGAAAUCAGAAGAUGUAAAGACUGGCUUGUUUGAAAGAUAAAGGGUCAAUUCCGGCAAGUCCACCGAAAAAGGUCUUGAGUAACGGCCUGAAUCUGUAGUUAACAGCCGGAAAUUAGUGUUGGUGAAGCCUGAUAAUUUGAAAAACUGUAUGAAUGGUCUCACGCGCCGGUGCGUGAGGCGCAUGAUGGGGGUAGCUGGGAGAUCUGGGUGGCGCGUGAGGGCGUGUAGGGUAGUUUCCGGCGAUAGGUUUUCUGGGGUUUGGUCGCAACAGGGUGUUGGUGACUAUGGAGGGGGAGAAUUGAGAGAAAGAGGAAGUAAAAGGGGUAUUCUGGUGAUCAGAAGGACCACCGGAGAUGUUUUUGGUUGAAAGGGGGUCUUUUUCUAAAGUUACAUUGGGACCAAUAAGAAAAAGAAAAAGAAAAAGCACACUGCCCUGACCUCCCAGGGUCACUGCAGUCAAUUGUACAUCUUAGAACAAAUCAAGUCAGUCAUACUUCAAUAGAUAUCAACAAACACAAUUAAUUGUAAUAAUCACUUAUAAAGAUCUUGACACUACAAAUAUCAUUUGUUUGCACAUGAUAACUUAAUUUUCGGUUAAUCACAUAUAAGACAAUUCUGCUUUUGUCUUGCUUUGAGGCUAUAUCCUAGUUGUGGAUCAAAAUUAGGAAGUCCAAAAUAGUGCUUUUGUAACUGACGGAAUCCUAGCCCGUGGCUACCUAUUUCUUUUAAUAUAAAACUUGCUUACCUUCUCAAAAAAAAAAAAGAGUCCACAAUGAUUCAGUUGGAGAGGUACAUUAAAAUCAAGAUUAGCGGUUAUGUGGCAAGCUACUAUCAAAUUACUUGGGCCUACAACAUGGGUGAAAGUGCAAAACAGCUCUAGCUAUCAAAGGUUGAAAGAGAUGAGAAAAAACUGGAGACAUGGAAGCAAGGAGGAGCCAGCCUUAAAGAUACGGGUUUGGAAGAAUCCAAUAGCUUUGGCUCAAAACCCGUGCUUGAAUUUUAAGUAUAGAAUCUUUUUUGUUCACAAAAGGUCCCUUUUAUUCCUUCUCAAAAGAAGUCUUGUUGUUUCUUUCCUUCCAAAUUGUUAUUCCCUCAGGCUCUUAGGAUAAAAUAUAACAUAUAUCAUCCUUUAUAAAGGUAUGCCAUUAUUUACCUCAAACACUAUUUCUUUGCAUGUUCCGUCAAAGGUUUCACACUUUCAUUUUUAGCCUGUUCGAAAAGAAUGAUGUUACUCUACAUUUAGAAAUAAUUUCACUUUAAACUUCCUUUUUCACCCUCAAUGACAUGAUUUUAUAGCCACAUAAUUAUCACGGCAUGUUUAAGACCACAAAUUCUACAAUUAUUUUUCUCUCCACUUAAAUGUCAUGCCCAGACAGAAAGGUUCACAUAUAAUGAAACAUAAGGGUACAAAAAGGCUAUUAAAAUUAGAAUACAUAGAUGGCAAAAAAUGCUUUACUUGAAGGGGCUCUUCAGAUGGAUGAGGAAGAGCCAAGGGCUGGACCAAUAAAGCCAACUGCAUUGCCGAGGUUGUCAAAAGGUCAACAGUGCAUGGUAUCUGUUACACAAACGAUGAGGACCAAAUCAUCUACCAUUAGUGCUUUAAUUAAAAAAAUAUAUAUAUGGUUACUAAGCUACUCAUUCCAUAGAAUAAGAAAGAGUAUAAUGCAGAAACCAUAGAGAGAAGAAUAACAGAGACAAAAAACAACGCAAAGAGGUUUAUUACCUGAUUAAUAGUACACCUCAUGUACCGUGGGCUGCAAUUUCCAGUGUCCCUAACAAUAUAGUCACUUGUGGCAGGCUUCGAGUGGACGAAAAAGGAAAAAGGGAAAAAAGGAGACAGCAGCAAGAACAAAAAAGUUAGUUUAGUAAGAAGCUUUGGGAGGCAAGCAUAACCAUUUGAAGAAAAGAUGGUUCAGCCGUAUAUGCAACAGUACUAAAUAAAACAAUAAUUUACCGGAGGGGGAUUGGCUUGGUUGCCUUGUCGGGUUUCAUGUAGAACUACAGAAGCAUUUGGAAUAGGGCGCGGGAUUUGAUUUGGAUCAACUUUUGAUGGGAUGGAAUGGCCAACAGAAGAAGUUAUCGAAGCCACUGCCUGAUUUGGAAGAGGAGGCGCCAUCCCAUACAUACUUGGUGGUUGCAUGGAACCAGGAAUAGCAGAAGGUGGAGCCCCCUGUCAAUAAGUAAAAUCAGGAUAUGCCCUUCACAUGAAAGAGGAAAUGGAGUAAAAGCAUGCUGAAACCAAUUUACUUGAUCCAACAUGUGAUCCACAUUGGAAAUGUGCCAUGCACGUAAGGGUCUUUUUGAAUUAUAUAUAAGUUUUAUCAGAGAUCCUUUUACCUCUUCUGAUUAAGAAAGGAUAGCCAGGUUGUUGUAGCUUCAAAUGUGAAAGUUAUCCUUUUCAGAUGGUCCAGCCAAACAGAAAAGGUGGUGCAAUAUACUUUGAUACUGUUUAAAUUUUUCAUGCUUGAGGAAACUUGUGCACUUAAGAUUUUUCUUUUACGAGCACUUAUACACUCAAGAUAUAAUAUAGCAAUUAUUUAAAUAGCUGCAGAUUUUGAAACAAACUUAUGAAAGGGUUCCUCUAUUUAUAGUUUGAAUUGAUUAGACAAAGUAAAUAAGUGAUACUGAAUAUAUCUUUCUCAUUACUUUCAAGCAUAGAAAAAUACCUAGCCAAAAUAUAACAAUUAAUAAAUAAAAAUAAUUUUUAUUUAUGGAGUAAUCAAAUAUAUUAUUUAAUAACUUCGACUAAUGGAAGAACCCCAAACAACAUAUUCAAAGUUCAAAAGGAAAAAAGAAUUCAUGUAGGUAAUUUCGUUAAUGAGAAUUUGAACUCUGUUUUGUGUUGAUGAAAAAGAUAAAUUUUAUAAUGCACAUACUACUAAAUAAAAGUUAUUUAAAAUAGCAGCACAUUUCAAUAUUUUAUCACAAAUCCAUCAAAAUACUUCUCCGAUUAUCUCUGAAUGAAUAAAAUAUGACAUCAUUAAUUAUUAUGGGAGUAAUACACUAGAGGUGAAAUGAGUUAAACCAUAAAAGAUACAAAAAAGAAAAGAAGGUACAUAGAACGUAAGGGCACAGUAGACAUUGCAUGAGGGAAAAUUGCAUAAAGCUGGAGGAAUAUUUGACUUUUUAUACCAAGUUGGAGCGAGAAAAUUAUUUUCACCCCUUUCUAAAUUUUAAGUCAUGACAGCACUUCACAGUGUAGCUUUUUUCUUCACUUUUAGACCCUACUACUUCCACAACAAAUUUUCCGGUAUUACCAAUUGGUCACUAACAGAGUCUCGAUAUCAUUCUCACAUUACUCAUCAACAGCACCAAACAGUAACCGGUUUCUGAAUAUUAUUGAUCAUUCUAUCCUAAAAGUCAUGAAGCAUCUCUUCAACAUUAGCCCCCUUGAACCAUUGUAAUUCCUUGAUGCCAGAACCCAACAGGCCAACAUUUCUUGUUGGUUAUUAAAUAUAAUAAAUACACGCAUAGAAUUUGAUUAAAAACGCAUCUUGUGUGGCUUGUUGAUCCAAAAGAUGUUGGUGCAAAUUAAAAAUACAAAUCCUAGGACUUCUUUUGUAGUCUAGCACAGGCAAGAACUAAAUAUAUCUCUCAGCUCCAUAGAUUACAAAAUAAAUUACACAUCGCUAAUGAGUUUAGGGAAAAUUCUUAUUUUUCCUUCAAUAACAUAUGCACGUGAUAUCAAAUUUUUCUUUUGGGAAAAUACAUAGAUUUCACCUUGCAAAACAAGUACAGUAAGAUAGGCAUAUAAAGAUCACCUGAUGGGGUGGCAGUUGCCACGACUGUGUUCCAUAAGGAGCACCCAUGUGUGGAGCGCCCAUGGGUGGAGGCAUGGCUUGAGAAGGUGCUGCAAAUGGGGAGGAACCUGGGGGAGGUGGCACAUUCUGAAAUGAACCUGAAAAUGGUGGUGGUGGUUGUGCUGUAACUGGUGUCGUGCUGACAGAUGACGAACUUCCAAAGGGUGAGCGCAUGCCUAAAGGCUGAGAAGAAGCGCCUGGUGAAACCAUAGCUGAUGGAGGAGCUCCAAAUGGUGGCCUCAUUGCAUUGCUUGGAGGAGGAAAACGUGCUCCACCCUGCAUCAUUCCCGGACCCCCUAACGGUGGCCCAUUACUAACCGAGCUAGAAAUGCUUGAUGGUGGCGGCAUAGCAGGACCUGUUGUCAACGGCGAAGAAGAAAAAGGACCCGGAGGCCCGGGACGAGAACCCAAUCCAGAAGGCAAAGACCCAGGUGGCGGGGGUGCACCACCCAUAGAAGGAGGCAUUACACCAGGAGGAGGUGGCCGAGAUGCAAAGGUAGGAACAGACUGAGCCACGGGAGGAGACAAUCCAGUCUGUGGAGGACCACUAGGAGAUGCAGGGCCUCUUGGGAACACACCAGGCGGUGGAGGUCCCGGACGACUAACAGGUGGUCCACCAGCAAAAGGUGGCUGCUGCCCAAAUGGGGUAUUAUGCCUAGGAGCACCAGGUGGCUGAUUGGGCCUAUUUACUUGUAGAUUUUGCAUACCAUCAGCAAGUGCAUUAGGGUUAUAAUUGGGUGGAGGCGCAUUCCUUGGUCUAGGUCCCCCUGGAGCUGCCAUUGAUUAUUUCCAAAUUUCUCAAAACUCUAGAACGGAUGCAAGAAAAAAAAAAGGUUAAAUAAAUAGAUAAAAUCAACAGAAAGAAAACAUAAGAACAGCAAUCUUCACUAUAUCAAACAUUCAGCAAGCCAAAACAAAACAUAUUGAUUCAAAGGAAAACAAGUCCAUAAAAUCAAUCACAAAAUAAAAAUAACCAGACAAUACAUCUUUUUGGGGAAAAAAAUCAUCAGAUAUUAUCCCCCCCUCCCCCCCUCCUUCAUUUCAGCACACGCGACCCAAAGAACCUGGAAUACGGACAAUUAACACAUUGACACCGAGAAAUAGCAUCAGCGGAAAAGUCCAAUCGACAAAGGCGACCAAGUCAAACACCAACAGCUCCAAAACAACAGAAAUUAGCAAAGAGAACUCAAACAUCUCAUGAAACAAAAAUAGAGCUGACAGGUUUAAAGAGAAGAAGUGAAUGCAGAGAACGCUCUAGAUCUGGAAGAAGAGAAGAUGGACAGGAUAUGGUUCUUCCUGAGAGAAACUGAGAGACUACAGAGACAUAUGGAAAAACUGGUCUCUUUGGCAAGAACAGAAUUUCUGUGGUGAUAUAAAUGAGUCCCAACUACAGGAUACAAAUGGGAUUGAAUAAAGAGUGAGGAUACUAUGAGAAUCACUCAGCCUUUUCAGUUUUUUAUUCAAGAUGUACAGAGAGCUAGAGCACAAUAAGAUACUAACUAGCUAAACAGGGAUGACAUGCAUCGACAUACCUACCCGCUUUAGAACUAGACACAAACCAUAAAGGGAAGAGAACAGCAAAAAGCUAUUGAUAGAAGAACCCAAACUACCAUUCCGUAUCAUUUUAAGGAAGAUCAAGGGCACAUACUUUGUUGUGCUUGGCCAUUGGCGAAACAGAUCAUAUCACAAUAGAUAUAUACAAAAUCACUCGAAAAAAUAAGAAAACUAAUUGCCUCCAAAGGCAGGGAUCAAAUCUUAGAAGUACAGGCAGAAAAGAACAAAUUAAGAGAGGCUCAAUUGGGAAAAAAGCGAAAAAUUUAAGACAGCGGUAUGGGAGAUACACAAAUAAGGAUCCUAAGGCUGGAGAGAUAUAGAAAAAUAUGUGCCAUAUUUUUGCCAACUGACCUUCCUCUAUUUCUCUAUGGACUAACUUACUGAGCUAGGGCUUCUUUAAAUGGAUGUUAUCUAGCUCAUAACAAAGUAUAAACCAUUUCCCCCCUUAAACUUCAUUUAAAAAUAGAAUUUUCAUCUAAGUUUGUAUUCUGAAUGUGCUUCUUCUCCUUCAAUUUUGGGAUGUUAGUCCAAUUAGUUUGUAAUUCUAGAACACAAUGCCUAAUUUGCUCACUGAAGUAUCAACCUCUCUUUUUUGAAAUUUUAUAACAUGCUAAUUUAUUUUCUUUUUCUGAAGUUCUCUUCUCAUGGUAUUGAUUAACACAGCCUUAUAUAUAGUGUUCUUCUCCUCCAUCCACGAUAUUUUUUUUUUGACUUUGGUAACAUUUGUAUUAAAAUCAGUACUACCUUAGUACUGAAAAACCACAUUUACAAAUAUGAUAAAGAAGUAUAAUCUUCCCCAAAGCAAAACCAAAAUCUAGGUGGACCCUAGUACAUCUAUGAUUGACUCAGUCUCAUUGGAGUAAACAGUGGUACACCAAAAGCAAAACAACAAAAUACAUUUAAGCUUGACUUCUUGUAGGUUGUUGUCCCUAUUCUCAAAACAUCUAUCAUUUCUCUCUCUCCAUGUAGUCCACCAUAUACAAGCAGGGAUCAUCCUCCAUCUUUCUUUGUUUGUAACCCCAACUCCAGCUUCCCCCCAACUGAAAAGAGUCUCCUCAAUUUUACUAGGCAUACUCCAGGAAAUGCCUCUGAGAUUUAGGAAAAUCUGUCAGAGCUUGACAGUGAAAUUGCAGUGCAGGAAAAGUUGUCUCACUGUCUCUGUAUCCUUUCCACAUAAGGAGCACCUGUUGAAUAGAGAGAUACCUCUCUUAGCCACAUUAUCCAAUGUCAAAACAGCUUCAUUGGCUAACAAUCAAGGAAAGCAUGCCACUUUAUAUGGCACUUUGACUCAACAGGUAUAUUUCCCAGGCCAUUUGAGAACUUGAUUAUCACUAACAUUUGUGUCACUAAGACUUGUCUGUUUAUACCCUUCCUUUACCCUGUAUUUACCUUUGUUGUGCCCAUGCCACCAUAAAUAAUCCUCACCAGCCUGUGUUCCAUGAAAACUCCCCAGUAGUUUGUAAAGUUCGAUUAUUCUAUGAAUUUCCCAGUCAUUUAGAUUUCUUCUUAGGACCAAAUUCCAUCCUUGUUGCGACCACAUAUCAGCAAUUGUGUUCUGUUGAUGUUGAGCCAAAACAAAGAUGUCAGGAAAAAGAUCUUUGAAUCCAUUUGUCAGCCCAAAAAAUAGUUUUUCUACCAUUUAGAAUCUUGACAAUUACUGAUUAUUGAGGAAAGACCAGAAGAUUCUGAUUGACUUCCAAAGGCUAACACCAUGUGGAGCAUUUACCUCUUUAGUCGUCCAUUUGUUCAGUUCCUCAUACUUGCUCUUGAUCACCCUACACCAAAGUGUUUGAUUCUCCUGAUGAUAUUAGGGUCAGUCUACCUCCCAAAGAUAGAUAUUGGGAUCUCCAUCUAGCUAAUUUCUUUUCACACUUCUCCAAAAUUGGGUUUCAAAUUUUUAUGGAUCUUGAUUUUACACCCAAAGGCAUGCCCAGUAUUCUGAUGGCAACUUUCCCACUACUCCUCCCAAAAUCCGAGAAAGAUGAUCCAUCUCUGGAACCAUAUUAAUUGGGUACAAGUGACUUUUGUUCUAAUUUAUACAGAGCCCAGAUAUGGCUUCAAAGUAAACCAGUAUAAGUCUUAAGAUCAUCAGUUGCUCCUCCUCAGCCCCACAAAAAAUUAGUGUAUCACCAGCAUACUGCAGAUGUGUGAUUUCCACACUGUUUCCGGCUACCUUGCUAACUUAAAAUCCCUAGAUUCUUCCUGCUUCCUUGCCUAUAUUUAGCAUGUUAUUUAGCCCUUCCAUAGCUAUGAUGAACAAGAAGGGAGAUAGGGGGUCUCCCAGCCUAAUCCCUCGGUGUGCAUUGAAAAAACCUUCAGCUGAACCAUUGAUAAGCACAGAAAACUUCACAGUUGACAUACAAAACUUGAUCCACCCAAUCCAUCUCUCACCAAACCCCAUUUGUCUCAACAUACUUAGAAUGAAAUCCCAAUUCACGUGGUCAUAUGCUUUCUCGAUAUCAAGUUUGCAUAAUAUACCAGGUUUACUUUGGGACAUUCUAGAAUCAAUUGCUUCAUUAGCAAGAAGCACUGCAUCCAUUAUUUGUCUGCCUCAGAUAAAAGCCAUUUGCUGCUUGUCUAACAACUUAUCCACAACUUUCUUCAGCCUUUCUGUCAGUACCUUGGAGAUAAACUUGUAAAAGCUUCCAAUUAAACUGAUGGGUCUGAAGUCUUUGAGCUCCUUUGCUCCUAUCUUCGUAGGAAUCAAUGCUAUGUAUGUUGCAUUAUAGCUUUAUUCAAACAUCCCAGAUGAAUGGAAAUUGUGAAAAAAGUUCAUAAUGUCUUGUUUAAUUAUCUCCCAGCAUGUUAGAUAGAACCCCAUUGUGUAACCAUCAGAGCCAGAGGCUUUGUCAAUAGCACACAUCUUUAAGCACUCAAAAACUUCUUGCUCUUCAAAUGCUGCCUGCAGUGCCUCGUUCUCAUCCUCAGUGAUGGUAGGAUGAUUGCUAAUAUUUUAAGAAGGUCUCCAGUCUUCAGGUUCUGUAUAUAACUUCUUGUAGAAGGAAAUGACUUCCUCCUUAGCAGAUUGAUGGAAAAACUUUGUAUUUCUAUCCCCUUCCUUGAGCCAUAAGGCCCUUGAUCUUUGUCUCCAGGCCACUUCUUAGUGUUGCUUUCUUGGCGAUUUCCUCCUCUGUCAAGGCUCAAAUAUUCAACUAAGAUUCUAGCAUAGCCAUUUGAUUGAGAAAAUUGUUCUUGUCUACUCCAUUCUUUCAAUUUCCCUUUGAGAGCUUUGAGUUUACAUGCUAAGAUGUAGUCUGGCUUCCCAUAAAAUUCAAAUUCACUCCACCAAUUCUUGACUCUUUCAGCAAAACUUCUUGAUUCAGCCACCAAUUUACAAACUUGAAGUAGGAAUUAGAUUGCUCCCAAUGUCCACAAAGCAGAGCUAUUGGGACAUGAUCAGAGGUCACUCUUUGCAGUGUAGUCUGUUUUAGAUUAUUGAAGAGAUUAUUCCAUUCUGUGGAAACCAUUACCCUGUCUAUUCUUGAUGCAGUUGUAUGAUUAUCCCCUCUAUACUAGGUAUACUUUCCACCACUUAGUUGUAGAUCAAUUAGGUCCAGGUCCUCAAUGCAAUCUGAAAACUCCCUCAUUGCUGAAUUUCUCCUGCUCCAAUCCUUCUUUUCAGAGGGAAAUCUACAUACGUUGAAGUCACUACAAAUAGCCCAUGGCCCAUCAAACAAGUCUCUUACAUCAGCCAAUUCCUCUCAUACAAGCCUCCUCUCUACUUUACUAUUAGGAGCAUACACACCAGUUAUAUGACAUUCAAAAUUGCUCAACUUAGCCUUAAAUUGGCAAGAAAGAGUAUAAGCUCCAACUUGUAAGAUUUCCCCUUCCCAAAUUCUAGAAUCCCAAAGCAGUAAGAUUCCUCCUCUGGUUCCACUGGCCUCCAAACAUGCAUACGUGAUCCAUCUCCCUGCCCAAAUUUGCUUAAUUAUCUAAUGUACAUUGCCUUCUAAUUUGAUUUCCUGGAGACAGACUAUGUCUGCUUUCCAUUCCUGAAGCAGACUUCAUACCACUCUCCUCUUCCUCUGUUCUUUCAACCCCCUAACAUUCCAUGAGAUCAAUUUGAUCUUCAGGGAUUAUUCUGUGAGUUCCCUUUCCCCUUCCCUCUAUCACCAUUGCUUUUGAAUUUAACGUCAAAAAAAAUUAGAUUCUUUUAACUCUUGUGCUCCUCUAUUUUUUGUUCUUCUAACUACUCCCAAUUGCUCCAUUCUUCUUGCAUGCCUGCUUACAUCCACUUGCCUUAGGAGUUCAAGUGUUUCUUCUUCCAAUCCCUGAAAUCCACCCCAAACAUCUUAUGAAGUUUAAGCAAAUUUUGUUGAACCCACACUGUAACUUUUCUCUCCAUUUCAAUGAGAGCUUCUUGUUGCCACGUACAAAGAGGUUCGAUCUCCCGUACAUCCCAUAAUUCUCCACAAUUUACCAGCCCUAUUAUUUCUUGUCUGAACUCUAUGUCACCCGUGAUGAUCUUCCCUUGUCCUUUAUCUUCACUCUCUUCACUAUUUGCUGCACACAAUUGUUCAAGUUCUUUUUCCCCACCUUCUUCAAUUUGUAAUUAUUCAUCAAUAGCUGUCAGGGCAGCUUCUUUUGUUUUCUGAUCACUUCGCACAUAAUCAAAAGAGAAAAUCACAACUGUUUCAUCCACUAUAACCUCCUAGAGGAAAUCUUCAACGGGUUGUUGGUUAAAAUUAUUAGCAAUAAUCUUUGCUUGGUCCAGCCCAACCGAUUUUAAGGCCCAUUUGUUGUUUAAACUAUGUACCUACCCAUCACGUGCUCCUGCAGUUACUUUUAAACAAUCUCCAACUGUCCCCACAUAUGUCUCCCCUGUUCCAUCACCAUCAACAUGGAGUCUCGGGUAUAGAGGAUGAAGUCUCUGUUAUCCAAUGGUUCUUCAUUUGGGUUUUCUCAACUUUUCCGGCAACUGGGCCUUUUUUCUCCGGCGACAACUCGAAUCUUGUUUUCCUUUCUACCCAUAUCGGAAUAAUAAAGUUAACUCCAUCUCUGGAGAUGUUAACUUCUGUUGGCAUGUUCCAAACAUCCCCUCGAGUCUCGAUCCUAGCCCAUUUUUGAUAGUUUCUUAGUUUUGUUUCCUCCUCCGUAGCCAGCCACCCGCCACAGAGUUCUCCGAUUUCGCGACAAAUCUCUUCUGACCAGAGGUGCAUUGGUAGACCCAAAGCCCUAAUCCAGAUAGAUUUGGGUUAGUGAUUGAUAGGCACGCAGCCUGCAGCAGGGUUCCACAAUUCUAAUUUGAGUCUGCUUUUCUUCCACUGCCAUUCUCCCUGUAAAACUUGUUCCGCCAUGUAUCUAUUUGGAAACUCAAAGAGUAAACAGUUGUCCAACAUCUCAUAGACAUUAAUCCCAAACGCCUUCUUCCACAUCGUCGAGGACCAUCGUCUAACUACUGAGAGGGUGGGUGUUUCAGCUUUUGCGUUACCAAAAGAGCCAAAACUACAUCUUCCCAGUACUCCUUGAUCUUUGAUUUUGGCUGCAACAUUGGUUUCAAUCUCUUCCCUUUGGUUGUGGCUAUCUCAGAUCUAUUGUUUUGUCAUUUGCUGGUUGUAACCGCUUUUGCAUAAAUCAUAUUUAAAACAUUUGUCUUUCAUUGUGUUUGUAUCUCCUUCUGUGGUGGAUUUUAAUGAAACUUUGAAUCUUAAAUGCCACACUUUUCCAACCAGCAUUUAUGCCUGACUCAGGUACAAUAAUAACUGCUCUAUCCUCUCUCUUCAGUGACAGGAUACUCAUAUAUCUCCCAUUAGAAUUGUAUUUCCUUGUACCAAAGAAAUCUGCCAUCUGGUCCUUGUAUCUUUAUCUUCUAACCUGAUUUUUUCGGUCUGCUGAUGCUUUUGUGAGGAUGAAGCAGAUCCAUUCCAACACCUUCUCACUAAGUGUAACCCUUCUCAUCAUAUUUCUGCUCUUUUCCACCCAGUCGUACCAUGCAACAUUGUUUGAAGUCCAUCUGGUUAUGUCAUAAGAUUUAAAACCUUGGUUGAAAUAUAUUCUAUUAUCCUCCAUAGGUUCAGAAGAGGGAAAUUUUAGUGAAACAAAAAUCAGAAGAUAUGAUGACUGGGUUGUUUGAAAGUUAAUAGGUCAAAUCCGGCAGGUCUACUGGAAAAGGUCUUGAGUAACGGCCUGAAGCUGUUGGUAAUAACCGAAAAUCAGUGUUGGUGAAGUCGGACAAGAUGAAAAACUGGCUGAAUGGUCACACGCGCCGGCGGUAGCUGGGAGAUAUGGUGGCGCGUAAGGUAGUUUCCGGCGAUAGGUUUCCUGGGGUUUGAUCGGAAUAGGGUGUUGGUGACUAUGGAGGAGAAGGAUUGAGAGAAAGAGGAAGUAAAUGGGGUAUUCCGGUGAUCAGAAGGACCACCGGAGAUGGUUUUGGUUGAAAAGGGGUCUCUUUUUUUUUCAAGUUACAUUGGGAUUAGUGUCUGGAUUUUCAAUUUUAUCAAAUCUCCAUCCAAGAUAUUUUGAACAUUCUAUUAAUAAAACGAUGGAAUGGAAGCCUUAGAGUAACUGGCAAAGUUGCUGCCUUGUGACCAGGAGUUCACGUUUUCUGGGGCGUGGAACAGCCUAUUGCAGAAAUGCAUGGUAAGGCUGCAUCCAAUAAACCUUUCUGGCCCGGAUACGUGGGAGCUUUAGUGCACCGGUUUGCCCUUUUUAUGAAUAAAUAGAUCAAUCUGCCUAUGAUAUAUGGUGAAAGUAUGAGCUGGAUGUAUCAAAAUCAUCCACAAAAAUGGGACAGAUAAAUAGAGUCAUAAAGAGACAAAAUUUAUAGGCUAUAAAUAAAUAAUGAUACUAAAAAGAAAAACUAACCAGCUACAAUGUUAAAUUGAAGGACGUCAACAGCAACGAAACGGCGUCGUUUCUAAAAUUAAACAGUGAAUGAAUUCGCCUGGUCACCGAAACCCUACCGUUGCAAGUGAUAUACAUGAACUGAGUUCUCAAUGACCUUGAACGACUUCGACCUGAUACAGAAAACCUAAUUCGAUCAGAAUUAAUUAAAUCCGAAAAUACAAAAUUGAAUACAUAAACAUAGCAUUCAAAUCAUACAUAUACAUAUAUAAAAGGGAAGAAAUGUUGAACAUUAAGAUCUAGAGGAGGAAGACGCUGGGUUUAUAGAUCGAAAUUGGUGAAGGUUUUAGUGAUGGGACGCUGGCUCAAUGGGGAAGAAGAAGAAGGUGUAACUAUUUUUUCUUUUACUUGUCCAAAUAAAGAUUUUUUCUUUUAUUACUUACCAUUUAAUUGUGUAGGAUAGUUUUGAUAAAUAACGCAAUCUGAUUGGUCUAAACCCUAGAAAUUGACAUCAACGCAAGAAAAUGAAGUGUGUAGUUGUUGUAAUAUUUAGGUGCAUUAUUUUGUUGUCAUUUUUUUCCUAGGAUUAAUACUCUUCCUUCAAAAAAUAGCAUAAUGAUAUGAAAUUAUAUUAAAGCGGAAGAAACGAAAGUGAAAGAAAGCAAAUAUUAAAGUAGAAGACUAAUGUAAUAAUCUUUGUUUCUUGUUUCUGAUUCUCUCAUAGUCACGUAUUAUAAGAAAGGCUAUAUAUAGCCCAAUAUUAACACUAUUCUACCUUUUAGGAGCAAGAAUUUGAUUGGCUAUUUAGAAAAGGGGAGGACAAUUAUUUCAUUUGAAUGCAACCCACAUAGGCAUCCACUAGUCUGCUAAUAUUUUCUAACACUCCCCCUUGGAUGCCUAUGUAAAGAUAAAUUUACUGAAUACGCAUUUGAGUGUUGCAUCAUUAAAAACCUUACCAGGAAAAACCAGUGGGAUAAAAACCUUGGUUAAGGAAAAAAUAGUACAGCGCGUAUUGUUAUAAAAGAUGCAUUGUUCUCUUAACCAAGGUUAAGUUGAAUCGAGGUCUUCAUCAGGGGGAGUAAGAAUAUUACAACAACUACACACUUCAUUUUCUUGUGAUGACGUCAAUUUCUAAGGUUUAAACCAAUCAGAUUGCGUUAUUUAUCAAAACUAUCCUACACAAUUAAAUAGUAAGUAAUAAAGAAAAAAUCUUUAUUUGAACAGGUAAAAGAAAAAAUAGUUACACCUUCUUCUUCUUCCCCAUUGAGCUAGCGUUCCAUCACUGAAACCUUCACCAAUUCCGAUCUAUAAACCCAACGUCUUCCUCCUCUAGAUCUUCAAGUUCAACAUUUCUUCCCUUUUAUAUAUGUAUAUGUAUGAUUUGAAUGCUAUGUUUAUGUGAAUGUAUUCAAUUUUGAAUUUUGUAUUUUUGGAUCUAAUUGAUUCUGAUCGAAUUAGGUUUUCUGUAUCAAAUCGAAGUCGUUCACGGUCAUUGAAAACUCGGUUCAUGUAUAUUCACUUGUAACGGCAAGGGUUUCGGUGACCAGGCGAAGUCAUUCACUGUUUAAUUUUAGAAACGACGUCGUUUCGUUACUGCCGGCGUUGACGUUGACGUCCUUCAAUUCAAUUUAACAUUGUAGUUGGUUAGUUUUUCUUUUUAGUAUCAUUUAUUUAUUUAUAGCCUGUAAAUUUUAUCUCUUUAUGGCUCUAUUUAUCUGUCCCAUUUUUGUGGAUGAUUUUGUUACAUUUAAUUAAGUUAGAAUUUGCUUAGGUUGUAAAUUUGUUAAUAAUCAACGGCAGCUCAAGGGCAGAAUAAUUUAGUUUAUGAACCCUUACAACUCAUACUUUCACCAUAAAUCAUAGGCAGAUUGAUCUAUUUAUUAAUAAAAAGGGCAAACCGGUGCACUAAAGCUCCCACGUAUCCGGGCCAGAAAGGUUUAUUGUAUGCAGCCUUACCAUGCAUUUUUGCAAGAGGCUGUUCCACGCCCCAAAAAAUGUGAACUCCUGGUCACAAGGCAGCAACUUUAUCAGUUACUCUAAGGCUCCCAUUCCAUCGUUUUAUUAAUAGAAUGUUCAAAAUAUCUUGGAUGGAGAUUUGAUAAAAUUGAAAAUCCAGACACUAAUCCCAAUGUAACUUUAAAAAAAAAGGGACCCCUUUUCAAUCAAAACCAUCUCCAGUGGUCCUUCUGAUCAUCGGAAUACCCCAUUUACUUCCUCUUUCUCUCAAUCCUUCUCCUCCAUGGUCACCAACACCCUAUUCCGACCAAACCCCAGGAAACCUAUCGCCGGAAACUACCUCACGCACCCUUACGCGCUACCAGAUCUCCCAGCUACCGCCGUCACGCGCUUCACGCGCCGGCUCGUGUGACCAUUCAGCCAGUUUUUCAUCUUGUCCGACUUCACCAACACUGAUUUUCGGUUAUUACCAACAGCUUCAGGCCGUUACUCAAGACCUUUUCCAGUAGACCUGCCGGAUUUGACCUAUUAACUUUCAAACAACCCAGUCAUCAUAUCUUCUGAUUUUUGUUUCAAUAAAAUUUCCCUCUUCUGAACCUAUGGAGGAUAAUAGUAUAUAUUUCAACCAAGGUUUUAAAUCUUAUGACAUAACCAGAUGGACUUCAAACAAUGUUGCAUGGUACGACUGGGUGGAAAAGAGCAGAAAUAUGAUGAGAAGGGUUACACUUAGUGAGAAGGUGUUGGAAUGGAUCCGCUUCAUCCUCACAAAAGCAUCAGCAGACCGAAAAAUCAGGUUAGAAGAUAAAGAUACAAGGACCAGAUGGCAGAUUUCUUUGGUACAAGGAAAUACAAUUCUAAUGGGAGAUAUAUAAGUAUCCUGUCACUGAAGAGAGAGGAUAGAGCAGUUAUUAUUGUACCUGAGUCAGGCAUAAAUGCUGGUUGGAAAAGUGUGGCAUUUAAGAUUCAAAGUUUCAUUAAAAAUCCACCACAGAAGGAGAUACAGACACAAUGCAAGACAAAUGUUUUAAAUAUGACUUAUGCAAAAGCAGUUACAACCAGCAAAUGGCAAAGCAAUAGCUCUGAGAUAGCCACAACCAAAGGAAGAAGUAGCGAUUGGUCCUAUUCAACGCUGAGAAGAAAUUACAUGAACACAGACAAAGGUAUGAUGAACAGCCAAUUCAGGCAUUCAAGGAAUAAUAAGGACUCAGAUAUACUAAAUAUCCUAUCUAAUCAUGAAUUUGGAUCUACAGAGAGACAGAGAAGGUCAGGAUGCAGAUUGGAUAAAAAGGCUAAGGAGUUUGGUAACUGGACAAAACAGAAGUCUAAAGGGUAGCUAACUGAUCUGAUAAGGUCUAGGAUAUAUACAAUAUCUCUGACAAACAGAAUAUCUAUAGGAACAUAAAGAGGCUAUAAGUAUGAACAGUCCUAUGAUAAAUAGAAUCAAAAAUGAGAAUUGAUUGUUACGACGAAUUGAUCUCCAGAGCAUUAAAGAUAGUUGAUCAAAGGGCUCUACAACCUCUACAAAGAACUCCAAGCUAUCUAUCAAUUACUGCAAUAGGGGCAUCCCACUCAACACCCAGCUUCUUCUUCCACUGAUCUAUGCACAAGCACAUACAUACUCCAUUUGUUGAGCCUCACAUAGUCUAACCACAUCUGCACAUAAUACACGGACUUCAAAUGUAUCCAAAGACAGUCAACCAACCAGCCAUUGCUCAUGUCGAAUUUCCUUUAAACAACCACCGUUAACAGGUGUUGAAGCUUCACUGCUGAGAUAAAGCUGCUCUCUACCGUGACAAACACUACGUGAAACGAUAACUUUUGAACUAAAAACUGUUUUAUUCACCAUAUGUACCAUCUACUAUUACCUAAUACGAAAACUAUAGAACCCCAUAUUUAGCUGCUACUCAGCACUCCUACCAUACAUUCAUUAAUCUGCAAUUUCAAGGUUGAGCAUGCAACGAAGAGUCUGUGUCGCAAAGUCAAUACUGUCAAAUACAAUUCCUGGAGAAGGGCAGCGCUCCCUGGUUGGGGAUGCUGGUGCAGACUUGGCGAUGGGACGUAAAUCAAUAUCAGAUGCUGAAACAGCAAAUUCAAGAGAGGAAGCCCUCUUAGGCCUGAGGGAAAACUUGGGCAUGGGCAGAGAACUAGGAGGAGGAGAAUUCGAAUAAGCUGGCCCUGCCCAUAGUUCAGAGAAUGGAAACUCAUCACUCAGGGAAUUCUCAUUCCUAGAACCAACAUCCACUUCGAGGUUAAAUGGUAUCGUAAUCGUGUUGCUUCUGCCUGGUUUUCUUGAUUUCUUCUGAUCUCCAGAGUAAGACUUAACAGUAUUAACAGGCAGUGGUGUUAAAGGUGAUCGCUUUUGGGGAGACAAGAAACCCGAGGAGGCUCUUUUGUUGACAGGUUUCUUGACAGACUUCGAUUGGGUUUGAAAUAAACCUGCUCUGGACUCAAAAGCCCUACAAUUUAUCUCCCUAAGCCCACCAGAAGGAGGUGAACCAUACGACCCAAAUCGAGCAGGACCAUGUGCCCUGCUUCUCCCAUAGUACUGAUUCCGAUGCUGAGCAACAACAAUCAUUUCCAACAACAACUAAUUCAAUCAAAUUCAACUAUAACUCACUAUCUGAAGAUCUAACCAGAAACAACAGAGGUCAAAGAUUCAUAUUGGGGCUUUGAAAUGCUUUAAAUUGACCUUCAAUCACCAGAUUAUCAGCAAAUCAAAAUCACUAUCACUGUAUCCAAUACAUAAAAUUCAUCCACAAUCACCACUUUCACCCUUCAGAUUCUUCAGAUCUAUAAUCCAGUAACAAAAAAAAAAAAGAAACAUAGAGAAAAACAAAUCAGUAACUCAAAUCCGAAACACCCAAACGAAAACUGCAAAACACAACUACUACAACUCAAUUUCAGGGCUAUAUUCGUAUGUAAAUCAACUUUAUUCCAAUACAAAAACCUAAGAAUUGUACUUUCUUUCAUAUAAAUAGAAGUUGUAAAUUUCAUUUUCAAAUUAAAAUUACCUGAUGUCAGGAAGUAUGUAGUGAAGCAGAGUGUCUCACGAAAGAAAUAAUAAUAAAAAUUACCUUUUUUAUUUGUAAUUUCUUAUUAAGGAUAUGUAAAGAAAAUUAUAGAUAACUAAGCAAUACAACACGAAAGGAUAAUGUGUGUGAAGCAUUAAAAUUAGGCAUAAUAUUUAAAGAUGCUUUUUUAACUUGGCCGUAAAUCAUAUUUUAAAUUUUGGAUGUACACAAGUAAGUACAUAAAUUUGUAUAUAAAAUUGAAUAAAUAGAUAUAUAUGUUCUACGUAGUUAAUUCUUAUCCUACAUGACGUUCUACGUAUAUUAUGUCAUAUAAGAUGCGUGUGUCUACUUGUUCAACUUUAUACAACUUUAAGUGUCUAUUUGUGCACAAUCAAAGUUAAAGGUUAUAAAUGUGAUUUGAGAUCAAGUUAAAGAGCAUGUUUAUGUAUUAUGCCUUCGAAUAAAAUGUUUGAAUCUAUUACUGUAAGAGUAGCAACAAGAAUAAUGUAUUACCUGGUUCAAAAAUAUUGAGAACAUUAAUAGAGAGUUUGUUUUUGAUAAAGCAAAACAUAAAGCAGUUCAAUUAAAAAAAUAAUUGAAGUGAACAAGUCAUGAUAAAAUACUAAAACAGCUUGGCAAAAUAUAUUUUUGCAGAAAGCAAUGAACAAUAACUAUAACAUAAUAAUGCUAGUUGUGUAGGAAGCAACAGGUAGCGACAAAAUUAAAAUUCAAGAAACAACACAUGGUAAUAGAGAUCAAGAAUAAGAAACUAUAAAAAUAAUAUUACCGACAUCAAAAAUUUGAGAGAAGGUGGAUAUGGUUUCGACGGAAGACAAGAUACGAAAAGUGAGGUUACGAUGGUUCGCACAUACGGUGAAAAGGUGCAUGAAUGCCUCAGUAUAGAGUUGUGAGAGGCUAACUAUGAAUGAUUUUAGGUGUGGUUGAGGUAAGCUGGAGAAAUAUUAAAUGGAGGUGACUGGAUAUAAUAUGGAGCGGUUACAACUUACAGAGUACGUAACUCUUGAUAGAAAUGUGUGGAGAACGCAAAUUAGGAUAGAGGGGUUAGUAGGUGGCAGUGUUUUAUUUGUAUUUGUGUUGUAGUUUCUUGUCCGUAGUUUGAUGAUGUUUAUGAUUUUAAAUGAAAGUUUAUAAUAUUACUUUGUCGGUUUCUUGUUUAUUUUAUCAUCUAGCAUUGUGUUAAUUCAUUUUAUUGUUUUUUACAUUUUUUGUUUGCUAUAUGUUAAUUAUUUCAAACAUGUGAUCUUUCAAAAAUAACCUUCUUAAAUCAUCUAAGAUAGUGAUAUGUAUUGCGUAUGUCUUACCCUCUUAAUUCAUCUAUGUGAGAAUACACUAAUAUGUUAUUAUGGUAUAAAAGGAUGAGUGAGACAACUCUCAAUUACCUACUUACUAGGUUGUUACUUAAGUCGUGCCUCCCAAAAACCUCCUGUAUUAGAUCUUAUCCUCAAUAAGUUGAACUUGCGUCACCUCUCUUCAAUACUUCUUUAGUCUACUCCUGUCUCUUUUGAAAUCAUUCAUAGCCAACCUCUCACACUUUUGCACUAGGACAUUUGUGUGUCUCUUAUUCAAUAACCAAAUCAUCUUGACUCUUGAGUCUCACUUCUCGCAUAUUGGCCUCCACAUGUCAUGACCAUCUUCUAAUAAUUCCACACAUCCGUCUUGUCAACUUCUAUCUCCCAAACAUAAAAAUUCUAGACUGAUCAAUAAUUCGUCUCAUAAAUAAAUAUUAUUCUUUACCAAAAGAUAAAAAGUAAUAAAUUUAUACUCUAUUUUUUUUUUUUUGAAGAAAAUGAUUUGUUUUGACUUGCCAUCAAUUAUAAAAAAAUUUAAAAAAAAUUAAAUUUAUGAUUUUAAAUAAAAAUUAUGUUAAAUAUGUCAAAGUGGAGUAAUAUUUAAUCUAGUGAUCUCAAUACGUCAGGUGAAAAACAGAGGAUUGCAUAUGACAACAAAACGGGCUGUGAAGAGGACCCAUGAACAGUCGAAGUGUCGAACACCCUCAAACUAUAUAAAGGGGACAGUGCCAUUUUCGUAAUUUCAAUCACAAACGAGUGCAAAUUGUACAAUAACGCCGCUGGACCUCAAAGCUAUUUUAGAAUACGACUUUAGGUUCAUUUCAGAUCCGUAGAUUCACGUUUCGGAAAAGCUUUAGUGGUCGUUGAAUCGAUGGUGGCUCCAUAAUAACACAAAGAAAACUUACAACCAUACAACUAAGUACAGUACUAGUAGUAUUUUUAGGUUUCGGAGAAAAAUCUCAUCAUAAAUCACAUUGUCGAGACCCUCUGCUUCAUUACAUACUUCCUGACAUCAGGUAAUUUUAAUUUGAAAAUGAAAUUUACAACUUCUAUUUAUAUGAAAGAAAGUACAAUUCUUAGUUUUUGGUAUUGGAAUAAAGUUGAUUUACAUACGAAUAUAGCCCUGAAAUUGAGUUGUAGUAGUUGUGUUUUACAGUUUUCGUUUGGGUGUUUCGGAUUUGAGUUACUGAUUUGUUUUUCUCUAUGUUUCUUUUUUUUUUUUGUUACUGGAUUAUAGAUCUGAAGAAUCUGAAGGGUGAAAGUGGUGAUUGUGGAUGAAUUUUAUGUAUUGGAUACAGUGAUAGUGAUUUUGAUUUGCUGAUAAUCUGGUGAUUGAAGGUCAAUUUAAAGCAUUUCAAAGCCCCAAUAUGAAUCUUUGACCUCUGUUGUUUCUGGUUAGAUCUUCAGAUAGUGAGUUAUAGUUGAAUUUGAUUGAAUUAGUUGUUGUUGGAAAUGAUUGUUGUUGCUCAGCAUCGGAAUCAGUACUAUGGGAGAAGCAGGGCACAUGGUCCUGCUCGAUUUGGGUCGUAUGGUUCACCUCCUUCUGGUGGGUUUAGGGAGAUAAAUUGUAGGGCUUUUGAGUCCAGAGCAGGUUUAUUUCAAACCCAAUCGAAGUCUGUCAAGAAACCUGUCAACAAAAGAGCCUCCUCGGGUUUCUUGUCUCCCCAAAAGCGAUCACCUUUAACACCACUGCCUGUUAAUACUGUUAAGUCUUACUCUGGAGAUCAGAAGAAAUCAAGAAAACCAGGCAGAAGCAACACGAUUACGAUACCAUUUAACCUCGAAGUGGAUGUUGGUUCUAGGAAUGAGAAUUCCCUGAGUGAUGAGUUUCCAUUCUCUGAACUAUGGGCAGGGCCAGCUUAUUCGAAUUCUCCUCCUCCUAGUUCUCUGCCCAUGCCCAAGUUUUCCCUCAGGCCUAAGAGGGCUUCCUCUCUUGAAUUUGCUGUUUCAGCAUCUGAUAUUGAUUUACGUCCCAUCGCCAAGUCUGCACCAGCAUCCCCAACCAGGGAGCGCAGCCCUUCUCCAGGAAUUGUAUUUGACAGUAUUGACUUUGCAACACAGACUCUUCGUCGCAUGCUCAACCUUGAAAUUGCAGAUUAAUGAAUGUAUGGUAGGAGUGCUGAGUAGCAGCUAAAUAUGGGGUUAUAUAGUUUUCGUAUUAGGUAAUAGUAGAUGGUACAUAUGGUGAAUAAAACAGUUUUUAGUUCAAAAGUUAUCGUUUCACGUAGUGUUUGUCACGGUAGAGAGCAGCUUUAUCUCAGCAGUGAAGCUUCAACACCUGUUAACGGUGGUUGUUUAAAGGAAAUUCGACAUGAGCAAUGGCUGGUUGGUUGACUGUCUUUGGAUACAUUUGAAGCCCAUGUAUUAUGUGCAGAUGUGGUUAGACUAUGUGAGGUUCAACAAAUGGAGCAUGUAUGUGCUUGUGCAUAGGUCAAUGGAAGAAGAAGCUGGGUGUUGAGUGGGAUGCCCCUAUUGCAGUAAUUGAUAGAUAGCUUGGAGUUCUUUGUAGAGGUUGCAGAACCCUUUGAUCAACUAUCUUUAAUGCUCUGGAGAUCAAUUCAUCGUAACAAUCAAUUCUCAUUUUUGAUUCUAGUUAUCAUAGGACUGUUCAUACUUAUAGCCUCUUUAUGUUCCUAUAGAUAUUCUGUUUGUCAGAGAUAUUGUAUAUAUCUUAGACCUUACCAUAUUAGUUAGCUACCCUUUAGACUUCUGUUUUGUUCAGUUACCAAACUCCUUAGCCUUUUUAUCCAAUCUGCAUCCUGACCUUCUCUGUCUCUCUGUAGAUCCAAAUUCUGAUUAGAUAGGAUAUUUAGUAUAUCUGAGUCCUUAUUAUUCCUCGAAUGCCUGAAUUGGCUGGUUCAUCAUACCCCUCUGUCUGUGUUCAUGUAAUUUCUUCUCAGUUUGAGUAGGAUCCAAUCGCUACUUCUUCCUCUUGAAGUUGUUUUCCCCUUGGCCAAUUUUCUGUUUUUUGGGAAUGAAAAUUGGGAAGGGGAAUAAUAGUUAGUUGUAUCAUUUUCUUUUCCUGGUCUUCGGUAAUCUUUCCAUCAGCUUUCCUCUUGCCAGUCCAUUAUCCCUGUUAAGUGGUUUAUUUCUUCUCAAGAAAAGUCCAUCUUGCCUAUGGAUAUUAUUGAUCAUAUCGUCAUUGAUAAGGUAAGAGUUUCCUAGUUUUUAUCUGUUUUGAUAUUCUGUCUCUGACUUGUUAUUUAGCUUAUAUGUGCUAUGACAGUUGCUUAUUAUUUGUUUACUUCUUUGUGUGUAACACUUUUAGUUGGCGCUGUUCGAAGAAGUUUGUUGAAGUGGAUGUUCUCUCUGUGCUCACCAUGGUAGCACCACUUGUUGUUUUUCAUUUUGCUGUAGGAUACUUGCAGUCUCUGGGUCCUUCGACAAAUCUGGUAGUUACUACUGCAGUGAUUAUCUAGUUAUCCGAUGUUUUGGAUUUUGGAGCUUUUACGUUUGUCCUUGAUCUAAGGAACUUCUUGUUAAGAAGUCUAUGCUGCUUGCCUUAAGAAGUCUGUGCUGCUGUUAGAGCUUUUACUUUUGUCCUUGAACUUAGGAACUUGUUAUUCUUGUUUCUCUAAUUCUGUUGUUUGGCUUAAGAAGUCUAUGCUGCUGUAGAGUACUGCAGUGAUUUUCUAGUUAUGUUGAUGUUUUAAGUUUUAAGAGCUUUUACUUUUGUACUUGGAACUUAGGAACUUGUUAUUCUGUUUCUCUAAUACUGUUGUUUGGCUUGAGAAGUCUAUGCUGCUGCUGAAUCAUGCAUAAUAUUUUCCUUGUUACAUGAACAUGCCCACCUCUUAUGGCAUCAGAAAUGUUUUUUCACUUUUAGACUGCUUCUGUUGUACUUGGCAAAUGACAACUCUUUCUCAGUGUUGAGACGACUAAAAGAAAUGCACGCCGGUAUCUACUGAUUUCUUCAUAGUUUUUGUCCCCAAAAACUUCAUUCAAGUCGUGAUACGUUCAGUCGCUCUGGGUCAAGUUGGCAAAGAUGAGAGCAGUUAAUCUGUAUUUUUUAGUCGGACUGGGUCAAGAUGGCAAAGCUGAGAGCAGUUAAUCUGUAUUUUUUAGUCGUGCAUGAUUGAUCUUAGCAUGCAGCACGUACAGGGACGAUGACAACAGAAAAUAUUGGUAGUAAUAUUGUUUCGUAUUUCUUUGUGCGAGCGAGUACGAACUGAUUUAGUCAUGGAUCGAACAUUUUCUACCAGAGCAGAAUCUAUUGACAGUUUGGAUUUUUACUCGUGUACAUUAGAUCUGCAAGUAAUUUAGAUGGUAAUAAUCUAUGCAUAUCAUUUUGAGCAGGCUUUCGAAAGAGUUUUAAGUUGAACUAACAUUAAUACCAAGUCCAAUUGACCAUUGAACCUGCCCUAAAUCAGAUCCACAAAUUUGUGACUUAGGAGUAGUUGCCGUGUAUUAGUCGUAUGAAAAGGAAUAGAUUUAUCCAACAUGAGUACGCCACUAGAAAUUAACUCUUAUCUUGAUAAUAGAGUCUGGUACAUCUCAAAAUUUAACAGAGAUUAUCAAAGCCUCUGCCUAGUAGUGAAUUGCAAAGUUUACAUCAACUUAACCAAAGGUAUACAAAAAUUAUAGAGAAGAGUAAGCGAGUAAGCGAGUAAGCUAAGUGUUGACAAACUCCACACUCCAAAGUAGUCCAAAACACAAUACAAACAAUAGUGGAGCUUAGAUGGUGAAUACCGUGGCAAAUGAUGCUGCAACUACAAGGGUAAACAAGAGAGAAUAUGGCAGCUUGACUCUGUAUCCUGAAUUUCCACUUGGUUCACCCUUAGAUCCACCUGCCAAAAAACGUAUACAACAGAUUAUUUAUACAUCAAAAACAUCCAAAAACUUAGUUUUCGUAAAGUUCUGGUUUUGUUCUUAUAUCAUUAUACAUUUUUUUUUUUUUUUAAAAGUUCUAUUUGUACUCGUACCUGAAGGAGUAGAAGGAGACCCUGGAGAACCAGAUGGAGUAGUAGCUGAAAUGUUUAUAUUUGACAGAGAAAACAAGUUAAAAACUCGAAAAAUCUCCAGCUGCAAGCGUCUUUUGUCACAAUAUAAAUUAUUUUUUAUUAAAAAUGUAGUUUCCCAAUCCUUUUCGGGACCAACUAUGAGGUGAGACUUUUGUAUAAGUAUUUUCAUAAUAUAUAUAUAGAGUUUGAACCAAAAAAAUAAAUAAAAAAUCGAAAAAAGCAGUGUAGUUGAUGAGCUUAGCUUUACCUUUACAGAUAUUAACAGAGGGAGUCUGAACAUUACAAGCUUUUGGAAGAGCCAUAGCUUGUGUUUGAUUCACAUUAAUUCCCAUAGAAGAUGCAGAACCACCAUUAACCACUUGACACAAACAUUGUGGCUGAUUUUUCACAAUAGUGGCUAGUUGUGUACAACAUCCUGAUGACGGUUUUGUGGCAUUCCCUUGUAUAUAAUCCAAACAUGGUGCUAAUCCAACUAUCACUUGUUGGCAAUCAUCUGAUUGACCACUAACUUGUAUUGCAAUAAUAGCCAAAACCACAAAAACUGCACUUGUUAACAUCUUCAUUUUCUCUUCAAUUUAAUUUAAUUCCUUCUCAAUAUCUUACUUUGGUCUGCUGCUAAAUUUUGGAGCAUUUGAUGGAAAUGACAGUGUUUAUAACGGGGAAGAUGGUGCAAUAAAUUUUUUAGUAAGGACAGAUGGGGGUUAUGUGGGUGACCAAACUUUGGCUACCUUUAUAACGAAUCCAUGUGUAUACACCAUUUAUUAAUUUUACUUCCCACAUUCUGACUUUAUUAUAAUUGACAACAUAUAGACAAACACCACUCUAUAGUCUACACGUUUCAAAAAGUAGCUAGCUGUCAAAUUUUUGGUUAACAAUUGUAGCUUAUCUUCCAGCAAAUCUAAGAGAGUAGUACUAUAUUAUGUAUAGCUUAAAAAAGGAUUUUUUAAACUAAAAUAUAUACGGUCCAUGUGAUACAAAUUCAAAAAAAGAAUGAUGCUUUUAUUGAGUUAGAAAAUACUAAUUAAUUUUCCCUGUUUUCAUAUUACCCAUUAUAGAGUUGUAAAUUUUAUUAACAUAUAUAUUUUCAAAGCCAUGCAAGUAUUAACACGUCUUAGAUCAUAAGUUUCAUUUUUUAAGACUUUGUGAAAUUUAAACUAAAUCAUAUAAAUUAUAAUGACGAAAGUAUAUACUUUCAAAUAAUCUUUAUAUAGUCAAACUUCUCUAUAGUGGCAACAUUUAUAUGAAAGUAUCGUGACUGCAAUAUAGAGGUGUUAUUAUAUAUGAUGUUCAAAUCUCAUUUAGUUUCUAUAAAUAAAAAUACGCAAAAUUAGAAAAGACAUGAAUAUAUAUUAUAAAUAACAUAAAUACCAAUCUCUUAAAAGUAAUUACACUUUCUCCCAUAAUUACUUUACUCUCUCUCCCUAUGAAUAAAUAUAAUAUAGCUGACAUAUACAUAGCAGUUUGUGUAUAUGUGAGAUUUUUGUAAUAUGUUUAGGGAGUUGGAAUUUUUUGUAAUAUUGAAAAUAUAAGUUGUGUAUUUGUGUAAUUUUUAGAUAUAUAUAUAACAAAAAAGUAAAUAUUAGUAGUCUUUUUUUUCGUGAAUUUAUGAAAUAAUUGAUGUGCAUCAUUUAAAUAUAAUUUUUUUCUUUAAAUUAGAUAUUCGUACUUGAAAUUUACUGUGUUCAUGAUACUAUGAUGAUUAUCAUUAAUAUUUUUGGUAUUUUAUUUUGUACAUAAUAUAUUUUUUAUAAAUUAUUAUAUAGUAUUUGAGUAUGUUGUUAUAAAGAAGAAAUGUUACAAAGAUUGUAUCGCUAUAUAAGCGUCAUUGCAGUUAUAGAAAAGUAAAAUAUAACACGAUAAAGUGAUUUUGGAGAAAAUCAAGCUACAAUGGGAAAAUGAUGUUAUAAUGAUGUGACGUUAUAGAGAGCAGUGGCAGAGUUAAAAUUUUCAAUGAGGUCGUUCAGAAGUAAAUAUACGAAUUAAUGGAAGGGAGUUCAAUAUCUAUUAUAUAUGCAUAUUUUUUUUUUAAUUAUAUUUACCUCGAAGAGGGUUCGAAUGAAUUCUCUAAAGCAAAUAUAGUUCUGCCUCUCAUAAAGAGGUCUGUCUGUAUUAAUAUAUUUUAUUUAUUAUAUCAGGCUAUUUAUCUUAUUUUUACGUAUUAGUAUUAAUCUUACUUAUCAUAAAUAAUUGCUUAUAAUUAUUUUAGCUUAUUUCAUGGAUUUUUUUUUGUUCUAUUCUAUCAAUAUAAUUACACUCUUUAGCAUAAGGACAAAAGUGUAGACGGUGCAAAAAGCUCCAGCGAAGCUGCCUAAAUUUUAAAUGCUCAUCAAUGGUUUAGUCAAACUCAAUAGGUCGGCAUGGUAGGUUAGUCGUUUUCUUUUUUUUUGGCCACCUAAAGUCAAUUUUCACAUUCUCUGUAUACAAAUCAAAAGAAAGUUAUCGUGCAAACUGUUUCUAACAGAAAUAUAAAUAAAAUUAUUUGAUUUUCUUUUAAAUCUUGUAUAUAGCAGAAGAUUUAAUGUAUUAAUAUAAUUAUCAAUUAAAUGUGAAUGGAUGAAGUUGCUAAAGCUCCCAAUAGAGUUGAAAUUGAGUGUGACAUAAUGACACAAUUUAAUCCCAAUUGUUCUUUGGAGAAGACUCGUCAUUAUGUAAAAAUUAGAUAGAUUUGAAGUUAUAGUAUAUUUUAUACGUAGUCAGAUGGCUCAAUAGCUUUUGUUUAGAUUUUAUAUUUAUAUUAAGAAAUUCAUUAAAUGUGAAUUCAAUAACUAAAUUGGAGUUAAAAAAAAGUUCAAAAUUUAUAAAGUUAAAAUAUUGACCUGACUCUAUUUAACAAUCCGAUAAAUUAAUUGAGUUUUCCAAAUGAUCAAAUACAAGCCAAUUAUUUAUUUGUGAAUUUUGUUUUCUACUCUCUGUUAAAUACUCAUUUGGCCAAGAACUUUCAUUACAUUAUUAAUUAAAACAUUAUAUGUUCUACCAUGCACAUGAUCAAAGUUUAUAUUUUCAGAGAGUUAUGUUGUAGAUUAGGCUACUUAAAAACAGUACUAACCUAAUCAGUGUAAUAAGCUAAACUACUAGGUAGAUAAGUAUUUAUCACUACAAUAAUAAAGACUUUUAAUGGUAAUAUUAAAUACGUUAAUAAAGAGUGCUAAAUUUUUACUGACAUUGGUUAAUUGUUACCGGCUCCAAUGUCACUAUAGGACAUUUACAAAGAAUACUAAAAAUAUAUUUUUCACUAAUAAUUAAUUGCCUCUAAAAAAAUAAUUCAGCGACAAUAAGCUUAUUGCCUUGAACUAAUUGUCGCUAGAUUUUUUAAUUUUUUUUGUAUAUUAAAUUACCUAUAUAUACACACAUAAAAAACUGAAAUUAGUUACUUAUUUUGUCACGAAUCUGUCACUAAUUUACUUGUAGCUAUCAGAGAUUACUCGUUAAAUAGGAUUAGGAACGAAUGUUGCUAUACAACUACAUAAUUAGUCCGCCGCUAAACUUUUUUUUUUAGUAGUUACGUAACAAUUUCAGUUCAAUAGUUUAUGAAGCUACAUUUUGCCAAGAAAAUAGAAGAUAAAUAAUUAAAGAACCCUCCUGUGACUUACUCAAAAUGAAGCCACAACAAUAAUAUAUAGGUAAAUUUACAACAAACGUGACACUCAUACUAAUACAGGGGAACCAAAAGAAUAAUAAUAACAGUAAAUAUUAGUAAUACAAGAUUGACAUAAAAAUAACAUUUUCUCCAAAAACUCAGAAUCCCCUUGUAGUCAAAGCAGAUGAUGAUGCAACAAAUAGGAGGAAUAAUCCAACUAAAGUAGUAGUCAUAGAAACUUUUGUGUUGCUUCCUGCUGCUGCUGAUGAUCCAGGUGUUGAAGGAACUGUUUUAGAACCUGUAGUACCUACACCAAUGAAAGCAUUUGUGCGCGUUUGAGUUAUUUGACUUAUGUACACUGGCACAAUAUAAAAUAAUUUUUAUACUAUUAGGUCAACUACAAGUAAUUGCUACGUAAGUGAUAUAGCAUGUUAAAUUAAAAUUCUUAUAUAUAGGAGAGAUGAUAAUUUUUUGUAUUUGAAUUGUACCUGUUCCUGAUGGAGUUGCUGGGAUUUCAUUAGAGGAAUCAGAUGGGGUAGUGGAACCUGUAGGAGAACUUGCUGGUACUGAAGCAGUUGGUCCAUUUGCAGCUAUUUUUUUUUUAUGCACAAAACAAUCAGUUAGUUCAUUAUACAUGUAGAUGUUAUAAAAGUUUAAUUAAUUCAAUCAUUAUAAAUGUUUGUGGUGUAAAUAAUUUUUAUAACCAACAGAAUCUAGAUGCGGAGCUAUGAUUUGAAGCAUAUAAAAUAGAAAUAUCGAGUAUUGGGUUCCGAAUUAAAUUUUUAUAUAUAUUUAGUAUAUAUCUGAAUAUAUAAAAACACAAAAUUUGGACUUAAAGAUACUAAAAUUGGCGGAACUAUGAUUUGAAGUAUAUAUAUGAGUUCUAAAUUCUAGCUCUGCCAGCUCUGUCAGUGUAUUUAAAGUUAUUGUAUUAGGUCAGAUUAAUUAACUGCCUUAUUUCUAUAUUAAUCUCAUUGGACAGAUACGUUACUUGUAAUUAUCUUUUACAUGGCUUGAUAAUAUAACAUUUUCUUCUGCAUUGUGAGUCGUGUUAAUAGAAGUUAAACUCAUUGUUUAAAUAUUGCCUAGUACAGACCGUAUUAACAACAUUUCACUAUAACAAUCAAGUUUUUAAUCAAUUUUCAUGUUAUGUAAUAUCAUAUGCUCUUUAUAACAAUAUUUCGCUACAUGAUCAACCAAGAAAUAUCUGAAGAAACAACAUCAUUAUAGAGAAGUUCGACUGUGGAAUGAAAAGCUGUCUUACCAUUGCACCUGCUGAGAGGAGGAGUUUGUAAAUUGCAUGCACUAGGUAAUCCUAGAGCAAGAGUUUGAUUAAUGGCAAUGCCAAGAUUAGAACCACCACCAUUAACCAACAUACAAAGGCAUUGGGGAUUGGACUGGACAACACUAGCUAGUGAUGUGCAACAAGAUGAAGAUGGUGUUGAUGAAUUUCCACUAACAUAGUUCAAACAUGGUGAUAAUCCUACUAGUGUAGUCAUACAACUUGAUUGACCUAAAGCUCCAUUAAAAAAAAUGGCCACAUUUAGAACCAUAACUAGAGCCAUCACAUUCAUUUUGGAUGCCAUUUUUCUUAAUUUGAGACUAAAAGAGAAAAAGAGGAUUGGUUGAUUAUAUUCUUUUUGUUGUUGAUGAAUUUUUGAGUGAAGAGGAAGAACAGCUAUUGGGGUUUAUAUACCAAAGUUUUUAGUACAAAAGAACAAGAAAAGAUAGGUAUUUUUGUUGGCCAACUUUUAAACUAAUGAAUGGUUAGCUAAUAACUAAAAUUCAAUAAAGAAAUAGUUUAUGAGGACUUAUUAUAAUCUAUUACUCCAUUUGACAACUGUUUACCUAAUUAGGUGAUCUUCCAUUAUUAGUAUAUUUUGUUUGAAAAGGUUUUGGUUUUCUUCCAAUAAGGAAAUAUUAUAAGUCGUAGUAUGGAAAAGUUUCUCAACAAAUUAAAUGUUUGUUGUUUCGUGUACGAGCACAUUAAAGGUUACUUUCUACAACACGUACAGAAGCUAAAUUUGUUAAAAGUUAUUUUUAUUUUACCCUUGAAAAGAAAGUUUUUAUAGUCAAAAAUAAAUGUUGGUGGCAUUUGACAUGUUUAGGACAUAAAUUUAGAAGUCUAAAUUAUAAUUAAUACACACAAAUUUUAUGACAUUAUCAAUUUAAAAUCACAAAUUUCAAAAGUCUACUUAAAUUUAUCAAAUUAUACAAAGGCGGAUGUAGAAUGCCGGCACUAAUUUAUCUAAGGCCCAUACUUUCGAUACAAAGUAGAAAUUUAUGUGUCAAAUCAAAAUAUGAACCCAUUUUCUUCUAAUCAAUUUUUCUAAUAAAUCUUGACAUAUAGAGUUAUCUAGUAUUAGGGGCGGAGCUACACUUGGGAAGGGGGUUCAUCCGAACUCCCUUCGAUAAAAAAAUAUAUGAUAUAUACAUGGUUAAAAUUAUUUUUUAGGUAUAUAUAGUAGAUGUCGAAUUCCUUUCGGUUAUAUGUUCACUUAAGAACUCCUUAAGUAAAAAUUCUAACCCCACCAUUAUCUGGUAUCAAAAUUAUGUAACAAAUACCCAAUGAAUAUAAUUGACUCGCUAACCAAUAUAUGCCAUAUGGAAAAAAGAUAUUCUUCUAAUAAUUUAUUGUUUCAAUGGUGAGGAACAUAUUUUCACCAUUCAGUGGGUUAACCUUAGUUUAAGGCAAAACUAACAGAUGCACUGUAAAACAGGAAAUCCACAAAACUAUUCCAUACUUUAAGGUUUAUUCUCCAACAUAAGUACAUUACAAGUUCUAAUUAAAACCCCUAUAAAUAGACUAGGCCAUGACCAUUAAAAAAUUGUCCAAGGAAACAUUUUAAAAAUCAAAAUAUAAUAAAUUUUUAAAAAACAAAUAUGGAGGGAAAAAAGCUUGUUGCUGUAUUUCUGAUGUGCAUGGUUGUGUUAACAACAAUGUCAGAAGCCACAGAGGAAGAAUACAGGGAUUGCUACCAUACAUGUCACAAACAAUGCUCUGAAGAUGGCCAUGGUUAUACCUUUUGUGAGAUGAAGUGUGACACAGACUGCUCCAGGAAGGAUAUCGUAGGUAAUUAAUCAUUUCCGUGAUCGUAUUAUCUGUUUUUAAAGUUCUCCUGCACAUUUUAGGAAACUGACGUUAUAUUUAAUAGUCUUAGGGGCCAUUUGGUAACAUGGAUCGGGGGUUAUACCACGUUCAUAUUAUCUGUCUUUUAAAGUUCUUUCAUAUUUUUUACGAAAUUGACGUUAUAUUUAAUAACAUGGAUUGGGGUUAUACCACAUCCAUGUUAUCUGUUUUUUAAAGUUCUCUCCCACAUUUUUUACGAAAUUGACGUUAUAUUUAAUAGUCUUAGGAGCCAUUUGGUUACGUGGACGGGUGAAUAUUUAGUAUAUUGUUUGUGAAUAUUAGAUAAAAUCAUGAUAGAAUUUAUACUAAAAUCAUGAAAUUAUCUAAUCGAUCUCAUAUAUAAGAUGGAAUGAUCUAUUAGCGGUUAAUUUCAGAAUUAUAAUCCGAAAAAAAUAUUGUUUUGAACAAAACGACCUCUUGAUGGUUAUAAGAUUUUUUUUUUUUAAUCGAAACUAAGAUUUUUUUUUUUUAAUCGAAACUAUCUUUUGUUAAAUAAUAUUUCACUAAUUUAAGAAUAGAUUCAGAAGAAACUAAUAAAUAACUUCUUAUUUCUCUUAAACGUCACAUAUAUCAAAUUAAAAUCAGUUUGCCCAAAUCUCACAGGAGAGAAUAUUUUUAUCUGAAGAAUUUAUAAUCAAAUUAUGUUUGUUUAUAAAAUUGUUUUAUAAUCUUCUUAAAUAGUUUUAAAUUUUGAAAACUCGUGACAUUAUAAUACGCUUUAUAUAUAACUUCUAACCAUAUACAUUUUAUUUACAUGACAUGUUGAUUGCAAAAUGGGGUCAUCUGAUCUUAAUUUUUUUUAUUUUUUUUUUAAAACAUUUGCAGCUCAAUUCCCUAAAUUCAAGGGUUAAUGUGGAGGACCAAAAAGAUACAUGAGAUGAGCAAACAGGGCUGAAGCAUAAAUCAGUGUAAUUGUAUUAGUAUAUUUCUACUAAAUAUUUCAUCAAUUUAUUUUCCACUGCUGAUUGUAAUUUUCAAAAUUAAUAAAUAAUUCAUUCAUCUCUUAAUCUAAGUUCCACUGCCUCAAUCUAAUUUUUAACUCAUUAAUUAUCCGAGUAAAUUAAUAUAUGAAAUCUUGAAACUCCUUUACUUUAUCCAAAGUUGUAAUGGCUCCUAUUGCUUUAUCUAAAGUUGUAAUGUAAUGUGGACCUAAUGAGAAUGACCUAACACUAAUAAAGAGUACUGCAGAAAAAGUAUGAUACAUAAGAGCUAAUUAAACUUCUACAAUUUGACAUUAUAUAUAAAUAAGUUUUUAUAUUAUUAGAUCACUUAAAUGAUAGUUGCAUUCAGAUAAUAUGUAGUUCAUGAAAAGUAAAUUAAUUAUAUUCAUAUAGAAUUUCACUUUUCUAUAAUGAUGGUACAUAAAAAAAAUAAAACGAAAACUACAUGUAACUGUCUGUAUACAAAAUACUUUAUUGGAAGAAGAAAUUUAAAAGAAGAAAAUGACUAGCAAGGAUAAUCACAUGCACAAAAAGGACCAUUAAAGCCAAGUUGUUCAAUGCACUGUCCACCAGCAGAGGAUCCAAAUUUGUUAUUACAGAAAGGUAAGCAUUCUGGUUCAACUUUGCCUUCAUCACACAAUAUUUCUGGAUGUAUCUGAUAGCAUUUUUGUGCCAUAGCUGAUGGAAUCAUCGUUCCAACUGCGUCCAAUUAAAAAAAAGAGAUACUUAAUACACAAUCAUAAUCAAUUUCAUUUUGUUUACGACUUCUCUCAAUGAAAUGAAAAUUGCAUUCAUUCAGCAAAAAGGUUGAAAUUCCUCAGCCAAAAGACAUAUAUAUGUGUGUGUGUUUUUUAACAAUUAAGAAGCAUCAUUUAACAUAGAAAUUUUUCUUAUUUUUUUUCCUAGUAAGGUUAACAAAAUCUCGUCUAACUCGAUUAAUUAAGCAAGGUUAGUAUGGAAAGAACAAGUUCAAAAUCACGAUCAAUUUCUUUUUUUUUUUAAAAACAAAAUCCUACCACAACUGUUGACCCAUAAGAUGAAUUAUGGAUCUAUCCAGCCAAACAGAACAAUACUAGAAAGCUAUGAGUCUUGUAUUUUGAUCUAGCUUUUCCAAAAAUUUGUUUUUUCAAGAAAGAAUUGUAAAAAUUAACACUGUUUUACUUAAUCCUUAUUGUUCUUCUUCCGUCUAAUUACUUAAUCCUCCAUAGUUAAUGAUCGAUAAAUAAAAUUCGAGAAAUUAUCUAUGUAUGUCUGUAUGUAUAGGCUAUAACAAGUACAAAUUAACAAUACCAACAUGGAUUGUGGUGCAGCGAAUGAGACUGCUCCAACCUUAACCAGAGGUCGAGAACACUACCCAAAAUGAGGCCUACCCGGUGCGAAUCCAAAUUAAUCGGACUCCAAUGUGAGUACGAACACCGGAUGAGAAACCAAAAAAAAGUACAAAUCAACAAUGAAAAAAGCAUGUUACGUACUGUGUAGUAAUUACCUAGAAAAACAGCAGCAACGAGAAGGAUGCAAGUUGUAAUCUUUCCCAUUUGUCUUUCUGGGAAAAAAAAGAUUUUUAAGAGGACAAACUAAAUCUGCAAGAGUACUUUGUUUAUGUUGUUUGGUCACACUAAAUAUAUAAUUUGGAUGAGUUCCUUGUACUAUAUUAUUAUAGAUUGUGAAAAAGGGACAUUUAUAUCAAUAAUUGAACCCAAUCAAAUUAAACCUUACAAUACGUGGAGUAUAUAUAUGAUAGAUUCUUUUGGCUAUGGAGAUUAGUUACCAGGAAAGUGGCCUUUAAUUGUCAACCACAAACUAUUUUUUUCGUCAGAUAUUGCAAAUAAACAACUGUUUGAUCACUAACGACAGUGAGUUAAUUUGUUUUUUUGCCAACAUAUUCCAUUGAAUUUAAUAAAAGAAUAAUUUAGUGUAUUAAAAUGCCUGCUAUAUGUAGAAUUUAAAAAGAGUUAAAAAGUAUAAAAGUUUAUUGCAUUGCACGUAGUAUUAUUUUACAUUUUUAUAAAAGAUUGUGUCUUCUUCUUGUACCCAUAACCUUCGGAUAGCAUGCAUGACAACAACUUUAUUGGUUACUCGACGACUCGCACCACAAAUUUGAAUUAAUCAUUUAACAACUAAACAGCUGUAUUAACACUAAUGGCAACAGUUUGAUUUUUUUGCAACAUUGACCCCAUUCACAUAACGUGGCAACAUAAAUUUGAGCCUAGUCACAAAUUAUUUCGUCAGCUACAAAUUUUAUCUUUUUUAUUAAAGGACGUCCUUUAUCAUAGUCGGUCACAACUUUAUAAUAGACUAAUUCUUUUCUUAUCUAGUAUCUCUCGUCUAAAAUUAUUUAUUAUAAUUUCUAAAAAUAGUUAUUAGUCUAAAUUAUUUAUUAUUUUGUAUUAUAAAUAUCUUAAUAAAGUAAAUAUUUAAUGAGAGAUUAUGUCUUUAGACAUAAAGAAGGUAAAAUAGUUAAAUUUUUCUUCUAAAUAAAUAAUUUUUUAAAAAAUAUGUAAAAGAGAAGCACGAUAAAUAAUUUGAGAUGAAAGAAUACUAAUAUACCUCACUAUUAUUAAACUCGGAGACAAUUUAGACAAAAAGAUUUUAAGAAUUAAAUAUGUGCUAGAAUUACUUGUUAAACCUUUUCAGGAGAAUAUCUUGUAAUGUUAUUUUCUCUUGAAAUAUUUGUCAUGGUUUACUUAAUAUUUCUAAUUCACACUCUUAAUGGAAAUCUCCCCUUUCCAAAUUCAUGUGAUAUACUUUUAUUGGGCAUAAAGUUUGAGAAAGAACUUUUUUUGAAACUUAUGAUUUAAAUGAGUCAUACAUAUUUAUAUAUGACUAUUUUAAGUAUUAAAAGUAAAAUAAGAAAUUUAAAGUCUAAACUAGUUUUAUAGUUAGAAAAAUCACAUUCUUAGAGUUAAAAGGAAGUGCAUUUUCUUAAAUUGGACAAAAAAGUAUUAUUAUGUCACAACUGGUUGUUCAUCUCGUCUGCUUACAGCUGAGACGAAUCAAAUCACGUAAAACUUUUUUUUUGGGGGGUAUUUAUUGAUAAAUUUAAUCACCAUUAAUUAAUUAAGCUAACAAGCAUCAUAUAUAUAUUUUUCAAAUUUCACACGUUUACGCAACUUGAAAUGUUCUGAUACUCACUAGUAUUUAUGUUGACAAUGAAGCUGGCAUUAACUAAUUACUACAGUUCUAUAUAUGCAAAACAAAAUACAUAAACCAAAUAAUAUUAUUAGUGCUGAUCAUUCAGCAACAAUCAUAUUAAAGUCAAGAAUAAGGAUUUAUUCAAAGAUCACAUAAAGUAAUGCGCGUAAGAAGAUUUGAGUAAUAAUUGUCGGUCUAUUGUCACAAUUUCUUUUUAUUUACAAAAAUGAGUUUGGGUAUGAAAUUGUGGGAUUUUUAUGUCUUUAAUUUAUAGUACGUUAUUCUUCCAAGUUAACGUUUAUUUUGUAAUAUUUUAGUACAUAUGUAUUGACAUGAUGAUUACACGAUCAAAUUUGCUUAAAUUUCUUUAUGCAUGCAUGCAGUGGGGGCUUCGGUUCUCUUCAAUUACUAAUACGUGCACCAUCAUAUAUAAUCCACUACUCUUAAGAUUCAAGUAGCUUUCACAAUAAUGUAUUUUUUUUCUUCUUUAUCUUAGGAACUUGACAUUUGAAUGUAUGUAUAUCUCUUGACGUAUCUCCUUCGGGAUAUAACGGCUCAUAACAAUAUAUAACUAAAGCAAUUUCGGAUUAGUUUGAAGAGUCCAAAACUCCAUCACAAAAACACUUUCCUUCAACGCAGUGGCGGAGCCAAGAAGUUCAGUAAGGGAUCGGAAUUCAAAAAUACACACACGAACUAGUCAAAGGGGGGUCAACAUAUACAACAUAUACUUAAAAAAUAAUUUUAACCGUAUAUAAAUAGUGUAAUUUUUCACCGAAGGGGGGUUCAGAUGACCCCCCUGAAUAUAUGUUCAACCUAUAGUUACUCUCUUUGUAGCGAAUAUAGUUAGACUUAAAAUAUUUUUUUUGUCUCAACUCUCUCCUUCACUAAUAUAAUUACUCUCUUUUAUAUAGUGAAUAUAGUUGAAAACUUAAAAUAUUUUCUGUGUCUCAACUCUCUCUUUCACUACUACAUAUAAUAAUACUAGUAUGCGUACCCGCACGACGCACGGAUAAUAGUAAAAUAUUAUUUUUAAUCACUUCAUACUAAAAUGUUUCGUCCGACCAUGUUAAAUCAUAUUAUUUUUUUUUAAAAAAUCAACUAUCAUAUUAUUUUUUAAUAAAAUAUGGGAAAAAAAUUCGAUCAAACCCACUCCAAUCCCCCCACCUCUAACUAAAUAUUUUUUUAGAAAAACAAUCAUGUAAUUAUAAAAAAAAAUAUUUUAUAUUUUCUUUAUUAUGUUAUCACAACUAAAAAGUAUUAGGUUGUUAAUAUUCUACCCCUUUUCCACCUCUAACUAAAUCUAUAUGAGUAAAAACAAUCGUGUAAUUGCCAAAAGAAAAAAAAUUAUUUUAUUUUUUUUAUUAUAUUAUUUACAAUUUAAUACAUUUCAAAUUGUCAAAAAUAAUUUAAUUUUUUAUUUUACUGCGUGUCCAUCUCUACCUUUUAAAAUUUAUAAAUAAUAAUAUGUUCAUUAUUUAAUUACUUCAUUAUAUUCUCAGAAUUAGUUUGGAUUUCCCCCUUCCUCCCCCCGGGCCAAAAAUUAUCCUCGAUGCACAAUUUUUACCGUAUUUUAAUUUGGUUACUUUUAUCUAAUUUGACCUUGACUUAACUACAAAUAUUGCUACACUAAAAAGAAUAAUAAUAAUAUCAAACAUAUAUUUUAAAAGAUUUAAGCAUGUCAUCUUUUGAUAUUCGUUGUUACCUAUUCUUCUCUUCUCUUCAUUUAACUUUAUCUCUUUGUAAGUCAACAAUAACAACAAAAUCAUUACUAAAAAGUAAAAAUAACUCUCAAGAAAACUUCUCAUAAAUUAAAUAACAGAAAAAGUAUUAAUUUGAAGUUGAUUUGUCUAAAAAUUUUACUUAUCGUAGCAGUAGUUUCAACUAUUAUCUGUCCAAUUUUUUACUUGUUUAUUUAAAGGGUGCAUGUUACCAUCUGUAAUGAGAGACGAAGAACUACGAAAAAUGAAUAGAGAUAACCUCAAAGACUUGAAUUUAUAUUUCAUAAAUUGCAAUUAUAUAUAAAUAUCACACACACACACACAAAUAUAUUUUAACAAAUGGAUAAGGUCAUUAAUUGUUAUACAUUAUUUCCUCCUUUUCAAAGUAAUCGACAAAUUUAUGUUGACUGAUAUAUUCCUUAUUAAUUAGAAAUGUGAUUUGACUGAUAUAUUUCUUAUUAAUUCUUUAAUCUUCAUUAAUUUAAGAAUAAUUAAUGAUAAGGUAGAGUCAGGAAGGAAAUGGUUAAUUUUUCUUUUGAUCUUUUAAAUGGACAACUAUUUUGAGAGAAAUAACUUUAGAAAAUAUGUCAACUAUUUUUUUGAUAAUCAUGAUGUUCGGACUUGCUUUUACGCAUAAAUAUGCUAGCUAUUUUGAGACAGAGAAAAUAGAAUCAAUUUUGAAUGAUAUGUAACCAAUAUAUAUUAAUAUUUAACUCUUAAUUAGCGUGUCACUUGGGGGUUUGGGUCACAGGUGACAAAAGAGCUUUAAAAUAAGGUGUAGGUGACACAAGUCUUAAUAAUUGAGUAGAGGUGACAAUUACUUCAUUAUGGUUUAAAAAAGUUUGAAAAAUUUCAAAAUAACCCACAAGUUUUUAAAUUUAUACUUUGAUUCAAAUGUUAGUUAAUAUAUAACGGGGAACAAAGAAAAAAAAGCAUCUUUUUCUCUCUUCUCAUCCGUUGUUAUUUUCUCUCUCUUUGCGAUAUUUGUUGUUCAUUGUUGUUGCUGCUCUAUUCAUCAUCUUCUGAUUCAUUAUCAUCAUCUUAUACUUCAUUAUCAACUUCAUAUUCUUCUUGUUGACCAUUGUUGUUGUUAUUGUUGUUACCCCAACUGCUGCUCUUUGACCAAAUUCUUAUGUCAAAUUUUGUUUCGUAAAUCACUUUCAACUUUGAAAUUUACUUGAGAGGAGAGUUUGGUAAGUCAGAUUAUGCUUUUUAGUUGAAUCUGGGUAACUGCUAGAGUGUUGUUUUUUCAACAAUAGUUUGCACGCGAACAUGAAUGCAAUACAAGAGCAAUCUGUUUAAACAAAUCCAUUAUCUGUGGCACCAGAUAAAAAUGUGUUGUUUUUUCAACAAUAGUUUGCACGCGAACAUGAAUGCAAUACAAGAGCAAUCUGUUUAAAUAGAUCCAUUAUCUACAACACCAAAUAAAUGUUCUGUUGUAACAAUAGACUCAUCUUUAAGGGUUCUAGGUGCCCGUAAAAUGAUUAUGAAUCGAAUAGAUGGAUAUUCUAUUGCACCAGAUUAGUAAUCUUUUUCAACAGAUAAAUAAUCUGUUUCAUCAGAUUACUAAUAUGUUUUGAACAACAAAAUAUAGCUCCUGUCACACACAAAACCUAACAGAUAACUCAUAUGUUCUUGCUAUUGAUACUGGAAUUAAAUUAUUCUUUAAUUAUAGACAUGUCAUUCGUUAAGAAAUAGAAAUAGACAGCACAAAAAUUAAAUAAGAAAUAAAAAGUCAAGUGCGUCAAACAUAAUUUUUUAUAAAACAAAUAAAACAAAUACAUAGAUAAUAGAAAAAAAAAGCUGAAUUAUUAUUAUCAUCAUUAUUAACAUCAUUAUUAUUUGUAUGUCCAGCCGGCCAAUCUUCAAAGGGCAGCAACAGCGUCCUCCGUAGCCUGCGGAUCUCCCGCAACAUCUUACUCUGACGGCGGCCAACUUUUAAUGCAGGUCAUGAACCUCCUUCUGCAGUUCCCUCAUGGCGUCUCGUAAAAUAACGAUAUCCCACAUAGGAUCAGCCAUAUCUAAAAAACGCAUAAGUUGACAAAACACACACGUAAACACAAAAGUAAAGAAAANNNNNNNNNNNNNNNNNNNNNNNNNNNNNNNNNNNNNNNNNNNNNNNNNNNNNNNNNNNNNNNNNNNNNNNNNNNNNNNNNNNNNNNNNNNNNNNNNNNNNNNNNNNNNNNNNNNNNNNNNNNNNNNNNNNNNNNNNNNNNNNNNNNNNNNNNNNNNNNNNNNNNNNNNNNNNNNNNNNNNNNNNNNNNNNNNNNNNNNNNNNNNNNNNNNNNNNNNNNNNNNNNNNNNNNNNNNNNNNNNNNNNNNNNNNNNNNNNNNNNNNNNNNNNNNNNNNNUAAAAAGUUAUGACUUAAUUAAAUUAAUCAAUAUUAUGAUAAGUCAUGACUUUUCAGCUUUAUUAUUAUUAAUAAUUAGUUCUUUCCGAGAACCGUUUUUUUAUACUGUUUUGGACAACAGAUAAUAUAUCUGUUACAUCAGAUAAAUCAUCUGUUACAAUAGAUUUAUCAUGAUUUGCAACAAAUAGAUAACCUGUUGCAUCACAUAAUAUAUCUGUUGCAACAUAUAAUAUAUAUAUAUUUUUUUUAAAAAUANNNNNNNNNNNNNNNNNNNNNNNNNNNNNNNNNNNNNNNNNNNNNNNNNNNNNNNNNNNNNNNNNNNNNNNNNNNNNNNNNNNNNNNNNNNNNNNNNNNNNNNNNNNNNNNNNNNNNNNNNNNNNNNNNNNNNNNNNNNNNNNNNNNNNNNNNNNNNNNNNNNNNNNNNNNNNNNNNNNNNNNNNNNNNNNNNNNNNNNNNNNNNNNNNNNNNNNNNNNNNNNNNNNNNNNNNNNNNNNNNNNNNNNNNNNNNNNNNNNNNNNNNNNNNNNNNNNNNNNNNNNNNNNNNNNNNNNNNNNNNNNNNNNNNNNNNNNNNNNNNNNNNNNNNNNNNNNNNNNNNNNNNNNNNNNNNNNNNNNNNNNNNNNNNNNNNNNNNNNNNNNNNNNNNNNNNNNNNNNNNNNNNNNNNNNNNNNNNNNNNNNNNNNNNNNNNNNNNNNNNNNNNNNNNNNNNNNNNNNNNNNNNNNNNNNNNNNNNNNNNNNNNNNNNNNNNNNNNNNNNNNNNNNNNNNNNNNNNNNNNNNNNNNNNNNNNNNNNNNNNNNNNNNNNNNNNNNNNNNNNNNNNNNNNNNNNNNNNNNNNNNNNNNNNNNNNNNNNNNNNNNNNNNNNNNNNNNNNNNNNNNNNNNNNNNNNNNNNNNNNNNNNNNNNNNNNNNNNNNNNNNNNNNNNNNNNNNNNNNNNNNNNNNNNNNNNNNNNNNNNNNNNNNNNNNNNNNNNNNNNNNNNNNNNNNNNNNNNNNNNNNNNNNNNNNNNNNNNNNNNNNNNNNNNNNNNNNNNNNNNNNNNNNNNNNNNNNNNNNNNNNNNNNNNNNNNNNNNNNNNNNNNNNNNNNNNNNNNNNNNNNNNNNNNNNNNNNNNNNNNNNNNNNNNNNNNNNNNNNNNNNNNNNNNNNNNNNNNNNNNNNNNNNNNNNNNNNNNNNNNNNNNNNNNNNNNNNNNNNNNNNNNNNNNNNNNNNNNNNNNNNNNNNNNNNNNNNNNNNNNNNNNNNNNNNNNNNNNNNNNNNNNNNNNNNNNNNNNNNNNNNNNNNNNNNNNNNNNNNNNNNNNNNNNNNNNNNNNNNNNNNNNNNNNNNNNNNNNNNNNNNNNNNNNNNNNNNNNNNNNNNNNNNNNNNNNNNNNNNNNNNNNNNNNNNNNNNNNNNNNNNNNNNNAAUCUUUCCGUUUCUUUAAUAUCCAUUUUUAUUAAUUGAGUUAUGGCAACAGAUUGUAUAUCUGUUGCAUCAGAUAACCCAUCUGUUUCAACAGAUAUACCAUCUGUUGCUAUAAAUCAACCAUCUGUUUAAGGAGCUUUCUUGAUUUCUUCUAACUGAUUGAUAAGUCGCAACAGAUGAGGAAUUUGAUGCAUCACAAGCGUUUUUUUUUUUUUGUUUGUUGAAUGUGUUUAAACAAAAGUUACAGUCACGACUAUUCAUUAACUUUUUUCUUAAAAAUCAUAUCAUCAUAUAUNNNNNNNNNNNNNNNNNNNNNNNNNNNNNNNNNNNNNNNNNNNNNNNNNNNNNNNNNNNNNNNNNNNNNNNNNNNNNNNNNNNNNNNNNNNNNNNNNNNNNNNNNNNNNNNNNNNNNNNNNNNNNNNNNNNNNNNNNNNNNNNNNNNNNNNNNNNNNNNNNNNNNNNNNNNNNNNNNNNNNNNNNNNNNNNNNNNNNNNNNNNNNNNNNNNNNNNNNNNNNNNNNNNNNNNNNNNNNNNNNNNNNNNNNNNNNNNNNNNNNNNNNNNNNNNNNNNNNNNNNNNNNNNNNNNNNNNNNNNNNNNNNNNNNNNNNNNNNNNNNNNNNNNNNNNNNNNNNNNNNNNNNNNNNNNNNNNNNNNNNNNNNNNNNNNNNNNNNNNNNNNNNNNNNNNNNNNNNNNNNNNNNNNNNNNNNNNNNNNNNNNNNNNNNNNNNNNNNNNNNCACGACUGUUCAUAUCCCUUAAAAGGAAAAAUUACACAAAUCCCAUAUUUAAGACACCACAUUACACAAUAUCCCUUAAUGUUUUAAAAAAUUACAUAAAAUCUCGGAUUCAUAUUUACUAGUGAUACAUAUGCUAUAUGUAUCACUGCUUAGCAUAUGUAUCACAAUUCGAAAUUUUGGGAUAAAAUGUAAUUAGCAAACUAUCCGGGAUUUAAUGCAAUAUUGCUGAAACUAUCCGGGAUUUAUGUGUUGUGUGUGUUACUUAAAUAAUACUGGUGACUUUAUUAAUAAGUAAAUUAGAAAAAAAAACGAAUCUAAAUACAACAUUUUAUCUUUUUGUUGUAUUUUCGAAAGAUAAAGAUUGGUAAUCUGUUGCAAAAUAUAUUCCACCUAUCAGAUAACUUACAACAUAUGGACAAUUUGUUGCAACAGAUGGAUAUAUCAGUCUGCUUUUCCUUUAGUUGUGGAGUCUGUUGUAACUUGCUAGUCAUCUGUUUAUUCAAUUUCAUCGAGAGCAAUUUAUUUUUCUAAACACUUCUUGGCCAAAUUCAAUUUUUCCUCUUGGAUUGAUUCUCUUUUUCUCUUAGCAUCCUUCAACCAAACUAAAUUUUUGCUAUUAGAUUGAGGGCAAAAAUUAAAUUUAGAGGCCAGCUUGAAGGAUGCAAAGAAAAAAAGAGAAGCAGUCCAAGAGCAAAAAUUGAGUUUGGACAAGAAGUGUUUAGAAAAAUCUAUUGCUCUUGAUGAAAUUGAAUAAACAGAUGAUUAGCAAGUUGCAACAGACGCCACAGAUGAUGGAAAAGCAAAUUGAUAUAUACAUUUGCUGCAACAGAUUAUCCAUAUGUUGUAAGUUAUCUGACAGGUGAAAUAUAUUUUGCAACAGAUUACCAAUUUGUUUCUUUUGAAAAUACAACAAAAAGAUAAAAUGUUGUAUUUAGAUCUAUUUUUUAAAUUUUUAUAUUAAUAAAGUCACCAGUUUUAUUUAAGUAACAUCACACACAACACAUAAAUCCCAGAUAGUUUGCGUCAGAUGUGGAGUCUGUUGCGUCAGAUAUGGAGUCUGAUGCAACAGAUAUGGAGUCUGUUGGAAUACAUNNNNNNNNNNNNNNNNNNNNNNNNNNNNNNNNNNNNNNNNNNNNNNNNNNNNNNNNNNNNNNNNNNNNNNNNNNNNNNNNNNAACAUCAACAACAAAGAAAACAACAAAAAUUGUUCCAACAACAUCAUCAACUACAAAGAAGCAUACAUCCUAUGUUCUAACACCAUCAACAACAAGGGACAGAUCCACAUGGAGUCCUCCGGGUGCGCGAGCACAGACUGAACUCGUAUCAAAAUUUAUAUAUAUAUGUGAAAAUAAAGAAAAAAACGUAUAUAAUCUAAUUAGUGAGCACCCAUAGUAAGAGUUGUUUGGUUAGCCUAGUUGUUGUUUAUGGGUGCUUAAGGCUAUUUAUUUUUUUGGUCUUGAGUUCAUUUCCCACUCAGCACAUAUUUUUUAAAUUUUGGUAACCAACUCUUCUCUUCUUAUUCACUUUAAACUUUUUAUUUUUUUCUCCCUUACUCCUUGUGUUGAUUGUUCGGACUCCACUAUUUUUAAGCUAAGAAGCACCCACCGUCUAAACCACACCACACCAUAAGUUCCAACAAUGCCAAAUCCACCAACAACACCACACCACAAGUUUCAACAAUGCCAACUCCACCAACAACAUCAAUAACAGUAUCAACAGCAAAGAAACAAACAAAAUACAUAAAAAAAAAAUGAUACUACCAACAAGGCUUUUAAACUUCUCCCAACAGAUGACUUUUUUUUGCAUCUUAUAAUAAAAAUUCUCGGUAUUUUUAUUCAACAAUUAAAAAUUCCUUUAAAUUUUUUAAAUAAAUAUGAUAUGAAAAAAUGGUAAUUAAAUAAACAAAAAGAUGUAAAUAAAGUUGCAAGAAAAAGAUGAGAACGAAAGAGCAAUAGUGAAUCAUAUCAUACAAUGUCAAAAAGGGGGUCAAAACAACAAUUUCAGUCGAGGAAUAUAAGAUAUGGAUAUCCAUCGGUUUAGAUCCGAACGAAAAUUUUUGAGAAAGAGGAGAGAAAAAAAAGGUUGUGAUAACCCUAAAGAGGAUAGAAAAAAAAAAGAUGAGAGAUUUAAGGCUGAAGGAGAGGAGGGGUGAGAUGAGAUAAUUCUAAUUUCUAGAUGUACUACCCUUAAUAUUAAAUGACUAAACAAAGUGUAUUUAUUCAAAUUUAUAUUUACAAAGCAUAAUUAAUAAGGCUAAUUUGAUAGUAAGAUAAACCCCUAAUUAAUAUUUUUUCUUGAUGGGAGUGCCAAGUCAAUAUAAAAAGAAAGAAGUAUUAGGGGUUUCAAUAUUCAUUAAUUAAUAUUCACUAAUAAUUUGAGGGGCACGAGGAAAAAACGGGCGACAUUGAAAAGACAGGACAAGACUACUCAAUGAGAUUUUUGAGUUAUCCAAGAAACAUUUUUUACCGCCUUUAGUAGUACUACUACUUUAUCUACUCGGACAGUAGCUUGCUUUAAAAUUAAAAGAAAAAAAAAAGAUUUUCAAACAGAUAUGUCGUCUGUUGCAACAGAUAUAGAUAUCUGUUUGAGAAAUUCCAACAGCUCAGUCAUCUAUGACAACAGAUAGAAAUGUCAUUUGAUAACUAAAUCAGAAACAUCAUCUGUUACAAUAAAUAUCAAUAUCUAUUUGAAAAUUUCCAACACCUCAGUCGUCCGUCAUAACAGAUGCAAAUGUCUAUUUCAUAAUUAAAUAAAAAAUGUCAUCUGUUGCAACAGAUAUUGUUAUAUGUUUGAAAUUCUCCAACAGCUCAGUUGUUUGUUGCAACGGAUUUCAUUGCAAUUGAUUUAGGAUGAACUAGGGAUGAAAGAAUAAGCUCUUCAUUAACUUAAUGUUAAGAUUAAUAAUAGUACCUACAUCGAUCUAGGUGGAACGAAGGAUGAAUGAAUUAGCUCACAGGGUCAAUUACAAAUCCAAUUGAGUCAUUGUAUUUGCAUGGUGUUAGCAUUGCGUUCAUCCCGACCCGAGUCAUCGAUCGAUCACUCUGAGUUGAAAUGUGUUCUCAUUAACUUAAUGCUAGGAUUAAUAAUAAUACCUAUAUUGAUCUAAGUGGAAUUAGGGAUGGAUGAAUGAGCACAAAGGGUCAACUACAACUUCAAUUGAGUUUUUUGGUAAUUGCACGAUGAGACGAUACUGCAUUCCUCUCGAUAAGAGUCAUCGAUCGAUCACUCUGAGAUGAACUGAUUCUUACUACCUUGUAUGUUUAACUAAUACCUUAAUUGAAUAAUCUGGAACUAGGGGUGAGUUCUCAUAGGGUCAACUACAACUUCAAUUGCGUCUUUUGGCAAAUGCAUGAUGAGACGGGACUGCGUUUCUCUCGAUAAAAGUCAUCGAUCGAUUACUCUGAGUCGAACCAAUUCUUGCUACCUCAUAUAUCUAAUUAAUACCUUAAUUGAUUAAUCUAGGACUAUGGAUAAGUUCUCAUAAUGUCAACUACAAUAGAUGACAACGCGUAUUUGAUAAUUUACAACAGAUGGGUAAUAUAUUGCAAUAAUGACUCAAUCCAUUUGAUAAUUUACAAUAGAUGGGUAAUCUAUUGCAACAGAUGACUUAAUAUGUUUGAUAAUUUAUAACAAAUGUGUAAUAUGUUGCAACAGAUUACAUAAUCUGUUUGAUUUGAUCCAACAGAAAAGAUAUCUGUUGCAACAGGUUGAGCAUUUGUUUAUAUAUAAUUCAACUGAGUUCAUAUGUUAGACCAAUACCUUAAUUGAAUGUGAGUUCUCAUAGGGUCAAUUACAACUUCAAUUGAGUCUUUUGUCAAUUGCAUGAUGAAACGGUACUGCGUUCCUCUCGAUUAGAGUCGGCAAUCGAUCACUCUGAGCUGAACCGAUUCUUACUACCUCAUAUGUUAGACUAAUACCUUAAUUGAUUAAUCUAGGACUAGGGUACUAAUACCUUGAUUAAAUAAUUUAGGACUAGGGGUGAGUUCUCAUAGGGUAAACUAUCAAUUAAUCUAGGACUAGGAGUGAGUUCUCAUAGGGUCAGCCACAACAGAUGGCAGUGCCUAUUUGAUAAUUUACAACAUAUGGAUAAUUUGUUACGACAUAUGAUAAUUUAUUUGAUAAUUUACAACAGAUGGGUAAUCUGUCACAACAGAUGACUUAAUCUGUUUGAUAAUUUACAUCAGAUUUAUAAUCUGUUGUUACCUAAUCUGAUUGAUAAUUUACAAUAGAUGAGAAAUCUGACGCAACAGGGUCACCUCCUAGAGUUCUCGGUCAACUACAACUUCAAUUGUUUUUAUACAAUGUCAAUUGAAUCACCCUUUUGGCAAUUGCUUGAUGAGAUGAUUAAAAAUUACACACAUAUUUUAUAAUUUUAAAAAUAAUUAAGAUCACAUCGGACCAAAUUAACAUUUUCAAAACUAUUUGUCAUUCUUUUCCAAAAUACAAAUCAACCCAUACAAAACGUUUUAUCAUUUUACAUCUUGAGGUCUGGCUCUUUCUCUCUCAUUCUCACUCAAUAAUAUAGUACAGACAAUAACUACUCAAUAAAUUUGCUCAACCCUCUAUAGCAGAUCACUUUUUUUUUUUUUCGACCACAUAGGUGUUAUUUUUGACAUCAUUCUUGUUUGUAUCAGUCGUUUUCUUUGUCUUCGUAGGCAACAGAGUUCGAGAAGAGCUCUAUAUUUAUUUAUUUUUCUAAAAAAUAAGGGCUUUUAAGUUAAUGAUGAAAAAUAAAACUUUUAGUUAUAUUAUCUUUGAGAAUGGGUUUACAAUUUUAAGUUUUGAUGGUAAAAUUGCAGGAAGAACUCGAGAAAUCCCUAGUUUCCAUAGCAGUGUUCCGUUGACUGUCGUGGUAUAGUUGGAUGGUGUUGGUGGUGUUGGUGUUUUUGGUCGUCGUGGUGGCACCGGUGGUGGCAUUGGUUGGUGGUGUUUGUGGUGGUGUCGGUAGUCAUGGUGUUUGUUUGUUUAUUGGCAUUGGUUGGUGGUGUUUGUGGUAAUGGCUGUUGGCGUGUCGGUAUUCGUGGUGUUUGUAAUGUAUUUCUUAAAAUCUAUGCAUACAUCAACAGUAAUGUAAUUUUUAUUUUUGUUUGUUUGUAGGUAAAACAUGUCUCCCAAAAGAAAAGAAAGUGAAAGUGGAUCAACGUCUGACUACUAAAAAAAAAGGCUACAGUACAAAGGGAUUUGGAGGAGCUUCCUGAACAAUCUCAUUCAGGAAAAAGUGAAGCUGAGGAGAGGUGUGAAAACAAAGUUGAGGGAGGUGGACAAGGGUCUGUAGAUGGUGAUGAAGAGAAUAAAAGUGAGAAAGAGAAAGAGGACCACAUUAUAUGACUUUCCUUAGGCUUUCAUGGUAAAAUUAAUCACUAAUUUUACUCAUCCAUUAAUUUAUAAUGAAUAUAAUUAUUAUGAUUUUUUUUUACUUGCUUCCUGUUUACACUUUUAGGCUUGGGCAUUUGAAGUUAUUCCUCCCCUCCGAAAGUAGUUAAUGGAUUACCCGGAUGAGGUUUCUCAUCCAAGGUUGUUUAGGUGGUUGGCUGCAAAGAGCAACACCAAUAUUAAGGAGGCUAAUCUCUUUAACCCUCCGGAUGAUGUAGUACGUCUUCUUCAAGUAAAAUAAUUCUACUUAAAGAUAAGAAAGAUAUUGAACAGAUGUUAUAUCUGGUGCAUGAGAUGUUAUAUCUAAUGUACCAGAUGGGAUAUCUAUUGCAAUGAGGUAUAUCUUGCAUCAUAUUACCCAUCUGUGGCUUUGGUUCUCUGAACCCGACUCCUAAAAAAUUAACCAUCUACUGCAAAUUAUGCAACAGAUGUUUAAUCUGAUAACAUAUCGUUUAUCUAUUGUAACAUACAGAUCAUCUAUUGCAUAACAGAUUACUCGUCUUGUGCAGCUGUUGCAACAAAUGAUUGAUAUUUUGCAUCAGAUUAUCCAUGUGUUGCUCUGUUUCUCUGAACAAGACUCAAACGAAUUUUAACCAUAUACUGCAAACUAUGCAACAGAUGGGUCUUUUUUUUUAAAAUGUAGCCCAACUGUGAAAAUUAUUAUAUUAUAUGAUUUAAAUGCAUCUGUCUUUUUUUUAUUUUUUAUAGGUUGUGCAUCCAUGGAUCGUGUCUACUGAGGAGGAGUCGGUGAUGACUUCUUAUAUUACUCUUGAUCAUGUUGAUACUAUUGUAGACCCAACGGUGGAGUUAAUAAAGAAGGAAUUGGCUGAAGUAACAGCCAUAAUAAGAGCAGUUAGGCAAGGUCAGCCUAAUGUUGAGGCUUUUCAUGACCAAUCUUUUACUAAGGCAUAUCCCGGUGCUUUUUCUGGUGGAGUUGUUGGUGUUGGUGGAAGGCAUGCUGAUGCUGCUAUCAAAGAAUAAAUAUGUUUGAAAACACCUCUUUUUUCCCUUACACGGGUCCCUUUCACCCCUCUUCACCCUCGUGUUCUCGUUACGAAUGUGAUGAGUGCAAGGACAGACAGGAUAAACUCUUUGAAAAAGUAGAGGCUAUCUCUAAGGAUAUCAAGGAAUUCAAAUCCAAAAUAUGUGUCAUACCAUCCAAGAAAGUGAGGGAGCCACACACUCCUACAACGUUGGUUAGGAAAAAGAAAAGAGCAAUUAGAGACGUACUCUCUGCUCAAAAAUCAAAAGAAAUUGCAAUUCCUCCCUCUCUAAAAUCUGUUGAAGUUCAGGGGCCAGUCAAGAAAGUGGACAUAUACGCGGAACUUGGCGCCGAAGAGAAGAGGGAUCUGCGACAGUCUAAGAAUGCCAUGUCAGGCGCACCAGAUUACCCCAGGCCUCCCUUUUCCCCCCAAGACUUCUAGACUAUGAUUGAUAUGCGUAUGCCGUAUGAGAAGAAGGCAAGUUUACUUUUUCUAACCUAGCCCUUCUAAUCUACCCCAUGAAGAAGAAGCUACGUAACAGAUUUCACAUCUGUUGCAACAGCUGGGUAUACUGGUGCAACUGGUUAUGGUUCUGUUACAACUUAUUAUCCAUCUGUUGCAUCAGUUGCGUUGAAUUAUUGAUUCAGAGAACCCUAUUCAAUAAAUGGAACAUCCGUUACAUCUUUACAAUUACUAACCUAUUUAAAAAUUGACUUCUUUAAAAAUUAACUUGUUAUCUCACAGCAUGUUGACAUAAUUCUCUACCUCAUGAGGAAAAGGCAAUUAACGUACCGGGAAGCUUAUGACGUUGCCGAUAGAAUUAUGGACCUCGACUUCUGUAAGAAGCUCAAGGAUAGGUACGAUCAACUCAAUGGAGAGGCGUCAGCCCUUGGUGUGAGAGUUGAUUUCCUAGUUCCUACGUUGGUCUUGGAUGAAGAAGAAACGUUAAGAUAUGUUAGAGGGAACAGGCCAAAUUCACACGGCAAGAGCUAGACCGAGGCAAAAAGGAUUCUUGCAGUCAUUAGCGUGAACGACAUGUAUUAUCGAGCUGUUGAGAUACUACUCGAGGGGGAAAGAUUAAUGUUUAUGAAUCCAAUGUACCUCUCAUCGACAAUUUCGAUCUUUUUCUCCUCGUGGAGCCACUGAUGGUGCUGUUGCCCAUCUUGUUGAGGGAGAGUAAACUGAUGAAUUAUUUGCCAAAGGAAGUGUUGAUAAAGAAAUCAUGGGAUUUUGAAGGUCGNNNNNNNNNNNNNNNNNNNNNNNNNNNNNNNNNNNNNNNNNNNNNNNNNNNNNNNNNNNNNNNNNNNNNNNNNNNNNNNNNNNNNNNNNNNNNNNNNNNNNNNNNNNNNNNNNNNNNNNNNNNNNNNNNNNNNNNNNCCUGCAAGAGGUCUGGGCUUAUGGGGUACUAACUGGACGCUUGAAGCCUAUGUAUAUAGAAGCGCCUGUGAAAUAGAAAUUUUUAAUUUCAAGUCACCUUUCACUUUAUUACAUGUACAUGUAGUGGCAAUAAUUUUUUUCUGAUAAAAGUUGAUUUUUUUAUAAUGCAGUAGAUUAGAUUGUUAAUCUGUUGCAGCAGUGGAAAGACCUGUUUGAAUAAUCUAAUAAUCUAAGUCUAAUCUAUUGCAACAGUGGGAAGACCUGUUUGAUAAUUUCUAUGAAUAAUCUAAUAAUCUAAGUCUAAUCUGUUGCAACAGUGGGAAGACCUCUUAAUAAUUUCCACAGAUAACCUAAAUUUUACAACAUAUGCCUAAAUCUUUUUGAUAUUUUCCAACAGUUACGCUUGAAUAUCCAUGUGCUCGUCGACAACAAACCAGUAUCAAAUACACACACCAUCAUGAAAAUUUCAACAAUUAGACUUCAAUAUCCAUGUGUCCAAUAACACAAAACCAGUAGCAAUAACGGCAACAAUGUAGUAUCGUCUUGCUCAAUUUUGUUUCUCUUCAGAAGUCUUGACUUUGUUUAGCAAACCCCAGAUUACAUGAUUUGCUUGUAAGGGUGUCAUUCUUCAUACCAAUCAAAGUAAUCACAUCCACCCAAUUUCUAUAAAAAAGAGAACACAAUUACAAAAUAAAAUUAUAAGUCAAUAAUUAAUCAAUUAAUUAAAUAAAAAAAUAUUACCUUUGAAAUCUUACAAGUAAAAAAUCUACGACCCAAAUUUUGUUGAGUCCAAGAAGUCUUUAACAGAGCUUCAUGACCGCACUUACAAUAUCAAAAAUCUUUAUCACAAAAAAUAAUAGAAGAUACACUCGACAUUGUCAAGGUCGUUAGAAAAAAUGAAAGUAAUAAUUUGAAGAAUUUGGAUAGAUAAAAGAAGAUGACGAUGAAGAAGAAGAUUUGGGAAUUUAGGGUUAAAUUUUAGGAGGAAGAUGAAUAUAUAAGACAAUGGGUGAAAAAAAUGACUGUUGGGGGCCAAGUGACGGCAAGUCAGCGAAAUGUGCCAGGACUGACACUAACACAUUUGAUGCCUAUUUUAUUUUACUUCUUUAAAAUGAAAAUGUCUACUUGAUGCCUAUUUUAUUUUAGGUGUUUGAACUGAACACCGUCGAUGGGUUGAGCCUUUUUUAUUUCAAUUCACUUUAACCUUUUUAAACGUAGUGAUAAUUUUUUAUGUCCAACAAAAGUUGAAUUUUUAUAAUGCAACAGAUUCUCCAUCCGUUGUAACAGUUAUCCUACCUGUUCUGACUUAUAGUUUAUCUAUUGCAAUAGGUUGGUCAUCUGUUGCAUUAUCUCGAUGUUUUUAUCUAAAGUCCAUCUGUUGUAAUAGUGGGAAGACAUGUUUGAUAAAUUCCAACAGAUAAUCUACCUGUUGCAAUAUAUAUAUAAAUCUGUUCGAAUAUUCCAGUAGAUGUGUCGUCUGUUGCAACAGAUAAAGUCCAUCUGUUGCAACAUAUGUUUAAAUCUAUUCUUUUUUUUCAAUAGAUGUGUCAUCUGUUGCAUUAUCUUGAUGUUUUUAUCUAAAGUCCAUUUGUUGCAACAUUGGGAAGACCUGUUUGAUAAAUUCUAACAGAUCACCUACCUGUUGUAACAUAUGUCUAAAUUUGUUUGAAAUUUCCAAUAGAUUUGUCGUCUGUUGCAAUAGAUAUAUUAUCUGUUGCAAUAUUGGAAUCUAUUAUUCCUUUUUACUUAGUAAGUUCAAAUCUAAGGAAUAAAUAAAAUUCGUAGACAAAAUAAAAUAAAUCGAAGCCUUCAUAAAUUAGCUGAAAUAAGUCAACAAAUAAAUGAAAUGUAAAAAAAUUGUUAUGGGUACAGAUCUCAAUAAAUACAUCAACAACAAUUUAAGUAUACUGCCAAGGAUUGCUUUGAUAGGCUCAAGAUAUAAAGAUCUACUCAGUAUGGACAAGUUGUUCUUCAUCCGGUGCUAUGGAAUUCGGCUUUACUUGUCGUGGAUCUUCAUUGUCGCUUGUGUACGGUUUCUGCGCUUUUUGUUCUCCGUAUUUUCAUGAAAAGAGUAGCAUAUUGUCAAUGUUGUUCAGCAGUAGCUUCUUCUACAUCCACCUGAAAAGCCAGAUUUGGUCAAUGCUAAUCACGAAGAUAUAAAAAAAGAAAAAAGGAUAACUCAUCUCUUCUAGCAAAUCAAAUAGGUCUUCCUCCAAUUUUAAAUUAUCUCAAACAUAUUAUAUUUCUGUUGCAAUAAUGAAUCAAGUGUUAGGAUAAAUUUUUACAUGAGGAAGAUUUUAUGUGAUAGUUUCCAACGGAUGAACUAUCCGUUGCAACAUAUGAAUCAUCUGUUGCAGCAGAUAGGUCAUCUGUUGGUACAAUAAAAGCUGUACGUAGAGCUGUUUGAUUUGCUAAAAUAGAUGAGACAUAUGUUGCACCAGAUAAAGUAUUUGGUGCAACAGGUUAGUCAAUUAUUGCAACAAAUGUAUAUAUCUAUGUGAUAAUUUUCAGCAGAUGUGUCAUUUGUUGAAACAGAUAUGUGUCUGUUUGUUUUUUUAGUUGGAAGACAUAUAAUAUAUUCACCUUUUUCAGCUCGUGCUUGUCAUGCCCCAAAAUCCCAUCGGGCCGGACUGGCACCCGAAGCAGAGAAGGCGCAGGAGAACCCGGGAGAACCCGUUCAAAUACCUGUACUUUCACUUACAUGUCACCAAAACUUUGGACAACACUUUGUUGCAUAUAGAAGGGUCUAAUUACCUGUAUCAGCACAACACACACAAAUAUAUAUAUAUAAUACUUGGCCGUCGGGGCCACCACAUAUACAAAUAUAACAUCACUCUAUAAACUUCCAUGACUUUACCCUUCCUUAUGUCUACAAAGCCUCUAGGAUAUACAUGACAUAACUAGGGUCGGGACAAACCCCCGCCCACACAUGACUCCUGUACAAUAACAAAACAUAAGGGACCGACUCGGCAAGCUCCGAAGCAAAUUGGAGCUCACCAACAAUAGCUGUAUGACCUGGCUCCUAUUUAUGUUGUGAAUGAGCUGAAGCACCUGUGCCUGCAGCAUGAAAUGUAGGUCCCCCGUGAGGGACGUCAGUACGAAAUAUGUACUGAGUAUGUAAAGCUGUAAAUAAUCAUAUGUGAUAUGGGGGAUCAAGAAAAUCAGACGCAAGUGAAUAAAUCAUAAUAGAAGUGAACCACACUUCAUAAACACUUUUAGGAUCAUGUACAUUAUCAUUAAUCUGAAUUGGGUUCUUGAAUUCAAACACAUUUGUGGAACGGUAUACAUUCGUUCAUUUUAUUCUUUACAAUUAUCAUUCGCCAUUACCUCCUCCUCCCGAACCUCCAACCACCUAACAAUAAUCAAUACUGUACCGUACUGUGACCAUUAGGCUGCCCCCAGUACAUAUCAACUGUAAUCAUAUCAAAUAUCGGGAUCGGCCCAUGCUAGGCUUAAGCCCCUGAGCUACCACCCACACGUAUAUCAAGUAACACACAUAAGAGAUCUUUCCAAUAACUUAGUUCAAAAGCUUUUGAGAUUAUUACAUUAGUGUUCAUGCCAAUAUAGUACCUUUGGAAUAAUGAUACAUCAAUAGGAACCAAGUAAUAGACUUUCUAUACAAUAACGAUGUAAUAAAGACUCAUUGGUACAUCAACAAUGUGUUUCGGAAUCAUCAAUAUCACAACAAUGAAAUAGGAGCCUUUCGGUAUAUCAAUGAAACAUUUUGACACUUUAUAGAAUGGAAACAACUUCGUUGGUAAUGUAGAACAAUACAUGUUUUUGGACAACCUCGGAAUCUUACUUGAUGGAACAUUGGUGUUUUCAUGCCAAAGAACAUCGUUAGAGUAUGCUUUACAUACCUCGUUGUAGAUUCGGAUACCAAUUCAACACAACUUUCUGCCUUUACAAAUCACUUAUCUACAAUGACAUGUUUGGCAUCUAGUAUUAGCAACCCAACACCACAAUUCUCUUCCAUAAUUUCAUACAACCAAUAUUUGCAAAGCAUUCCAAAAACCAACUUGAACAAUCGGUUUAUGUGUGUAUAUAUAUAUAAUCAUCAUUUCAAUACCACAUCAUCACACCAAAUCCCUUCACAAUUCAACAUAAUCCAACUAUGCACAGGAAUAAUCCAACAUCAUUUCCAAUCAUCUUUCAACAACAAUCAAAUAACAUACUUCUUAUGCUCACAUGCAUAUAUAUAUACAUAUCCAUAUAAAUAACACCAACAUAAUUUACAUCCUUACCAUAAAAUGGACCUUUUGAUUUCGUCUUUUGAUUUCGAAGUCCUGUUGGCACAAAUAAGGGGUGCUUCUCGAAGCCCUCGAGACGGUGAACACAACUACGGAAUCAAUUUGGAUUUUCUACGGUUGAAUCACAAGAUAAUUGGAGUUGAACUUAGGCUAGGGUUUCUUAUUCUUCAAUAAUUUGGAUGAUAAAUGAUGGAUAUGAGGCUAAGUAUAUGUAUAUAAUGACCAAUUUUCGUCCAUGAGGUGAUGGAAAAUGACCAUAUUGCCCUUAAAAUUUAAGUAUAUCCGAAUCUAUCCAUGGUGGACUAUUUUGCUAGGCUAAAGUAAAUCGACCAUAACUCUUUGCCCCGAUAAUGAAUUUGGGUGAAACUAAUUGCAUUAGAAAGACGACUCUCAGGGCUUCUCAUCGAUAUAUAGCAGCUCACACAGUUCAUUUUUUACAAGGAGUUAUGAUCGUUUAAAGUCGACCCAAAAAUCUGUUUGGCUGCAGUACUUUUGUGUGCAGAAAAUUUUUGCACAUUUACUGUUCAUUGCGUCCACCGUUUUCAAGUUUCGAACAUGCUCGCUUAUAUCCGAUACUCAUCUGUUUUCAGAAAUCUUUAUAUCGUUGGAAAGCUAACUCGAUAAAUUUCGCAUAGGAACUUCGACAAGCAAAUUCCGGUAUAAAUAAAGUCGAUUCUUAUACACAUAUAAUCAAACUAUACACUUGAAACCAUCUCAAAAUUAUCAAUACUCAUACUUAAACUCGUAUAUACCUAACUUAUGAUCAAUACAUAUACUCCAACACAUAUAACCAUGGCUAAUGCACGUAAUUAAGUACGGGGUAUUACAGUGUUGCUCUUCUUUGGACAUUGUACAUUGCUCAGUGCAAUACACAGAUAGAGGAGUUGUAAUUUUGCUUUUUUGGAUGCUCGAUAAUGCCUUGAAAAUCACUCUCCUUCUGCUCUUAGCCCUAAUCUCUAAUGGAGCGGAUGGAAAUAAAAUCCUCUUUGAUGGAAUGAGACCCCUCUUAGAUGUUAAUUCCUUUAUAGAAGCAGUUAACGCAUUAAUAGCAUUAAUCACUACAUCAUUUUCGCCCUGCAGUCUUCACAUUUGCAUGCAAAACAUUCGCUGGGAGAGGAAAAAUCUGUAUAACCUGUAUGAUCAUACUCAUAAUGAUUUGAUUUAAAUACUGUAAGAGGAGCGUCAUUAGCACCAACAAUAGCACCACUACCACCACUAACAGCUCCAUCAACAACAAUAAGCCCACCCUCCAAAAUUACCAUCAACAACAAUAAGCCCACCCUCCAAAAUUAUUUUUCUUAUAAUGGUUGCUGCUCCAAAUAAUUUUAUUUUUAUUCCGUCGAUGACCUUAGGGUUCGAUAAAGUUUGCACAGACCGUAAAGUAAGAAAAAAUGGCAUCUUCAACUCUCGAUUGGUCAGAACUAGCGACGGAUGCACAUUCUAACAUAAAUCAUUACAUAUAUUAGAAUCAUGAUUAGAUCAUUCAAAAAAAACAUUAAUUAAAAGAAAAAAUUAAUUAUAAUUAUACUUACUGCAUCCUUCGGGGAUUGAAGAGAUCAAUAAAUUUUGUAUUUUUAUAAGUUUUGGCCGACAACUAUCUCAAGAUUCUUGGACAGGAAACUCCUUCCUGGUAGUUCACUUGUUGUCUCAAAUAAGGAAUAACUUCAAAUGCCUAAGCCUAUAAAAUAACGCCAAUAAAUCAAAACCAUUAUUGAGCGAAAAAAUGAAUGAUAUCAUAAUCGAAUAAAGAAACAUUUACCAUGAAAGCCCAUAGGAAGCCAUAUAGGUUGACUUUCUUUGGCGCUAAUGGAGUCAACAAAUAUUUGACAGUCAUUUUGAAGCUUUCAUACCCCCAUGGAUAGCUGUUAAACACCUCAAGAUCCUCGGAGAGCUUUAUUAAACUGAGGCUUAUGUUGUUGUUAACGUCUCUCGCCCAAAGAAUAUUAUGUACAAACCAAACCAAGCACAAUGACUGCUUGUGCUUCUUUGAAAGUCCUUUACCUUUCAAUGCUUCUAUCAAAUUUUUUAUUUUUGAAGCUUGGACCAACAAUGGACACCUGGUCAUCAUGAUCACACGAAUUGUCUUUGCCCUUUUUAGGUAUGUGGGGUGCUUUUUUGGGGUUAGAAUAGGUAUAACUUGAGAAGGAGGAUAACAUUUUAGUCCAGUAACUAUGGCAAACUCCUUCCAACCAAAACAAACAGGCAUGCCACAGUAAUUUAUACACAUCUCAUCCAUCUUAUCUUUGUUUUCAUACAUAAACCUACGCUUGAGAAAUUCAUAUACCAUUUUCAUUUGAAAACGAGCAUUAUUGUCCUCCGGUAAAUCAAGAUAUUUCCCAAAGCAGCUGUCUCUGAAAUAAGCAUCCAAUUUUUAUUCUCAAAGUAUUUUUCUGAAGGCGUCGAAAGAUUAUUCCAUGGAUGACUUAACCACGAAAUCACUUAUAUUCUGCUCCCGAUUGAGAUAACGCUUGUAAAGCAAGCUCAUAGAGUGGUGGAUGUAGCCUAGCUGCUUCACUUGUUCCUUUACUUGGACUUGAUUCGGUUUCUGUUCUUUUGGAAACCAUAUUAUCUAAAAUUAACAGAAACAUAAAAUAAUAUAUUAUUAUUGAUUAAUGCAUCAUUAAAAAGGGAUAACAGUAAAACAAACAAGCAAAAUAAUAAAAUAAUAGUUGCAACAGAUCGGUCUGUUGCAUCAGGUAGUAUAUCUAUUGCAGCAUAUAACCAAACUGAUGUAGUAGAUGAGUAAUCUGUUGCAACAAUACAAACAUACCACUCAUCUUUUAAGAUAAAUGAAUGGUCUGUUCAACAGAUCACACAACUGUUGUGACAUCAUCUGUUGCAACAUAUGAGUGAUCUAUUGGAACAGUUAAAUAAUCCAUUGCAACAGCUGAGUAAUUUAUUGCGACAAUAGAAAAUAUAUCACUAAUCUGUUGAGAAAGAUGAAUGCUUUGUGCAACGGGUCACAUAUCUGUUGCAACACAUAAGUGAUCUAUUGGAACAGUUAUCAACAAUCAAUUUUGUUUAGAUUUUUUCUAACAUAGGAUCGUCUAUCGCGGCAGAUGAAUGAUCAGUUUGAAAAAUCAAGUCUUGGACUUUUCCUGUAGGAAGAGUUGGUAGGAUUUUAUCCAACAGGAGGUUCAUCUGUUGCAUCAGAUCAUUAAUCUGAUGGUUAUUCCAUUGCACCAGAUGGUUAAUUAGUUGCAUCAGAUUUUUUAUCCGAAGCUUAAUCUGUUGCAACAUAUGGUAAAGCUGUUGCAUCAGAUUAUUAAUCUGUUGCAUCAGAAAUGUAAUCUGAUGGUUCCUCUGGUGCAUUAGAUGGUUGAUCUGUUGCAUCAUAUGAUGAAUCUAUUUCAUCAGAUGGUUAAUAUAUUGCACCAGAUGGGUAAUCUAUUGGAGAAAAUAGUAGCACGAUUUUGUUAAACAAAAAACAGUAAUUUCACCAUUUUUACCAAGAACAAGAACAAGAACAGAACAAAUCAAACCAAAUUGUCCUUUUGUUUUUAUAAACACAAACAAUAAAAAUCAAAUUUCAAAAAAAUGCAACAAAUAACAAAAUAUCAUAAUUCACUUUAAAAGAGAAGAGAAGAGAAGAAAUACUAGAAAUUAGGGUUUUAUUCAGACCGCAUUUCAAAUUAGUGCAACAAAUAUUGAAAUUGUUAACCAAUACUAUAAGAGAAGUUGGCUCAAGUUCCUCGUUUUCUUCAAAACUAAAAAGGCCAUAAAUUUUUACCUGUGAAAGAAGAAAAGGANNNNNNNNNNNNNNNNNNNNNNNNNNNNNNNNNNNNNNNNNNNNNNNNNNNNNNNNNNNNNNNNNNNNNNNNNNNNNNNNNNNNNNNNNNNNNNNNNNNNNNNNNNNNNNNNNNNNNNNNNNNNNNNNNNNNNNNNNNNNNNNNNNAGAACAGUUGGUUGGGAGAGAGUUGAGAGAAGCUGUCGAGAAAGGGAUGAGAGACAGGUUGAUUGAAUUGAAGAGGGGAACUCGAAGCCCAACUAUUUGUCGUCAGGGGUUGAAUGGAGAAUUUUUGCAGAACUGUUGGUUGGGAGAGAGUUGAGAGAAGUUGUCGAGUGAGAGGAGAGAGUGGUUGAUUUGGAUUGAAGAGGGUGUGGGUUGGGUUGAUUUGUAUUUUUUGAAAAGAUUAGAAAGUUUUGAAAAUAUUAAUCAAGUUCACAAUUAACUUGAUCAAGUUUCCUAAUAAUGUUUGACCCUAUCUGUUGGUCAAUGUCAUCAAUCCUUCAUUCAAGACUUAAAAGACACCUAUUCUUCAAUUUUAUCAUAAAUUUUUAUUCCUUAUAUAUGUCCUUUUUAUUAUUAUUUUUUCACAAUUCUUAAAAUGUCUAAAUUUGUUAAUAAUAUUUUGAAUAUCAUUUAUUUACUCUUAAAUUAAACUCUAAUAUGUUUGUUAUUUUUAAUUAAUAUCUUACUAACUUAUCCCAUGCUUAAUUUUUAUAUAUAUAUAUUUUUUUAAUCAAAAAAUGAAAUGUUGAUUAAAUAUUAUUAAACAAUUCAUUAAAUUUCACAAUUACCUCAUCACUAUAUGAAGUCUCAACGGUUAAUUAUUUUUUGUAAAAAUUCAUAUUCAAUAUGUGUGUAUUUAGUAGUGUGAAACGGUAAAUUUGCAUGAACAUGUUACAUCAUAUAUAUAUAUAUAUAAUUAAUCUAUACAAACACAUUCAAAGAGUUUUAGAUAGAAUUCAAACACACAUACAAAUAUUAUAAUAUGUCACAAAAAUUAUAAUAUGUCAAUAAAAAUAGUUUUAUCUUGAUAAAUGAAUAAGUUAUAUGUCAAUUACUAAAUAAUUCGAUCUUAAUUUUUGAAUAUAUAUCGAACAUUGCUAUGAUUAUAAGGAAAGACAAAACAAAUCAAAUCAAUUAAAUAGAUUAUUUUCAGUUUGCAUAUUUUUCCUAUCAUAAUUUUAAAAUGCUUAUUUCAAAAUCAAAUACUUAUAUUUUCCAAAUAUAUUCUCUUUUUAUAUAGACUAAAUAAAUUAAAUAAUAAUUUUAAAAAAAGUAUAGCUUUUUACAUUCAUAGUAUUACUAAGAAGUAUCACUAUUAUUCUUUUUGUUAUUUUGGGUAAAAUGGGCUAUUAUUCAUUUCGUUUGAAAUCAAACUGUACUCUGAAACAAAAACAUCGAAGGUUGCAGCACAAUACACCAUAAGUGCUACUAAAGAGGGGAAAGAAGCAUAUGUAAAUACAAUGGCAUAUAUAUUCAAUAUGACAUCUAGCAAGUACCAACUGGAAUGCUAGAAACUUUGAAAGGCAAUUUGGAAUCGGAAGUUAGAUUGAUUUUGAAUAAAACUUUUCCUCCUCCGCCGGUGGACACCAUUUUUGUAUGAGAACGCAACAUCACUACUGUUCUUGAUGCUAGUGUUACUGCAAAAAAUAUCAAUGAAAAAAUUUUAAAAUUUAAAUUUAUGAGUAAAAUAAUAAAUUUCUUGAAAAAAAUAAGCAUCAAGAACAAAUAUACCACAUCAGACUCAUAAGAAAAAUCUCACAACCAAUAAUUAAAAUUAGAGAAAAAUUGAUAGGAUAAUUAAUACAACUUACUCCUUUGUAUUUAUUUUUAUCAAAAAUUAAAUGGACAAAAUCAUAAUAGAGAAUACUACUUACUUGAAUUCAAGCUAGAUAAACAGAUUAGAAUGUAAUAUCACCAUCAUUCAUCUUGAUAUAAAAAGUGAAAUUGUUAAAAAAAAAAAAAAACUAAAAAUUAUAGAAUAUGAAGAAUGCACUAAAUAAACUAAUGAUGAAUAAUAAAUAAUAAAAUAAAAAAAAAAAAAAGCCUAGCAUUAUAAAUAAUUUUAAAAGUAUAUAUAGGAGAAGUUAAGUAGUAGAACUUCAUUCCAAUUCAAACUUCAUUUGAAUUUAAAUUCAAAUGACUUAACUCAUUAGGAUAUUGCUUUGGAUAAAUAUAGAUUUUAAAUGGUAAAAAGCAAAAACCCAAAGAGAAUUUUCUGCCAUAAAAAUAUGCUAUAAAAAGGAUUUACAACCACACAACUGAUUUUUAAUUUAAAAUUAAUUAUAAUCUUUGUCAAUGGAGUAAUUGGUGGCAUUUUUAGUUUAUAUUUAAAUUUAACCACUACUGCUUCUACUACGUAAGAAGUAGUUAUUGUUUAUUUAUUUAUUUAUUUAUUUUUAAUUAUUAUUACUACUAUGUAUUGUCACUAUUAUUAUUAUUAUUAUUAUUAUUUAUUUAUUUAUUUAUUUAAUUGUUAUUAUUAUUGUUACACAUACUACACUCAAUUUCCACUACUUUUACUGCUAUUAGUUAUUAUUGGUAUUAUUAUUAUAUUUUUAUACCAUUUGUUUGAAUUUUUAAAGAGAUAAGUACAUGAAAAAGUAAAGGUCCAUUUAAAACUCUUUAACCAUGAGUUUCUAUUUUUAAGUUAAUGAAAAUCUUUUUUCUAAUAGAGCAUAAUAUAUUUUCAAAUUCAAAUAUUUAUAUCUUUUAACUCAUUAUUAUUACGAUAUUAUUAAGUUUUGUCAUAAAAACUGUCACGUAACUCCUUAAUAGCUUGUUUAUUAAAAGAGAAUGGUGUUUCGUCUUUUACUUUAUAAUAUAUAUAGAUUUCCCCACACUUAAUAUCUUUUUCUUAUCCCUCAAUAAAGGAAGAAAUACCACUAUUUAUAGGUGGGAAAUUCAUCCUUAUAUUACAAGAUAUAAUGAUAGAUAAUAAACAAAUAAAGUAUUAAAAAUUAUAAGAGUUAUCAAAAUAUAAUAACUCCACUUUAUAUCCAUCAAUUAUCAUGCAAAUUAAGAUUUUAAUUUUAAUAUUAAAAUACAUAAUACCACCAACAUAAAGUUAUACUUUUGCAUGCAAUCAGACAUGCAUGUCCGUGCAAAAGGGAAUGAGAUUUACAAAUUGUUUUUGAGAAAUGCAAAUUACAAAUCAUGUUUGAGCAAUAUUAAUGUGAUAGAUAAAUAGUAUUUGAAGAAUGCAUGUAUUUCUUAAUCGUGCUGGAGGAAUACACUAGCCUAUAUUCUUACAUUGCCACUAUAUUCGAGGAACUCAAAUUAUAUUCGAUAAUUUUAUUGAAAUGAUUUAAAGACAGUCUACUUCACUAUACAUUAAGCCACAUUUAUACAUGUAAAUUUCAUUAUGCCACUGCAUGUGAAAGCCUCUUAAUUACUUAAAAGAGCAAAGGCUAAAACCUUUUGGAAAAGACUUCUUUUUCUAGGCAAAUAUGUUCAGUUUUAUUUAAGCAUAAAUCAAAUUUAAAACUCAAAUAAAACAAAAUUUCUAAAAUUGGAGAGGGACUUAAAAGCAAAUUAAUAUAAAGGACAUAUGAUUUUUACCCUUUUUUUCCUAAGAAAACCUUUAAUUUGUUCUUUUUAAAUUUCUACACUUUCGUUACUUAACUUUUUACACAACAUAAAUUAUUGUCAAACUCAUAUAUUGGAAAUUUAAAAUAUAUGAUUUUUAAAAAUUUGUUAAUUUGGUUACAAUAUAUAAUUUUUUUGUUGAUUUAUUAAUGGUGACGAUGAUGAAGGGAAAAAAAAAAAAUGAAGGGGAGGGGUAAAACGAGUCGGGGCAUAACAUGCCACCUGACAUUCAUCUUAUUAAAAUGUCAGUGCUAUAUAACAUUCGAUGUCCACUUUGGUCAAUUUUAAUAGAUCAGGAGGGGUAUGUUUGAACUAUUUAAGUAACCAUAAGGAUAUUUUCGUACAAGUAAAAAUAAUAACGGAUAAAUUUGACCUAUUUUCAAUAAUUCAAAAAUAUUUUUGACUUUUUUCCCUUAACAAAAUGUAAUUUGGGUUAAUUAUUUGAGUUUGAUUGAAUAUUAAAAUCCUAAUUAUCUCACUCAAUUGGUCAGAUUGUGUUGGUCAAAGUAGGAGUGAGCUUUGUCUCAAUGUUGCAACUUUUCACGAUUUAAAGGUGAAUUAUAAAAGUUGGGAUUUAUCUACACUUAUUAUACUUAACCACAUGAUAAUUCCUCCUUAAUUAUCCUAAAAAAAUUUAGUUAAAAAUAAUUUUUUGAUUUUUGACCGAAUGAAAAUACAUGUCACCCGAUCUAUUAAUUUAGGAUAAACAUUCUGUACACAUAAGUUAUUACCACGUGUAUCAUGGAUUAUGAGAUAGUUAAUAAUUCAUUAAAUUUACAUGAAUAUUUCAAAUUAGUGGAAAAAUUCAUUUAAUUUGUUAAGAUCUGUUAUCAAAUGAAAUUAAAAUCAGUCAACAUUCUUGGGAAUUAAAACAAAAUAACAAGACCAAACAAUGCCCUAUAAUUAUUGGCCUGUCUACAACCUUUGUUCUUCACUUCCAUCACAACUACUACAUUUUCAUUAAGAUCUUAUUUUCUUUUAUAUAUAGAUCCCUGAAAUAUUUUCUCCCUUCAAGUUAUUUAUUACUAUAAUUAUUUUUAAAAACCUAAGUAGAGACUACAAUGUCUAAACGUGCUCGAGUUAACCGCAACGAUAGCUUUGAUCAGCCCAAUUACCCUAACCAAAAUUCGUCUUUUAAGCCUUCUUCUUAUUUUACCAACAAUGCUACUGCUACUGCUACUACUGCUAGUGCUGCUACGUCACACCCGCGAUCUUUUCUUCGUUUGGAAUGACUAGUAAUGUUGGUGGUAUUCCAAAUGAGUGCUUCUUCUGCAAGAAGAACUUCAAAAAAGAAAAUCACACCUAUAUGUAUAGGUAUAUUUUUUUUAUUUUUUUAUUUUUUCUUUACAUAUAUCGCAUUGGAUUGAUCGCUUCUCUAGCUUCAAUUUCUAUUGCUUUAUGCAGCGAUGGAUUCAGAAUUUUAAUCAACAUAUAUACAUACGUAAAGUACUACUCCAGUUUGUUCCCUAUGUGGUGCUAAUUGGAGAAUCAACUUUUUAAAUUACUAUCACACUGUCACAUAAAUUAAAACAGACGUAACAUAUAAUUGAAAUCGAAGAUUAUGUCUUUCAUGGUUUGAUUGCACACAGGUCCCUUGCAUUCUGCACAGAGGAGUGCCGUGAAGUUCAGAUUUCUUUUGAUGACAAUAUGAUGAAGGCAAGAAUGGAGGCUGCAAACAAAAAGGGGUACAAUUAAUUGAUUACUAGCUCAUGUGAAGAAGGAGUAACAUAUUAUAUAAUUAAAUAUAUAUAGGGGUCAUGAGUUUGUGAUAGGAGUAAUAUAUUAUAUAAAUAUAUAUAUAUAUAUAUAAAAUAUAUAUAGGGGUCAUGAGUUUGUGAUAAGCUAAUUGUACUUUAUGUACUAUGGCUUAUAGGUUUUAUAUCAUAUCUAAAAGACUCAUCUAAAAACAAGUAUUUAUAGUUGAAAUUAACGGGUCUAUCCUGUAUUAUUAAUAUUUUGUUGGUUUACAAAAUCAUACUAUAGGUCAUCAAUUGUGCUGUAACAUUUGAACGCCUUUGUAUGAGAAUGAAUCUAUGUUAUUUUACAGUUUGGAAAAAUUUUAUUGUGGCAUACUAUAUUUUGUUUUAUAGCUUGUGAGAUAUUAUGAUAUGAAAAUAUAAAUUUAUGCCUUGCGAAAAGUUAUUUCUUAUUUGUUACUUAACGUGUUAAAAGGCAAAAAUGAAUGAUAAUAGAGGUACACCGUGAUGCUCAACGACGAGACAAUGCAAGAAUAUAUAUACCGAUUUCACUAUGCUAAGGGAAAUAAAGGAACUCUUCAAAAGCUCAUUGAUAUAUAAUAGUAACACCAAAUAACCCUCAAGUAGGAAUUAAAUUAUCCUAUAGUUAUUAACUCAACAAAAGAACCAAGUGGUGCACAACAAUAAUCAGUUGAGACCAAGUAAUCUAAUCGUCGAGACGUACACAAGCUGAAAUUAGACAUAAAUUUAGGUUGUGGCUAAAUUGUUAUAGACAACGUAUGAUUGCAAUUCUUGAAACCAAGAUGAAGGACCAUCAAUUACUACUAGGUGAUUUAUUUUUUUUGGUUUCCAUUCGGUGUCCGCAUUGGAGCCCCGACUAAUUCGGAUUGCGCGUUGCAAGGCCCAUUAAGGUGGCAACGCUCCCAAAAGAGUUUUCUCCAUACCCAAGAUCGAACCCUUGACCUCUAAUUAAGGGUGGAGCAGCCUCAUCCACUGCACCACUACCCAUGUUGGUACUAGGCGAUUAUUAAUAUGGUUCAAGUUCAAUAAUGAUUUUUGGCUUUUGAGAUGUAUUUAUGCUAGUACUUACCGCAAUAUACAUAUUGAAAGCAGAUGCAACUUAGUUCUCUUAUGUAUAUUACAACAAAUUAAAAAAAAAAAAAAGAAGAAGCUAUAUUAAUAUCAUUAGAUUUGAUAAUCCAUUAUAAGUUAAUUUAAUAUUGUUGAUUGCAGAAAGCUAUAAGUGACAUUUCAACACAAUAAAUUAUAGUCUAUAUAUAAUUAAUGACUUUGCGUACUCGAUAGUUCUAUUAUUUGUUCGGGAAGGGGUAGAAGCAAGACAAAUUAGGAAUUACUUUCAUUAUAAAGUAUACUAAGGAUGUUCAUUUAGACUCAUGAAACUAUAAUAACAAUUAAUAUUAUGCCAUAUAUAACAUACAAAAACAUGAAGGAUUUUAAUUGCUAAAAUCAAAUAAUUGUACUUUUAGCUACUUGAGCCAUUGAAAGGAUCAAAGAUUAGUUUGACAUAUAGUGCACAUUGUAACCCUUUAUAGAUUAAAAAUUAUGCUCGUUUAAAGUGUUAAAUUGAAUUCCAAUUUUUUUCCAAAAGCGCAACAUAUUAUGAUACAAAAAUACAAACUUAUGCCUCGCAAAAAGAUAUUUAUUAUUUUUUACUUAAAGUGGUUAAGGGCAAAAUUAAAGACUAUAGAUUUGAGGGGCAAAAAUAAACCACCCAAAAACUGAGAUAUUUGUGUGCAUGACCUGUCUAUUGACAGGGGCCUUGCCGGCCUAGAACUUAUUUUUAAGCCGAGAUAUACUUGUUUGUUUUCUUGAUUGGUGGCUGGUAUUACAAUAACGUAGUUGUCCUUGUGGCACCUACUGUCAGUUAUGUCCCUAUAAGUUGGGGCGCGACAAAUUGGGACUUGAGCUCAUAUGGUUUAGGUAUGUAAUUGACAAUUUCAACAUAAGUUUUGGUGCGUUUCUAUGUUUUAUCCUUAAAUCAUUUGAUAAAAAAGGCAACUCGGUGCACUAAAGCACCCGCUAUGUGCAAAGUUCAUGAAAGGGUCGGAUUAACAGAUUCUAUGGUUUGCAGGCUUACGAUAUGCUUCUACUAAAGACUGUUUCUACGACUUGAACCCAUGACCUCUUAGUCAUAUAGUUAUAACUUAACUAUGGUUAGGUAAUAGUACUGUACGUAAUAAGUACAUUUGGUGCUAAAUCUGGUACUGCAUUUACCCACAUACCAGGAUGGUUAGUAAUUGAUUAAAUUGCCAUGAUCUUUCAAUUUAGGAAAAGAAUUCACAUCAUCUUAUGUGCGUAAUCAGAUAUAUAUUUGAAAAUUAACCAAACUUGAUUUCAGUCAACAUUUUUUGGACUGAAAGCAAAAGAUCAAGACCAUACAUUAGCUUAUAAAUAUUGGCCUGUCUACAACCUUUAAUCUUCACUUCCAACAGUACUUCUAAAUUUUAUUUUUGAACAAACCUCAAUACUAUAAUGUCCAAACGUUCUCGAGUUAACCGUAAUGAUAGUUUUGACCAACCCAAAAACCCUAGCAAAAAUUCUUCUACAGAUAAUUCAAACAAGUUUUUUAAGCCUUCUUCUUCUUCUCAUUUUAAUAAUUAUAAUAAUAAUAAUAAUGUUGUUGUUGCUUCUAAUAAUAAUAAUAAUAAUGUUGUUGUUGCCGCUACUGCAGCGGCGGCUAGUUCUUCUUCUAUUGGAGUGACUAGUUAUAUUAGUGAUUUUCUCAAAGAGUGUUUCUAUUGCAAGUCCAUUCUCAAAAUGGAAAAUGAUAUUUAUAUGUACAAGUAUUAUUUUUUUUUUCUGAAAAUUCCUUUUAUUAUGUUUUUUUGUGAUUUUUUUUUUAUAUAGAUCGAAUUGGAUUGAUCCACACAUCUUUCUUGAAUUUACAUGUUUUAUGUGGUGGUGGAUUCAAAAUUUUAAUCAACAUAUAUACAUACAUAAAGUACCCCUAUGUGGUACUAUUUUAAAUUCUUAACGAUUGUGAGUUAUAUGAUUUCUAUUUAGAUAUAAUUUCAAAAAAUUGAAGAUCUAUCUAGACUUUUUCGGGAUUACAUAUAAAACUAAGUGGAUUAAUGUAACACAACGAAUACUAUCAGACCGUGGCAUAAAUUAAAAUGGACGUAACAUAUAAUCGAAAUUUAAAAUUCUGUCAAAACCUUAUGCAUCUCACUUGUCAUUAUUCAUUUUUUUUAAUUUAAUUUCCUUUUUUAGACUUAGUUGAUAGAUUUUUAAUAUGUUUAUUAAUUUUGAUGCUUUGAUUGAAAACAGUUCACAUCCAUUAUGCACAAAGGAUUGUGCCGUGAAACUGUGAAAGUCAAAUGGAUUUUGAUGAAGAUUUGAUGAUGAUGGAAGAGCUAGAAAUGGAUUCUGAUGAAAAUUUGAUGAUGGAGAAAUUAGAAACAUCAGGCAAAAAAAAUUGAGAGAAAUGAUUAAUUACUAGCUUAUGAUGAAGGAGUAGUGAUAUUUAUAUAUAUGCAAUAUUAUAUUAUUGGCUAUUAGUUUUUGUAAUAAGUUCAUUGUGUACUUUAUGUACCAUGACUUAUAAGUUAUAUGCAUAUAAAAUUUGAAUAUCGUGAUAUAAGAAUUUUCUUGUUUUUUUUUUUUUAUAAUUAGGUAAAAUUUUAUCUAUUUUUAUCUCUCGUGUUAAUAUCUUUUAAAUUUUUACUACUACUACUACUCCUAUAUUGUAAGAUCGAUUGAGUAGCUGGUAAAAUUCACGUCUUCCUUUUAAUUAAGUUCAAGUACAUGAAAAUCAAGAAAGUAAACUAGUAAUAAUCAUAUGUUAUGGCUUAUGACCAAAGGUGUGUUGAUAUGGUAAAAGGGUCAUAUUUUAUGGAGAGGGGUAAAAAACCCGCAUGGUAAGUUUUCUACAUUGCGAAUCUAGAUUAUUCUGAACGUACAGUAGAUUUCAGACACCAAAUAUUUGGAGGUGAAAAGUACGAUUAAAUUUGUUUAGAUUUAAUAUGUAUAGAUUAAUUGAACAUAGUAAUGAAUAAGAUAUGAUGAUACAUUAUUUUUUAAAAAGAUUCUCUCUAAUUACUUGUACAAGAGAUAAGAAAAAUUUCGAGAAUAAUUUUAGACUGAGCUUAUUCUAUGUUUAAUUGAAACAAAAUAAAUAGAAUAACACAUUACAGGAUUACAGUGUCAUAUUUUUAUCUCAUCUCAAGGUGAGAUAACUAAAUCCAGAAUAAUUCAUCCCGUUAUAACUUGUUACAACCAAAAAAUCCCUUUGUUCAUAGUUUAGUAAGGUUACUGAACUAGUCAACUUUAUUUUAUGGUAUCAAGCAUCUAAGAGCAACUUUCCCAGUCAAAAUAAGUUGUAGUAAAUACUACUUACCAUAUUUUGCUAGACUUUUAUAUUUCUUUGUAAUAUUUAUAUUUAAUAAUAGAAUGCCCGAUUAAUUACCUUAAAAGAUGUAAAAUAAUUCUAAUACUCAACUAUAUUAUCCAUAUCAUAAAGCUCUUAUAUAAAGAACGAGUAUAUACUUUCUUGCAAAUAUAUUCAUGCUCGAUCAUAUAUACAUCCUUAAUAUGAAUUAAUGGAUGAGCUAUACACAUAUAGUAAUUAGGAUUUAAGGGUGCAUUUGUUUUUUUAAGAUUAAGCUGUCUGAAUGAAUAUCUGAAUAAUUAAGAUGUUGUAUUAAUAGGGCCUAAGUCAUAUAAUGGUGAUAGAUAUAAUCAGCCUAAUUACCUUCACAAGAUUUCGUCAACAAUUAAUUCAAACAAGUUAACAUAUUGAUCACUUAUGUUGUUUUAAGCUAUUUCUUUAUAUAUGCAUUAGUGGAUUUAGAAUUUUUGUUAAUGUAACACCACUAUAUAUAUAACACCAUCACAUAAAUUAAAAACGGACCUGACAUGACGUAUAAUUGAAACCUAAGAUUUUGUCAAACUCGUACACAUCUCAUGACUUGUCAUUAGUUUUUCAAUUUUAUUUUAAUUUCUUCAUACCUGAUACAUAACAUUAAGUAAUAUACUUGUUAAAUUUCAUGCUUUGAUUAAACUCAGUUCACAUUCAUUCUGCAAGGAGUAGCUUUUGAUGAAGAACUAAUGAAGAAUGAGUAAUUACUAGCUCGUGAUGAAGAAUGUGUAAUUAAUUAAGGAAUGAUCGAUUACUAACCUUAAAAGAUGUAAAAUUAUUGCAAUUACUUAUAUUAAUAAUAAUUAUGCAUAGCCUAAAGCUCUUAUAUAAAGAAAUUAAAGAGUAUAUAUAUUAGUAUAUACUUCUUGCAGAUGUAGUCCCAGCUCGAUCAUACAUAUGAAUAUACUUCUCGCAAUAUAGGAUUUAAGUCGUAUAUAUUGAUAGUCAUGUAAUUUAACACAAGCUACUUAUCAUUUAUUCGAGGUUAAUCAAUGAAUAUUGAAUAAAGUCCAUCAUGUAUAGUUACAUUUAUCCUCGGAAUCUAUUAAAAAGCUCACUGGGAUAUCUUAACACCACCAAACCUUCAAGCGGGGAACUAUGCUGUAGCAGUGGCGGACCUAGGAUUUAACGAGUGUGGGUGCUUACCAUAGAAAAAAAAUAAAAAAUCACCUCAACAUGCCAGUUCACCUAACCAACUUUUUGUUUAGUGGGUACUUUUAUAUAAUUUAUACUUAUUUUAGUAUAUUUUUAUUGUAAUUAUUAUACCUAUUCCGUAUCGAGUUUAGUGGGUGCCGGAGUUUCAUUCUUAACAUGCUCUCCUGUAGCUAUAGUGAUGAACUCAGCAAAGCAGCAAGUGGUGCACGACGGCGACGAUAAUGAUCAGUUGUGAUUUUGUAGGACAUCCAUUUUUUAGAGGUCAAAAAGUACGUGCAAAUAUUGAUUCUUGGCUUUUAAGUUAUAUAUAUGCUAGCAUUGUGGGGUACAACUGAUAAUUUUAGUUUCCUUAGAAAUUACAGUGAAAUCAAAAACUUAUUUAGUUACUGAUUGCAGAAAAAUAUUGGUGGCCAGCCUAUAAGAAAAUUUAUUAUUAUUGAAUAAAAUAAAUGCAUAUUGAUGCUUAUUACUCCGCCAUUAAUUGAAUCCCAGAGUUUCGUUCUUAACAUGCUCUAUGAAUUUCAUCAUUUGCCACCUUGUUAGAUGUUGUGAAAAGCUCACUCUUUCAAGUUCUUCAAAGAGUUUCUCAAAAUUCAAAAACAUAUCAUUUUUUUGAGCGGAGGGUCCUUUUGUAAAAACUUUACCCUCCUCCGAUCCCACUAGUGGAAAUUGGAACUUCACUGUGGGGGUGGGGGGGCGGGGGUAUGUUGUUGUAGAAACAGUGGAAUAAGACAUUCUGUUUAAAGAUUUCAGUGGGAGAUAAAUUUGUUUCCCAGCUUAUGAAUGGUGUAAGUUUGUCAAUAUUCCAUGCUUCACUGUUUCGCUAUUGGUGAAAAUAAAACUUUGAAACUGUACUUGUGAACAUGUAUCGUAGGUUCAACUGAUGGCUAUAUAGUUGAAUAAGAAUACAGAGAAUUGUACACACAUAAAUUCAAAUAGGUACCAUCAGUCACACUGACAAUAAUCAAGACUGCAACAAAUACAGAUAGAUCUUUGCAAUGAGCAGGUCUUUCGGUUUCUCUUGCUCCAUGGCAUCUGAUCUGUUCACUGAAAAUCAAUCAGAGAAAUCAUUUACAAACUAAUAGAGACAGCUCCUAAAUCAGCAACUGUAUGCCAGGAACGUAUAGACAACUUGUUCAUGAUACAGUAGAUAGUGCAGUUUUUCAAGCACAUGCACAAACAGUACUUUUGUUCACCGCGGUGGUGCCCAAGUGCUAUAUGAAAAUAAAUUAUAACACUAUUCAUGAAGGGCUAAAAACACCGGCGUACAACUUAUAAAGACUAUUUGCAGUCUGAGUGCAACAUAAGCACAUUGUUUUAUUACUUAUAACUGCUAUGUUUGGUAGAUCAAUGAGCCUUAUGUUUUCUAUUUAUCUAAAGUUUUUCAUGUCCCGUCAUCGUUCUACUAAUGUUCAGGCUGUCAGAAAAGAAUUUUUGAGCGGAGGGUCCUUUUGUAAAAACUUUACCCUCCUCCGAUCCCACUAGUGGAAAUUGGAACUUCACUGUGGGGGUGGGGGGGCGGGGGUAUGUUGUUGUAGAAACAGUGGAAUAAGACAUUCUGUUUAAAGAUUUCAGUGGGAGAUAAAUUUGUUUCCCAGCUUAUGAAUGGUGUAAGUUUGUCAAUAUUCCAUGCUUCACUGUUUCGCUAUUGGUGAAAAUAAAACUUUGAAACUGUACUUGUGAACAUGUAUCGUAGGUUCAACUGAUGGCUAUAUAGUUGAAUAAGAAUACAGAGAAUUGUACACACAUAAAUUCAAAUAGGUACCAUCAGUCACACUGACAAUAAUCAAGACUGCAACAAAUACAGAUAGAUCUUUGCAAUGAGCAGGUCUUUCGGUUUCUCUUGCUCCAUGGCAUCUGAUCUGUUCACUGAAAAUCAAUCAGAGAAAUCAUUUACAAACUAAUAGAGACAGCUCCUAAAUCAGCAACUGUAUGCCAGGAACGUAUAGACAACUUGUUCAUGAUACAGUAGAUAGUGCAGUUUUUCAAGCACAUGCACAAACAGUACUUUUGUUCACCGCGGUGGUGCCCAAGUGCUAUAUGAAAAUAAAUUAUAACACUAUUCAUGAAGGGCUAAAAACACCGGCGUACAACUUAUAAAGACUAUUUGCAGUCUGAGUGCAACAUAAGCACAUUGUUUUAUUACUUAUAACUGCUAUGUUUGGUAGAUCAAUGAGCCUUAUGUUUUCUAUUUAUCUAAAGUUUUUCAUGUCCCGUCAUCGUUCUACUAAUGUUCAGGCUGUCAGAAAAGAAAGAGAAAAGGUCAAAGAGAGGUAUGGAUAUGUGAAUGAAUCCAGUUGUAUUAAGAAAACAAAUAGGCCAGAUAACCAUGAUAUCCAACACCUUCAAGAAGACGUAGUGAAAUUGGUCAAUGAUUACUCUGAGAAAUGAACUAUAUACGGGAUAGCAACAAUUUAAAAAAAGGGGUGCAAGCAAAGCACUGCGCUGUUGGCAUGAAACCAUGGGAAUGUGAUAGUAUAACAUCUGGAAAAAUAUAAAAAAUCAUAUUGGAAAUAUAACAUACUGGAUGCAAUAUAAAAAGUCAUACUGCAAGCAUGGAGACCAAGUACCUCACCGUGGAGUCUGUAGACUUGGGGAAGUCAACCAACCAUUGUGCGCUUUCUUCCUCUUAGCCUCACUGAAAUAAGUCACAAAAUCAGAAGAUCAAAACAUAAAGAACCCGCCGAAAUUAGACCCAUGUUAUUUAUUCUUUCUAGGAAUACAAAAGGUAAUAAAUAGAAGGGACGUGGAAGAAGAGUAGGCAGCACCUUCGGCUAGCUUGUUCAAAGUUGAUGACCACUGCUUAGAGGACUUCCUAUAUGCAGUAAGUAUAUGGUCCAUCUGUGAUAGCAAUAUAAACCAUAGAAGAUGAAUGUGCUCUUCACUAUAAGUCAAAGUAACACCACUAUCCACAUCCACUAUUCACAUGCAUCUUGAAAAAACUAAACAAAUCCACGUGUCGUGUGUGGCCAAAAUAAGGUUCGUGUUUCCAAACUACAAGAAAUAUAUAGUUCUAUAAUCCUAAUUAGGGGCACUUAGUCCUUCAAAGGCUUCUUUUAUAUCAAUUAAACAAUUAAUGAGACACUCAAGUGUAUUAGAGAAAGAACACCAGAGAAGUGGAGAACUGUUCAAUGAUGCCAUCAAAAUACUGUUUCUGUGAAGCAGUGUAUGUUUCAUGCAAUAAUAUGUUCAAAUGAUAUAAUGUGCAAAGGCAAAAGGAAGAUUAAUCUAAAAGAAGAAAUUAACAUCCUUUCCCCUGGAAGAAAUUAUGAUUUAAAAAUGAGGGAACAGAGAAGAGCAAAAAGCUUCAAAAGGCUUUAAACAUGCCUCUAACCCACAACACAGUAGAUAUGACAGAGCGAGCUUACCACAUUUCCACAAGAAGAGUGCAUAGAGAGUAAAGCACGUUCUAGUACAUAUAAAUCAACUGCUUUAUCUUCCGGAAGUGUUGAAGUAAAGCUUAGACCAAAGUCAAUUAGCACCUGGAGAAAAAGUAUCACUGACAGAAAAAUAAUGUCAUUAAGGUUGACCUUAGAACUUCAUCCUCCAAAACCAAGAGAGAAGGCAAAUAAGGAAAGAAAUUGACAAAAAUAGUCAAUCAUGAGAAUUAGAGGAACAUUCUAAGAGAGAGAGGAAAAAGUUCACCAGCUGAUUGGAAGCACUCCUUAGUAACAUGUUUGAUGUUGUCAAAUCACCAUGGACUAGGCCACCAUCGUGUAGUUUUCCGAUAGCAUUACCAAUCUGUGUUGCAAUAUCAGCCAUCCGUUCUUUGUCGACACCAACUAGUCCAAAAACAAGCAAUAUAUCUUUCACAGAAGGGCCUUCAAUAUAUUCAAAGGUGAGAGAAUGCAUAACAGGGUCAACAGCAUAAAGCACUGGAGUAAGAACACCGAGCCGUCUAGCU
RNAcentral lists this long non-coding RNA (205156 nucleotides) under Capsicum annuum. RNAcentral's name for it is "long non-coding RNA (CANN_LNC009072)". Lineage: Eukaryota; Viridiplantae; Streptophyta; Magnoliopsida; Solanales; Solanaceae. The record is from RNAcentral.